GCUGAUAGGAAGGAAAAAGAGAGUCAAUUAAGAAUUGAAAGAUUCUUGGAGGAUUACAAAGCACUCAAACCAAGCAGGUAUUCGUAUGCAGAUAUUAAGAGGAUUACAAAUCAAUUCAAGGACAAGUUGGGCGAAGGAGCCUAUGGAACUGUCUUCAAAGGAAUGCUCUCUUCUGAAUUCUUUAUUGCUGUCAAAGUCCUCAACAGUUCUAAGGGAGAUGGGGAAGAGUUCAUAAACGAAGUGCGAACGAUGGGUCAUAUCCACCACGUCAACGUGGCUCGCUUGGUUGGAUUUUGUGCUGAUGGAUUUAUACGAGCUCUUGUUUACGAGUUCUUCCCCAACGGUUCCCUGCAGGAUUUCAUUUCAUCCGCAGGUAGUAAGAAUUCCUUUCUUGGUUGGGAUAAGCUGCAAGAUAUUGCCCUAGGCAUAGCCAAAGGAAUUGAAUACCUUCACCAGGGAUGUGAUCUACGAAUCCUGCAUUUCGAUAUCAAACCCCAUAACGUGUUGCUAGACCAAAACUUCACUCCAAAAAUUUCUGAUUUUGGUUUGGCCAAGUUAUGUUCCAAGGAUCAAAGCUUGGUGUCCAUGACUACAGCGAGGGGGACCAUUGGCUACAUUGCACCUGAAGUGUUCUCCAGGAAUUUCGGAAAUGUGUCUUACAAGGCAGAUGUUUAUAGCUUUGGAAUGCUGCUGCUUGAGAUGGUAGGAGGAAGGAAGAAUAUUGGUGUAACCAUAGAUAACAAUACAGAUGAAAUUUACCAUCCACAGUGGAUUUAUAAUCUUCUAGAGGAAGGGGAUGACCUACGAAUCCAUAUUGGGGAAGAAGAAGAUGGUAAAAUUCCAAAGAAACUUGCAAUUAUAGGGUUAUGGUGUAUCCAAUGGCACCCGUCGGAUCGUCCUUCCAUGAAAACAGCGGUUCAAAUGUUAGAAGGAGGGAGGAGAAAGCUUGACUGUGCCGCCUAAUCCCUUCAUGCCUACAGGUCCUACAACUAGAAAUGUAAGACGCCUAGAGCUAGAAGCAAUUGCUGAAUUAGAGUAAAAUGUAUACGCAAAUGUAUAGUAACAUUCGCAUUGAAUGUGUAAUGAUUCAAACCUAAGGGAUAUUUUGAUAACCAUUUCGUUUUGGUACCAAACAAAAGAAGUUUGUUUUCUCUCCUUGUUUAAGCAUUAGAUGCCAAUUAUUGUUUAUCAUUUUUAAAUUUAUAUUUUGUUACAGUAGAAGCCUAGAAGGAAAUCGAGCACUGGACUUACCAAAUUCUAACUCGUUUCUACACACCAAGAGCUUGAUGAUUUCGGCUCUUAUUUAUAGUAUUUAAGCUAUAAGCCGUGACAAUAAUUAGAGCACUAUCAUUUGUUGUGAGCUUCAACUGGUUAGCAUUUUUGUAUGUUUUAAACUUUUAAUUAGAAUAUAUAUUUCAUGUAGACUUAUCUUGCCAUAAAGCAUGUCAUCCCCUCCCAAGUUUUUCUCUUCGCGUUGAGUUUGGGAUACGAAAACUUGCCAAACAAAGUGGAUUGAUUAGUAACCGAAGCUUAUUAUUCGACUAAAUAUUAUUUGGAAUUUUAAUUAAAAGAAACAAUAUGAAUCGUUUUUGUUUGAUUUGAAAACUAUAAAAUGAGGAGAUUAAAUUGUUAGUUGUUAGGAGUAGAGAAAUUGGUAGAGAUCGAAUUCAUACAAGAAUGUAUAGACAUUAUUGUGCUUUGUCACAAGGAUAAAUCACAUAAAACAAAAUGUAGUACUUUGAGGAUGGAAGAAACUUCAUGGAUGACGGGUAAUCAACACAAUAUGGGUGGGGAUGCAGAGGUGACGCGGAAGGAAUUGGCGGGCUGGUGGAAGUGGGUUGUGGCAUGCAGAGAGAGUGGGGUUGGGGACGCAAGAGAUUGCGUAGAAGGUAGAGGCGGGCGUGAGGGUGACGUGAGGGCAAGGGAAGUAGCAAACCGUGUGGGCUGCUGUGGUUGAUCCACUAGGGUGGCUGGAUAGCCUUUUUGACCAAAUUAUAAAGCGCAUAGACUUUUUGACCAAGAGGAUAGUCAACAAAUAUGCAACGUUUUGCACGGGUAUCAAAUUUAUGAGUGGGAUGUGUAAGAACCAAUAAAGCCUCCUAGAGAUCUAAGUCAAGUUAAAUAAACCACGAAUAACCAAAACAAUUAAUAUACUACAAGUAUGAAAUAUAAACCAACUUGCAGCAGUAAUAGAUGAAACCAUGAUCAAACAAGUAGUAGACCUUCUCCUCUCUGUCAAAACCAAUAAUACUCAAACUAACAAUAGGUCUUAGUUCGAUAAUGAGCGUAUGUUUUGUAAGAGCAGAGGCUACUAUUUAUAUACAAUCAAUCUAUGUAAUUCUCCUAUUAGAAUCUUUAUUCAACACUGAAUAAGUUUACCUUAUUGUAUACAAAGUGUUAAAACCAGUUUUCAUACUUUCAUUCAAUCCUUCACAAAUAAGGAUUAAGUAUACCUUUUUACAUUGGGACUUUUCUAUACGGAUCUGAAACAAAUAGUAGGCCUUAGGAAUUAUAAUCAUGAUCAUAUUCUUACAUUCUCCCACUUGAUCAUGACCCAAAACCAUCGCACAACAAUUCAAAUCAUUAUAGAAGUGAUCACUAAAUGUCAAUGAAAAAUUACUUCAUCACAAACAAUCUAUCAAUGCAUUUCAAAGUACUGAAUCCAGAAAUUCACACUCUUGAUACAAUACAGAGCUAAUUUCAAAAUCACAGAUACUUAAUCUGCACCUUUGUAACAUUGUGAACCAACUGAUUAAAGACAAACUCAAAACAAGUUUGCUCCCACUUUUGAAGCCAAAACAUUUAAUAUCAACACAUGAUACCAAAUCGUAAUCAUCUCAAUAUUCAAACCGCUUAAAUAACAUGAUUCGUAAUCCAAGUAAUUACUUAAACCAAACUCUUGAAAGAUCAUAAGUAAUACUAUGAACAACACUUUAUAAUUCAGCCAAUUGCUUUAUCAAAUAAAAAACUGACUUUAAAGCAUUGUAAGAACCAUAAAACAAAAUUUUGUCUUCUAGAACAAUUAAUCACAGAUAAUCUGGAAAAAUUGAACCCAAAUGAAAACAUUCGAUUAUUCAAAACUAGCUAAAACAUAAAACUAGUUGAAACAAAAUAAUUGAAACAAAACUAACUAAUAAACCUACAAAGAUGUCAUCACCUUUAAUACUUCUGUACCAGCAACUACUCCCACUGAUCAAAAGAUUCCAGCACUCCCAUUCGAGUAACAUGAGCUUUGAAGACUCCAAUUGGUAAAGCUUUAGUCAAAGGAUCUGCAACCAUGAGAUUUGUACUAAGAUGUUGCACUUCUAUAGUUCCUUUCUUUACCAUCUCCCAAACUUUCAGGAAUUUUACAUCCAUUAGUCUACUAACAGAAUUCCUCUUAUUGUUUUUAGAGAAAAACACAGUUGAAGUGUUGUCACAAAACAUCUUCAUCGGCUUUUGAAUUGAAUCCAUUAACUUCAACUUACUUAUGAAAUUCUUGAGCCAAUUAGCUUGCUUGCUGCCUUCAAAACAGGCUACAAAUUCUGCUUCCAUGGUGGAUGUUGUUAUGAUAGAUUGCUUAGAACUUUUCCAUGAAAUAGCUCCACCUCCAAGCAUAAAGACAUAACCUCCAGUGGAUUUUCUUUCAUCUAAGUCUCCAGCUAGAUCUGAAUCAGUAUAUCCAGUGACUUCUAGAUGUGGAUUUCUGCCAUAUAUGAGCAUGAACAACUUGGUCCGUUGCAGAUAUCUCAAUACCUUCUUCGCCGCAGUCCAAUGAGCUCCACCUGGAUUUGAUUGAAACCUAUCCAAGAUGCCAACAAUGAAGGCAAUAUCAGGUCUCGUACAAACAUUUGCAUACAUCAAACUACCCACCAAAAAGGCAUAAGGUUUGUCUCUCAUCUUUUCCUCUUCAAUUUCACUCUUGGGACAUUGUGCUCUGGUGAAUAUAUCACCUUUAUUGAUAGGAACGUUGCCUCCUUUGCAAUGCUCCAUGUUGAACCGAGUUAGCACUCUAUCAAUAUAACCCUUUUGAGAUAAACCCAAAAGUCUCCGCCUUCUGUCUCUCACAAUCUCUAUCCGAAGAACAUAGUGUGCUUCACCAAGGUCCUUCAUUUCAAAAUUAACACUAAGCAUGGACUUAGUGUUCUGCAGUAAUUGAGAACUAGAACUAGCCAGUAGUAUGUUAUCGACAUAUAGCAUCAUUAUAAUGAAAUUUGGUCCACUGAACUUGAUAUACAUGCAAUCGUCUAACUUAUUUUCAGUGAAACCAUGAGCUGUAACUACUUGAUUUGAGAUACCAUUGCCUUGAAGCUUGUUUGUGACCAUAAAUUGACUUAUUUAAUUUACAAACCAUAUCUUCCUUCCCCCUUUGAGCAAAUCCAAUUGGCUGCCUCAUAUAAAUAUCUUCUUGUAGCUCUCCAUUAAGGAAAGCCAUCUUGACAUCCAUCUGAUGCAGCUCUAAAUCGAAAUGCGCAGUCAAAGCCAUUAUGACCUUCAUGGAAUCUUUUGAUGAAACAAGUGAAAAAGUAUCGUUGUAGUCAAUACCUUCUCUUUGAGUGAACCCUUUUGCAACUAAUCGAGCUUUGUACCUUUCAAUUCUACCUUGAGAGUCUCUUUUCGUUUUAUAAACCCACUUACAACCUAUAAGCUUGAUUUUGGAAUUAGAUUCUACCAAUGUCCAGACUUUGUUUUUGCUCAUCGAUUCCAAUUCCUCAUUCAUUACAUUGAUCUAUAAGAUUGAUUGUGAGCUCUUUAUAGCUUGAUUGUAGGUGAUGGGAUCAUCAAUAUCACCUAUGUCAUACUCAGAUUCUUGCAAAUAGACAUAAUCAUUUGAUAUGGUUGACUUCUUUGUUCUUGUCGAUUUUCUUAAUUCUGGUUCAGCUCGAGGUGGUUCUGAACUGUCAACUUGAUGUUGUGUUUGCACAACAUGAUCUUCCAGCCGAGUCUGUUCAGAUGUAGUUUCUGUUUCAAGUCCACAAUCUACCAUUUGAUGAUCUUCUUCUUCAUUUGGACUAAUCUUUUGCGGGAAUAUGGGAAGAAUCUUGUAAUUUUCUGCAGGAGAGACAUAUUCAUCUAAGAUUUGUUCCUCAAAAUUAAAUUCUUCUUGAUUCAGAUCUGCCACAUCUUGGUCUUAUAGAAAAACAGCAUUGUGUGACUCUUGAAUUCUUGAAUGAGCUUGUGGAUCAUAAAAGUUGAACCCUUUGGACUUUUCGCAGUAGCCAACAAAAUAACAAGACUGAGUUCUUGCAUCUAAUUUCUUCUCAUGUGGAUUAUAGAACCUUGCUUCAGCCUUGCAGCCCCAAACAUGAAAGUAAUCAAAAUUUGGUUUUCUUCCAGUCCAAAUUUCAAAAGGGAUUCGUGAAACAACUUUGGUUGGAACCCUGUUGAGUAUAUAAGUUGCUGUUUUGAGUGCUUUUCCCCAUAAGAAUGUUGGAAGUUUAGCUCUAGACACCAUGCUUCUCACCAUCCCAAUCAAAGUUAUGUUCCUCCUUUCUGAGCCUCCAUUCUGUUGUGGCGUUCCAGGUGUCGUAUAUUGUGCCACAAUGCCAUGUUUCUCCAGAUAAAGAGCAAAAGGUCCUUUCUAUUGACCUGCCUCAGUAUACCUGCCAAAAUACUCUAUUCCCCUAUCCGAUCUAACAAUUUUAAUAGUUCUAUUUAAUUGUCUCUCAACCUCAGUUUUAAAAAUUAUGAAGCAACUAAGGACAGCUGAUUUUUCACUAAUGAGAUAAGUAAAACUGAAUCUUGAGAAGUCAUCAAUAAAAUUCACAAAAUAGUUGUUUCCACAUAUAGUUUUAACUGGAAAAGGACCACAUACAUCAGUGUGUAUGAUUUCAAGCAGAUUUUGACUCCUAGCUUCUAAUUUUCUAGUAUUAGUCAAUUUCCUUUUCAAACAAUCAACACAUUCACUUUUGGUUUGAAAAUCAAAUGAGGGAAUCAAAUUGGACUUAGAUAAUUGUAAGAUUCUCUCUUUCGAAAUGUGUCCCAACCGUUUGUGCCACAAAAUAUUAGAAUUUUCAAAAUCAUGCAUCCUUUUGGUGUUUACAUUUAAAACAUGCACAUAAUCAUUUUCAAGAGAACAAUCCAAUUGCCAAAGGUUUUCACGUAAAUAAGCUUUUCCCAAAACUGGGUCUAAAUUAUUCUUUUGAAAAAACUUUAUGCCCUCAUCAUCCCCAAGAAAAACCAAAUUAUGUUUAGUUAGUUUUGAUGCAGAAACUAGGUUCCUUCUCAUUGUAGGCAUAAAAAGUACAUCAUUUAGUUCAACUAUAAAACUAGAAGAUAAUUUUAGUUUCACUUUCCCUAUAGCUUCUACAACAACCUUAGUCCCUUCCCCAACAAAAACACUAUAAUUCAUUUUAUUUGUUUGUUUUUGUUUUUCAAAACCAUGCAAUGUAUUUGUGACAUGAACUGAUGCACUAGUAUCAAACCACCAAGAUUUAGCAGGAAUUUCAACCAAGUUAGACUCCUCACAGACAUAGACAUCAAUAUUACCCUUACUCCUCAGCCAAUCCUUAAAAGUUUCGCAAUCUUUUCUAACAUGACCUUUGGUUUUGCAAAAGACACAUUUAAGCUUAGUUAUAUCUUUAAUUUUAACUUUAAUAUUGUCAUAUUUCUUAGAGGAUUCAACAUAUUUAGCAGGCAUACUAGAUUUAGAGACAUUAUCAUAAGACUUAGAGUUCUUACUUGGAUUAAUUCUGCCACCCUUCUUGCUCUUUCCUUUGGAUGCAUGUACAAGGUUUACUGCUUCAAUUUCCUUGACCUUGUCUUGCUUCAGUCUUUUCUCUUCUUGGACACAUUGAGCAAUGAGCUCAUCAAGUGUCCAAAGAUUCCCUUGAGUGUUAUAUGAGACUUUCAGUUGACAAUAUUUAGCAGGGAGUGCUUGAAGCACCAUAAAAACCAGUUGAGUCUCUGAAAUAUGUACAUCCAUUGAGUUGAGUUCUCGGCAGCAUCUGAGAGUUUCAGAAUAUGAUCCCUAAUUGAGCCAUUGCCCUCACACUUGUAAGUUGUCAAGAGUGACAUGUAGUGUCCAAUUUCAGCCUUCUGAGGUUCUUGAAACUUCUCUUCAACAGCUUUGAAGUAAUCAACAACAAGGUCAUGUUGUUUGAUACCUCCUCUAACAUGAUCAGUCAUGCCAGCCUCCAAAAUGGACAAUGUCAAUUUAUUUGAUCUCCACCACCUCUCGUGCUCUGCUUUCUUAGCCUUGGAACUUUUGUCAGUCAAUAAUGGGGGUUGUGGAUUGUCAAUUGCAAUGUCAAAUUCAUUGAGUAUCAGUAGCAACUUGAUCUCGCGUCUCCACUUCUUGAAAUUACUUCCACCAGUAAGAAUCGAAACACUUGCCAAAUUCAAGGGUUUCAGUGAAAUUGCAGCAGAUCAUAAUGAAAUCAGUAAACAUGAACCAAUAGGUUCCUGAUUUCUCUACUACUAGUUAAACUGUACAAAACAAAAUUUGAACCAAUUUGACCAUAUAUGUAGUCCCAAUGAUAAAGGAUACACAUAGAUCAAACAAUUCAAAAAAUGUCCUUUUUUUUUUCUUUCGGAAUAUGUAUCAAUUGAUAGUUCAAUACUUAUCACUCAUAAUUCCAUUUGAUUUACAGAUAACACAAUCUUCAAAAAACAAAAUAUGCAGUAUAUACAUGCAUACAUUUUUGACAUUGAACUGUUGAGUUUUUUUUUUGACCCAUCAAGCAAAACCAAUCAAUUAUUGGAGAUGUCUGGAUGCAAUAAUUUUAGUCAUCUUAAUUAAAAAUAGAUAAUUAAGAUCUCAACUUCUGGCAAUAAAAAUAAAGAAUCACACGAUAACAUGAGGAUCAUAAUUAACAUAUAUGCAUUUUAAAUCCAAUUCAUACAAGUCUAUUGAGUUUGUAUUGCUUUUGAAUCUCAUAUAGUAUCAAUUAGAAUAAGGCACUCAGAUUCAAAAUCAUAGAGAAGUGCAGUAAAUAAAAAAUUAUCACUUUCUUAUGAAUCAGCAAAGAUUGAAUUAGACGAAAAAAGAAAACGCAACACAUACCAGUAAGGAUCCAGAUUGAAAACGAAAUAGUGCAGAGGAAGUAAUGAAUUAUUUGUAAUCUAGAUUGACUACUCUUUAUGAACCCUAAUUCGAUCAGAAAACCCAGUUUUUCUGAACCCCCAAUUCGAAACGACGGCAACUUAAUUUUACCAAACAAACAUUAACUUUGUUUUUUAGUUUUUUUUUUUUUAUAAAGACAGCUCCUGGGUUCGAAACCUUUAGGGGCCCCUUUUAUUUUAUUAUUCGAGUUUUUUAACUAAAACUUAGGCUCUGAUACCACAUGUAAGAACCAAUAAAGCCUCCUAGAGAUCUUAGUCAAGUUAAAUAAACCACGAAUAACCAAAACAAUUAAUAUACUAGAAGUAUGAAAUAUAAACCAACCUGCAUCAGUAAUAGAUGAAGCCAUGAUCAAACAAGUAGUAGACCUUCUCCUCUCUGUCAAAACCAAUAAUACUCAAACUAACAAUAGGCCUUAGUUCAAUAAUGAACGUAUGUUUUGUGAGCAAAGGCUACUAUUUAUACACAAUCAAUCCAUGUAAUUCUCCUAUUAGAAUCCUUAUUCAACACUGAAUAAGUUUACCUUAUUGUAUACAAAGUGUUAAAACCAGUUUUCAUACUUUCAUUCAAUCCUUCACAAAUAAGGAUUAAGUAUACCUUCUUACAUUGGGACUUUUCUAUACGGAUGUGAAACAAAUAGUAGGCCUUAGGAAUUAUAAUCAUGAUCAUAUUCUUACAGGAUGGGCACUCAUUUUCUUCCUUAUUCAUGUUUGGUGUUGAAAAAUAGAAGCCUCCUAAUUUGGUGGCGUUGGAGAAUCCUUUUAACCAUCCAAAACAUGGAUCUAAGGAGUCAGGAAGCAAGAGGAGUUUAUCCAUAUUCAUGGAUACAAGAAGCUAUGAGCAAAGGAAUGAGGACCCCAUUUUAGGUGAUUAUUCUUUGCUUCUACAAAGAGGAUCUACAUAAGUAUAAAGUCACCUCUCUUUGUUUUGAAUUUGAGUUGAGUCUUUGACUAACAAUUACUAGACUUUUAAUUUCAUGAGUUAAGUUUUGUUUUUGAGUGCAUAUAAGCAUGCUAGAGCCUUUAAUUGUCAAUUACAUGUAUGUGUGUUGCUCAAAUGAACUUAGUUUAUCAAAAUUUUCCUUCAAGACCAACUUCUAUGGCAUGUGUGGUUUCUUGUGCCAAUCACACAAACGUUAUGUAAAAAGAACUUACACAUUACAUUGCAUGAUUGACAAUUAACAACACAAUAGUGUUAUAACUGUGUCAUGAAAGUUUUUAUGCAAAGUCACUUGAUAUGCUGCAACAAUUAGUAAACAAUAUUAGAAAGACCUAGAGGAACCCACGAACCCGCAAUUCAUUCCAAUCCAUUAAGUAGCUCAUGCAUCAUUUCUCCUCAGCAAAUGUGAUUUUGAAAGGUAGACGAAUUUCUGAUUGCAUUGGUCUAGUUUCAGAAGGGUUCAAUUUUAUGGAAAAAAAUGCUUGUGGUGGUAAUGUGAGCAUAAAAGUUGAUAUUGUUGAAGCUUUUGAUACUUUGAAUUGAAGUUUUCUUCUUCAUGUGCUUUCUAGCUUUGGUUUUCUCGAAUAUUUGUGGACUCGAUGCAUGUUUAGUUUUAGUAUGGUCGGCUCGACUUUCAAUUUUGGUAAAUGGCACACCACGAGGAUUUUUCUCUUGCUCUCAGGGUGUACGUCAGGGAGACCUUCUUUCUCCACUUCUUUUCUGUCCAGUAGAGGAAGCUAUGAGUAGGGGUUUAUCUUUGCUUUUUUCUACUAGUCAAAUUACUGCUAUUUCAGCUUUGUGGGGUUGCUGCCUUCCUACCCAUGUGUUAUAUGUUGAUGAUCUUUUUAUUUUUGGUCAUGGAAGUGUUCGAUCUCUUCGUGCUCUUCGAAAUUUGUUGGAUAAAUAUGGUUGUGCUUUGGGACAACUUAUUAAUGCAACUAAGAGUACUUUUUUAUCUGGGCUCCACCUCUGCCCAUUUCAGAGCACAGGUUUAGAGAUAUCUUGGCUUUCGUUAGGGUACUGGUCUUUUUACUUAUCUUGCGGUACCCAUUUUUUGUGGUAAGCCAAGGAGAAUUCACUUUCAAGUUUUGGUAGAGAAGGCUAAAGCUCGCCUAUCAAGUUGGAAAUAUAAACUUCUCUAAAUGGCUGGACAAUUUCAGUUGGUGCAGUCUGUUUAUCAAAGCUUGUUUCUUUAUAGUUUCUCAGUUUAUCAAUUGUCGGCGUGCCUUUUAAUUCAUCUUACUGCUUGUGCAAGGAAUUUUCUUUGGUAAGAAGACCUGGCUUCUUGAUAGUUGGUAAGUGUUGACUGAAGUAUGGUGACCUAAUCAGGAUGGUGGGCUUGGUCUUCAGGAUUUAGCUUCUUCAAACUUGACGACUUUACUUAGAUUCGGUUGGGAUGCUUUACAAUCCCGUUCUUUGUGGGGCUUUUUUGCUCUUCAGCGUUUUCUUCUUGCACCUUAAAAAAACAAAAUAUCUACUUAUGGUCUUCUGUGUGGCAUGGUUUAAAGCGUGCCUUACCUAUUCAUAAUAAUAAUAGUUGUUGGAUUAUUGGUGAUCAGAGGUUAGUUUCCCUUUGGUUCGACAAAUGGUUAGAUGACCCAAUUAGUAACUCUUCAUUAUCUCUAGUCAUUUCACCUAUGGUUCAUCCUCAAGUUUUAGAUGCUAUUGAAUCUCAAAGUUGGUCUUGCCAUAUUAUUUUACAAAUUUAUUCUCAUCUGUGGUUGAACAAAUUUUACGUAUACCUUAGCCUUUAAAUGCAGAGGAUGACAAAUUAAUUUGGAAACCACCACCUACUAGGAACUUUUCUUUUUCUUUUGGUUCACCUUAUCUGAGGAAUCUGCUGCUAUUCUUUUCUUUGGGUGUCGGAUAUCUAGGCAACUUUGGAGGUGGUUAGCAUGUCAAUUUGGUACUUCUUUGCCUCUUUCAGAUUCUUCAGAUGUGUUUAGGAUGUCUAUAUUAAACCCUUUCUUAUCAGUUGCAUAAUCUUUGGAUUUUUGCAGGUCUUUCUUCUAUUUCAACUAUUUGGAAAGCUCGAAAUAAGUUUAUUUUUUAGGGUCGAUCAAUCUCCCUUCAUCGACUUUGCAUGUCUAUCAAUUCCAGGGUCGUUCAUAUUGGGAAAUUUAUUCUUUGUUACUCUCAAGGUUUGGACACUCAUAUCAUUUCUUCUCUUGGGAUUCGACCUAUCCCUAUCAAGGCGCCUACUGUUCUUCUGCGCUUAGGUCUCCUCUUUGAUUUCCUUGGAUUAAAGUUAAUACAUAUGAUUUGUCUAAAGGAAAUCCUGGUCCUGCUAUGUGUGGAGGAGUUUUCAAGGAUUUCCAUGGUUAGUUUCCUGAUGAUUUCUACUAAUGGAUUGGGCAUCACAACUUUUUUUUUUUAAUUUUUUGCAUAAUUAUUAGCAAUUAUUAUUAGUGUUGAGUUUGUAUAUCUGCUGGGUUAACAUUGCCUUGGUUGGAAAGUGAUUAUUGUAGUGUUAUUGCUGCUCUCCAAUCAACCAAUUUUGAUUUUGCUUGGCCUCUUCAUACACAAUGGCCUACUUGUCUAGAUCGCAUUCGGAAUAUGAUAUUCUAUGCCUUUCACAUAUAUCAUGAAGGAAAUGUUGUUGCGGAUAAAUUUGCUAACAUGGACUUGUCUUCUCCAACUUUGGUGGCAUGACUUCCCUCCACCAGUGGCUUGUGCUGCUUUGUUUUCAAACUAUAUUCGCUUGCUUGGCUUCCGCUUCUCAAACUAAUGUGCAUCUCACCAUGCAGGUAUGUCUCCAUUUCUUGUUUUUUCCUAACCUUGUGGUGUCAUUUGACUUGUUUUGCAAAAUGUCUCCAUUUCUUGUUUUUUCCUAACCUUGUGGUGUCAUUUGACUUGUUUUGCAAGUUUUUGACUUUUUAGGUUUUGCUUUAGAGGGUUUAGGUUUCAUGUCCCCCCUUCUUUUCCUUGUAUCUUUUUUGUUUUCGUUUCUAGAGGGGUAAGGUCUAUGUCCCCCUUCUUAUAUAUUCAUGUUGUUUUUCUCCUUUUCUUGGUAUAAUGAGGGAUAAGGUUUAUGUCCCCUCUGACUAGGUGAAACUUAUUAUUAUUAUUAUUAUUUUGUUAUCCAUAAAAUAUCCUUCAUCCCAUCUAGGUUUUCUAAAAUACAAUAAAAAUUAAUUAGCUCAUGUGCAAGCAAAGUAUGGGCUUCCCAUGCGCAGGAACUUGAAUUUACUCAUAUUUGGUAGUUACGUAGUUUGAUACGAGGUGCCUCCCCAUCGUUCAAUGUGUUCACCCACAUGAUGUUAAGUGUAACCUUCUUAAGGUUCAACAAAAUUAUUGUUUCUAUUAACAAAUGUAAAUAAAAAAUAAGCAAAAUACUAGAUAGAUCACAUAUUUUAUUUUUAUUACAUUGGUGUGCCGUAUUGUGAUAUGACUGCAUGCAUGCCACGUUUUGUAAUGAGUUAUCUCAUUAGAUGUUAAUUGUAUGUAUCACUUUCCAUAUCAUAUGGUACAUCAAUGUAGUAUAAAUAUGUGGUCUUUAUAAUACUAAAAAAAAAAAAAAGUAAUGUUGCAUUUAUCACAUUUUUCAUACCAUUGUAUCAUCUCUUUAUAGAAGCAGGGCACAUCAACAUAUGUGUCUCAUCUCUGUUAAAAAAGUGAUACAAAUAUGGUAUGAAAAAUAUGAUAAGAGUAGCAUUUACAAAAAACAAAAUCUUAAAGUUAAAUGAACUGAACAAACAUAGAAAAUUUGAAAGGUACUGUUAGCAGUUCAAUCCCACGAAAAACAGGGGGUGGUCUUAAUCAACACAGAUGAGACGUGCAAUUCAUCUGUAAAGUUCAAUAAUUUUCAUUUACCACAGCUUAACAUAAACAAGCUUCGUCAUGCAUAAAUGUGGAACUUUAUGAACCAAAGUAGGCAGCACAAACAGGAUAUGAGCGAAAAAUGACACUCUCAAUAGACUGAAUGGAAUUGAGUAAAAACAAUCUCACAACUGAUGAGAAAGAUCAUGAAAAUUCCAAGUUAUCCCAUUAGUGUUUAAGACAAGAUGCCAUGAAGAACGUCAAUACUCUGCAUAGCUAUUCUCACAAAUGGUAUGUACAACAUUAUUAUUCCUGGUUACUUCCAAAUAAAAGCUUUUCAAGCACUGCAAAUCACUAUUCAGCUUUAAUGUGUCCCAUCAGUCUUCUACAAAAGCAAAACGACAGUAAUAAGUGCAUCGGUGGCCCUGGCGACGGAAUUUAUGGCGCCUCUUCGUUCUUUCAAUUAUUUCAAAGCUUCCCGGCCCUGUAUUCCUGUACAAAGAUGUGUGAUGUUUUAUCAGUUCCAUUUGGUGAUUGGGUGGGAAAUGAAUUUAAACUCUUCAUUUCAAAUAGUCUAAACCAAAUUGUAUAGAAUGUGAAGCAGAGGGCAAGAGGUGUAGAUUGAAGAACAAUGGCACUAAGAGCAAAACUGAAUUUGUUCAUCGGAGGUAAUCAAAUAAGGAUUAUGCGUGUAAAUCUUAUUUCGCAUGUAUUCUGCUCAUGAUGUUUUAAUGAUGAUUAUUGGUAUAUUCUGCUACGUGUUAUGAUUUUUCUGCUUUCAUGUAAUUAGCGGCUUAGAUAUGUGAAAAAAAAAAAAUUGUUUGGGUUAGUAUUUGAACAUUGGGUGUAAGUGAAAGAAGGCACAAGGAUGCCAAUUGAAAGGGGAAUUGCUCGAAGCCCAACAUUAUACCCAGAAGCAAAUUGAGGCUUUCUCAGCCAAGAGUCAUAAACCACGUGUCUAUAAGUAAAGUGACAAGUGAUGAAGAUUAACCUACUAUCAACAAAGAACACUUUCCAGUGGCAUUACAAGUAAGAAAGCUGAUGACUCAUUACCCUCCAAAUGUUUUCGGGCAAGAGCAAAAGUUACAGUAGUCGGGCUAGUUUGCCUAUAAAAGGAAGAAGAGGCCCCAGAGACAAAGACACUUAACCAAUCAAACAAACAAACAUACAAACUCUGCUCUCAAGCCAGAUUUGCAUCCAAAAGCUGAACACAGCCCAUAUUUAGUCCUUUUAACGCUAGUUCCCUACAAAAGACAUCUUUUGUCUAGUCUAAAAGCUUUUCUACCUCCCUUAGUGGCAUAGUAUCGAUUCCCUUGUGUAAACUUGUUUACCAUCCAUCCCUUUUUAAGCAUACAACUCUUGUAAACUCAAAGAGAAAUGAUUGUAAGAAGUUCAACCUUGCCAGACAAGGUGAAAUCUUGCCCGAAGCUCUUUGUUUGUUUUCUAAAUUAGUAGAUCUAUUGCUUAAUGCAUUCUCCAGUAUGUAUUUAAGUUAUUUCCACCUGUUUUUCUAUUUUAAGAAGUUCAUUUGCAUCUGGAUCUGGUUCGCUUAAAUGAAUAUGCUUUCAUUAGAUAUACUCUGGAACCAAACAAGUAACUUAAGGGGAUCUGGACCCCCUUCAUUUCGAACAUACAAGACUAUGAACUAAAAGUCCUUGUUUACAAGGCAAGAAAAAGAACUUAAUAUGGACUUAACCCAUCCACGACAAUCAUUUGAUAACAAGAAGUUUGAAGUAACUUGGGGCGCAAGUAAUCUACUUAAAACACACUUGUUCUACAUCUGUUAUACUGAGAUAGCAGUGACACGCCUAGAACUUAAUUAGUUUUGAUUAUGAGUCUUAAGGCCUACACCUAAGGCCCCAUAAAGGAACCUUUCAUAACUAACUUUGUUCUCUUCUUGUAGCACAUCAACAAGCAAGAGCCCGACUACACAUCCAAAGUGCCAAUCCCUUGGGGAGCUGUGCUGAGGUCCGAGGAUCCUUCUCCACAGAAAUCUUUGCCCGAACAUAGUUUUGGCACGCCCGGUGGGAUUCGAAUACUAGUCUUGUAUGCCAAGAAGAAGGAAGAAGGAGAAAACCUUCAAGUGGAACACAGAAUACGAGCUACCCCGGUGUCUACCAAGAUCAAUCAUGACAGCUCAUCCAAAAGAUUUCCCUUCCCUACGAGGGCUAGCUAUUUUAGACAGCUCGACUUCACCUGAGAAGUCAGGGAGGAAGGUGACCAAUGAAGACUUGCAAGCCACCAUGAUGCAAGUAUUGAAAACUAUGGAAAAUAUCACUUUGGAAAUCGGAGGAGAAGUGAGUAGACUUUGUUCUUUAACAGGGAGUCUACAAAGAAGAUUAGAUCUGGAGUACUUUACUCCAAAUAAUGGUCAUUUCAUGGAAAUGGUGAAAGAAGCAAACCCUGAAAGAGAACCAGUUAUCCCCCUAUUUCCUUUACUGGAGGAAAAAAAGGAUGAAGGAAAAAACAAUGAGGGAUUUAGAGUUAGUGAACCAGUAGUGGAGGAAAUCCUAUAAGCAAAGUUGCAUGACCCCUUAUUAUUUUCACUAGAUAGUAGAGGCAGAACGAGAAAGACAGAAAGAAGUAUGGGAUGCCCUAUGUAAUCGGAGAGUCCAGUGGGAAAAAAGAUUUCACAACUGUGGACAAACCUCCUCCUUAUAGGCCACCACCAUUGGCUAAUAAGGGAUGAGAGCCUAGAUGGAGAAAGCCCGAACCAAAAAAGGAAGCUUGCUUGGGCAAUGAUCCUAGCGCGAAGUGGGAAUUUCCUUACACCCCACUUAAUAAUACAACUAACCAACAACUCAGAGAUGAGUUAGCCAAGUUAAGAAGAAUGAUAGUCUACAAUGCUAACCUCAGGCUCGCCCCACUGUUUAGGAUCACCUACCAGAAGCCAUACCCCGAAAAGAUCGAUGAGCAUAAUCCAUUUCCACUCAACUUCAAGAUGCUCGCGUUUCCCACUUUUAGUGGAAAAGAUGGCAGUGUGUCCUCUAGAGAUCAUAUCUUUAAGUUCUCUAAUCACUGCGUGGCAUUCGAAGAUAAUCCUAAUUAUAAGUUAAGAUUGUUUGGGAACUCGUUGGUUGGUCUAGCAUCUCAGUGGUACUCUCUGUUGCUCUCCAAUUCUAUUGCUAAUUGGGGGCAAAUGGAGAUGGUUUUCCAUGAGCAGUUCUAUAGGAUGGAGCUCAAGAUGUCUAUCAAUGACCUAGUAGAGGUGAAGCAAUAUGAACAUAAGUCUACAGAAGACUUCAUGAUGAGGUUUAGAAGGACAAGAAUGAGGUGCCAAUUCCCUAUCAAUCAUGCUUAGAUUAUAUCUAUUGCUCAGAAAGCAUUGAGGUUGCCUUUGAGAAAAAAGUUUUAUGAUGUACAGUUCAAUGAGUUGCAAAAGUUGGUAAUUGCUGCCACAAAGUAUGAAAAGGUAUUGCUUGAAGAACAACAAGUGAAACACUCAUCCAAGGUCCCUCAUUUUUAUAAAAAUAAAGCUGCAAUUCACCAAGUAAAGUUUGAAGGAAGAGAGCCGGAAGGAAGCGAUGAUCAUGGAGAAGAAAAGAUUAAUAUGUGUGCAGCAGAGAUGACUACGCUUUUUAAACCAUCAACAGUAAAGGGUUUAGUUCAUCCAGUCAAAGAUCAGAAGAUAGUAAUGAAUGAUGGUGGAUUUGUCCCUAUGAACCCCCCUAAGUAACAGAAUUAUUAUUUUGAUUUAACCAAUGCCUCAUAAAUCUAUGAAGAGUUAGUGCGGGCAAGAGUAAUUGUGCCUAAUAGCACCAAGAAGAUGCCAAAGCCAGAAGAAUUAAGAGGAAAUAAAUAUUGCAAAUUACACUACACCUUUAACCAUUCCAUAACCAACCGUGUCCAGUUUAGGGAUUAAAUACACGACCUCAUAGUAAAAGGAAAGUUGUUAUUGGAGAAAUCGCAAGCCAAUAUGAUGAUUGACACAUAUCCCUUCCUAGAAGCUCUAAUAAACAUGAUCAACCUGACUUGGGCUGAGAAAGGGAAGGGAAAAGCCACUUGGGAAGUAAAAGCAGAAAUAAGGCAAGUUGAUAGACCGACAGAAUGAACUAUCAAGUUGUUCGAGAAACCCAAAACAGCCAUAAUUAAAGGGCUGGUAUUAUGUAGCAAGUGCCAGUAUGAAUGUGAGCUAGAGGUGCCAGCAUCAGGAGCCAUUAUUGAUCAAGAAUUGAUUAAAAGAAAAGAGAAAGAAAAACAAGAAGCCCACAGAAGCAUCAUGCGAGCAGUUGAGAAAGAAACCUCCAGGAAUGUCUUCUAAAAGUUAGGAGGGGAUUCUCAACCAAAGGGCUUGUCAGAGGUAUUCAGAAAUUGCGAAGCCUCUGAAGAAGUAGAAGACAAAGAAAGCUAAAAUACCAAAAUGGGUGGUGAAGGUUUAGCCUUCCCAGCCUAGAUAUGAAGAUAGUGAUGUCGGGAUGAAGGGAAGAACAAAUAGUGUAAUAUCCACAUUCACCAAGAAGGAUUCUACUCGACUCGGGGGGAAAUGGUAUGUAGUUAGGAAGGAUGGAAGACCUAUCAAGGAAAUGGGAGCCUCUAUGAUUAGGAGAGUCCAGAGAUAGCACAAAGCUCAUAUGAACUCACUCAAAGUCCCUGCUACAUCAGAAACCUCUGAAAAUGAGAAAUUCGAGAAGGUACGUCAUGCGGAAGAAAUCAACUUCACUAGAGAAGUGAAAAACAGGUAGAAAGAGCUAAUAGCAAGACUAAAGAAGAGGGAGAUCAUGUGCCACAAAGCCCUCAUCCAGGAAAGUACAGAAUCUUGAUGAGGGCUCAAAAGGAUAUGGUGAUGAUGCUAACCCCAAGAUGAAACCCAAAACCAAUAUGCUUUGGAACUAUCUCGCCUGAUAGAGGGUUGCACACACCUUUUUUGGUUAAUACUCUAUUUGAAAACCUGGAGCAAGUAUAGGACUUUGGAAUAACCUGAGAAGAAAAGUUGCUCGAGUUAAUGAUACCACAAAAAGCACAAGUUUGGUUAGAUGAAUUCAUGGACCACAUUAGGGGCAAAAAUGAGGAUGUACCUGAACCUAGCAACUUCCAUGUAAACAUGACAUAUGUUCUAUCUACUAUGUUUUACGUCGAGCCUGAUCAACCUGCCGCAAUGGAGGGUGAUUACUUGGCAACAGAACCUAUGAUGGCAUGAAAAGAGGAAUCCAGCCAGACAGGUUUGCCCGAGCAAAUAAGGAAGGAGCCCGAGAGAGUGUAUUUUGACAGAAUGGUCUUUAGCCACCCGAAUAUGGUCUUAGCUAACCAUUUUAAGCCCAUAUAUGUAACUGCUCAUUUGGAGGGAGUACCCUUUAAGAGGGUUUUGAUUGAUGGAUGAAAUGCGGUCAAUAUAAUACCAUUGAAGCAUAUGAAGAAGUUUGGGAGAAGUGAAGAAGAUCUCAUUCCUACGGUUUUAACAGUCUCUAGCUUUUCUAGAGCUAUCACCAAAACACAUGGAAUACUACCAUUAGAAGUUGACUUGGGGUCCAAGCAAAUCAUGCUAGCUUUCUUUAUAGUAGAUGGUACUUCCAUUUAUGGAGCUUUGCUUAGUAGAGAUUGGAUUCAUCAGAGUCUCUCUGUACCAUCUACAUUACACCAACAGAUUGCAGUUUACCAUGAAGCCAAGACUGGAAAACCAAGAUUUUGGGAGAUAGUGGAGGCCGAGACACGGCCAUUCCCCUCUCUCACAGUUAAUGUUGCAGAAGUUAGCUUUUGCAAUCCUAGUAUUGGGAUUCUCCAGUGCUUAGGAGCUGAUGAGAACGGCCGCCCGACUCAGGUGAUGGCCCAAAAGCUUUUGGAGCAAGGAUUGUUCUUCACAAGAGAUGAGUGAGAUGGACCCUAUAUUAUCCCAACUCCCUAACACCAGUAAUGUCGAAACAAAGAAGAAAUGACCAAGUAAUUGCAGUUAGGUUUUUAAUCAAAAGACUGUUAGUGUAUGGGAGAGAGAGAAAGCAAGAAAGAGAGAGCUUGACCGAGGAGCAAGAGGAAGAAGCUUCAAGCAACCAGAACAGAGAUAAAGAAGAGUUUUUUGGAAAUGAGUUGGAAGCAGCCAUACAAAUGGUUGAAUGUAUAUAUGACUUGGAUGGGCCAGAAGACUUGCCCGAGAGUCCAGAGUUAGUUGAAUUUUUGUGUGCAAGACCUUACAAGCCACCACCAGAGGUUCAAGACCAUUUGGAGACCAUUGAUUUAGGGACUAAACAGAUCAGUAGCUUGUUAGAAGUUGAAGAUCGGGCAAGAAUAGUCAGCCUGCUGCGCGAGUUCAAAGAUUUUUUUGCUUGGUAUUACACUGAGAUGCCAGGUUUAGAUUCAACCUUAGUAGAGCACAGAAUGCCUAUUAAGGAGGGGUGUAAACCUGUGAAGCAAGCAUCACGAAGGAUGUCAAAAGAGAUUGAAGAAAAAGUCAAGGAAGAGAUUUAAAGGCUAGUAAAUGCUGGAUUUAUUAGGCCUAUCAAAUAUGUCAAGUGGUUGACAACAUUGUACCUGUAUUAAAAGCUAUAACUAAUGUAGUUUGAUGUUGUGUUGACUAUAGAAACAUUAAUGGAGCCACGCCUAAAGAUGAAUACCCCAUGCCCAUAGCUGAUUUAUCCAUAGAUGCAGUUGCAAAACAUAAAGUUUUAUCUUUCAUGAAUGGGAAUGCCGGUUAUAAUCAGAUAAAAAUGGUAAAAGAAGAUAUACAUAAAACAGCUAUUAGGUGCCCAGGACAUGUUGGAGCAUAUAAGUACUUAGUCAUGCCAUUCGGGCUAAAAAAUGAUGGUUCAACCUAUCAAAGAGCAAUGAACACCAUUUUUCAUUACUUGAUUGGCAAUAGCAUGGAGGUGUACAUUGAUGACAUCGUGGUGAAAUCUAAAAUUAAAGAACAGCACCUAGUAGACCUCAGACAAGCCUUAACAAGAAUGAGGAUCCAUAAGCUAAAAAUGAAUCCUAAGAAAUGUGCUUUUGGGGUGAGGUCGGGCAACUUUUUGGGUUUCCUUGUUCAUCAAAGAAGGGUGGAAGUCGAAAAAAAUAAAGCUCGGGCAAUAAUGGAAUCACCACCUUCCACCAACAAAGUACAACUACAGAGGCUACUAGGAAAAAUCAAUUUCUUAAGGAGAUUCAUUGCUAACUUGGUAGGUAAGAUUCAACCGCUAACUCCUCUGUUAAGAUUGAAAGACAAAGAAGAGUUCGAGUGGGGUCCACCAUACCAAGAGGCCUUUGACAGAAUAAAGGCUUAUUUGACUUCUCCACCAGUGCUCAUGCCACCUCAGAGGGAAACCUUUAAAGCUUUAUAUUUCUGCCUCUGAAAAGUCAAUAGGAAGCUUGCUAGCUCAAAACAAUGAAGGUGGGAAGGAACAAGCAAUAUACUGCCUCAAUAGAAUCCUUACUGAGGUAGAAACAAGAUAUACACCAGUGGAAAGGUUAUGUUUGGCUUUAUACUUCACUGCCUGUAAGUUAAGGCAUUACAUGUUACUUUGCCACAUCCACAUUAUUGCCAAGACUGAUGUGAUCAAGCACAUGCUGUCAAAACCAAUGUUAACUUGGAGGAUUGGAAAAUAGAUUCUAGCACUUUCAGAGUUCAGCUUUCAAUAUGUGCCCCAAAGAGCGAUCUAGGGGCAAGCAAUUGCAGACUUUUUGGCUGAGCACCAAGAGUCACAAGAUGAGCUUGUUAACAUCCCAGGAACUUUGGAAGUGGCCAGUGUGUGGAUCCCACCAAGCAAAGCCUUCUCGAGCAAAGAAGAAUGGAUCUAGCAAGAGAUAAAAAGAAUAACUAGCCCCUGAAUCACUAAUUGGAAGCUAUAUUUUAAUGGAUCUUGCACUCAAAAUGCUGAUGGGGCUGAGAUUGUCAUUAUUGAUCCUAAGGGUGCUCACCACUGUUAUUCAUUUCUCUUAGAUUAUCAAGAGACUACCAACAAUUGGGCAGAGUAUGAGGCAUUAAUAAUUGGUUUGGAAAUCUUGAUAGAGUUGGGGGCAACUAAAGUUGAAGUGUUUGGUGAUUAAUUAGCUAAAUAGGGAGUACAAGUGUAGACAUAUUACCAUGACUGGUUAUUACUUGGCGGCCACGUAAUUGUUUAGCUAUUAGGGUGCUGAAAUAAUAGUUAGCCAUAUCCCCAAAAAAUCAAAUGCAAUGGCCAAUGAAAUGUUGUAGUUGCCUUCUGGAACACAGAUCCAAGAAAGAAGAUUCAACGUGGAAGUGGAAGUGCAAAUGAGGAAUCUCCCUUCUAUUUUUUAUAGAGGAUUCAACCUAGAUGUGAUGACUAAGGAGCUCGAGAUGGAAGGUUGAAGAUCACCCACAAUUCAAUACUUGAAAAAUUCUUCUUUCCUCAUAAGUAAGAAGAAUAGGCAGUAAGCAACUAAGUAUGUUAUGUGGGAGGAUAAUUUGUUAAGAAAGUCUCCAGAUGGAUUAUUGUUAAAAUGCUUAGGCUAAGAAAAGUCAAUGAGAGAAAUGGCUGAAGUACAUGAAGGAAUAUGCAGAGCACAUCAAGCUGGUACCAAGAUGAGGUGGUUACUUAGGAGAUAUGGUUAUUUUUGGCCCGACAUGGAAGAAGACUGCAAGGCCUAUGCCCGAGGGUGUGAGGAGUGUCAAAGACAUGGACCUUUCCAACAUGUGCCCUCAGUGCCCUUAAACCCCGUGGUCAACUCUUGGCCCUUCAGAGGAUGGGCAAUGGACUUCAUUGGGAAAAUUUACCCAACUUUUAGCAUGGGGCAUACAAUCAUAAUUGUGGCAAUAGAUUACUUCACUAAGUGGGUAGAAGCUUCAACUGUUAAAACUAUCACCUCAAUUGCAGUGAAAAAGUUCAUUAAAACCAAGAUCUUACAUAGAUAUGGGGUGCCCGAGACAAUUGUCACAGACCGCGGGCCAUCUUUUAUUUCAAAGGAAAUAGAAGAAUUUGCAAGUAAGUUCAAGAUAAAGAUGAUCCAAUCUAGUCUUUACUACCCCCAGUCAAAUGGUCAAGCAGAGGCCAGUAACAAGAUCUUGGUAAACAUUAUUAAAAGAAAGGUGGUAGAUAGUCCAGAGAAGUGGCACGAAAAGUUAGAAGACACUUUGUGGGCUUACAAAACCUGCAAAAGGGUAGGAACUAGAACUAUUCCUUAUGCCUUAACCUUUGGGCAUGAUGUUGUACUCCCCAUGGAGAUUAAUGUAAGUUCUAUUAUAAUUCAAAAUCAGUUUGGGUUGCACAUUGAAGAAUAUAUUCAGGCUAUCUGUCAAGGAGUUGAAGAUCUAGAUGUAGCCCGAAUUGAAGCUCUAAAUAAAAUUCAGGAAAGGAAGAGAGUUGUUGCCUGAGCAUACAAUAAGAAGAUGAUUGAAAAACUUCAAGGAAAAGAAUUAGUUUGGAAAGCAGUUUUGCCCUUAGGAGCUCAAGUGAAAGGCUUUGGGAAAUGGAGUCUUACUUGGGAAAGUCCUUUUAUUAUUCACCAAGCACUGGAUAAGGGAGGAUAUUACUUGGCAGAUUUAGAAGGAAACUUGCUAAGACAUCCAGUUAAUGCUAAGUUUUAGAAGAAAUACCAUCCAACUCUGUGGGAUGUCAGAGAUUGUUAUAUUGAAGAGGGCUAGUGAUUUCAAAGAGAAUUAAAGUUAGAAGGUGUAGUAAAACUUAAAUGUAAGGCAAGGAUUGAAACAAGUAAAGAUAUGGAAAGAUUUCAUUUCAUUUCAUAAUAAGGGAAUUACAGUGGCCUCAACCUAACAAAUUUACUUCACCAAAAGUAAUUAUUCUAGAAUGAUAAGUUUGCAUAACUGUGAAUAUUCUAGUAGGCUCAGCCAAAAUAGUACUGCUAUUGAUUAAUUGAGCCUCAUCAUAUUCCAACUCCGAAUUGUCCUUCUUCACUUCUUCAAUAUGUUGAUAAAGUUUACUUAGAAGAGUUCAUUGCUUAGCCCUUAGCAUAGCUAGUUGCUCAUCUAACUUCCAAAUCUCAAAAGUCACUACCUUAUUCUUCUCAUCUGUUGCUGAAUCUUCAUCUACCAGCUGUUGAAUAUGAGUUGAAAUACUGGAUUGUUUCUCCUUAAAACAUCUCACUCGAUUGGCUUGCCUCUCAGCCCUCUGAUGUUGAUCCCUCAAAACCAUCAAGUUCUCAAAAUAAGAGAUGAAGGAUUCAUACUGAGCUUUGGAUAGUUGAUCAGCCUUAAACAGAUCAGUUAUGGCCUUCUCUACGUCGUGAAGAGCCUUGAGGGUAAAGUAUGCUGAGAAAUCAUUCCUAGACUACUCUUAGAUGACUCGACGUUGCUCUUGAAAGCCUGAAAACCCUUGAGGAUCUCAGCUUUGUCUUGAGUUGCCCGAACUCUUUAAAAAGCUCGGGCAAAGCUGCAAUUGUAGAAAUAGGUGUAGGACAAGAGGGCAGCGCCCCAGUUCCUUCAGAGGGCACAACAAUGGAGGAGGUCUCAACAGAAAGAGGAACCCCAGAAGAUGGAGUAGAGGUAAUAGUGGCGGCAGUAGCUUUAACUUCCAUCUUUGGUCGAGGGAUGAGGGUCCCUGUGACCCCAGAAGCUAAAGGAGGUCGUGGAAGAUCUGAUUUGCUUACCAAGCGUGGAGGAGAUAUGCCUGAGCCAUCUUCAAAGCCCUGUUGGAAACGAAGAAAAACAAAUUAAGAAGAAAGAUUAUAAAUCAGAGCAUACAACAGGAAGGCGAGAAAAGGAAAAUUGAUAUACUUAAGUAGAGCUUGGAACCUUGGAAGAAGGUGGAUGAUGAGUUGUUUCUUUUCACUGUUGAGAGGGAUCAUUCCCACUUCCUUGUGAAUAAGGAAUGAUGCAUGAACCUUCACUAGAGACCUAUAAAUAUCAAAGAAAGAAGGCUAAUGUCAGUAAUUAGCUUAUGAAGAAAAGAAAAUAGAAAUAAGAGUACUUCUAUACCUGAGUAGGAUCUUGAGUGGAAAUAGGGAACUCCUAUGUGGUGGUUGCUGGUUGAAAAGAAGCCCGCAGCUAGUCACCUCUGAGACCACAGUGAUCUUAGGGACUAUGGGGUCCCCAAAGGCAGUAAUUGAUGGUUGUUGAGACUCCUAUGUUGGGGAAGACUAGAAGAAAGUAAAAGAUAAGUAUAAAAGAGAGAGAAUGCUUUAACCACAUAAUGUCAAGACAAAACACUCACCGAAUUGUUGUUGUCUUCCACAAAAUGCAGCAUCUCCCUAGUUAACGGAUCAAACAGGGAAGUAGAAGCCACUACCAAGGGAAGAGAGGUUGAAGGAAUAAAAAGAUGAAAAAGUAAAAGACAAGUAAAAGACAAGUGUUAAGGCUCUGAAAUUGGUGAAGAUACAAGUGUUAAGGCUAGAAAAAGUAAAAGACAAGUGUUAAGGCUCUGAAAUUGGUGAAGAUACAAGUUUAAAAAGAUGAAAAAGGACAUACUUUUGAAGGCUGAGCCCGAGAUGGGGAAGCAUGUGUUGGUCGGGCAGGAAGAGAAUAAGCUUCAGGCUGAAUGGACCUUCAUCUCUAAGGUCCUAUUUAAAAAUACAAGUAAAAAGUCAGUGCAAAUAUUGAGAGAAUGAAGAGGAAUUGAGUACUUAAAAUAAAUCAAACAUUUACCUCUAAUUCUUUGAGAGUAGCAUCAAGAACAGGCUUGUCUUUUUUAUAUACCUUCGCUCCCAACGGCUCCUCCCUUGAGACAAUAGUGGGUUUCUUGGUCUCUUCAUCUUGCCCGACGUCUAUCUCUGCAGGGUUGCCUUGGGCUGCAAGUGUAAAGAAACCAAGGAAAGGAUUAGAAGAGGGCAGAUUCAUGAAAAUUUAAUAAAUUACAAGUUAAAGAAGUAAAAGGUACCUAUCAGAAGGAGUUGGUUCUUCUGAUGAAUCAUUUCCUUCCAAUUCUCGAGCUCGCUCGAUUUAGGAUAGAAUUUGAUGGAUAGUUGCUUGAAGAGACAGUCAUGAGCUUCCCAUAUAUCUCUGCCAUACUUCUUAGUCCAUUUUGAUUCCCACUAAGUAGCAAAGCUUGAAGUACAUUCAAAAUUGAAAGCCAUAGGCUUUUUGGCAAUUUUGCUCAUAACCUUAAGACUUCAUUGGGCAGCUCGGAAUGUAACCUCUUGUGGGGGGUGUAGGUGAUAUGAGGUGCUGCAGUGAAUAAAAUCGAAAAAGGGUACAGGGAUGGUUUGCCUGAAGCCUAAUUGCCUGCUGCAGAAGUUUGGAUGAUAAACUUCUAGCCCGUGCUCGUAACGAUCACUUCUUACUCUCCAUGCAAGGUCAUUUGGUUGAAUGUAGCUAAUAAACUUAUCUCUGCAGAAAGUACUACCGUCAUCCCCAAAGGCAUCUUGGAAAGCUUGGUUGAAGAACCAAAGAUAUCUCCAUAGAACCGAUGUUCCUCACUCUAAAUCUGCCCGAGUCUUGCAGACACUAAAGAAGUACAGACAACAAAAGGUAGAAUGGUUGGUAGGAGAAGCCUCCGCCAGGAUUCGGGCAGAAGCAACACCCUUAGGGAAUUCAAGAUUGGGUGCCCGAAGCUCGGGGAAGUACUAUUGUAGCCAUAGCUGGAUCAUCCAGGUUGCCCCAUUGAGGUUGGUCUAGAAGGGGAUGCCUUGGGUCAUCUCAUACAAAAGAUAGUAAAGAUGAGCGAGGAGGAAGGGACUCGUAGCCACAUCAUCAAAAUUGUGCAGAGCUUCCACUAAAGGGAUUCGUUCGACUUUCACUGCCUUAGACUUGUUGAGGAAGACAUGCUUAUUAAGCCAGUAUAGUAGAAAAUACAUGUGAUCUUGGUCUCUGUUGGCGUUGGAAGAUGAAGGGCCAAAUUCCUUUUUCACAAAUGGAAUAAAACCCGUGAAAGAUGUCUCAUAACUCUUGAAAGUAGAAGAGUUAUAGUCUAGUUGGGCUAGGGGACUAAAGCUGCCUGAGCUCUCAGCCCGAAGACCUGCGCCAUAUCAAGGAUGGUUGAGGACAUAGGACCUAUCUUGAAAUCAAAAGUAUUUGUCCCCGAGUUCCAAAAGAGGAGAUAUGUGGUUAACAGCUCGGGCUUAGCAAUUAUCAUGGUCUUGGAGAGCAUUAUCAGCUUAUAGAUGUCACUGUUCCUCCAUUUUCUCUUGAAAGUAGGGUCGAGUUCAUUUACCCACCGCACCCAAGCUUCAUCAUUCAUCAAGGGGAAGCCACGAUGGUGGUGUGACCAUUUGGAGGAAGAAAUGCCCGACUCGGCCAAGAAUGGGUUAGGAGUGAACCAAUUUGCCUUGGGCAUGUUGUUUUCCACGACUACAGGGACUGGGGAGGUCCAUGCAUGCCCUAAGGAGUGUGCUCCUCCCUCCUCGAAGAAAAGUUCAGUAUGCAGGCCUGCCUAAGGACAAUGAAAGUCGUUAAGCAAGCGACGCAUGGUGGAAAUCCCCUCACCAGUCUCGUAGGAAGAUUAAGUUCGAACAACUUUGGGUGCCAUUGGUAAUUUUGAGAAAAAGAUAGGAAGAAAGUUGGAACUAGGAGCAAGAAUCUAGAAAACAGGAAGUACGGGGGAAUCUGGGAAGUGCUGGAAAUUCGAAGGCUUGAGAAUGCUAAGGUACUUAGCUGAAGGGUUUAAGUGAGCAUUAUAUAGUAAUCGAUUAGUUAAUGUUGGAAAACGUGGUUUAGUGCAAGGGUUUUGUUAAACAACGGCUGUCUUAAAUGGUGCAAGUCUCAAGUGAAGGCAUGCGGCGGUGGUUUAAUCAUUAUUAACGCCUCGAUUUGCAGACUCAACAACGAUUAAAAGGGGCACUAUUUGGGUUAGUAUUUAAACAUUAGGCUUAAGUGAAAGAAAGCCCAAUGAUGCCAAUUGAAAGGGGGAAUUGCCCAAAGCCCAGCAUUAAACCCAUAAGAAAAUUGAGGUUUUCUCAUCCAUGAGUCAUAAACCACGUGUCUAUAAGUAAAGUGACAAGUGAUGGAGAUUAACCUACUAUCAGCCCAAGAACACUUGCCAGUGGCAUUACAAGUAAGAAAGCUGAUGACUCACUACCCUCCAAAUGUUUUUGGGCAAGAGCAAAAAUUACAGCAGUGGGGCUAGUUUGGCCAUAAAAGGAAGAAGAGACCCUAGAGACAAAGACACUCAACCAAUCAAACAAACAAACAUACCAACUCUGCUCUCAAGCCAGAUUUGCGUCAAAAAGCUAAACUCAACCCAGAUUCAGUCUUUUUAAGGAUAGUUCCCUACAAAAGACAUCUUUUGUAUAGUCUAAAAGCUCUGCUACCUCCCUUAGUGGCGUAGUAUCGAUUCCCUUAUAUAAACUUGUUUACCAUCCAUCCUUUUUUAAGCAUAUAACUCUUGUAAACUCAAAGAAAAGUUACUGUAAGAAGUUCAACCUUGCCAGACAAGGUGAAAUCUUGCCUGAAGCUCUUUGUUUAUUUUCUAAAUUAGUAGAUCUAUUGCUUAAUGCAUUUUCCAUUAUGUAUUCAAGUUAUUUCCACCUGUUUUUCUAUUUUAAGAAGUUCAUUUGCAUCUGGAUCUGGUUCGCUUAAAUGAAUAUGCUUUCAUUAGAUAUAAUCUAGAACCAAACAAGUAACUUAAGGAGAUCUGGACUCCCUUCAUUUUGAACAUACAAGACUAUGAACUAAAAGUCCUUGUUUACAAGGUAAGAAAAAGAACUUAAUGUGGACUUAACCCAUCCACGACAAUCCUUUGAUAAUAAGAAGUUUGAAGUAACUUGAGGCGCAAGUAAUCUACUUAAAACACAUGUGCUCUACAUAUGUUAUACUGAGAUAGCAGUGGCACGCCUAGCACUUAGUUUUGAUUGCGAGCCUCAAGGCCUAUACCUAAGGCCCCACAAAGGCACUUUUUAGAACUAACUUUGUUCUCUUCUUGUAGCACAUCAACAAGCAAGAGCUCGACUACACAUCCAAAGAAUCAAUCCCUUGGGGAGCUGUGCUAAGGUUUGAGGAUCCUUCUCCAAAGAAAUCUUUGCCCAAACAAAUAUUAGUUAACUUCAGGAAAUGACAGUCUAAUUUACGGAACUAUCUUUUGCAGGCAAAACAAAAACGUUUGGGGCCACGUGAGUUACGUAGGAUUGGUGUUUAGCUUGGUUUACUCCGGGAUUAUAUUUCCUGAGUAGGUAGAAAGAACUCUUUCCUUGACUGGGAUAAGUUGCAAGAUAUUGCUAUUGGCAUUACCAAAGGAAACAAGGAUGUGAUCAACGAAUCCUUCAUUUUGAUAUCAAACCAUAAUGUUUUGCUCGAAUAAAACUUCACGCCAAAAAUCUCUGAUUUUGGUCUGGCCAAGUUAUGUUGCAAGGAUCAAAUCAGUGUCAAUAGCUACAGUGAGGGAGACCAUAGGGUGCAUUGCACCCAAAAUGUUUUCCAGGAAACUGUGUUUUACAAGGCAUAUGUCUAUAAUUUUGGAAUGCUGCUGCUUGAGAUUAUAGAAGGAAAGAAGAAUAAUGGUUCAACAAUAAAGGACACGACAAAUGAAAUUUACUAUCCAAAAUGGAUUCAUAAUCUUCUAGAAGAAGGAGAUGACCAACAAAUCGAUAUUCAGGAAGAAGGGAGUGUUAAGAUUCCAAAGCAACUUCCAAUUUUAGGGCUCUAGUGCAUCUAGUGACAUUCGGUGAGUUGUCCUUUCAUGAAAACGAUGGUCCAGAUGUUAGGAGGAGAAAACUUGACGAUGCAAGCAUCGCUAAAAGGCUCCUACAGUUAAUAGCAAUUGCUGAAUUAGAGUCACAUGUAUAUGUAUAGGCACCAACACUAGUAGUUCUUAGAUGAAUCCAAGCCUAAACAAUUACAGAUGACAGUUCUUCACUAAAUCACUUUAAAGUAAUAAUUUAAUUAAUAAUACAUUAUUGCACUUUCUCAACAAUUUGAUCAUCACCUAGCUGACAAUGAACAUGUUAGCUCCACGUUAGAACAUAUUGGAUUCGAUUUAUUGUCUUGAAUGUCACCCAUAGUCACAGGUGUUUCUUGUGGGCAUAGAGAAGGCCUGAGAGGCAUUUGCAAACAUUCACCAUCUCCUCCAAGCAUUUUGACAACUUUGGACAUCGAAGGGCGAUCACUUGGUUUCAUUUGAAUACACCACAAGGCGAUUAUAACCAUCUUUCUUAUUACUUUCUUUUCCUCCUCUGUAACAUUGUCCAUUUCCAAGUCAUUUCCCACAAUAUACUGAUCAUAUACCCACAUUGGGAAGUACAUUUGGCUUGGAUGCUCUACCGUUGAAUUCCAAUUCUUCCUUCUGCUUGCCAUUUCCAUCAACAACAUUCCAAAACUAUAGACAUCUGCCUUGUAUGAGACGCCUCCAAUAUUUUUGUAGAACAACUCAGGAGCAAUAUAUCCCAGUGUACCUCGUGCUGCCGUCAAAGAGACAAUGCUAUUAUCUACGGGAUACAAUUUUGCAAGCCCGAAGUCAGAAACCUUUGCUUUAAAGUUCUCAUCAAGAAGAAUGUUAUGAGGCUUGAUGUCAAAAUGUAGAAUUUGCAUGUCACACCCUUGAUGUAGAUAUUCAAUCCCUUGAGCCACUCCAAGAGAAAUCUCAUACAUGUUCUUGAUACUUAAGGAGAUACUUCCUUCUUUGGAAUAAAUGUAUUUAUCAAGAGAGCCAUUGGGCAUAAAAUCAUAUACUAAAGCACGCUUUGAUCCCUCGACACAAUAACCAACAAGUUGCACCACAUUAGCAUGGUGAAUCCUUCCGAUUGUAGUUAUUUCACUAAUGAAAUCUUGGCCAUUUGCUUUGGGCUUGCUCAAAACUUUAAUUGCUACAAAACGGCCACUACGUAACUUUCCUUUAAAUACGGAGCCAAAGCCGCCUUCACCCAACUUAUCAUUAAACUUGCAAGUCAUCUUCUUAAUUUCGGAGUAAGAGUACCUUAUAGGCAUGAAGUUGUUAUUGCAUUGCAGAAAGUCUUCUAUUGUACUAUACAUUGACAAAUGUCUUCUGCGCCAUAUAUAUACUAAAAAUGCAGUCACAACUGGAACCCCAAACAGUAGUCUUGCUGGAAAAAAUGACCCUGCAUAAGAAAUAUAUCACCAAAAGAAUCAUAAGAACAAAAACUUAUUUUUCAAAUCCACACUAUAAACUUUUUUCUUCUUUUGAGGUAAGCUUCAGAUCAAGCCACUCUUUAAUGAAUGAGAUAUAAAUUAACACUUACAAAAAAAUCUUUUGAUAAAUUAAACAAGUUCCGAGUCCCCAAAUCACCUCCACCACCCUUCCCCUCCCGCAUUGGCCGACUCCCUUCUCGGAUAGCUACACCGGCCACCCCACCCCACAACCAACCAUUCAUCCUUCCCUCAAGUCUCUCUUUCCCUUUCUCUUUCUUUCUUAUUGUUUCUUCCUCUUUUUAUUGCCCUCCUGUCUUAUGCCGGAGAAGGACACAAGGGACACCGGCAACCUCACAAGCUCUUAAAUCUGAGGUGGGUGACGGCAAAUUUGAAGGUGUCGCAGACCACCCUCAGGUUCAAUAUCAGAAGAGUAAUGCUAAGGAGAUUAAAAUUUUUAAACCAAAUGAUAUGUCAUAAAUAAGAAACACGCACAUUAAUCGAUACUUAAUUACUAAUCUAAUCAUCUUCAAUCAUAUCAUUUAGUUUGCAAAUUUAAUUUAAAAAUUUGGUUUCCUUAACAUUACUCAUAAUCAGAAUGAGAGUGGUAGAGAGCGAGAGGGAAGAGGAGAAAGAAAAAGAAAAGUUAAAACAUUCAAAGAGUAUCGAGUAGUACUGAUAACCCAUGAAUUUUGUUUGAUUUCAGUCAUGAGGUUGGAAUCUAUGCUAAAAAUGGACACGCACGCCCAUGCAUGCACACGCAUAAAUAUAUACAUUAAUUCUUACCGAUGACCAUGAGUAUAGCCGCUCCACGCGCUGCAAUAAAAAUAGCAAAAAGUAAAAAUCAAAUGGAAACGGCUCAAAGUUUGAAAAGUGAAUAAAAAUCAAAGACUUGACUAUAUUUUCAAGAAAUACAAGCUCUUGGGGGAGAAAGUCCCUACAAAUGGAAUUGAAUGGUAACCAUCGAGGAGCGUUUCCUGAAAUAAAUACCACACAAAAUUCAUCAACGAUAAAAUACUAGACUAUCUUUGAGAUGUGCAUAUAAUGUACCACAGUGACUAUUAAAAUAAAUUAGCAUUGAUUUGAGGGAGAAAGUCCUUACGAAAAUAAUAUACGGGUUCACGCAUAUAAUAACCUAGAGUGACAAAACAAUACACAAUUAGCAAUACCACAACGAAUCUUUAGAGUUUAAAAUCAACAAGUUUUGUAACAUAUCUUUUCAAGCAACAAUCGUAAACAUUGAAUUUGAAAGAGACUAGAAAGAUGCUUUUCUUUUCUUUUUGUUUGUUUGUUUUGUUUUGUUUUGGAGAGGGAUCACUUACGGAAUUGAUUCCACAGGAAUCGAAAUAAACCUACAGUAUAACAAGAAAACAACAUUAGCAUAACAACAGUUAGAAAAUAAAAUUCAAGUUGCUGCCAUUGUUGAUACCUGUAUAGCAUAUGAUAAAGCAACAUUUAAUUCAUUUGUCAUGCAAUUGAUAGCGGAACUAAGAUAUGGUUUUGGGAAAGGUCAUGACCCCCCACCCCCCACAACAACCCCAAACUCUUUAAUUUAGAUAAUAUCAUUUGUUCAAAAAAAUAAUCAUCAAUAUUUUAACAAACUCAAUGCCACAAUGAUGGAGAAGAGUGCUGCCCUUGCACCAUGGUGUGAAUUCGAACCGCAUCGGCUCCUAAUCUAACAAACCUAUUGUUUGACAAAAAAAAAAGAAGGGAAAACUAAAGAAAAGUCAUCAAAAACUUUAGUUUUAAUAAAAAUGAUAAAAUAAAGGCGUAAGUAAAUAGUACCAAAAGUGACUUUUCAAGGUAAAAAUGUCCUUAACUUUAAAAGUGAAUAGUACCGAAAAUGUUUCAUUAAGAUUUCCAAAAAAAAAUUAUUAUUUAAACCAUCCCCAUAUUUCUCGUCCUUCACAUCUUUCUCUCUCAAAUUAAUAAUUUUUUUAUAUGUUUAGCAAUCUCUUAACUUCUCUCCUCUUCUUUAAAACUAGAGUAACUAUUCACAAAACUAAACUAAAAAGUGCGCUAUGGAGUUUCUUGGAGCUUGAUUUUCUUAGUUUGACUCUUUAAACUAGCAUUCCAACAUAUUUAAAGAGUCUCAUGGAGAGCUGCAAAGACAAUAAAGGAUGCAACUAAAACGAUGGGUUUAUAAGCUUUAGUUUUUCAUACACCACACUAAAAAUUUCUAUUGAAGCCAUAUCGCUUUGGAUAAUACUUGCAUUCCUCUUUUGGGGAAUGAGCUCAUUCCUCCACUUACAAAUUAAUAUAUCUUUAUAGUAGAAAUUUCAUAAUUGGAACUAUUCAAUCUCCUAGUCUUCAUAUGAAAAUCAUACCUACAAAAAAUAAUUCGAAUCGGAGAUCGUUUAGUCAUCCAAAUGUAUCAAAUAAAUUAAUGGUGUAGGUACCAAGAAGCAUAAUCAUGAUGAAACGUUGAUUUCUUUGAUAGAUUUAGAUAACUAAGUGAUCUCCAACUUGAAUGAUAUUUUAUAGAGUUGAUCUUCAAUUGAAGACUAAGACAUUGAACGAUUCCAAUUAUAAAAUUUUUACAUUAAAUAUACGUUAUUUGUAAGUGGGGAUAUGAGUUCAACCCCACAAGGGGGAAUGCAAACAUUCUCAUGGCUUGAUUACUAUAGUCUAAAGUUGGAUUUCCAAUGGCAUUGUUCAUCUUUCCCCUGAUUUUGAAAAUUCACGGUUUUGGCACUGAACUCUUUCUUUGGGUGGUUCUGCGCCAAAAAGAAUGGGUUUCGGCUCUGCGUCUGGGCCCGAAGUGGGCUGCCCUGUGUGUUGGGCUGGGUUGCACGGAAAGAGUCGAAAUGACUCUUUUUCCCGCUUCAAUCCAAAUCCAACGGACAGGAUCUGGGGGCACUUUUUAUUUGGUAAAAUAUAUUUUCAUUUCACACUUUAAUAAAGUUACAGUUUAGGUAUACAUAUACAACAAACUAACAUAGUAUCUUAACCACUAAGCUAACAGCUAAGAAGAUACAUUUACAAUAUUGCCCUUUAUAUCCCCCCGCAAACUGAACUUAGGUUGUCGAAGUUGAAGUUUGUCAUGAAGGAAGAGGAAACGAAGCUUGGACAGAGACUUGGUGCAGAUAUCGGCUACUUGGUCUUGAGUGCAGACAAAAUGGACAGAGAUCUGCUUGGCAAAGACCUUUUCCCUAAUGUAAUGAUAGUCGAUUUCUACAUGCUUUGUCCGAGCAUGAAAGACAGGAUUUUUUGCUCGAGAUAUAGCAGAAAUAUUGUCACACCAAAGAUGAGGGGUGGUAGGUAAGCAGUAGCCAAUAUCCGAUAGUAAUUGACAGAGCCAGGUGAUUUCAGAUGCAGUAUUAGCAAGAGAGCGGUACUCUGCUUCGGUGGAAGAGCGAGCAACAGUCGGUUGCUUCUUAGCACUCCAGCUAAUCAAAGAGUUACCAAAAUAGACACAGUAACCUCCAGUGGACCGGCGGUCAAGAGCACAGCCAGCCCAAUCAGCGUCCGAGAAGGCAGUGAGAGUAGGAGGAGUGGAACACUUGGAGAACCAGAUACCAAUAUCAAGAGAUCCCUUGAGGUAUCUUAGAAUACGCUUUACAGCUUGAAGAUGUGAAAGUUUGGGAGUGUGCAUAUAUUGGCAUACAAGAUUAACUGCAAAACUGAGAUCAGGACGAGUCCAGGUGAGAUAUUGUAGAGCACCAACCAGGGAACGAUACUCAGAAGCAUUGUCACAUAAGGGAGAAUCAUGAUCAAGUUUGGAGGUGCUGAGAGGAGUACUGCAAGGUUUGGCACCAGUCAUGUUGGCCUUGGAUAACAAAUCCAAUAUGUAUUUAGUCUGAGAUAGAAAGAUACCAGCAGAAGAUCUUUUGACUUCAAGACCAAGAAAGUAGUGCAGCGGACCCAAAUCCUUGAUGGGAAACAGGGAACUCAGUUGCUGAAUAACUUGGUUACAGGCAUCAGAGUUUGGACCAGUAACUAAAAUGUCGUCGACAUAAACCAGAAUGAAAAUCAUAGCUGAACCCUUUUUGAUAAAUAAGGAAUGGUCGCUGGGAGAGCCAACAAAACCGAGAGAAGUGAGAGCACCAUGAAGCUUGUCAUACCAAGCCCGCGGAGCUUGUUUUAAACCAUACAACGAACGAUGCAAGUGACAGACAUGAGAUGGGUGAGCUGAAUCUUCAAAUCCAGGAGGUUGCUGCAUAAAAACUGAUUCAUUGAGUGUCCUAUGUAAGAAAGCAUUGCUGACAUCUAGUUGAUUCAAGAACCAAUCGAACUGGACCGCAAGAGUGAGGAUGAGGCGAAUGGUGACUGGCUUGGCUACCAGACUGAAGGUUUCGGUAUAAUCUAAACCUUCCUGCUGAUUGAAGCCCUUGGCAACGAGCCGAGCUUUGUACCGGUCUAUAGUACCAUCGGGCUUACGUUUGAUGCGGAAGACCCAUUUACAGCCAACAAUAUUCUGUGAGGGAGACGGGGGAACAAGAGACCAAGUUCCAGUUUUGAUGAGAGCAGUAACCUCUUCUUGCAUAGCUUGGGACCAAUGAGGAUAUUUGGAAGCUUGGAGAUAGGUUUUAGGGAUGUAAUCCACUGAGAGAUGAGAGGGAAAAGGGUGCUUAGUAGCAGUGAGAGCUUUGGGUUUGAAAACACCAGAUUUGGACCGGGUUUGCAUCGGAUGGGUGUUAGAAGGUUGAAGAGAAGUGGAAGGAACGAAAUCUGGAAUAGGCAGUACAUGACUGAAGGGAAUAGGUGUGGAAGGAUUAUGGGAGAAGGGGGAUGGGGAAAUGGAAGGGGAACGAGGGAAAGAGGGGGGAAUACUAGAGGAAGAAGAAAGAGGAAAAGUAAAAGUAAGGGUUGAUGGAAGAGAUGAGGUAGACCUAGGAGGCAGGGAUGAAGGUGGUAUGUUGGAGAUAUGAUGGAAUGGAAAACUGGAUUCAUUGAAGAUGACAUGUCGGGAAAUAUAUACUCGGUGAGUUGCAGGGUCAAGACAUCUAUAGCCAUUGUGAUUUAAACUGUAUCCAAGAAAGACACAGGCUCUGCUUUUAGGAUCCAGCUUCAAGGAAGUAUAAGGCUUAAGCCAGGGGAAGCAAGCACAACCAAAAACCUUGAGAAGGUCAUAAUUCGGAGCUCGAUGAUAUAGAGAUUCCCAAGGAGACUGUCUGGAUGCAGUAGGCAAUCGGUUGAUAAGAUAGAUGGCAGUGUUGAAAGCCUCCACCCAAUAGAUGUGGGGUACUUUGGAAGCUGUCAAAAGAGUGCGAGCAGUUUCAACCAAGUGACGAUGCUUGCGCUCGGCACACCCAUUUUGUUCGGGUGUGUGGGGGCAGGUAAGUUGAUGAUGAAUGCCAUGAGUAGCCAAAAAUUGAGAGAAACUAGUGCUCAAGUACUCUCCUCCGGAAUCAGAUCUCCAAAGUAAUAAUUUUUGUACACAGAGAAUUUUCAACCAGAGAUUUGUAUUCCAUAAAAGUGGACAGUACAUCAGAUUUGCAUUUCAAAGGAUAAAACCAGGAGUACCUAGUAAAGUCAUCCACAAAAAUGAUGUAAUACCGAAAACCUUGAGAAGAAGCUUGAAGAGAGGGUCCCCAAACAUCCAUGUGGACAAGUUCUAGAGGUUUGCGAGUUGUACAAAAAGUGGAUACAAAAGGAAGCUUGGAGCUUUUAGCCAAUGCACAAUAUGAGCAGAAUGACUUAGUUACAUGAGCUAAAACAGGAAUACAAGAUUGAGAAGCAAGUUUAUGAAGAAUCUUGACAGAUGGGUGACCCAAUCUUUGAUGCCAAACAUCCGUAGAAGCUUUAGCAGUGGUGGUGAGAGCCUUAUGAUUGCCAGUUGCAGAUUAGGAAAAAUGGAAAGGAUAGAACCCUUGCUGAACAGGUCCUUUAAAACACAUCCUCCCCGAAGAAAGAUCAUUCACAGUGAAGUGAGAGGGAUAAAGAUGCAAUGAACAGUGAUUAUCAAGUAAAAAUUGAUUUGCAGAGAGAAGGUUAUGUUUCAAAGCAGGCACAUAAAGAACUUUAUUGAGAUUGAAAGCACUAGUAGAAGUAUGCAAAGUAGUAGAACCAGAAUGAGUGAUAGGCAAACCUUUGCCUUCACCAAUAUACACUUGUUCUGGACCUGUGUAUGCUUCAGGAUUUUGCAGAGUGGAAUAGGAGUUGGUCAUGUGGGAUGUUGCUCCAGAAUCGACAAUCCAAGUAGGAUUGGAUGAAGAAGCAGUAGCAACCAUCGCUGCAGGAGAGGAUUUUCCACCAUAAGCCAGAUUGAGGCGAUGAGGACAAUCACAUGCUUCAUGAUCAAGUUGAUGACAAAUCUGACAGGGAUGUUUCUUGGUGUAGGAAGAAAAAUUGUUGCGACCUCCACGAUUAGAACGUGAAUUAUUACCACGAUUAGGAAAAGAUCUCGGAUUGUUAGAGGAUCGGUAAUUGCCACGAUUCAAAGGACCGCGAUUAUGAGAGCGAUCCACUCCACGACUUGGAUGACUGAAGUUAGAAGGAGAAUGAGCCACAAAAGCCUGAGAGUUAAGACUGGAUACAGGAAGAGGAAGAAUGCCAGCAGAGGUGUGAAGAGCCUGAAAAGAGGACAUCUCAGAGAUACUUUUCUUGCGAGUGGCUAAUUGAAUCUCCUUGCUAAGAAGCAAGCCAUGUAAUUCAUCAAUUGUUGUAGAUCCGAGACGAAAUUGAAUAGCAUCAACAAACGAAUCAUACUCAGGGGGAAGACCGUGGAGAGUGACAGAGAUCAGAUCGGAAUCUUCAAUCGGAGAGCCGGCACUGGCAAGAGCAUCAGCAAUGACCUCAAUUUGCUGGAGAUACUGAGCAGCAGAUGAAAUUCCUUUGGAAAGAUUACGAAGUCGAGAGCGUAGCUCAUGAAUAUGAGACUGAGAGGCCGUGGCAAGGCGAGAUUCCAAUUUCGCCCAAAGAUCGCGAGCCGAAUUCACACCAACAGUGUAGGGAAUGAGGGAAUCCGAGAGCGUGGAGUUGAGCCAGAUGAGAAUAUUCUGGUCAUUUUCAUACCAAGAAAUAAGCAGGAUUAAGAAUGCGAUUUCCUGAGGAAUCAAGAAGAAAUUGAACCGGCGCCGCCAUAGAUCCAUCAAUGUGACCAGUCAGAUUGUAUCGGCGAAAAAUUGGAGCAAAGAGAGCGCUCCAAGUCAAGUAAUUGGUGGUGGUGAGCUUGAUUGGCACCAUGGAUCCAAUAUUUUGGAUUGUGAUGGAGGUAGAAUUUGAAGAAUUAGGGUUCGAAGAUCCAGUCGGAAGGGGGUGAAUUGGAGAGGCCGAUUCCGAUGAAGGAGAUGCCAUUGGCAAAUAGAUGAGGAAGAGAGCACGAACAAAGAUCUUCAACCACGAUCUUCAACCACGAGCGAAGAAUCGAGCAAGAACGCAGAAAGAAGAAGCAGGAGAAAGGAGGAUCGAAGAACGAGAGUCGUUAGACAGAGAAGGCGAUUGAUACCAUAUUUGGUAAAAUAUAUUUUCAUUUCACACUUUAAUAAAGUUACAGUUUAGGUGUAUAUAUACAACAAACUAACAUAGUAUCUUAACCACUAAGCUAACAGCUAAGAAGAUACAUUUACAAUAUUGCCCUUUAUACUUUUGUCACUGCGUUUAAAGGGGUGGUUGCUGUCGAUGUCGUUGAGGCAUGGUUUGCCGAGGGGUUGAUGGGUUGCAGGUAGAGAUAGGGUUGACCAUAGGGGUUGCAGGUGGGAUGGGGUAGCAUACUUAGUCUGUGUUAUUUCAUUUCAACCAUCGACUAAAAUACACCAUUUUGGCAUCUAAGAUGAGAUCACACUCACAAUCACUACUAGAAUCUUUUCAAUUAUAGGGAAAUAUGCGUGAAGUGACAAACUUAUAAUAAAAAAAUAGAACUGGAGUGACACUAAAUAGAAGAUAGGUGAACCAACCACUACUUUCUUUCCAUUUAAAUAAAAGUCAAUUGAUUACGUUUGUGUCUUUGUGCUGUUUUUUUUUUUUUUUUUUUUUUUUUUUUUUUUUUUUUUUUUUUUUUUUUUUUUAAGAAAUGAUAGUUGAUUCAUAUUCAUAAAAGGUCAAUACAGAGUAAAGCCAAUCAUGGUUUAGGAAAGUCCUCAAAGAGUAAGUCAAGGAUUAAAUCAGGUGGGGAUUCAACCCAAUUACAAACAUGAUUAGAUGAUAAACCAAAACAUGCUUGUCUAUGGGCCACUCCGUUGGCUUGACAACGUACAUAGGUAAAAUAGGCCUCAAUGAUUGACGAGAGCAUUGCUUUGACAUCCUCAAUGACCAAGAGUGGAAACAUUAGUAGAGGGAUCCCGCAACAAGUCUACAAUCUGAAGCGAGUCCGAUUCAAAUUGGCAUCUUUGAAAAACCCUAUUGGAUGCCCAAGUCAAAGCCAAAUGUGCAAUCAGAACUUUUGCCUCAAGGGGAGAGAAGACGUUAGUGACCUGCCAGCCAUAAGGUUAUCUAUGAAAACCCCUUCAAAGAAGCAGUUUGAUAUUUCGGCUAACACAAACCUCGCUCUUGUUAAGGUUGAUUUUCUGACUGGAGGCGAGUUCAUAUGCAGUGAAGGCAUUUGACAGAAUGAGACAUUCAGGUUCCUUGGCCCAGCAGAAAAAAAGGUUGUCGUCAACUAACAACAAAUGACUGAUAGGUGGGGCCCUGAUAGGAGCAUUUUUAUGCGACUUAAUUGGCUUGUUCUCAUGCAUUUAUGUUGUUUUUCCUUAGUUAGUUUAGUGUUUAAAGUCAUUUUCGUGCAAUUUCAGGUUUUAGUGUCAAAGUAUGCAAAAAGGAGCAUUUUGGAGCUUUUAGGAGCAAAAUUGGGCUUGGAAUGAAGUACAUAUGCAUGGAGCAAGGAGUUUGGACGAAUUUGAAGUCAAAACAUCAAAUAAACAUGCUAAAAAUCUGGUGCAAUAAAUACAAGUUGAAAGAAAGGAUAGGUUUCUAGAUGGAUUGACCAAAAGUCCACUCAAAACCAUGUUCACACCUAAAAUCCACAUCCUUGCCGUGAGUUUUUGGUGUUUUCACACUAGAAAAUUGAGUGAAUGAUUCAAGACCUAACCCACCAUUAUUCUACACAUCCUUGCCGUGAGUUUUGGUUGUUUUCACACUAGGAAAUUGAAUUAAACAAGUCCAUCCUCUCCCUAUAAAUACCUAUGGCAGCAACCUCAUUAAGACAUCCAGAAAUUAACCAUUCUCCAAGCCUUUCCUUGCCUCUCCUACAUAUCUAAACCCCUUCCCAUCCAUUCCUCCAAAUAACCAACCCUUCAACAUCAUUCCAACCUUGUUGUUGCGGCAAGGAGAAGGAGAAAAGUCCUUGGACGCGCUUGCUAUCCAACAUGGAUCGUUGGAACGUUUAGGUGCUUUCUUCCCUUUGUUUUUCAAUGGUUAAAUUUCUUUAUCUUUGUUUUGUAAUAAUGAGGAACUAAACCCCCCUUGGCUAGGGGGAUUCAAAACCAUGUUUAUGCUUGCUAUAUGAUUUGAUUACUUCCAAUUGCGUUUCUUGAAUUGUGAAUUCAAUUUACUUAUCCGUUCGUAUAAAAACUAAUUUGUGUAUGUUGGUUGAGAGUGCACGCUUAAUUUUCAUGCAUGAAUUUUGACGCUAGUAUAUAAGGGAGUUUCACCUAAUCGUUAUGAACUUAUAUUCACAAGUAGUGAAGGUUGCUAGUCACAAUCACGUUAAGUAAAUUCUUGGCAUAAGUUUCAUGCAAAUCAUAGUAACGAGUGCCUCGUCAAUGCUUAUGUUUUUCAUAGAACUUAAUGAUUCUUGCUUGUAUCUCUAUUAUGCAAUUCAUGUAGGGAACUUGUAGGGAAUGUUUUGGGUUGUCGUAUGCAAUCAUCCAAUCUAAUAACUUGUUGAAAAACUGAGAGUUAAUUAGUGCAAUUCACGGUUAAUUUGGGGCGUUGAGUAUUCAUAACUUAUCGAAGAGCAAUUGGAAAUCAUUUUGUAUGCAAGCAAGACAUGUGUGGAGAAGAACCCCUUAGCUAGCCUUCCAUUAUCCAUUCAACCCAAAUUUGUUUAAAAUCUAUUUAAGUUUUUAGUUUAUUCGUUUUUUACUUUCAACUUCACCAAACUCAAAUCCCCCUUUUACUUUCUUGUUUUAAAAUCUUUUGUUUACAUUUUUAACUUUGUUUCUUUUUGUUUUUGAGUCAGUUUAGAGGUUUUAGCAAGCCCUCCUAAUCCCCGGUUUAGAACGAUACCCUACUUACAUCUAUACUACAAUUGUCAAAAAGAGGGUUUAAUUUGUGUGUCAAGUAAAAUUGUCGCAUCAGGCCCUAGAGCACAAAGAAAUUUCGCGAAUCCUUCCCCUCCAAAUUGUUCACCAAAGCCAACAAGCCUUCCGUACACAAAAUGAAGAGAUAUGGAGAGAGGGGGGUCGCCUUAACGGAGGCCUUGAGACAGAUGGAGAUAGCCCCGAGGGCAUCCAUUAAUGAUGAAAGAGUAUGAGACGGAGGAUACACACGUCAUCAUCAAGUCAAUCUGCCAAUUAGAGAACCCCAAGUUUGGCAAGGAUACGUACUCCCACCCAAUACAAUCAUAUGUUUUAUUGAUAUCUAGCUUAAAAGACAGUAACCCAUUAUUGCCCCGCUGAUGCUUAAACAAAUAGUUAGAUAGCUCCGAGGCGAGAAUGGUAUUGUCAGAAAUGUUCUAUCCCAGCACGAAAACACUCUGAGUAGGGGAGAUGAUAUGGAUUAGUAUGGAUUUAAGCUGGUUUCCUAAUGAUUUGGAAGCAAUUUUGAAAAGGACGUUGCAUAGGCUGAUUGGUCGCAAUUGAGACAUAUCAUUAGGGUUCUUUUCUUUUGGGAUUAAUGAAACUCAGGUGAAAUUGACCAGCUUAAGUAAAUUGCCAGUGGAGAAGAAGGAAAGUAUAGUGGAAGUGGCAUCCUUGCCCAUAAUAUGCCAAAAGUGUUGGUGAAAGAAAAGGGUUUUUGUCUGGGGCCCAAAGUUUGAGGGCGCCAUUUGGAAUAAGGCCGCCUUAAUUUCCUCCGCAUUGAACACCAUCCAAGGCCCUAUUCAUAUUCGCAGAGACUUUAGGUUUAACUGGGUCAAGGGUUAAAUCUCUAUUACCUGAGCUUGUAGAAGAGAAUAGGUCACCAAAGUACUUGAGAACCAUGUUUUCGUUGGUCGGGCCCUCAUUUACCCAAUUUCCAGCCUUAUCUGUCAGGCCUUUGAUUAUAUUUUUAACCCUCCUAUUGUUUGCCCUCCUGUGGAAGAAGUUGGUGUUUCUAUCCCUAUUCAUGAAGCCAUAAAACACGAGAUUUUUGCCUCCAAAAGGAUUCCUCUAGGCCAAUCAGAAUAUCAAGUUGUCACAUGAGAAUGGCUUUUUCCUUGAUGACCAUAUCAUCAAGCGAUCAUGAGAGUAAGCUGCCCAAUUUGGCACGAACCUUAGUCAGUUCAUAUUGACGACCCCUAAAAACGAAUUGACACUAUUUUGAAAGGGCCACCCUAGUAACCUUUAUCUUUUGCACUACCUGGAACAUAGGAACACCAGCGAAGGAUUGAGCCCAGGCAGCACGAAUGACGUCCUUGCACCCAUAGUGUUUUGCCCAAAAUUCCUUUUCUCCAUGUUUGCCUCUUCACGGGAAACCCACAGACGUCUAGGAUAAGGAAAACAUGGUUAGAUUUGCUUGGGUAAAGGUGGGUAACUUUGGCAGAAUUAAAGAGAUCCUGGGCAGAAGCAAGAAACCGAUCCAAGUGUUCUUUAAUUCCACAAGCUCUGGUAGUGAUCCAAGUGUAAGGAUGGCUUGUGAACCCAAGAUCAUGCAAGUUGCAAUGUUAACUGCUUCCCAAAAAUUAGGGAUUUGAUUGAUGGGACGGGCAUGUCCAUCUUCCUUUUCAGUGGGUUGAAGUAGUUCGUUAAAGUCUCAUCCAAUAGCCCAAGGUAACAAAUUGACCAAAGCCAACGAUUUGAGGAGGUCUCAUGACAGGGGGCAAUCUUCCAUCGCCGAGUGGCCAUAGAAGCCAAUGAAUCUCCAAUGAAAAUCAUCGCCAAUUGCACCAAUUUUCGAAUCAAUGAAGUGAUCAGAAAAGCCCAGAACUCGCAUAUUGAUUUCAUUAUUCCACAAAAGCACAGGCCCCUAGAUUGCCCCCGCGAGGGUACACCAAAAAACCUGUCGAAUCCCAAUUUUAAUCUCAGAGAAUAGAGGGCCACAAUGUUAACCUUGGUUUCACACAAGAAUACCAAGGUGAGAUCUUGUUGCCGGAUUAAAUCUUGUAGUGCCUGAACUUUCCAGAGGUUCCCAAGCCCUCGACAGUUCUAGACUAAUGUUAUCAUGGCUGGAGGCGGGGAUGAAACCCGUCAGCCUCCACCGAUAGAACAUUAUAUGUCGCCAUUUUCCUUUCAAGUAAUCCAUUCUUCUCAGCCUCCACCAACUCUUUGGAUAGACUUAUAGCCACAUCGUAAAGGUUAAAUUCAUACCUGGGUUCAACAUCAGACAAAUAUUCCAAGCCAUUGAGAGGUUUUGGUGCCACAACCACCGCCCCAACCACCCCUUAUGGAGGUCCACGAGCAUUGCAGUUGGCCUUGGUCGGAGUGUCAUCACUUUAUGUGGUUUGGAUUACCCUUGCCCUUGUCGCAGGUGGAGUAUAUAGAAUGUGGCUUUCAUUCACUACGUCGGAUUGAUUGAUGAGCUGGGAUGCCAUUUAUUGGCAGAAGCAUCGAAAUCCCUGAGAUUCGUUUGGGGUGGGAAGUAGUCCAGUAACUUGAAGUUUGUUGGGUUCACACUAACUUCGUUCGAGGCCUGGAAAAGGCCUGUUGAAUUUUGGAAGGCCUAAGAAGGUAGGCGGUUAUGAUCAAGCUAGUAUUUUUUCAAGCGAAGGGACAUUGACAACGAUAGUAAGGGUCUCAUUGGAGAAUUGGGUCCCAAAGCUGUCUGGAUGCUACAUAUGGCCCAAUUCAGAAGUUAAGCGUGAUCGAGCAGUGGAGGAUUGCCCAGGAAGGAUUGGUGUAGGAUUGACCCUUGAUUCUGUGUUUGUGGGAAACCACGAUGUCAAAAAAAGUAGAGGACACAGAGCCUGCAGAUGGUACCGCAGGGGGUUUGUCCCCUGCAAUUCCAGAACCGUCGGUAAUUUCUUUAUCCUUUCUCAUCACCAGAAAAUGUGUUUGGACUAAAACUUGAUUUUUUGGCCCAAGGAUGGAGUCGGCCCAAAAGGAGGCCUAGAGGAAUAGAAGAUCAAGGCCCGGCCGAAACUUGGGAAAGCAGGAAAGGGCCUUUUCUGACUUGAUACAAUUCAUAAGGGCCACUUGCCUACCUACCCAAGGACCAAGUGGUGUAGACUAAUCAGACUGCACAGCCCAUAAAGUACUUUAUGGUGGCAUUACAUGUAAUAAAGCUGAUGAGUCAUCACCCUCAAGACCGCAUUCGGGCAAAGCUGUCGCUACAGGAGCCAAACCGAGUCGUCUAUAAAAGGAGGAAGAGAAGACAGGAAUAGAGACACUCAAUCAAACAAACAAAAGCACAAACUCUGCUCAAAAAGCCAGAUUUGCCUUUCAAAACGAAGCUGUAAUCAGCCCAAGCCUUCAUCCCCCGCGGGAUAAUCUUUUCUCCCAACCUCUGUAAUAGCUCUGCUACCUUGUUCGAACUUGUUGUAGUAUCGAUUCACCUUUUGUAUUCUCCUUUCCCCUCUCCCCCUCUAAGCUUUCAGACCUUUGACAGAACUACAAAAGGGACCUGCAAGACGAUCAGCCUUAAUUGAUAAGGUUUAAUCUUGCCCGACCUGCUUUGCUCUGUCUUUGUCUUCUCUUUCUUUAAAGUCUAGCAAUAUGUUGUAUAUUUCCAGUUAUAUGCAAGUUGUUUCUAGCAAAAUCACAAUGACAAAGCUUUCUCAGUACUUGGAUCCGAUUUGAAUAUAUCUUCAGUGUUUAAAUCAGAUCCAAGUCCUAAGCCCUCAGGCAUGUAAAUCUGAUUAGUUUAAAAGUCCUUGGCCUCAAGGCAUAAAAAAGAACUUUAUGUGGACUUAACCCAUCCACGACAAUCCUUGAUAAACGAGAAAUCCGAAGUUACUUGGGGCGCAAGUAAUCGACCUACCUCUUGGUUUUAUUUCUAUUAUAUCAUGAUUAUCAUAGAACGCUUAAGUAUGGAAUGGAUUCUGAUAGGAAGCCUCAAUGCCUACACCUAAGGCCCCACAAAGGCACUUAUUUGGAUUCAUUCUAUUCUGCGGUCUAGAUGGUUUGAGUAUAAGAACGGACUUUAAUGGGAAGCCUUAAGGCCUACACCUAAGGCCCCACAAAGCCACCUAUUUGGGUACGCUCUACCUCUCAGACUCGGAUAAUCAGAAAUAUAAUAGUUAUAAGACUCCGACAACCAUAAAGACCAAAUAUAUAUGCUCAAGUACUGGUUUAGUUUGACAGGAAGCCUCAAGGCCUACACCUAAGGCCCCACAAAGGCACCUGUUAUAUCUAACACGGUUUCUCAGGCAUAUGCAUAUUCAUAACUAAAACUUGACAUCCAUUCGACAUCUGCCAUGCUGAAGAUGGCAGUGGCACGCCUGAGCACUAAAAUGUUAACCUUGAUUGUGAGCCUUAAGGCCUACACCUAAGGCCCCACAAAGGCACCUCUCAAAGUUAACGAUGUCCUUCUCUUUUAGCCUUGCCCGAAGAGUCUUGCCCGACGAGACUUGCCCGACAAAGCCCGACAGCAGCCCUCAACCGGCGCCGAACCUCCAGGGGAGCUGUGUGCUCGUCGGCCAGGAAACAUCCCCGACGGGAAUUCCUACCACGAACAAAAUGAUUCAACAGAAUAUGCAUCUCGCCAUCUGACAGCCAUAAAAGUCGCCACUUCCAGUUUUACAGGUGUCGAAGUCCACGUGUAGUCGCAGGAAUCCACAUCUUCCACCUCUAACACCGACCCAAUUUUUUUCCCCCAAGGAUUGAGCAUUGGCCUUAGUGCGAAAAUUCCUCAGGAUGUCGUGGGCUUGGAUCUAGAAGAUAGCACGGUCAAGUUUGAUGUCAUCAAUCGAGUGGUAUAGGGGCCAAAGUUUAACCGAGAAAGUAAUCCUUCACAAACCAUAGGUUUCCUUCCAUAAGCUUUCUGGCUACCACCUCAUCCCCGACAGCAAUGAUAUAUUUGUUAUCCUUAGCUUUUGAGGACACGGACCACCCCCAUUUUGUUCCAGGCUGAUUGGAGGGUUUCCUUAACCACAUUCUGGGAGGGUUCAUGGUCGGCAAUGAGUUGUCCCACGAGAUGGAUGGAGCUGUCAAAGCGUUCCUCCAAGUCGAGGCUAUCUUCCAGAGUUAUAUUCAGAUAGUCAACAAUCUCAUCUUUAGUAGCCAUGGCCACCACAAGAAGAAGCCGUUGAAGGAGACAAGAUCCACAGGGGAUACAAAAAGGAGCUCACGCCAAUGGUGCCAGAGCUAGGGUGCCGGAGUGUCAGAGCUAAGGAGUCGUUGAACCAAGCUACUCUUGUACAUGACAAUGAGCUCUACAUAGUAAGCUAUUUAGAGUUUUGUUCCAGUUUUGAUUAUGCACAAUUUCAAUUUUAAACUUCAAAAAAUUUUGAAAUUGGUUUAGGGUUACUGAAAUUUUAAAAGCAAAAAAAAAAGACAUUCUGCAAUUAAAUGCAGAGACUGUUAGGUCUAAAAGAAUAAGAAAAUGGAGAGAGCAGCAUAACAUUACUACUACUAUACUAAGAACAACACGAAACUGGCUUUGGGUAAGAUUCCACUAUGUGUAUAAUCUCCUUCAAAAGUGAUUUUGGAAGAGAUAAUGUCAAAUUCAUAUCUGAAUAAGGAAAUAAUAUGCAUGUAUAAUGAAGUAGGGUUUGUUUCUAAUUUGGGGUAAUUGAUCGAUAUUUUGCCGAAAUUUUGUAGAAAUCUUGAUCUUGCUUCAAGGGGCCAAAUUAAUUUGUAGUUUAAACUCGAGAUUUUUUUUGGUUCAGAGAGUUUUACUUUUAUUCAUUGAAUUUUCUUUGCAUAAUUUUUUUGUUGUAAAAGUUUAAUGUUGUGUUGUUGUUCAUGAGGAAGAGGACUGAAACCCAGCUGCGUGAAGAAGGUAUGGUUUGUGACAGUUAGUUUUAAUUUUCCAAGCUUCCUAAAAGUUUUGGAGUAUCGUCUUUGGGAUGUUUGUGGAUCAAUUUUUUUUUUACACCUUGAAUUGAAUCGUAGCUUCUGAUGUUUGAAACUCUAGCACUUUUAGUUAGUUAAGGAAUAUUCAAUGUAGUUGACCGUCAAAAUUGGUUUUGUUGUCGUACUAUGAAUCUGCAUCAUUGAUUAAGUUUAUUUGUGUCUCGACCCUAUGUACAUGAUACAUUUUUUGUAGUCAUCUUUUGAUGUGGAUCAUAUAUUGUCGUUGUGAACUAUGCAAAAGAGGAGAGACUAAGGAGAGAAGCAGCAGAAUGGAUGGCAAAAUUAGGCAAGAUUGCUGAAAUACAGAGGCAAAAAGGGAGGAACUAGAAGAAUUAGUUGCGUACAAAAGCUCUUUUGAGGUUGUGCUUAAGAAACCAAAUUGUAAAUAGCCAUCAGGCCCACCGCAAUGUUGAAUAGUACAAACAAAUAUCUAAAGAUAAUGUUGAGUUUUGAUAUCGAAGUUAAACUUCUAAUGCAUUUUGUUUGCGCUGUGUGUAGAUGCAAAGGAAAAGGUGGAGGCUGACAAUUCAUCAGAUUAUAAGAUCGAGAAGAUAAGAAGAUAGUUGGGGAUACUAAUUUCAUACCAGCUGGUCGAAGUGGAGGGAAUUUGAGAUUCUAGAAGAUUCAGGAAGUUGACUAAUACAAUACCAAAUAGUAUUGUUGAUUACUAUUAAUUUUGCUUUAGAUUAGUCUCAGUUGUUGAUUAAUAUUAGUUUGGGGCUAAUUACAACCCACGUACGACUGAAGGCUUACUGAAACUAAGCAUGCUUGAUUGAAACUAUGGAUUGGAUAAUCUACCAUUUCGUUAUGGAACUUAGACCAAACUCUAUCCUUGACUAGAGAGGUGUAUGUGCCUAAUUUCUCCAACUAUGGCCAUAUGUAUAUAAAUCUAGCUUUUGUAGCAUCUCUAUCUUUUGAGCAUUCAGAACUUGAACGCUGUCAAUCUUUUGAUAACUAUGAACUUAUGCACAUAAAUCUACUUUUUUAGCAUCUCUAUCUUUUGAACAAUGCGUAAUUUAACGUGCCAAUCUUUUGAUAACUAUAGAUUUAUGUAUAUAAUUCUAGCUUCUAUAACCUGUAUCUCCUAUCUAUUUUCAAAACAUUUUAAACACCAACAACAUCGUGCGGGCUCUUUUGCUAGUUAUUUCUAUUCCAGCAUAAUUUCGUUUGUUUUUCUUCUUUAAUUGGCAAAUUUCCGUAUAGUUUUUCCCUUUGGGAACUACGUAGUGAAGGCUUCAAUUGGUUAGUUAAAAGCUCAGAUUAUUUGAAUAAAAACGUCUACAAAAAAUCUAAAUGAAAAAUGUUCAAACUAAUUUGAAUAACUUAAAGCAGCUUGUGCAGCCGGAGGUAAAUUCGAAUAAUUAACUAGCAGUUGAUUUUUGCAUGAAUAUUCACUGCUUGGCAACAGACGAAUAUUUUAUAUAACAAUAUAAUAAGUCAGUACUUCAUUAGAGAAUUACGCACCUGGGAUGGUGUUUGGAAAACAUUUAGGAUGAGGAAUGUCAGAACUAUAGCCUUUGCAGGUCAAUUUAUCGGGCAAUUCAUCGGGCCAAUUCACUCCAAGCUCAAAGCCAUACAUGAGUGCACUGUGUAUAUAUUCAUAAGAGGGCUUGUAGUACUUCAAAUGCAUCAAAGCAAUCCUCUCUGCUCUGCAACCCUCAUUCAAUUCCCCUACUUUCAUAUCGUUUGGGCCAACCUUGACAUAACUAUAAGAUUUUGGUUGAAUCAAAGAAGUGGCAGUACUAUUCAAGCAUGGAGCAGUAUCCACGUACAGAGAAGAAUUCACUGGGUUUCUACACCUCAAGUAAAAUAUUGAUGUUGAAAGUCGUAAAUUGGUGGUGGGAUUAUACGAACGAUAUGGAUCUCUUAGUGAAUAAGGGCCGGGAGGCAAAUUUCGAGGCAUGGAAGAGCAAUUGUUGUUGUCAAGGCCAGGAUCUAGAAGUCGGAGUAUUUUGUUAUUGUAGUUGAUUGUCUGUACGUAGUAUUUACCAGAAUAAGGUAUAUCACCAUAAUAAGGUAGAUCUAGUAUUGUAAUGUUGUUCUCACAGGAAAGAGUAUACAGAAUGUGGCCGCAGUGCUUUGGAUCAUGUUUUAGUCGAAAAGGGUAGCUUAUGUUGCGAAUAUUGCCGCAGGAGGAGGUACAGUUUGUACUAUCAUCCUUAGCGUUACAAGUUUCACUGCAAAAGCAAAGAAGAAAGGCUAAAAUAAAGGUCAAGGACCUGCUUCCACUAAUUUCCAUUGGAGAGAGAGGGGGAGAGAGAGAGAGAGGUGUACUGGUAAACACCAAGUAGUUAAAUAAUAUAGGAGAGAGAACCUUCUGGGAAGUUGCAGUAAGCACUUCAAAUAUCCAAGAGAAAAGUCAGUCAAUGGCAGAGACCGACUUGUGUAAUAAUAAUGAUCUCUCUCUAUCUCUCUGUGAGGUGUACUAGUAAACACCAAGUUGUUAUAUAAUAUAGGAGAGAGAGGUGUACAAGUAAACACGAAGGGGAGGGGUUAAAGCACCUUCUGGGAAGGUGCAGUAAGCACUUCAAAUAUCCAAAAGAAAAGUCAGUCAAUGGCAAAGACCGACUUGUGUAAUAAUAAUGAUCUCUCUCUCUCUCUCUUUCUUUAAUGGAGAACAGAGUAUAAUUAGUACAUAUUAUAUCUCUUCUUAAUUACACAAAAGAAAAUUGGGGUUUUUGAACUUAAUCUUUGAAGAAGAUUAAAGUUUAAUAAAAAUCUGAUGUUAAAUUGGAUAUUGAUUUUGAUCCUUUAAUAUUUACUUAAUUCAAAUUCAUAUUAUAUUUUUGUUUUAAUAUUUAAUAGAUGUCUUAUUUUAUUUGAUGAGAUCUUAAAUUCGAUUCUCGCUAAAGGUAAAUUUGAACCAUAUUAUUGUAAGUUUAUUGCCCAUCCCUUCCCCUUAGUGUAGAUAAUAUCAAUUGUUCAAAAAAAAAACAGAGAUGUCUUUUUUUUUUUUUGGAGAAAUUAGGUUCUCAUCCUUCAUUUUGCUACUCCAUUGAUUAAAUUCAUAUUCAUUUUCAAUUUUUGAUCAAGGUCCUUGGGUAUUAAUAACAUCAUUAAUUAUUUCAAUAAUAAAAUAUUUUUUUAUUUCUAAAUAUAUUCAUUUAAUGUUAAAAAUGUUACAAUUAGUAUAUUUAUAUUUAUGACUAAAUUUUUUAUUAUAUAUUUUUAGUUUUAAUUUGUACCCAUUUUUAAGUUGUAAUUCUUUUUUAAUUUGUACCAAUUUUCUUUUCAGUUUUAAUUUGUACCCAUAUAUUAAUUUCUUUUUGUGCCCAUAUUUUUAAGUUUAUUUGUAUUUGUACCCAAAUAUUUUUUUUAUUUGUACUUUUUAUUUUGCUAAAUGUACCCAUGCUAAUUAUAUGUACCCAUUCAUGUAAUUUAAUCUUAAAAUGUACUCAUUCUUAAGUAUACCAAUUUGUUAUAUGUAAAAUGUACCAUUUUUUUUAUAUAAAAUCUAUUCAAUUUUUUUUCUAAUCCAUUUUUAAACUUAUAUGGGUACAUUCUUUUUUUUUUAUGAUUUUAAAAUGUAUCCAUGUCAAGUUUAAUCGAAGAAAUUUACUAAUGUUAUUAAGCCUAAUAUAUAUAUAUAUAUUGUGAUUUUGAAAAAUGUACCCUUGUUUUGAUACAAUAAUUUUUUUGGUUAAUUUUGAUGAAUGUACCCAUGUUUAUAUAUAUACACACACAAUAGUAUAUUUAUAUUUUAAUAUUUUUAAUCCCACAAAUUAUUGUUUUUUAUUUAAAAUCUCAAUUCUAUAAACAACUAAAAUUUCUAAUUUUUAAUUUAAAAAAUAUAGUAACGUACAUAGAAAUAAAUUAUUACAUUAAUUUCAGAGACCUCGAUCAAAAAUUAAAAACCAACAAGGUUUCAAUCAAAGAAUAUUCAUAGCUAAGGACCGCAUCCAAAGUCUCCCUUUUUUUUUUAAAUAAGGUACGAUAUUCAUUAAAUAGAAUGGAGCGUACAAAUAGAAGGAUAGCAGUGUAUACAUGGGUCUGGAUAAAAAUCUCAUCGGGACUUUCAACUCGAUCUAAAGAAAAAAGAGUGUUUCGUACCUAACAAUCAACUAAGAGUUUUCUCUCUUCACGUAGCAAAUCAACAGUACAAUUAAAUAGACAUAUCUUCAAAAAGUGCAUCCAUGAUUAAACCUAGAGGUUCCCCAUGCCAUCUUAACUCUUGGCUCGAAUUAAUCCCCAUGUCAUUACAUUAAAUUUUAAAUUUAUUAUUAUACAUUUUAAUUCAUUAAUUUUAUUUGCUUCCUUUAACUAUUGUAUGUCACAUCCCGGCCCGAGACGAACCACAUCCCGGGUCCGUUCGACCACCGUAGCACGAUAUUGUACUAUUCCCUCACGGUUUUGUUUUUUGAAAACUCACGAGCAACUUCCCAGUUGGUCACCCAUCCUGGGAGUGCUCUGGCCUCCUUCUCGCUUAACUUCGGAGUUCCUACAGAACCCGAAGCCAAUGAACUCCCCAAAGGCCUCGUGCUAGGUAGGGAUGAGAAUAUACAUUUAAAGAUCACUCCCCUGGGUGAUGUGAGAUGUUACAAUCCACCCCCCCUUAGGGGCCCGACGUCCUCGUCGGCACACUUCCGGCCAGGGAUUGGCUCUGAUACCAUUCUGUCACAUCCCAGCCCGGGGCGGACCACAUCCCAGGUCCAUUCCACCACCGUAGCACGAUAUUGUCCGCUUUGGGUUUACCAUUCCCUCACGGUUUUGUUUUUUGGAACUCACGAGCAACUUCCCAGUGGGUCACCCAUCAUGGGAGUGCUCUGGCCUCUUUCUUGCUUAACUUCGGAGUUCCUACGGAACCCGAAGCCAAUGAGCUCCCAAAAAGCCUUGUGCUAGGUAGGGAUGAGAAUAUACAUUUAAGGAUCACUCGCCUGGGCGAUGUGGGAUGUUACAUUGUACCUAAACAUCUGUAUCAUAAUAUAUUUUAUUAAACUAGCGUACCGAAAUGCCUGUACCUAAAUAUAUUGUAAUGAAUCAGUGGCACAUAAGAAAAUAUGCAAAAACAUAAGUGUACUAAAAAUUCUGUACCUAAAUAUAUGAUCCUAACUAGUGUACCGAAAUGUUGGUAUCUAAAUAUAUUAUACUAAACUAGUGUGCCGAAAUGUUCGUACCUAAACAUAUUAUAUUAACCUAGUGUACUGAAACAUUUGUACCUAAAUAUAUUGUAAUGAAUUAGUGGCACAUAAAAAAAUAUGCAAAAAUUGUACAGAAAAAUCUCAACAGAAAUAUUUUUUACAUAAGAUACUUAACAUAAUGAGAAUUAAAAUGUCAUGCCCCGAUCCCGACAUACAUCCAGGAUCGACACGUGACGUUACUAAAUACCCAUAUCUCAACAUACCCCGUCUCUAGAAUAUGGCAAAUCACAACUCGAGAAUCGAAUCGCAUAGUCAUUUUUCUGUAUACUUUAUGGCUGCAUCUAACCUCCCCGAUAGACUGCCUACGUAUCCUUAUUAGGGAUCAAAUCAUUCGUAGUUUGUCCUUUCGCUACACUUGAACAUUCAUCAUAUAAACCACUGUAUCUCAAUAUAAUACCACAAUUCAAUUAUGUAGCACCUCAAGGAGCAUUUAACAAGGCAUAAUAUUAAUCUCUAUUCAUAUCAUCACUUAUCCACACAUAUGCAUUCCAACACCAUCCAAUUAUCACAUUAAUCAAUAAUGCCAAUCACCAUAUCAUCAAUAACACAUACAAUUCAUCGAACUGCAGGGCUAGAGCGACAUGAUUCAGCCAAAGCCUACAUCUCUGAAACUGUCUCAAAUGAAUCAAAUGAUGCGAUUUCGAACCACUCAACGAAAUCCAUCAACAUCGGGUUUCGGACCUCUCAACGGAACCAAGACACCAAAGGGGAUUCCGGACCAUCACUCAACGGAAUCGCAGAGUAGAAGGGAUUCCGGACCAUCACUCAGAAUCGCGAAGUAUAAGGGAUUCCGGACCAUCACUCAACGGAAUCGCGGAGUAGAAGGGAUUCCAGACCAUCACUCAACGGAAUCGUGGAGUGGAAUGUAUAACAUCAGUCGAUGAAAUAAGACAUGGACCGAGUUACCCAAGUUACAAAGACUCAACGAAAUGAGAAAUGAAAUAAUGACACGAGGGUGAAACACAUUUCAAGCAACAAACCCCAUGACAAUGGGUUAGCGGCCCACUACUAGCCCUCACAUUUCAUCACAUCCAUCCAAUCAUACAAUACAACCCAUAUUUCCAAUGCACAAGUCAAAUCAUACUUAAUGAAAAUAGAUUGAUGGCCAGAAACAAAAAUAACAGUUCAAUAGAUUUCACAUUUAAUAAACAUAGAUCUAUGGCAUAAAUAUAUAGAAUUCACAUUUCAAUAGAAAUCACCUUUAUAAGGCCAAGGCAUAAUCACAUAUGAUACUAAUAUAAAAAUCAAGGUAAUAGCUAUAUCACAUAUACACAAGUCAUUCUCUAACCAAUGUAGACUGACUAGACUUCGCUUAAUCUUCCAUAGUACUAAUUUUAGUAAUUAGGAUGUUUCAUGACAUGUUGACCAAAAGUCAACUCUCGAUCAACAAUAGGGUCCACAAACUUACGUAGUUUGAUCUGGAAGAUCCGCACCUUGGAUUUCCGAUCUGUAACUUUCCAAAGUCCACAUUAUGCUCAAAUAACUACAUACUAAAAUCUCAACAAGAUCCGACGGUUGGAUCUCCGCCAAUUUCAAAAUUCAAGUGGCGGUCGACAUUUAAUUUUACAAACUUAGAAAUCCAAAUAUGGAAGAUCCAUAUGUCAGAUUCCCAAUCUGUAAAUUUCUAUGAUCCUCAAAUAUUACGUAUUACAACAUAUCAAAGUUUGGUGACGAUCCAACGGUCGGAUAGUCGAUUCUUAUUUUCACCUAACCACGUAUCAUAAUAAAAUUAGGUUCAAUUGCUCAAUCUACGUCAUUCGAUUAUCAAAACUGAAUUUAAGACAACAAACAUAGCCUAAAAAUAACAUUGAUGGCCCACUAGCUACAUGUCGCCGCACGUGCCGCCGUGGGUGGCGGUCGACCGCCCCGACUUGCUAGAAAAUUCAACUAUUUUUAAAAAUUACCAAAAUUUAUAGAAAUGAAGAUCUCAAUGAGUAGAACAAGUUUUAUACCUGUGUCGAAGUCCAAUUUGGCCAGGAAAAGCUCCAAUUUUACUAAAACCCGCCGGAACCCUAGAAAUUGGGUAUAGUUUAAUUCAACGUCAAACUCAACUCCGCCACCUCCAAUGUUGAUUGGGGUUUGUUCCUGGAAUCAAGAGGAGUUGAAUAAGGGUGGUGGCCGUCGUCGGUGUUUGCAGAAUCAGCGGAAUUGCCGCGGUGGAGUAUGAGGACCAACGUGGUUGUUCUUCGCGAAAUCAUGCCCAAAUCAUCUCGAUUUUGGUGGAAUAGUGUAGAUGGGAGGUCACUGAGUUGAUUUAUGGUGGUGGAUGGCUGCAAUUUGCCGGAAAAAUCAAGAGAAACCGUCGAAAAAUUUGUAGGUAACUGGGUCAGGUCGAAAAUGGGGGACCGGUAAAGGGAUCCGGUGUCCCUCCCCUCUCCUCAUUUUUCCUCCUUUCCCCUUCUCCCAUUCGUCCCUUCUUCCUCUCUCCUCCCUUCCGAUUGGCUAACCCUCUUUCUUCCCUCCUGAAACUCUUCUCCUGCUCUCUCCCCUGCUGCCCUCUAGCAGCUCUAUUUAUUAUUAUUUUUUAUUAUUUUUUUUCUUUUUUUUCCUCUUGUUUUCUUCUUUCCUCCCCCAUUUCUAAUUAGUCCCUUUUCCUACCAUGUGGGAGUUUUACAAAUAAAUUAAAAUCUAUAGUUUAGUAACACAACUUCAAAUAUCCAUAACUAUACCAUUAAAACCUGGACUCGCAAACGGCUUUCGCCUAUGCGUUCGUGAUCUUGAAAUCUAUUCAACAAUAUAAAUUGUGACCUCAAAAGGUCUACGGAUUUUAACUAAUUAAUUUCCAAACUUCAAACUUCGUAACUAAAUUAAUUAAAAUCUAAAUUCAGACAAUUAAAAUAAAUUGUCCAAAAAAAUAAUAUAAAUCUCAAUAAUACAAAUACGUAGAUUAUAAAAGUGAAAUCCAAGAACAGGAUUUCACAUAAAAUUUAAUUUAUGAACACCAUAAAAUUUUAAUAAAAAAGAGAGACAUUGAAUACAUAUGAUGGCAUUAAACAGAGUCUAGGGACUAAAAUCAGUUUUUAAUCUUGUAUAAAACAUUUUUCUAAACUUCAUUUUAUUUAGGGAAAAUUAGAAUCCCCUACAGUUUUUUUUUUUUAUAUCAUUUAGAUUAAACAUCUGUGCCUUUUUAAAAUUUGAUUAAAGUGUUUUGACCAAUAACCAUCUCAAGCUAAAUUACAUGUCAUUAUUAUAUUUUUUAAAAUUAAAAUAAUUUUUUAAUUUAUCCUUUUCGCAUGAUGCACUUUGCCUUAUUUAGUGGAGAUAUUAGUAAUUAAACUAUAUUUUCUCUUAUUCCAAAUAUGUUUUUUCGAUCACAAUUUUUUUUUCUUUUUUUUUGGUUAUGCAAACAUUUAAUAUUUUUUUUUUUCAAAUGGUUUUUUUUUUUUUCAAAUAGUUGGUGAUCAACAUAAAAGCUCCGUGUAAUUUUUUCAAUUUUUUGUGAUUUUUUUUGUGCUGUUUUUUUUAAGUAUAGUUGUUGACGAAUUAUUAUUAGGUACAAUACAUUACGUAUAUAUUAUCUGCGAGUACGUUUGAAUUUACAAAAAUCAUUAAUUGGUACGUUUAUUUGUAAUUUUGGUACAUUUGAUUUGAUACAUAUUGUUAAUAUUGGUACAUUAUUUUUAUUUUGGUACGUUUUAUUUUGUACACAUUGUGUAUUGGUACAUUUAUUGACACACCCUGACCUAAAUCAAGGCAUGCUGACCGUCAAUCGAGAGUGACGUAACUAAUUUAGUACUAAAGAUAUAAAAACGUGAAUAAAUAAAAACCAACCUAGCUAGCUAACUAACUAAUUUACACUAGAUAAGAUAUAAAUGCGAGUGACAAGAUUUAAGCGUAAUUACACAUAAUUAGAGCAUAGCUAACCCAAGUGCAAUCCAGCAUGACAAAUACUAAUUAUACAAUACCAGAGAGAUGGUCCUACAUUAAUUACAGUCUGUCAAAACCGCCGCUAACUCCUCGUAAGCCACCAACAAGCACUCCUACCUAGAACCUGGUGGGGCGCAAAACAAAAAGUGUGAGUGGGCAAAAACAAAGCUUUUCCAAACCAUUUCACUUAUCAAAAGUACUAACCCCUCAUCGUAAAACCCGUAUAAUUUCCCAGAAAAUAAGAUACAUAUCUAUAUCAAACCAUAUUCGGAAUAGCAAAAUCUCCAUGUAUGCCAUGCCAAGUAUCUCAACAUAAAGAAAUAAGUAAACCAGGUGAAGAAAAUUAAUAAAAAGUAAUAGGUCAGCCGGAUCCACCUAUUGUGGCCUAUACGGCUGAACCUAUAACUCAUCAACUAUCCCUGCACACGAGUCGGAACCACCUAUAGUGGUCGGUACGACCAAACUAGGUGUAAAUAAGUACGCUCAAGUGCUACGAUCACGUGAAGACUGUGCGAAUAAUCGCGGGUCACCUACAAGUCGGAACCACCUAUUGUGGUCUGUACGACAAGACUGUGCACCAAACUUGGAUCCAAGGUGAGUGUGCGGUGCGAGAGGUGAACACCACGUGAAUGACUGUGCUCUGGCCACGAGCGGGAGCACUAACACCGGGAUGCAGGUUAAUGAGCUCUAAAUACAUCUAUGUACCACCAUCAUAAUGCAACUCACAAUCAUCAAUACAUAUACUCACCUGAAACUUACCUAAGCAUCCGCAACGUCAAAUACUAGCAUGCCACAUUACUAAUGUAUAUUCUAAAAUAUAAAGCAUUUGACAUGGCAUUAAAAACACAAAAUCAAUUAAAUCAAUUUUUAUGGGAAAAACAUAAUGCAUAUAUAUACAUAUAAUGAAAACCAAAAACCCACUUACUGAUAUGUGGUAAGGUCGUAACCCCCGAGCCUCGCCUGACUGCGCUCGUCCUCUGGAAACGUCUCACCUAUAUGUGAAACAACUAUUUUAACGUUAUUUUAAGCACAUAACCAAAACUAUGAAAUAACUUCUCAUACGUUGCUCAAUUGGGGUGUGUGAAUAUACCAUCAAGGCCUACACAACCCCACGAUCAUCCCCAUAUUUUUAGAAAAAAUUUCCGAUGUCCCACGCGCCCUCACGCGCCGGCCAAGGCACGACCAUGCGCAAGCACGUGCCUGGCACACGGACGGAACCUUUAACGCCGUUAAAGAAUAUUCCGUUAAAUAAUGGAAUAUACCGUUAAAUAUACUUGACGCCGUUAGGUAUAUUCCAUCAAACUUGAUGGAAUAUUCGCCUUCUCUUUCCUUGAUUCGCCGGAGUCCGGCGGCAGUCACUGCUGCACUCGCCGGAAACUGGAAAACUGGAAAACUGAAAAACUUCAAUAUCUCUUCCAUUUCAACACCAAAAUUCAUGAAAUUUGUACCAAAAUGAAGUUCUCAACUAGGAGAACAUGAUCUUACCACUUUUAGAGUCCCUAAACCAACGGAAAUUGGCCAGAAAAAUUUCGUGAAAACCGGCUAAGUCUGCAACUCAAAGAACUCGAGUGUCCCGACGUCCAAAACCUUCCAAAAUUCCUAUAACAACUUCGUAAAGCUGUUUUAAGACUCUCUAGUACCUUAAAACCCCGCGUAACACUCGCGACCAAGCUCGAGCAACAGGACACUUUGUUAGAGCUCACAGGUUCUCGAGUUCCCAAAGUCCUUACGUCCAACUAAGGGUAUAGCUCGACUCCUGAGCUUACAAGGAACUUGGAAAUGGCCUCCACUAUGUCGAUUUGUGCAAGAUGAAACUAGUUGGGUGUGUGUGUGUACAGACUGUACGGACGGAAAGAGGUUUCGAGAAAGAGGGUGACAGAUGCAAGUUGCACGUGUGUGUGUGUGUGUGUGUGUGUGUGUGUGUGUGUGUGUGUGUGUGUGUGUGUGUGUGUGUGUGUGUGUGUGUGUGUGUGUGUGUGUGUGUGUGUCUUGAUCCAGAUUAGGCACCCAUAUACAAUCCUAAAACUCUAAUUGGGCCACCAGUUAUAAGCUAAAAAAAAAAACCAUCCAAAACAACCCCAUAUUUCAAUUGGGUCCAAAGAAGUAGGAAAUGAAAUAAUUGGUCCAUUUUUCUUAGCCCAUAAAUACAUUCACAACCCAACGCUCAAGGGUAAAACCGUCAUUUCCACGCUUUCGAGAAUCAAAUAUAUAUUAAUUCGGGACACGUCGUCACAUUUAUAUUAUUCUCAAUCCUAUUUUCUCUCAACGCAAAAGAAAAACUUAUUUCAGUACGUUUGAUUUUGUGGGAUUUAAAAAUAUUUUAAACUAUUUUGGAAAGAAAAUAUCUUAAAUCGUAGAUAAUUAUUGCUAAAUUGUAGCAUUAUUGUGAAAAUAAAUUGAAUCUAACCAAUUUUUUUUUUUUUUUUUACAAUUAUCUCUAACGGAGGAGAGUGUAAUUAAAAAGCUAGAUUAUAGGAAAUUUGUUACAAUAUAAUAUGCAUAUAGCACCAAAAUUAUGACCAAAAAAAGUUUAAUCAAAUCACUAAAAGACAUGAAUGUUUGAUCUAAAAAAUUCAGAACUGAGACGCCUAUAUCAAAUGAUCUCUAUUUAUUUAAUGAUUAAAAUCUAGUUUUCUAUAAUAUUAACAUUGAACGUAUAAUCCUUCAAACGUAAAUUAAGGGACUUUGUUUCCGGUUCUUGUUUUGACUUUCUAUUUUUUGGGGUUACCGUAGAAGGAUGUAGCAACCCCACCCCAAGUUUUUUUCUUGAAUCUUUUGACACUCCGCCAAACUUCUCUUGGAAUUUUAAUUAGAUGAAACAAUAUGAAUCUUGAACAAAGCAAAAGCAAAACGUAAUACGUAGAGAUUGAAUCAUUGUAGUGGAAGUGGAUGCUGGGUACUCAACACUCAUAGGAAAUCAUAAGUCCAAGAAUGAAAACUCUCUUAUCGGUUUCUAUCUAAAAUUUUGGAAUUAUGUGUGUGUUGCAACGAUUGUCCAGGAUUAAUCUUUAUCUAUUAAAUUUCAAAGGAAAAUAAGCUUGGGGUGUAAAUGUUGAACGAAUGAAUUUUCGACGAGUUGGAAAGGGAUUGUGCCUUUAACACGCUAUUUUUCUUCCUCUUAUGCACUCAUGGUUAUUAAAAGACAAAUAAGUAUGACUUUACAUAAAGAAAGAGAGAGAAUAUUUUCCUUUGAAUAAAUCAACUAUUUGUUUAAGAAGAUGUGGAUGCUGAUUGAAGCGUCAUGCAAAUACGAAGAACGACCUUGGAGGGAGAUGAGACAUUCAUUAAAAGCCAAGAAAAAAGCCGCAUUUUCUAAGUGAUAGUUAUUGACACGAUACUUGAUUAGGAGAAAAGUCAGUAGUAUUUUGUUUUAGUGGGAACGAGAGUGCGAGGUCUCAAUUAGAACAUGAGAUGAAGUUUCUACAUAACCGUAUAUGACAAAGAAAGAAGUCUAUGUUUCUAACUGGUGGGGCUUUUAAUUGAUGUGAGUUUGUUGAGAAAUGAAGAUGAACAUGUAUACUGACAUUGAUGUGAGUUAGUGAACCAGAUGCACAGAACCGUUCAGACCGGUUUCAGUCUCUGUUUUCAUCUUGAUAGAACGGCUCAGAACCAAAUCAAACUGUGAAUAUAAAUAAUUUAUGAAAAACAAAAAAUUAAUAAAAAUAACACAAUUGGCAACCUGAUUCCCACUGCAGCUCUAAAAUCAUCCUCCAUGAUCGCUGUAUGUACUUUUGUAAAUCGAAUGCAUAGUUGUUUGUGGACAGAUGAGUCUGCAAAAUUUGUGAAAACAUGCUUCAGAUAUAAACUACUGAAAUGUGAUUCAUGACAACCCCACACACACACACACACACACACAUAUAUAUAUAUAUAUAUAUGUUAACAUCAAAUUUUAUAAUUAUAAUAACUGUUUGGGUUAAAACUUAAAAUUUGGGCUCAAGUGGAAGUCAGCCCAAAGGGAAGUCUGGAAGGAAGAAAACCCAAGGUCCAGCCGAAGCCCAGAAGAUGGAAGAAGCCCUUUUUCAGCUAGGUGCAGACCACUUGAGCCACUUGCUCACCUACUCAAAGAACAAGUGGUGUAGAUCAACUAGCUAAUCAGCCCAAAAGUACUUUACAAUGGCAGUACAAGUAAAAAGCUGGUGAGUCACUACCCUUCAGUCACAUUCGAGCAAGAGCAAAGCUACAGUCAAUCGAGCCAAAUUGUCUAUAAAAUAAGAAAGAGAAAUUAGAAAUGAAGACACUCAAUCAAUCAAACAAACAAUCUUACAACUUGUUUAUCUCAGUCAAGCCAAGAAACCCACAAAGUUGUGCUUUGUCCAGAGUCUACACUCUUUUCAGCUUUAAGCUCCCUGUAGAACAGACAACCUUUGUCUUUAUAAAAGCUCUGCUACCUUGUCUAAAUCUUGAUGUAGUAUCGAUUCCCUCCUAUAAACUUCUCUACCAAUCUUCCCCUUCCAGCACCCAAACACUUUGUAACCACAAAGAGAGGAAGCUGCAAGACGAUCAACCUUGCCCGACCCUCUUUGUUCUGUCUGUUAAUUCAUAGAUCUAGCAGUAUGAUGUAUAAUUCAAUAUAUAUCCAAGUUAUUUAUAGUCAGUUUGUGAUUAAAAGAUCUCUUGGUUCUCGAAUCUGGUCUGAUUAAUGGUUUUAACCAUUACAAAAGAUAAGUAAAGGUUUGAGCUCAUAGCUUGAUCAAAUCUAAGUUCCAACCUUUCAAGCAUAUAAGAUUGAUCAACCAAAAGUCCUUGGUCUCAAGGCAUAAAAAAGAACUUAAUGUGGACUUAACCCAUCCACGACAAUCUUUGAUAACGAGAAGUCCGAGUUACUUGGGGCACAAGUAAUCGACCCAUUUCUUAGUUUUACAUCUGUUAUACUAUGAUCGCUAUAGAAUGCUUGAGUAUGGAAUUAAUUCUGAUGGUGAGCCUCAAGGCCUACACCUAAGGCCCCAUAAAGGCACCUAUCAGGGUUCGUUCUGCUCUUUGGGCCCGGGUGAUUAAAGUAAAAAUAGUUGUAAUACUUCCACAACAAUGAAACACCAGCUACAUGCCAGAGUACUUGGUCGGUUUUGAUUGUAAGCCUCAAGGCCUACAUCUAAGGCCUCACAAAGGCACCUCUCAGAACUGACUUGGUCCCUCGAGCAUAAGCAAUUAACCUAAACACUUGUUUUACAUUUGUCAUGCUAAAGAUGGCAGUGGCACGCCUGAGUACUUAGUUAGUUUUGAUUGUGAGCCUCAAGGCCUACACCUAAGGCCCCACAAAGGCACCUUUCAGAAUUAACUCUGUCAUUCUCUUACAGCCCGCCAAUAACCAAAAGGCCGACAUACAAUAUCAACCGGCACCAACCUCUCGAAGAGUUGUGUGCUCGUCGGCCAGAGAGCAUCUCCAGCAGAAAUUCCUGCCCGAACAUAGUUUUGGCACUUCUGGUAGGAUCAUCUUUGAUCAAUCUUACUUGCCAAGACAUGGCAAAUAUCCCUACAAAUUUACAAAGGUCAACUGUCCCAAAAAGAACAACUAAUGAAGAUUUGCAGACUACUUUGUUGCAAAUGUUACAAAGAAUGGAGAACGCCUCCAGAGGGUUCAGAGAAGAAGCAGGCCAGCUCCAUGCUUUGACAGAAGAUUCACAAGAAAAGCCCGAUCUUGUGGGUGCUAUUCCAAACAGUUGCACCAAGGUGUUGAAGAGAAAAGCAAACCUAGCUAUGGAACCAACUAUUCUCAUAUCUUUGCCUCUACUUGAGGAGAAAGGUGGUAGGGAAGAAAAGAGAGAUAAGAUCGAGGCCAGCCAGCCGGAGGUGGAGGUAACAUUGGUAAACAAUCCACCUAGCCCAUCGCUAUUCAUACAAGAUAGUCGGGGGCAGGUCAAAGCAAAAGUGGACAAGCAUGUAGAUCCCCUUUCUGAGGUCCCAGUAAUUAUGAUAAAUUUAACAUGGGCCGAGAAGGGAAAAGGGAAGGCUACAGAAGAAAGAAUGCUGGCCGACAGAUCUACAGAAGGGGUUAUCAAAUUGCCCAAAAAACCAAAAGCGGCCAUAAUCAAAGGGAUGGUCAUGUGUGGUAGAUGUCAAUGCAAGUGUGAACUCAAGAUACCACCAACAGGAGUUAUCAUAGAUCAUAAGUUGAUCAGAAGGAAAGAAAAAGAAAGGCAAGAAGCCCGCGAGAAAGUUAUGCGGGCAGCAGAAAGAGAUACUUCCCAGUGUGUUUUCCAAAGGUUGGAAGGAGAUUCCCAACCUAGGGGUUUAUCGGAGGUGUUUCAAAAUCAUGAAGCCUCUGAGGAAGCAGAAGACAAGGAGGCAAAAAUGCCAAAAUGGAAGGAUAUAAGGCCUCCUCAAUAUGGCCACAUGGGAGGAGAGAUCAGAAGAAAUAAUAGGAUAACAAAUCCUGCCAAAAAAGAAAAUCCUGCCCGCCUCGGCCGAAAGUGGUAUGUGGUUGAGAAAAAUGGACAGCCCGUCAAGAAAAUGGGAGCCUCCAUGGUUAGAAGGGUCUGGAGACAACACAAGGCUUACAUGAAUUCUUUACAGACUCCCGCAACGUCUGAAGACUCUAAGAAUGAAAAGUUUGAAAAAACAUCAUCCAGGGGAAAAAGUCAGUUCCAUUGGAGGAGUAAAAAAGAAGUGGAGAUGGCCAAUAGCAAGACGGAAGGCGAAGGAAACCACGUACCACAAAGCCCACACCCUGGGAAGUACAUAAUCUUGAGGAGAGCUCAAGAAGAUAUGAUGAUGAUGCCAACACCCAGAUGGAGGACAUAACUUAUUUGUUUUGGAACUGUCUCUCCCGAAAUGAGAGUCCCCUCACCAUUGUUGGUGGAUCCUUUUGGCGAAGUUCUGAGGCAAAUACUAGACUUUGGCAUAGAUCAGCAUGAGGGGCACCAGAACUAAUGCUCCUAUGAGAUGCACUGGCCUGGUUGGAUGAAUUCAUGGACCGCAUUAGGAGCAAGAAAGAAGACUUACCGGAACCCAGCAAUUUUCAUAUAAACAUGACAUAUGUUUUAUCAGCCAUGUUUGGUGCCGAGCCUAAUCAGCCCGCCAUGAUGGAGGGUGAUUAUUUGGCAGCAGAGCCAAUGAUGGCCCAUGUCAGUGUGGAAGUUGCUGAAGAAGGAGAGUCAGGAAAAGCUGAGUUGUUCGAGGCAUCCAAAAAUAAACCAAUGAGGAUCUAUACGGACAGAAUGGUGUUCAGCCGCCUAAACUUGAUGUUAGCCAAUCAUCUUAAGCCUAUAUACGUCACGGCUCAUUUGGAAUGAGUGUCUUUCAAAAGGGUUUUGAUUGAUGGUGGGGCAGCUGUCAACUUAUUGCCAGCCAAACAGAUGAAGAAGUUGGGAAGAAGGGUAGAAGAUCUCAUUCCCAUGGACCUAACAAUUUCAAGCUUCUCGAAAGCCAUCACCAUAACCCAUGAGAUAUUGCCCUUAGAAAUAGACUUGGGGUCUAAACAAAUUAUGCUGGCAUUCUUUGUGGUGGAUUGCACUUCCACCUAUGGAGCAUUACUUGGAAGAGAUUGGAUCCACCAAAGUCUCGCCAUACUUUCCACCCUACAUCAACAAAUUGUUGUUAACCACGAAGAAGGGACGGGAGAACCAGGUUUUUGGGAGAUGGUGGAGGCCGAAUCACAGACAUUUCUUCCUAUAGCCAAUGUUGCGGAGGCUAGUUUCUACAAUCCCAACGUAGGAAUUCUACAAUGUUCAGGAGUAGAUGAGAACGGUCGCCCUACUAAGGUGACGGCCCAAAAGCUCUUAGAACAGGGAAUGCUCUUCACAAGGGAGGAAUGAGAUAAACCAUGCAUCAUCCCAACACGCCAACACCAUUAAUGACAGAGCAAAAAAGGAAGGAUCAAGUAAUGGCAGUCAGGUCUUUGAUCAAAAGAUUGUUGGUGUAUAGGAGAGGAAGAAAACAAGAAAAGUAGGAAUGGCAGCUAGAAUUUCUAAACAGCCAGAGUAAAAACAAGGAAGAGCUUUGCGGAGAAUAAUUGGAUGCGGCCAUACAAAUGGCCGAAUACAUAUAUGACCUGGAUGGGCCAGACAACUUGCCCGAAAGCCCGGAGUUAGUCAAAUUUUUGUGUGCAGAGCCAGACAAGCCACCACCAGAGGUUCAGGAUCCUUUGGAAGUCAUUGAUCUGGGGACGGAAGAAAAUCCAAGACCCAUACAAAUCAGUGGCUUGUUGGAGACUGGCGAUCGGACAGAGAUCAUUAGCCUUCUGCAAGAAUUUAAAGAUUGUUUUACUUGGCAUUAUACAGAAAUGCCAGGUUUAGAUUCAACCUUGGUGGAACACAGAAUGCCCAUCAAGGAGGGAUAUAAACCUGUCAAGCAAGCGUCACGAAGGAUGUCAAAAGAAAUAGAAGAAAAUGUCAAAGAAGAAAUUGAAAGGCUAGUAAAAACUGGAUUUAUUAGGCCUGCCAAAUAUGUGGAGUGGUUGGCCAACAUUGUACUUGUUUUAAAAGCCGUAACAAAAGUAGUACGAUGUUGUGUUGAUUACAGAAAUAUCUCAUGGCGCUACACCAAAAGAUGAAUAUCUCAUGCCCAUGGCUGGCCUAUCCAUAGAUGCAGUGGCAAAGCACAAAGUCAUAUCUUUUAUGGAUGGGAAUGUCGGGUAUAAUCAGAUAAAAAUGGCUCAGGAUGAUAUACACAAAACAGCUUUUAGGUGCCCCGGGCACGUGGGGGCAUAUGAAUACCUAAUCAUGCCAUUCGGGCUCAAAAAUGCUAGUGCAACCUACCAAAGAGCCAUGAAUGCCAUCUUUCAUGAUUUAAUUGGCCGAAGCAUGGAGGUAUACAUUGAUGAUAUCGUGGUGAAAUCCAAGACAGAAGAACAGCAUUUGACAGACCUCAGGCAAGCCUUGACAAGAGUGAGGAUCCAUAGACUAAAGAUGAAUCCAAAGAAGUGCGCGUUUGGAGUGAGAGCGGGCAACUUUUUAGGAUUCCUUGUUCAUCAAAGAGGUGUAGAGGUGGACAAAAACAAGUCUCGAGCAAUAAUGGAGUCACCUUUGCCCACCAACAAAGUACAACUUCAGAUGCUGCUAGGCAAAAUCAAUUUCUUGAGAAGAUUCAUUGCCAAUUUAGCGGGCAAAAUCCAGCCGCUAACUUCUCUUCUGAGAUUGAAGGAUAAAGAAGAAUUUGAAUGAGGACCACCACAUCAAAAGGCUUUUGACAGCAUAAAAGACUAUUUAACUUCUCCACCAGUGUUCGUACCACCUCAAAGGGGAAAACCCUUAAAGCUAUACAUCUCUGCUUAAGAAAAAUCAAUUGGAAGUUUACUGGCCCAUGACAACAAAGGCGGGAAGGAGCAAGCGGUGUACUACCUUAGUAGAAUUCUGACUGAGGUAGAAACAAGAUACACCCCAGUAGAGAGAUUGUGUUUAGCUCUAUAUUUCACUACCGGCAAGUUGAGGCAUUACAUGUUACCUUGUCACGUCCACAUCAUAGCCAAAACAGACGUGAUUAAGUACAUGUUGUCAAAACCAAUGCUAAUAGGAAGGAUUGGGAAGUGGAUUCUAGCAUUAUCAGAAUUCAGCUUUCAAUAUGUACCCCAAAGAGCAGUCAAAGGCCAAGCAAUUGCCGACUUCUUAACAGAGCAUAAAGAGUCUCAGAAUGAGAUUAUUAGCAUCUCAAGAACCUUAGAGGUAACCAGUGUUUGGAUCCCAUUAAGCAAAGGCAUCUCGGGGCAAGGAGGAAUGGGUCUAACAGGAGAUAAAAAAAGUAAUAGGUUUUUGGGUCACUUCUUGAAAGCUGUAUUUUGAUGGUUUUUACACUCAGAAGGCUUCUGGAGCUGGGAUUGUCAUCAUAAAUCCUUAAGGGGUUCACCAUUAUUAUUCGUUCCUCCUAGAUUAUCAAAUGAGCACCAACAAUCGCGCAGAAUAUGAGGCCUUAAUAAUUGGCCUAGAAAAUACAAGUGCAAGCAAUCACCAUGGCUGGAUAUUACUUAGCAGCCACUCAAUUGUUAAGUUAUUGGGAUACUGAGAUAUCGAUUAAUCAUGUCCCCAGGGAAUCCAAUCUGGUGGCCAACGAGGUGGCGCAAAUGGCCUCCGGGGUACCAAUCCAAGAAAGAAAGUAUGAAGUAGAUAUUGAGAUUCAAAGGAGAAAUCUCCCUUCUAUUUUAGAAAGGGGAUUCAGUCUGGAUAUGAUGGUUGUAGAGCCCGAGAUAGAAGAUUGGAGAUCACCUAUCAUUCAACAUUUAAAGGAUCCUUCUUCACCCACAAGCAAAAAGAAUAGACAGCAAGCAACCAAGUAUGUCUUAUGGGCGAAAAACCUGUUAAGAAAAACUCCAGAUGGGCUACUAUUGAAGUGCCUUGGCCAAGAAGAAUCUAUGAGAGUAAUGGCCGAAGUACAUGAAGGGAUAUGUGGGGCACAUCAAGCUGGAACAAAGAUGAGAUGGUUUCUUAUGAGGUAUGGGUAUUUCUCGCCCGACAUGGAAAAAUAUUGCAAGUCCUAUGCCCGAGGCUGUGAAGAAUGUCAAAGGCACGGACAUCUCCAACAUGUGCCUUCAGUACCUUUAAAUCCAGUGGUCAAGCCUUGGCCCUUCAGAGGAUGGGCAAUGGACUUCAUCGGGUAGAUUUAUCCAGCUUCUAGCAAGGGGCAUACUUUCAUAAUAGUGGCAACGGAUUAUUUCACCAAAUGGGUAGAAGCCUUGGCCGUGAAGUCCAUAACCUCAUCUGUGGUUAAGAAAUUUAUUGAGACCAAGAUUCUGCACAGAUAUGGGGUGCCCGAAACCAUAGUCACGGAUCGUGGGCCAUCUUUUAUUUCAAAGGAGAUUGAAGAAUUUGCAAGUAAAUACAAGAUAAAGAUGAUUCAGUCUAAUCCUUACUACCCUCAGUCAAAUGGUCAGGCCGAAGCUAGCAAUAAGAUUUUGAUAAACAUUAUCAAAAGAAUGGUGACAGAUAGUCCGGAGAAGUGGCAUGAGAAGCUAGGGGAUACUUUGUGGGCAUAUCGAACCUUCAAAAGGGCAGGAACUGGGACGAUUCCUUAUGCUCUGACUUUCGGGCAAGAUGCAAUGCUUCCCAUGGAAAUCAAUGUGAGUUCUGUCAGAAUUCAGAAUCAAUUCGGGUUACACAGUGAAGAAUACAUCGAAGCUAUGUGUCAAGGGAUUGAAGACUUAGAUGUAGCCCGAAUUGAGGCCUAAACCAGAUUCAAGAAGGAAAAAGAGCGGUUGCCCAAGCUUACAAUAAAAAGGUGAAGUUAAAGUCUUUCAGAGAAAAAGACUUAGUAUGGAAGGGAAUCCUCCCUUUAAGAGCUCAGCUUAGGGGCUUUGGGAAAUGGAGCCCGACUUGGGAAGGUUCUUUUAUUGUUAGUCAAGUAUUAGACAAAGGCGGAUAUUACUUGGCGGACAUAGAAGGGAAUUGGCAGAAACAUCCCAUUAAUGUUAAAUUCUUAAAGAAAUAUUAUCCUACAUUAUGGGAUGUCAGGGAUUGUUAUAUAGAAGAAGAAAGAGGAUAACGCAGGGUUCGAGAUGAAGAAGGGCAAUGUUUGUUCAUCAACCAUUCGAAAAAGGCAUAAAGAUAAAAGCAGUUAAAAAGGUAUAUUUUAUUCAUUUCGACAAAUUGGUGAAGUUUACAUUCAGCUCAAAGGCUUUACUUUCUUAAAAAGCUAGAAUAGAUCCUAGAAAAGAAGUUUCUACAUUUCUCCUGACGCGCUUUAUCCAACUCCUUCCAGUUGUGAUGCCGACUCGUGCAGUCUUCCGGUGUCUUCAUUUGCAAAACCCGAUCAGGUGAUCGGGUUGUGCGACCAUAAUAGGCCUGGUAGAGGACCCUCAAAGAAAACUUUCACAAGAUGUGACGGUGAAGUCUGACUUAUGAGGGCAACUACCAAGCUGGCAUUUACUCGACUAAGCCUAUAUAUUCAACAAGCUUAGAACGAGUAGAACGUCUGACCAAAGGUGUUGGGGAUAACGGGACGUUUGACCAAAGGUGUUGGAGAUAUUAGCUAUUUGGUGAGGAUCUUUCUUACGGAAUGAGAGUUUCAAGACUUUCCACAUGAAUCCUGAUGAGCGUUUUUCCCCAGUUUCAGAAAAAGAUUUAGAAGGCAGGGACGCCCGAAGGUGAUGAAGACUCUCCAAGAGGGGAAAGUAUUGAAGAUGGCUUGUCUGCUAAACAUGGGGAGUGAUUGGUUUGAGUUGCUUGCUCAGAAAAUGAAAAUUUGAGCCGGAAUUUAUAAGAGCAUCAGAUGAUAACCAAAAGUCCAUGGGAAGAGCAAGAGACGCAAGAUUGCAUUAAUUCCGUCCAAAGCUACAAGUUCCGAGAAUAGGCGUGCACACACAAACGACUGUUUAAUCAAUAUUGGCGCUUGGAAUUCCAGCCUAAAUAAUGAUUAUAGGGGGCACUGUUUGGAUUAAAACUUAAACUUUGGGCUCAAGUGGAAGUCAGCCAAAGGGAAGUCUGGAAGGAAGAAAACCUAAGGUCCAACCGAAGCCCAGAAGAUGGAAAAAGCCUUUUUUCGGCUAAGCGCAGACCACUUAAGCCACUUGCUCACCUACUCAAAGAACAAGUGGUGUAGAUCAGCCAGCUAAUCAUCCCAAAAGUACUUUACAAUGGCAGUACAAGUAAAAAGUUGGUGAGUCACUACCCUUCAGUCACAUUCGGGCAAGAGCAAAGCUACAGUCAACCGAGCCAAGUUGUCUAUAAAAGAAGAAAGAGAAAUCAAAGAUGAAGACACUUAAUCAAUCAAACAAACAAUCUUACAACUUGUCUAUCGCAGUCAAGCCAAGAAACCCACAAAGCUAUGCUUUGUCCAGAGUCUACACUCUUUUCAGCUUUAAGCUCCUUGUAGAACAGACAACCUUUGUCUUUGUAAAAGCUCUGCUACCUUGUCUAAAUCUUGUUGUAGUAUCGAUUCCCUCCUAUAAACUUCUCUACCAAUCUUCCCCUUUCAGCACCCAAACACUUUGUAACUACAAAGAAAGGAAGCUGCAAGACGAUCAACCUUGCCCGACCCUCUUUGUUCUGUCUGUUAAUUCAUAGAUCUAGCAGUAUGAUGUAUACUUCAAUAUAUAUCCAAGUUAUUUCUAGUCAGUUUGUGAUUAAAAGAUCUAUUGGUUCUCGAAUCUAGUCUGAUUAAUGGUUUUAACCAUUACAAAAGAUAAGUAAAGGUUCGAGCUCAAAUUUACGAAUCUAGUCAGUUGAGGAAGAAGUGGCUUAGACCUAUUAUGAUGGUUCAGAUAUUUCUCAAAUUUACGAAUUGAAGGUUAAAUCUUUCAGACUUCGUCAAGAGGGCCGGCCAGCUGGUGCUCCUCAUCCUAAUAAUCCUUCUAAUCAAUCUUUAAAUUCUCGUCCUUUUAAUCGAGAAAAUAAAGAUGAUUUGAAGUGGACUUUCUAUGGACAAACCCGUCAUACUGAGGAUACGUGCUUUGCUAAGCAUAGGGUGCCUGAUUGGUUUCCGAAGUUGAAGAAAAAUUGCGUGCAAAGGAGCUUGGAAGUGCAAGCAAUAAUGGAGGUCGUGUCUUCCUAGCUACUGCUCCACCGAAGGCUAAGGAGGCCGAGCCUACUUCUUAUGACCCGAGUCAAACCUUGUUGACUCGUUCUACCCAUGGCGACUCAUCCUUCACCACAGGUACUAUAGGGCAUGGUCUUUUGGCCUCCGAUACUGAGCAUCAUACAGGUUAGAUUCUGGACUCUGGUGCAAUAGAUCAUAUGACAUAUGAUAAGAAUAUGUUUUCAAUGUAUGACAACAUCUCACAUGGAAUAUAUUGCCACCACCAAUGGUACCCGUGCCCCUGUUGUUGGUGAUGGCACUGUGUAUCUUACAGCCUCUCUCCCUUUACACCGAUGUUUACUUGUUCCAUCUUUAUCACAUCAUUUACUUUCCAUACCACAGGUUACUGAACAAUUGGAUUGUGUUGUUCUAAUGUAUCCGUCAUUUUAUCUACUUUAGGAUAUUCAAACCAAUGAGACAAUUGGGCGUGGCACUAAGAGAGAGCAGUUGUACUAUGUGGAUGAUGUUGUUCCUAGCAGAGCUCAUGCAAUACGAGUGUUCUGUGAUAGUAAUCUACAAGAAGUAUGGUUAUUGCAUCGUCGAUUAGGGCAUGCAUCCUUUAGAUAUUUAAGGCAUAUGUUGCCUAGUUUAUUUAGUGGAAUAAAUGAAUCAAACUUACAUUGUGAAGUUUGUAUUCUUGCUAAAAGCUACCGUGCUUCAUUUCCUCCUAGUAUGAAUAAAAUACCUUUUCCGUUUGAUCUUGUGCAUUCCGAUGUUUGAGGGCCUUCUCCAGUUACUACUUCUUCAGGAAUUCGGCGGUUUGUUACAUUUGUUGAUGAUUGCACUUGUAUGACAUAGCUUUAUGUGUUGAAAAAUAAAAGUGAUGUUAGUGCCAUAUUUCGAUCUUUUGCUCAGAUAAUUCAGACAUAAUAUUCUUCUGUUAUCAAGGUUCUCCGUUCUGAUAAUGGAGGAGAGUACAUCAAUUUUGAGUUGUCGGAGUUUCUACGUGAUCAAGGGAUUCUCCAUGAAACCACGUGUCCGUAUACUCCACAACAAAAUGGGGUUGCAAAGUGUAAAAAUCACCACAUUUUGGAAACAGCUCGUGCCUUGCUCCUUGGCGCCUCGGUUCCGCAGCGUUUUUGGCCUGAAACGGUUACCUAUGCCGUGUAUGUUAUUAAUCGUAUACCCUCUCGGGUGGUUAGUUUUCAAACACAUCUUCAAGUCCUCACACAACAUGCUCCAGUGGUGUCCAGUAAUACUCUCACCCCUCGAGUCUUUGGUUGUUUGGCUUAUGUUCAUAUUCAGAAAAUACAUCGUAAUAAAUUGAAUCCGUGUGCACUACGAUGUGUCUUUCUGGGUUUCUCUUCUCGCCAAAAGGGGUAUAAGUGUUACCAUCAUGAAACCCGGCAUAUGUAUAUAACCAUGAAUGUGACCUUCUCUCAAACGGGAUAUUUCUACACUUCUGUAUCCUCCACUUCAGAUCACCAGGGGGAGAACACUGUUGGUAAUCUGAAAUUGUUGGAUCUAUGGGAGAUGUGAUUAUUAAACAGCGUGUAGGACCUGGAAUUGUUGGUGCCGAAUGUACAGUGGGUACCGAGUGUAUUGAUAGCUCGGAUGAUGUUUGUGAUUUAAAGUUGAAUCUGACCGAACCCAUAAGAGAGUCUCAGCCAGCUAGUGUCAAGGAAUGUCCAGUUGUUCAGCAAUCCCUUGCUGAGCCCACUACACAUGCCCUUGUCGAGCCCAGUACAUCCUCUCUCUCUAGUUCUGAUGUGCCACCCAAUACAUCUUCUCUGAAUAUGCCAGAGGUAAGUAUCGUAAAUGAUUGUGUAACUAAUCUAAGUAAUAAUGUGAGUACUUAUAAAGUGCCACCAAGACAAAAUCGAGGUGUGCCUCUUGAUAGGUUUUCUCCUGAAGGGAAGGUGAAGUAUCUGAUAGCCAAUUAUGUAUCAUGUAACAAGCUUGCACCAGAACGACAUACAUUGGUGAGUACUAUGGAGUCUAUUCCAGUACCUACUCGAGUGGAGGAAGCUCUAAAAGAUCCAACGUGGGCAAAAGCAAUGGAUGAGGAGAUGUUGGCAUUACAGAAAAAUAAUACUUGGGAGGUGAUGAUGCUACCUACAGGAAAGAAAACAGUAGGAUGCUGAUAGGUAUUUACGGUUAAAUAUAAGGUUGAUGGAACUGUAGACAGAUACAAAGCAAGGUUGGUGGCUAAAGGGUAUACUCAAACAUAUGAGGUGGAUUAUCAAGAGACUUUCUCCCAGGUUUCCAAGAUGAAUAUGGUACGUGUUCUUAUCUCUUUAGCUGUAAAUAUGGAUUGUCCAUUAAAACCGUUCGAUGUGAAGAAUGCGUUUCUCCAUGAGAAUUUGAAGGAAGAAGUAUAUAUGGAUUUUCCUCCUGGAUAUAGCAAUGGUGGGAAUACCGGAGUAUGUCGGUUGCGUAAGUCACUUUAUGCGCUUAAACAAUCGCCUCGUGCAUGGUUUGAUAAAAUUACUCAAGUGAUGAAAAUGAAUGGAUAUCGUCAGAGUCAUUUUGAUCAUACUUUAUUUGUAAAGCGUAAACAAAAUAAAGUAACAACCUUGAUUAUUUAUGUAGAUGACAUGAUUAUAACAGGAGAUGACGUUGAUGAGAUGUCCAAGUUGCAAGGAAACCUUGCGGUUAAAUUCAAAAUGAAGGAUUUAGGAGAUCUGAAGUAUUUUUUGGGAGUUGAAGUUGCUCGCUCAUCUAAAGGUAUCUUCUUGUCUCAAUGUAAGUAUGUACUGGAUAUAUUAAAAGAGACGGGUAUGUUGGAAUGUAAGCCGGUAGAGACUCCUAUUGUUGAGAAACAUCAUUUGUGUUUGAAUCUAAGUCAGAAACCGGUUGACAAAGGUAGAUAUCAGAAGCUUGUAGAGAGACUGAUUUAUUUGGCUCAUACUCGUCCUGAUAUUGCCUAUGUUGUGAGUGUUGUGAGUCAGUUCAUGCAUUCACCAAAUGUGGAUCAUAUGGCUGCUGUUAUGCAUAUCUUGGCAUACUUGAAGUCGGCACCUGGAAAAGAAGUAUUGUAUGGGAAACACGGGCAUUUGAGAAUUGAAGGGUUUACUGAUGCAGAUUGGGCAGGUGAUGUAACUGAUAGACGGUCUACUUCUGGGUAUUUUACCUUUGUUAGAGGGAAUUUGGUGACAUAGCGAAGUAAGAAAUAGAAGGUGGUGUCACGGUCUUCAGCUGAGGCCGAAUAUAGAGGAAUGGCUCAAGGAAUUUGUGAAAUCCUUUGGCUACGAAAACUUCUUUUAGGACUUGGGGGUUUAAACCGAAGGAGAUCAUGAAGUUGUAUUUUGACAACAAGUCAGCAAGAGAUAUAGCUGAUAAUCCAGUGCAGCAUGAUAUAACGAAGCAUGUAGAGGUGGAUCUGCAUUUUAUUAAGAAGAAGCUUGAAAAGAAGAUUGUAUCAAUACCGUUUGUGAAUUCAGAGGAGCAACUUGUAGAUGUUCUUACUCAUGCAGUAUGUGGUCGAAAGUUUGGUGACUCACCUGUCAAGUUAGGCAUGCCACUACUAGAAAUUUGGCUAUAAGCCACCCUUUCAUUUGGUGGCUAUUGUCAAGUGUUGCCACUCACAUUGGUGGCAAACCUCUAUGGCCACCAAGCACCCACUAAACUAGAGAGUGUGGCCUAUGUAGAGGACUCUAUUGUAACAAUGGCUAACAAUAUUGCAUUGGUGGGUAUGUGAAUAGUACAACAUUUUUAUAUUUUAUAAUUAUUUGUAAAAUUCAAAAUAUGUCAUUGUCUCUCUUAUUAGUGGCUAGAUUUGAGACUAACAUUGGUGGUUUUCAGACUCAUACACCCACCAAUCCUAUGUGUCUCUAUUAGGAUCAGUGGCUUUUAAAGUAUGGGCACCAACAAUGGUGUGAAUCUAUAGCAUUCCAAAUGGCCUUUAUGUUCGAAUUGUAUUACAUGGCUGUUAAAUCAUAGCUCUGUACUAUAUUAAAACUCAUCUUCUUAAUAUAAACUUCACAUUGAUUUUAAAUUUGCAAAAGGAUUCACCUUGAUAACCAACCACACUUUAUAUCCCAUACGGAAUCAAUAACAAGGUUUGUCCCUUUUAAAGGAAGCAUAUUACAUUCAUGUUUGUUAUCCAACACAUCCAACUACCCAAGGGUGAUGAGAUUACAUUUUAUAAAACCAACAGUACAUAUGCACAUCCACCAAUAGCAACUGAACUAACAAAAUCCACCCAAUUGGAUCUAUGUCUUCCCUAUGACAUUUGUACUAUAUACAUCAAGCAAAAUUCACAGGAAUGAUCACAGUUAGCUUAUCACGUACUGAACCUAGUGACAUUCACCAUGCAUGGACGAUAGACAAUUAGCUUAUCACUUACUGAACCCAGUGACAUUCACCAUGCAUGGACGAUAGACCAUCUCAUCAUCUGUGCCAUUAUUCUGCAGCACAACAAUGCCAUCAUCUUCAACUUCUCCACUUGCCUAAAUCUCCAAACUAGUCCCUUGUUCAAUUCUAGUCACACAAGCUUGAGUCACAUCAACUCGAUUUGGUUCCACAAUGCCUCCAUCAGCAGCCCUCAUCAGCAUGGACAUAAUUGCAGCCCUCAGUUCACGUUUCAUGUUUCCACAACAAGGUGCCUAAAGAUGAAGUAGUCAAGUAAAAUAUGUAACGUAAACAAAUUAAGUAAAUAUAGUAUGUGAAUAAAGAGGACAAAAUUUACAUACGCAACUGCAAGGGAGUAUAUUAUUUUAGAAUUCAAUUUUUGUAAGAGGAAAAAAAACUCCAAUCGCUUUUAUGAGUGACAUUGUAUAUAUGAGUCUUGCACAGGAUUUUAGGGUGCAGGUGUCACGCCCCGAUCCCAACUCCAGGAUCGACACGUGAUGUUACCAAACACUCGUAUCUCAACAUACCCCGUUUCCAGAAUAUGGCAAAUCACAACUCAAGAAUCAAAUCGCAUAGUCAUUUUUCCGUAUACUUUAUGGCUGCAUCUAACAUCCUCGUUAGACUGCCUACGUACCCUUAUUAGGGAUCAAGCCAUUUGUAGUUCGUCCAUUCGCUACACUCGAACAUUCAUCACAUAAACCACUAUAUCUCAAAAUAAUACCACAAUUCAAUUAUAUAGCACCUCAAGGAGCAUUUAACAAGGCACAAUAUUAGUAUCUAUUCAUAUCAUCACUCAUCCACACAUAUGUAUUCCAACACCAUCCAAUUAUCACAUCAAUCAAUAAUACCAAUCACCAUAUUAUCAAUAACACAUACAAUUCAUCGAAAUACUCAACGAAAUCCAUCAACAUCGGGUUUCAGAACUCUCAACGGAACCAAGACACCAAAGGGGAUUCCGGACCAUCACUCAACGAAAUCCAAACUAGGAUACGAUUCCGGACCAUCACUCAACGGAAUCGCGGAGUAGAAGGGAUUCCAGACCAUUACUCAACGAAAUCCAAACCAAGAUACGAUUCCGAACCAUCACUCAACGAAAUCGCGGAGUAGAAGGGAUUUUGGACCAUCACUCAACGGAAUCACAUGAUAGAAGGGAUUCCGGACCAUCAUUCAACGGAAUCAUAAGAUAGAAAGGAUUCUGACCAUCACUCAAUGGAAUCAUAGGAUAGAAGGGAUUCCAGACCAUCACUCAAUGGAAUCAUAGGAUAGAAGGGAUUCCGGACCAUCACUCAACGGAAUCCAAGCAAAGCAUAUGGUACCUACCAAAUGUACCAGGUAUAUCUAAACCUUAUCAUCUCCAUAAUUACAACGUAGUCACUUACCACAUUCACUUCUCGCGGCCACCAACUAAUAUGUCACACAAGCAUAUAAGUUCUAUAGAAUACUUCUAAUAGGAAUAUACGAUCACAUUGUCACCACAUUUAUCGGACUUACCCUUCACAUUACUAAAAGAUAAUUAAACGCACAUAUAUCACAAUCAUCACUCUUACCCUUCAUAGACUUUCUUUGUGUCAUGUUUGGUGAUACACAAACUCUCACAAAUGGUGUUCCUGACAACCGACCUUGCUACUAACAAACUGCAAUAACAGAAAUUACAUCAUAUGAAAGUAGUUAAAUAAUUUUAUUUAAUCGUAGGUCAUAAAGCUCAAAACUUUCUAUCAAAAUAAUUCAAAACCUCAAAUAGAGAACAAAACAUCUACAUUGACAAUAACAACCCCGAACAAUGAACGAAACAUUGAAAUGAAAUCAAAUCAUGUGAUACCUUUUCAAGUGAUGCCCCUAUGAGGAGAUCAAAUUAUGUACCCUAGAAUGGACUGAAAACUGCUCAAUGAGAAUAAAACCAAGCAAAAAAUAUAAGCAAAAACUGGGUUCCAAAGUACGCCCCAAAAUUGUACUGCUUAGACUACUGUCUCAAUUGAGCGCAGCAAAAUGGAGACCCCAACAUUCAAUGAUAAAGAGAAUGUUUUCGUGCCAAUAAAUGCCUCCUUGAAGUUAGAGAGGGAUAUGAAGGACUACUCUACCACUCUUUGAUUAUUAUUUGUAGCUGUUAGAUAGCAAUGCAAAAGCUCUCAUGAGGGGAAAUCGCAGAGGCUGGUCCUAAUUUACGAGACAACAUAGAUGCAUGUACGUAAACAGCAGGGAGUUGUCCUACAGAGGCCAUGUCGCUUCCUCGUCUACUAAUAAUUACAUUGUUUUGAAGUUGUAGACCACAUAACGAAGCAUGGAAUGUAGCUUAACUAUUAGCAUUCAUGCAGGGGUCGUAGGUAUCAGCUUUAACUCAUACCAAAACUCAAAAACACAUAAAAUAUCAUAUGCAAGUUCUUUCAUAGCCAUGUUAAUGUAAACCAAACUUUCUCUACCAAAGUCCAUUUUUGUGUUUACGCUGUUUACAGAACACAAGCACAAAAUGUGAUAUCCUUAUAGCAUAAGCUUAACCAAGAGUGGAACUUUACAUAGAUAGUUCUACUUAUACCCAUUUUCUUUCAGUUUCUACAGGCUGUAAGGAUAGUGGUUUGUUUAAAAAAAUGUAGUUGCGAUUUGCCUAACUCGUGAUGUUGUGGAAACAGUACAGAGAUUCUUAUAUUUAUACACCAACCAAUAACUCCUAGCUUAUAUCUGCAAUAACAAUAAUAAGCAACCCUGUAUGGUUUCCAGUUUGAUCCAACGUGAACAGAUAGAAGAAGCACUUCAAACUAAACUAACAAAAAACUCCAACAUAAUCGAAGACUUAAUAAACAAAUUGAAAAGUUUGGUCUAAAAAAUGUUGAAUAUUGAAUAUGAGAAACACAAAAUUACCUGUUUUUACUCCCUAAAAUCAAUUCGAUGUGUUGCAAGCCCCAAAUUGAUUGUAAGAAACCCAAUUGAUAAUAAAUAAUGAACCGAGGAGCUUAAUCUGUUGAGAAAUUAAAAGGGCAAGGUAUGCGAAGCAAAUACCCAGCAACGUGGGAGCCGAGUUCCAUUGCCCACGCCAGUCGCCAACAAAACGAAGCCACUAACAAUCUUGUCCAUUAUGCCCUGUCCGCAUCCUGAGACUGAGACUGGUUCGCGGAACCGCCCGACUUCAUCACUGAUUCAAUAAUGACCGAGAUAUGCGAUUAGGGUCCAAGGCUCUAUCCUUCUAUGAGUUUUUGAUGCGAAAAUUAUCUUAACACACAAAUUUAACCCUCUUUUGACAAUUGUAGUAUAAGUAUAAGUAGGGAUCGUUCUAGGCCGGGGAUUAAGAGGGAUUGCUAAUUUACUCUAAACUGACUCAAAGACACAAAAACAAACUUAAAAGCGUUAGGAUAGAUUCAAAAUACUCAAAACUAGUUCACAAGACUCAACAUAAGCUAAGAAGACUCAAAACUGCCUAAAAACAACAACUAGGCAAUUUCUGACACUAAACACAAUUUUGGACGAAAAUAAAGUUUGGACUUGACUCAAAACACUUAAAACGCAAACAAAACAAGUUUAAAAGAAUUUGAAACAAGAAAGUAAUGGGGGGUUUGAUUUGGACGAACUUAGAAUAACAAAACAAAUUGUAACUUAAAAACAGGUUUGAAAAUAAAUUUAGAAAAUUAGAUGGAUGAUGGGAUAGCUAGAGGAUUUUUCUCCACACAUGACAUGUAUGCAAACAACUCGAUUUCCAGUUACUACUUCAUUGAAUUAUGAACGACAAUACUCCAAAUUAACUGUGACAUCACUAGUUAACCCUCAAAUUUUCCUUGUUUUAUUGGAUUGGAUGACAUCAUUCGACAACCCAAAACAUUCUUCAAAAGUUCCCUACAUGACAUCAUAAUAGAGAUACAAUCAAAGAUCAUUACAUUUAAUGAAAAUCAUAAGCAUUGACAAAGCACUUGCAACUAUGACAUCAUGUCACUCAUGCUAGGAAUUAAACUUAACGCGAUCGUUUAUAAGCGACCUCCACUACUUGUGAAUAUAAGUUUUUAACAAUUAUGUGAAACUUUCUUAUACUCUAGCAUCGGAUUUAUGCAUGCCAAUUAAGUGUCGACCCUUAAUCAACAAAUACAAAUAAGUUAUCAAUCAAACAGUUAAGCCAAUUGCAUUCAUGAUUCAAGAAUUCAUAACUGGAAUUUAUCAAAUCAUCUUGUACACAUAAUCAUGGCUUUGAAAUCACCCCUAGCCAAGAGGGGUUUAGCCACUCAUGUUCACAACAAAACGAAAGAAAAUGAAUUUAAACAUUGGAAACAAAAGAAAGAAAACACCUAAACGCUCCAAUGAUCCAAGUUGACAGCAAGCACGUCCAAGCACUUUCCUUUCCUUCCUUUGCUACGGCACAAGGUGUUGGUGAGUGUUUGAAGGUUGUUUGUAUGGAGGAAUGAAUGUAAAGAUGAAUGGAUGUGUUUGGAUGAAGGUUGUGUUGAAAUGGGAGUGAAUGAUCUAACAAAAUAUGCACUAAAUUUAUGUUACACACACUUCCUUUUAUAGAGGAAGUGCAAGGCAAUGGAGGGGGACAUGAAGUGUGUGUGCAAUGAUUCAAGGGUGAAAGUGAAGUAAUGAUGCAAAGCAUGGGUAAAAUAGAGUGGUGUUGAAAUGAUUCAAGGGUGAAAGUGAAGUAAUGAUGCAAAGCAUGGGUAAAAUGGAGUGGUGUUGAAAUGAUUCAAAGGUGAAAGUGAAGUAAUGAUGCAAAGUAUGAGGGGUAAAAUGGAGUGGUGUUGCAACAAUGAAUGCAAGUAGGGAACAUGAAUGAUUGUGCACAUGGUAGAGAAAGGAAAGUGAGGUGGAAUGGUGUAGAAAUGAGUCAAGGGUUAAGGUGGAGUGAUGAUUGAUGCAAGAAAUUUGGAAUGAUGGAGGGAACAAGGGUGGUGCAAGGCAAUGAGUGAAUGAAAUAGACAAGGAAUGUUGUUGGAACUUAGGGACAUUGAGGAUUAGGAAAGAUUAAAUCAAAAUAAGGUAAUCUUGACUCAUGUUUCUUCAUUGGUUGCUGAGCUCUUUGUCCUUUUUAAAUUAAUUCUUCUUUCUCUUUAACACAUUCCUAGCCUCUUUAAUCUUCAAUUUCGCCUAUCUACUUAGCUCCAAGGAUGUGUUAUAUAUUCCAAGCCCAAAACUGCUCCAAAAGGCUUCAAAAUGCACAUUUUUGCGUACGUUGUCCUUAGAACCUGAAAUUGCACGAAAAUGACUUUAAACACUAAAACAACUAAGGAAUAACAACAUAAAUGCAUGAGAACAAGCUAACUCAGUCGCAUAAAUAUGCUCCUAUCAGUUUUGGCUCUAUCUCCCUUUUGUAUUGGACGUGCAUCCGUAGGUCCUGAUAAGCAAAUAUAUAUCCCAGCUUUAAAAACAAAAAAAUUAACCAGUACGUUCCCAACAAAAUAAAUAACAAAAUACAUAAUGAAAUUAAAAAGUAGAAGGAAAGAAAUUUUAAGAAAUAAAGAUAUUUAACAACCACCAAUCAUUGGUGGCUCAAUGUUGAAGGCCACCAACAUCAGCGGCAUCCCAUGGUAAAACCACCAAAAAAUAGUAAGAGUAGCAACUUUACAUCUAUGGCCACCAAUUGCAAAGGGUGUGAAAAAAAUGGUGUCCUAUGAGCCAAAAUUCUAGUAGUGUGUGUGAUAUCUAUGCACCAACUUAAGGGGAGUGUAAACGUGAGUCAUUAAAAAUAAGUAUGUAAAUAUAUUGUAAAUAUUAGGAGUCCUUUAUUAGGAAGUUUUAAUUGUUGUGUCCUUUAUUUAUUAAGGAAAACUAAUGAAAAGAACUUGAAAACUUUGAGUUUUAACGAUAAAGACAAAAUAAAGGGUAAAAUGAAUAGUACCAGGUUUGACUUUUUAGUGUAAAAAUGUGGUUUUUCGUUAAAGUGAACAGUACCGUGGGUUUUUCGUUAAAACUCCCUAUUUAUUAUUGUUUCCAUAUAUAACAAGGAUUGUAUUUGUAUAUAUUUCAAGGAAGUAAUACAAUGAAAAUUAUUCCAUAAAAUUCUAUUAUUAAUGUUGUAUCAUAUCUCGGAGUUCGGGAUGUAACAUUAUUGUGAUUCGAUUUAGGUACAGACCUUACCAGAGUGACAAAGACAAGGCUCCUCCAGGGAGGACUAGUCGGAGGUGUGAAUGGACAUUUAUUUUAGAGAUGUUUCUUUACUUCUUUCACUACUCGAGAUUGCAGCAUAUCGGACGUAUAGCGCUGAUAGAAAGGAAAAAGAGAAUCGAUUAAGAAUUGAAAGAGCCUAUGGAAUUGUCUUCAAAGGAAUGCUCUCUUUUGAAUUCCUUAUUGUUGUCAAAGUCCUCAACUCGUAAUACUGAGAGAUUGAAUCUUUCACGCUCGGCCAAACUUUUCUUGGAAUUUGAAUUAGAUGAAACCAAGUCCUCAACUCGUAAUACUGAGAGAUUGAAUCUUUCACGCUUGGCCAAACUUUUCUUGGAAUUUGAAUUAGAUGAAACCAUAUGAACCUUGAACAGAGCAAAACAAAACUAAUACUGAGAGAUUGAAAUCAUUGAAGUGGACGUGGAUGCUGGGUACUUAACACUCAAGGAAAUCAGUCCAAGAAUGAAAACUCUCUUUUCAUUUGCUAUCCAAUUUUUUGGAAUUAUGUGUGUUGUCCAAUGGAUUAUUCUUUUUUUAUUAAAUUUCUAAGGAAAAUGAGCAUAAGGCGUAAAAGUUGAACUAAUGAAAUUUCAACGAUUUGGAAAGGGAUUAUGAGUUUGCCACGCCACGAAAAACUAUAUUAGAGAGAGAUGAGACAUUUUUUAGAAGAAAACCUCAUUUUCUAAGUGGUACACGCAACUUGAUUAGAAGAAAAGUCAUAGUAUUUUAUUUACUUCCAACUCUUUGGGGAAGAGAGUGCAAGUUUCCAAUGGAAUAUGGGAUGAAAUUUCUACAUAACUAUAUAUGACAAAGAAAGAAGUCUUAAGUUUCUAAGUGGUGAGGCUUCUAAUUGUGUGAGUUUGUUGAGAAAUGAAGAUGAACAUGAAUAUUGAUAUUGAUGUGAGUUAGUGAACAAGUUGCUUCGAUCUCCUUUGGCCCUCUAAUAAGAUAAUAUCGGAAAACAAGUUGUUACUAAUAUUUUUUUAAGUGUCACUAGUCUCGCCCUAUUGUCUUAUUUUUUUCAUCCACAUUAUAAUCUCACCCAUCAUAAAAAAUUAAAAAUAAAAAACUCUAUUUUCCCACCCACCCUUAUUCCUAAUAUAACCUUUUAUAUAUCUCUAAAUUCUUUUAGAUUUUAUCUAUUAGAAUAUAUAUAUAUAUACACACACACACACACACACCUCAACAAAAAAAUGAUAAAAAUUAGUUAACCAUCCCAAUUCCAAAACCGUAGAAGCAACAUAAUUCCAAACCCCAUCUGCACCACGAUCCUCAAUACGGCAGUCGUACCAACACCCAAGCUCCACCCCAUCCAACCUUCGCAACAACUGCAUUCCCUUCUCUGAAUGUAUGAGAACAAGAAAUACAUUUUUUUUUCAUCGUGUCUGGAGUAGCCAAGGAGGAGAAAAAGAAGUAGAAGCAAAACAAUAAAUCACACUAGAAGAGUCACUUUCAAUCCAUAAAUUUUGCCAAGCAUGCGCGUCAGCCAACUCCACAGCACGGAUGACCGCAUGAAGCUCCGCAUAUAAAGAAGUAUGAUGUCCCAAGCUCAAGGAGAAAUCCCUAAGAAAAUAACUCGCAGAAUCUCGAAAAACCCCACCACAAGCUGCAGGACCUGGGUUACCUUUAGCGAGGUUUUCCAUAUUCACUUUGACCCAGGAAAAUGAAGGGGGAUGCCAAGGAACGUGAACUAUGGAAUGAGCUUGACAAGACUCAGCCGAGAUUCGAAGAGAGAUUAAGAGUUGUUUAUCCAAAAUACCACGUACAUGAUCAUGAGUGAAAACUCCAACCUGCCUAAUCCAUGCCAAAGUGGAACGACAAAUGUGUGCAAAGGAAUGAGGCUUACUAAUACAUGUACCGGAUUGGUAGACUAAGACGUACGGUAAGAUUUUUGAUAACCAGAGAAGAUGAACACUGUCAAUGUCGUGACAAAAUUUAUCCAAAUAGAUCCAAACACUCAGGAAGUUUCAUAUGCAGAUCUAGAGCUAAUUUCCUUUUUUUAUCUUAUAGUCAUUACGUAAAAUGUAUAUGCAUAUUUCUAGAUGCAUACACACCAAUGUACAUAAUAUUAACUCCUUUCAAGUAGUCAUUUGCAAAUUUAUUUCAUGUGCCAUUUGUAAUGCUCAUGUGGUACAUUUCUAAUAUCUUAUAUAUAACUUUUUGUGAUCCGUUUCUUCAUCACUAUGCCUAAAUACCUUUAGAAUUUGGUAAUUUCCUCACCCCAAACAAACCCUAACACUCUGUUUAGAUAUGGUAAAAAAACUCGAAAUUUCAUUUAAACUCGAAAUUUCAUUUAAACUCGAAAAUUUAGGGAUGGGAAAGAAAUUUUCCCUUAUUUGGCACUUGUAGCGAGAGAAAAAGGCAAAUUCUAAGGGAAAAAAGUUGAAAUAGGGGAUGAAGAUUUUCCGAUUUUAAUUUCAUCUAAAUAGGUGUAAUUUCACAAUUCCAACUACGACGAGAAUCACAAAUUCAUAUGUAGGAAAAUCUUGCAAGCGCAAAACUUUACAAUUAGGGCACCAAAAUUUCAUGAUAAAACCUGAUAAGGGUUUAGGGCUGCAUCUUUCACUCUACUAACUCUCCAAUCUUCAAAGAGAUUUUCGGCUCAUGCAUCAUCUUCUUGCUUUUGUUAGAGGUCAGCGCCUCUAAUAUCUUCUUUCUUGAAUUAUUUUAGCUUUUCGGGUAUACUCUUUAAGCCAAUUGUGAAUUUUUGCUAAUUAUUUUUAUUUUCUGAUAGUCAUAAGUUUGUUGUGCUUGUUUUCUUUCUUCCGAUUGAAUUGUGUGUUGGUUGGAUCUGUGACACAAUUUUCAGUUUUUUUAUGGAUUUUGCUGCUAGUUCUUUGUUAUAAAUAUUUUGCUUUUGAAGGUUAACAAUAGCCAAGACUGAAUAGGAUGAUUUUGGCGUUAAUUACUAUCUCAUGGUACCAUACCACCACACGCCAAAGCCACCAUCACAUCAUCAUCGCCGCCACCACGAGCCCAUAGGACAACAAAAGCUUGGAGCUUGGGUGGCAGAGGAGAUAGCACCACACGCCAAAGUCACCAUCACAUCAUUAUCGUCGCCACCACGAGCCCAUAGUAAUGGACUUGGAUUGUCUGCCCUCCUAGUUGUGGUGCCCUUCCAUGCCCUCCUAUUUUGUACGGUCACGGUUAAGCCACGUCAAUAUUUUAUAUUAAUUUUUUAAUGAGAUAAUAAGACAAAAAAUAAUUAAAAUAUAAAAUAUUGACGUGGCUUAACCGUGACCGCACAAAAUAAGAGGGCAUGGAAGGGCACCACAACUAGGAGGGCAGACAAUCCAAGUCCCAUAGUAAUCGGCAUAAAAUCAUUAGCCUUAAACGCCGCCAGGGGUUUCCGCCGACUGAGAAAAAGAUAAGAUUUGUGAACACCGAGGUCAUAUCGAUGGCAUCAUAUCAAAACUGAAAUCUUUUAAUCAUCCUCAUCAUUACAGCUAUCCACAAAUUGAAGCAACGAAUUGGGCAAGUGUGCAACAAAUUUCCAAUGUGGGUUUAAUGAGGUUUGUAGUUAAAGAGGGAUGCAAUUUAAGGAUCUGUUCUUGUAAUUUUAUCUGUUCACUUUUGCUUUAUUUGUUUUUUGGUUGCAUUGCCUCAAAAACCUUGUGCUUAUACAUGUAUACAGAACUUUUGGUUAAAACAAAAAGUCACAUAUACCGUAAUUAUUUAAAUUUUGUUGCAUAUCACAAUAUAUCUUUGUUCAUACAUUCAAACAAGCAUGGCAAAUACCGAGGAGGAACAUAGGAAAAAAAUUAAAAUUAUUGUUACAAUUGUAUAUUUUAUUGACAUGGUCAUGCAUUGGUAUAGUAAGAGUUUCCUUGUCAUAGAAUUUUCAAAUGAUUGGGAUCAAGAAAGACAACAUUUUUGAAACUGAUUAUUCUCACCACACAGUAGAAACAAUUUUUUUAAAAGCAUAGCAAUACCAAACUACUACUGUCAUUCUCCUUGGCGCUAUAUUUUUCCUUAGCGCCAUAAGUUUGCUAAGGUGAAGAACCAGCGUCCAUUAAUUUCCAUAUGGAGAGAGAAAGAGAGAGAGAAGACCAAGUAGUCUCAUAAUAUAGGUGGUGUUAAAUCACCUUCCGUGAAGUUGCAAUGGUGUUUGAAACAGUUAGUCAACGGAAAAGACAGAAUUGUGUAUUAUAAUGCUAUCUCGCUAUCCCUCUUUCGUUAAUGGAGGGCACCGUAUAAAUGUAUAAUUACUACAUAUAUAUCUCUGCUCAAUUACAAAAAGAAAAAUCCAUGCGCAUUAUUUUUAUUAUUAUUAGCUUAGAAAUGCAGAAAUUGUUCAUCUCUUCCCUUUAUGUGUGCCCGGACUGGUUUUCUUCAAACUAGUUGGAACAAGCCAAUAUGUGUGCCCGGAAUCCAAGUGUGGCGAUGAUCAAGGCCCGGCUAUCCAAUCCCCAUUGCGCAUCAGCGUCACACAUCAGUGUGGAAAUCCUGGGCUUGAAUGCAAUGGGGGAUAUGAGCAGCAAAUACUAAUAAAAUCAUUUGUCAAACACAUAGAUUACAAGCGUCAGGAAAUCCAAGUAUAUGAUCCAAGCAACUGCCUGCUGCUAAAGCUUGCUGAAAUCACAACCAUGCCACCCUCUCCCUUCUACUUGACAAAUUUUAGAAACCUUAACCUUACCUUAUUCAGUUGUCCUACUUCUGUUGCAAGAGAUAUGGAUUUGUAUCAAGUCCCCUGCCUCGGCGACCCUAGCAGCAGAAUUUAUGCCAUUGAUUCUACAUACGAAUUAGAAGAUUUCUUCCAGAAUCUACAAUCUUGUUCAAAGAUGUAUGAUGUUUUAUCAGUUCCAUUUGGCGAUUGGGCGGGUAAUGGCCGUGUUCUUCAAUUCAAAUGGUCGAAACCAAAUUGUACAGAAUGUGAAGCAGAGGGAAAGAGGUGUAAAUGGAAGAACAAUGGCACCAACAGUGAAAUUGAAUGUCAACACGUGAGCAAACCAAGUAAGGAGAACAUUUUAUAUUCAUUGCUAAUUUUAAACAUCGUUAUAUUUAUGUCUCAGUAAGUAUUAUUUGAAGGAUGUUGUCCGAUCCAUAUUUCUGAGGAUAUUAAUUGUCAUUCUCAAUUUAAUUUGCAAUUCUUUUACAGGCAACACAUGGAAAUUAGUGGUUACAGGUGGAGUCCUGGGUUCUUUGCUUCUUGUUCUACUGAUGAUUGCAGCAUAUCGGGUAUAUAGAGCUGAUAGAAAGGAAAAAGAGAGCCAAUUAAGAAUUGAAAGAUUCUUGGAGGAUUACAAAGCACUCAAACCAAGCAGGUAUUCGUAUGCAGAUAUUAAGAGGAUUACAAAUCAAUUCAAGGACAAGUUGGGCGAAGGAGCCUAUGGAACUGUCUUCAAAGGAAUGCUCUCUUCUGAAUUCUUUAUUGCUGUCAAAGUCCUCAACAGUUCCAAGGGAGAUGGGGAAGAGUUCGUAAAUGAAGUGCGAACGAUGGGUCAUAUCCACCACGUCAACGUGGCUCGCUUGGUUGGAUUUUGUGCUGAUGGAUUUAUACGAGCUCUUGUUUACGAGUUCUUCCCCAACGGUUCCCUGCAGGAUUUCAUUUCAUCAGCAGAUAGUAAGAAUUCAUUUCUUGGUUGGGAUAAGCUGCAAGAUAUUGCCCUAGGCAUAGCCAAAGGAAUUGAAUAUCUUCACCAGGGAUGCGAUCUACGAAUCCUGCAUUUCGACAUCAAACCCCAUAAUGUUUUGCUAGACCAAAACUUCACUCCAAAAAUUUCUGAUUUUGGUUUGGCCAAGUUAUGUUCCAAGGAUCAAAGCUUGGUGUCCAUGACUACAGCUAGGGGGACCAUGGGCUACAUUGCACCUGAAGUGUUCUCCAGGAAUUUUGGAAAUGUGUCUUACAAGGCAGAUGUCUAUAGCUUUGGAAUGCUAUUGCUUGAGAUGGUAGGAGGAAGGAAAAAUAUUGGUUCAACCACGGAGAACACUACAAAUGAAAUUUACUAUCCACAGUGGAUUUAUAAUCUUCUAGAGGAAGGGGAUGACCUACGAAUCCAUACUGGGGAAGAAGAAGAUGGUAAAAUUCCAAGGAAACUUGCAAUUAUAGGGCUAUGGUGUAUCCAAUGGCACCCGUCAGAUCGUCCUUCCAUGGAAACAGCGGUUCAGAUAUUAGAAGGAGGAGGAGAAAGCUUGACAGUGCCGCCUAAUCCCUUCAUGCCUACGGGUCCUACAACUAGAAAUGCAAGACGCCUAGAGCUAGAAGCAAUUGCUGAAUUAGAGUAAAAUGUAAUAUGCAAAUGUAUAGUAACAUUCGCAUUGAAUGUGUAAUGAUUCAAACCUAUGGGAUAUUUUGAUAACUAUUUCGUUUUGGUACCAACCAAAAGAAGUUUGUUUCCACUCCUUGUUUAAGUAUUAGAUGCCAAUUAUUGUUUUUUUUUUUUAAUUUAUUUUUGGAUACAGUAGAAGCCUAGAAGGAAAUCGAGCACUAAACUUACCAAAUUCUAACUCAUUUCUACACACCAAGAGCUUGAUUUCGGUUCUUAUUUAUACUAUUUAAUCUCUAACCCGUGACAAUAAUUAGAGCACUAUCAUUUGUUGUGAGCUUCAACUGGUUAGCAUUUUGUAUGUUUUAAACUUUUGAUUAGAAUAUAUAUUUCAUUUAGACUUAUCUUGCCAUAAAGCAUGCCAUACCCUCUUAAGUUUUUCUCUUCGCGUUGAGUUUAUGAUAAGGAAACUUGUCAAACAAAGUGGAUUGAUUAGUAACUGAAGCUAAUUAUUCCGCUAAAUAUUAUUUAGAAUUUUAAUUAAAAAAACAAUAUGAAUAUUUUUGUUUGAUUUGAAAACUAUAAAAUAAAUAAAAAGAUUAAAUUGUUAAUUGUUAAAAAUGGAGAGGUGAUAAAUAUUGGUAGAGAUCGAAUUUGUACAAGAAUGUAUAAGCAUUAUUGCACUCUCCCACAACGAUAAAUCACAUUAAACAAAAAGUAGUAGUUUGAGGAUGGAAGAAACUUCAUGGAUACCGGGUAAUCAACACAAUAUUGGGUGGGGUGUAGAGGUGACGCGGAAGGAAUUGGCGAGCUGGUAGAAGGAAUGGGAUUUGGGGACGCAAGAGAUUGCGUGGAAGGUAGAGGCGGGCGUGAGGGUGACGUGAGGGCAAGGGAAGUAGCAGACCGUGUGGGCUGCUGCUGUGGUUGAUCCACGAGAUGGAUUGUGUGCCCUUCCAUCCUCAUACCCUUUUAUUUUGUGCGGUUACGAUUAAAUCACGUCAAAAUUUGUUUUUUAUCUUAUUAUUUUUAUAAAAAAAUUAAUAUAAAAUGUUAACGUUGCUUAAACUUGACAGCACAAAAUAAGAAUGCAUGAAGAAGGUAUAAAAAAGAGAGGACAGACAAUCCAUCUCCGUUGAUCAACUAGGCUGGCAGGAUAGCCUUUUUGACCAAAUUAUUAAGCGCAUAGAUUUUUUGACCAAGAAGGUAGCCAACAAAUAUGCAACAUAUUUCACGGGAAUCAAAUUUGUCAGUGGGAUGGACACUCAUAUUCUUCGUCAUUCAUUUUUGGUGUUGAAAAAUAUAAUAAAUUAUAUCAAUGUUCUCUUAAUUUUAAAUAAAUUGAAAAAAUAAUUUUUUAACUAAAUAUUCAUUAUUAUUAAUCCAUUAACUCAUCAAAAUAUGUAGCUAUAGUCAUUUUCAUCAGCUCUCUCAUAAUUAUGUCAAAAUGAGUUAUGUUGGAAUGAUCAUUGCCCCAAUUGGGUUAAAGAUAUGGACCAUUGCUCCCAUUGGGUUAAAGUUGAUUGACAAUUUCUCCAGUUGGAUUAAAAUUGAGGGACCCUUAAUAUAAUUUUUCUUAUUUGAUUUUUCAUAUUUGCCCCUUGAUUUAGCCUCCAAUUUACUUUAAAAAAUAAAAGUCUCCUACUUUAGUUGAAAGAUCAAUGCUACAAUUUACUUCAAAAAAUAAAAGCCUCCUACUUUAGUUGCUUUGGAAAAUCCUUUCAACCAUCCAAAACAUGGAUCUAUGGAGCCAAGAAGCAAGAGUUUAUCCAUAUUCAUGGAUACAAGAAGCUAUGAGCAGAGGAAUGAGCUUUAAGUGAUUAUCCUUGAGGAUCUACAAAAGUAUAAAGUCAACUCUUUUGUUUUGAAUUUGAGUUGAGUCUUUGACUAACAACUACUAGGCUCUAAAUUUUAUGAGUUAAAUUUUAUUUUUGAGUGCAUAUAAGCAUGAUAGAGCCUUUAAUUGUUAAUUACAUGUAUGAGUGUUGCUCAAAUGAACUUAGCUUAUCAAAAAUUUCCUUCAAGACCAACUUCUAUGGCACACGUAGUUUCUCGUGCCAAUCACAUGAACAUUAUGUAAAAAGAAUUUACAUGUUGCGUUGCAUGAUUGACAAUUAACGAUACAUAGUGUUAUAACCGUGUCAAUGUUAUGAAAGUUUUUAUGCAAAGUCACUUGAUAUGCCGCAACAAUUAGUAAACAAUAUUAGAAAGACCUAGAGGAACCCACAAUUAAUUCCAAUUCAUUAAGUAGCUCAUGUGCAAGCAAAGUAUGGGCUUCCCAUGGGCCGGAGCUAGAAUUUACCCAUAUUUGGUAGUUAUGUGGCAUUAUACGAGGAGCCUGCUCAGCGUUCAAUAUGUGCACCCGCAUGAUGUUGAGUGUAAUAACAAAUAUAAAUAAAAAAUAAGUAAAAUGCUAGAGAGAUUACAUGUUUAUAUUACAUUGUUGUACCAUAUUGUGAUAUGGAUGUGUACAUACCACGUUUUGUAAUGAGUUUAUCUCAUUAAAUGUUAGAUUGUUGGUUAUAUGUAUCACUCGUCACAUCAUAUGAUAUAUUAAUAUGGUAUAAAUAUGCAGUCUCUCCAACAUUACUCUACUAAAGAGUAAUAUUGCACUUACCAUAUUUGUACCAUCAAUUUAUAAAAGUAUGGCUCAUCAACACAUGUAUGUCAUAUCUCCGUUAAAAAGGUGAUACAUAUAUGGUAUGAAAAAUAUGAUAAGACUAGCAUUUACAAAAAAUAAAAUUUUAAAAGUUAAAUGAAAUGAACAAAACACAGGAAAUUUGAAAGGUACUGAACAAAAUCAAUCGCAUUCAAAUCAGUCCUGAAAGAAACGAAUUGUACUGGAGUAUACAGAAACCACCACAAAAAAGGAUUAGCAAUUCAAUGCCACGAAAAACAGGGGGAGAUCUUAAUCAACACAUAUGAGACGUACAAGUACAAUUCAUCUGUAAAGUACAAUCAUUUAUCAGAAACCCCAAAGACAGGAAAUAUACAUCUAAACUUGCUAAGUCCUUUAGUUCUUGGAAUCAUCUAAGAACUACUUAUUCGAGCAGAUGCUAUGCUUGCAUUACUAGAAUUUAUGGCUUGCCCUGUCAACUAUUGCUCGACAGAGAAGAUUUCGUCGGUUUCACCUUUUUUAACCGACAGAAUAUAAGUUUAGUAGGGAAAAAUUAGUCAACAAACUGGGUUGACUGAAUAGAUUUACAGGAUGGCUAGAGUUUGUAGAUUAAUACAUCAGUCGUCGGGCAAACAUUUGGAGCAAAGAUGGAAGUGUUUUAACUGACGAAUAAGCUAGUCGUAGUGUAGAUCUUCUUUACCAACGGACAGUUCACCGAAUAGUUCUUUGGAUAACAAUUCAUUCUCAAGGGGAACAUGUUGCUUCUUAGAUAAAUGGUUAGAGGCAAUUGUGAGAUCAUAAUUUUCUAGCGAAGGAAUAAAGCUGAUCCGAAUACAGUAAAGCCCUCAUCGAUUCUCUCUUUGUAACCAUCCACCAAAUGCCCUGAUAGGAUUUUUAGAACCUACACAAAUAAGGUUAAAAUCACACAAAAGACUUGCAAGAGUACAAUAAUGUUGUAGUAUAGAUACUCAUGCAAAGUCGUUCUCUACAAUGACUAUUUUAAUAAUUUAUGUAAAAACAAUUCAUAUUUAAUUACUUAAAAUUAAAAAUUGAGAAAGGAGAUUUUGAAUUUGGGUAAUAUUAAAAACGAAUUUUAAUUAAAAACUAAUAUUAAAUUCCCCAAAAUUAAUACGAUAAAAGAAAAGAGUUGUAAAUACCCAUUUAUAAAAGCACUAGGGUUCCACCAUCAUCUAGCAAUCCUAUGUAUUUUUACCAAUUACUUAUGAUCUACACAUGCCACUUUGAAUGUUAGGUUUUUCUAAUAUAUACUAGCAUUUGCCUACAUACUUUGUGUGUAUGAACACAUUUUUUUAGAAAAUGAGAAGGAGAGAGGGAGAGAGAGAACGUUGGGGGGGGGGGGAGGGAGUGGGAGGUUUUUGUUUUUGGUUUUUUUUUUUAAUUUAUUAUAUUGGAGGUAUUUUAACAUCACAUAUAGGUGAGGCUUCAAUAAAAAAAAGUAAAAUUUGGAUAUGUGAAAUUACAUUAUUGCCCAUCAUAUUUUUUGUGUGAUAGAAAAUUAAAUUGUCUUUUCACCAUCUUUUAGUUGACAAAGAAGGUUUCAUUAAUUAGUAGAGAUUCUACUUGAAACCUCCAACAUAAAAUGUAUAUCUAACAUGCAAUCUAUUCGGAUGUUCGGAUCAAAUAUGAACAUGACAGACUCAUUAUGUUUUAUGAAAAUCAUUUGAAAAACCAUGCAACCCUUAAGAUGUGGUGUUCAUCCUAAUUAAAAUUACAAUUAUUAACCACAAGAAGCCAACGUCAAUUUCAAGGAAUCUUUCGACCAAAAUUGCAUCAAAUUACUUUUCUAAAUAUCUUAAUGUGAUCAAGCAUUAAGACAAUUAGACAGUUUAAAACGGUAAUCAAUAAUUCAAAGCGUGCAUGCAAUCAAUCAUAAGCAAUUAAAUUAAAUAAAAAUUACAUAUUCAUGCUAAGGCUCAAGGCUUUGCCCUAGCAAACGGAUUAGUUACGCAUAUUCAUAAUUAAAAUCCUAGAAAAUAUUAUUAUUAUGAAGAAAAAGAAUGAAAACACUUUAAAAUAAAAAUCUGAAAGUCUUCAAGAACCCUAACCAAUUUCUCUAUGUCUCCAAAGUCACAUACAAGAGAAGAUAAAUAGACUAGGGCCGGCCAAAACCUUAAAUAUCCCCCUAAAACCAUCGCAUAAUCCUUAGAAAACAAAAUCUUUUAUUCCUACUAGGAAACUAAAUAAUAAUAAAAUAUCUUUUAAAAUAAAGUCCUAAUUAAGCUAGGAAAUCUACCAAGUAACUGUCCAGCCAUGUUUUACCCUCCAAUUUCCUCCAAAUUCAGCCCAUAAUAGCUUGUUUUGAAGAUCGGGAUGUUUUGAACACAUCUCCAAAAGGUCACGAACCCAUCAGAUGUCAUCUCGAGACCUACCGCUUAUGGGCGAAGGCACUUGCCAUCGCACCAAGUGCGACCUCUAAGAAGAAGAAGGAAGAAGAAAAAAAAAAAAACCCAACCCAGUUUGUCCCCCCCUCAACAAACCCAGAAACAACAACAACAACAACAACAAAGCCUUUUCCCACUAAGUGGGGUCGGCUAUAUGAAUCCUAGAACGCCAUUGCGCUCGGUUUUGUGUCAUGUCCUCCGUUAGAUCCAAGUACUCUAAGCCUUUUCUUAGAGUCUCUUCCAAAGUUUUCCUAGGUCUUCCUCUACCCCUUCGGCCCUGAACCUCUGUCCCGUAGUCACAUCUUCGAACCGGAGCGUCAGUCGGCCUUCUUUGCACAUGUCCAAAUCACCGGAACCGAUUUUCUCUCAUCUUUCCUUCAAUUUCGGCUACUCCUACUUUACCUCGGAUAUCCUCAUUCUCAAUCUUAUCCUUUCUCGUGUGCCCACACAUCCCACGAAGCAUCCUCAUCUCCGCUACACCCAUUUUGUGUACGUGUUGAUGUUUCACCGCCCAACAUUCUGUGCCAUACAACAUCGCUGGCCUUAUUGCCGUCCUAUAAAAUUUUCCCUUGAGCUUCAGUGGCCUACGACGGUCACACAACACGCCGGAUGCACUAUUACACUUCAUCCAUCCAGCUCGUAUUCUAUAAUUGAGAUCUCCAUCUAGUUCUCCGUUCUCUUGCAAGAUAGAUCCUAGGUAACGAAAACGGUCGCUUUUUGUGAUCUUCGCUAGAUUGCUCCGGUCAUUAGUGUGGAUAAGUAUAUAAAUGGAUAGAGAUAGGAAAGCAAACACAAGAUGUACGUGGUUCACCCAGAUUGGCUACGUCCACGGAAUAGAAGAGUUCUCAUUAAUUGUGAAGGGUUUACACAAGUACAUAGGUUUAAGCUCUCCUUUAGUGAGUACAAGUGAAUGAUUUAGUACAAAUGAUAUUAGAGUACAAAUGACAUUAGGAAAUAUUGUGGGAGAAUGAUCUCGUAAUCACGAAACUUCUAAGUAUCGGAGUGUGGUAUCAUCUUGACUUGCCUUAUCUGUCUCAUAGGUAGAUGUGGCAGCUUCUCUGGAAGUACUCUUCCUCCAUCCAGGGGUGGUAUCUUUAAUUGGUGGAGAUGCACAAGGUAAUGUAUCAAUUUCACUUGAAGCUUACUUGUAGUUUCAAGCUUGGUCAAGCGCGAUACAAACCAUGUAGUAGGACUCCCCCAAGUCGCCGAGCUAGGGGAUCUGCUGAAAGAGGUGACAGACAAGGUAAGCAAUCAGAGCUCCAGCUGAUUGUUCACCUUCUCCCCAUCUUGCAGCAGCAUGAAGGAUACAACAACAACAACAAAGCCUUUUCCCACUAAGUGGGGUCGGCUAUAUGAAUCCUAGAACGCCAUUGCGCUCGGUUUUGUGUCAUGUCCUCCGUUAGAUCCAAGUACUCUAAGUCUUUUCUUAGAGUCUCUUCCAAAGUUUUCCUAGGUCUUUCUCUACCCCUUCGGCCCUGAACCUCUGUCCCGUAGUCACAUCUUCGAACCGGAGCGUCAUUCGGCCUUCUUUGCACAUGUCCAAAUCACCGGAGCCGAUUUUCUCUCAUCUUUCCUACAAUUUCGGCUACUCCUACUUUACCUCGGAUAUCCUCAUUCCCAAUCUUAUCCUUUCUCGUGUGCCCACACAUCCCACGAAGCAUCCUCAUCUCCGCUACACCCAUUUUGUGUACGUGUUGAUGCUUCACCGCCCAACAUUCUGUGCCAUACAACAUCGCUGGCCUUAUUGCCGUCCUAUAAAAUUUUCCCUUGAGCUUCAGUGGCCUACGACGGUCACACAACACGCCGGAUGCAUUCUUACACUUCAUCCAUCCAGCUCGUAUUCUAUGGUUGAGAUCUCCAUCUAAUUCUCCGUUCUCUUGCAAGAUAGAUCCUAGGUAGCGAAAACGGUCGCUUUUUGUGAUCUUCGCUAGAUUGCUCCGGUCAUUAGUGUGGAUAAGUAUAUAAAUGGAUAGAGAUAGGAAAGCAAACACAAGAUGUACGUGGUUCACCCAGAUUGGCUACGUCCACGGAAUAGAAGAGUUCUCAUUAAUUGUGAAGGGUUUACACAAGUACAUAGGUUCAAGCUCUCCUUUAGUGAGUACAAGUGAAUGAUUUAGUACAAAUGACAUUAGGAAAUAUUGUGGGCUUUUUAAGAUGGCCUCCCGUGCUUUUUAAAGAAUGAUCUCGUAAUCACGAAACUUCUAAGUAUCGGAGUGUGGUGUCGUCUUGACUUGCCUUAUCUGUCUCAUAGGUAGAUGUGGCAUCUUCUCUGGAAGUACUCUUCCUCCAUCCAGGGGUGGUAUCUUUAACUGGUGGAGAUGCACAAGGUAAUGUAUCAAUUUCACUUGAAGCUUACUUGUAGUUUCAGGCUUGGUCAAGCGCGAUACAAACCAUGUAGUAGGAGUCCCCCAAGUCGCCGAGCUAGGGGGUCUGCUGAAAGAGGUGACAGACAAGGUAAGCAAUCAGAGCUCCGACUGAUUGUUCACCUUCUCCCCAUCUUGCAGCAGCAUGAAGGAUAAAGAGAAGAAAAAUGAGAAGAGAUGAUAUGAGAUACUUUUGCUUUUGAAGAAGUAACUUUCCACAGGCUUAUUCUUGAACUGAGCUGGAGGGUUUUCUGGUUUCCUCCAGAGUAUAAGGCCGACUGAAGAAUUUGAGGGUCAAAACAAGUCCAUCAAAUCUAGAGUACGUUCCACCCUGCUGAUAUGGGAUACUUUUGCUUUUGACAGAGUAAUGGAUGUAUCGGCACGUGUGCUGUUACGCUUGUCUCCACAUGCUUCCUUGUAUCCUUCGCACUUGCCCUAUCUGUUCCUCAAGCAGAUGCGGAAUCUUCCCUGGAAACAUAAGAUGUUGAAGAUGAGUACUCGAGAGCAAUGCCAGGUAAGUAAUCAGGUAAGGGGUUCCAGGCAGUCAGUUCCUGGCUGGAAGCUUGAUUCCAAGUGCUGACUGAUUGCUCUCUUUCUCCUUGUCUUGCAGGUAAAAACAAGGCCAAAAGGAAAAGACAGGGAAAAAGCAUGAUAUGGGAUACUCUUGCUUUUAACCCUGAUGAUAUGAGAUAUUCUUGCUCUAGUAUAGCUUGUUUGCAGAGGUAUUAUCGGGGGGAAAGAAAGCUGAAUAUUUCGAAAGGCUUCGUUGGGAGUGCCCUCUCAGAUAUGAUGAAGGGUUGAGCAUUUUUGCAGGUCUGCCUGUCCGUUGGGGAUGGAGGUCGACAUAUAUAGGAGUCUCCCUAACAACAAGUAGUAAUGCUAUUCCUUUACCCUGCUUGGUCAUAGCACGGUAGUGGGAGCUGCCAGUUUCACAUGUUUUAACUCUGUCAGAGCACUUUGAAAAAGUGGUCUGUGGUAUCUGGCUCUCGAGAUUCGGAGAACGAUGCCUCUUCGAUUUUUGAGAAAGCAAUCAUGCUGGGGGUCUGGCUCUCGAGAUUCGGAGAGAGCAGUGUCUCUUCGAUUUUUGAGGAAGUAAUCAUGUUGGGAGUCUGGCUCUCGAGAUUCGGAGGGCGGUGCCUCUUCGAUUUUGGAGCAAGCAAUCUUGUUGGGAGUGUUGUCUCGAAUGUGAGUAAAGGUUGGGCAUGUUUGCUAGUCUACCUUGCCACGAAGCACAAAGGUUGACACACAGGGACUUUCCAAUUAUCCAGCAAUGGUACUGUUCCUUUACCCUCUCUUCGAUUUUGAGAAAGUAGUCAUGUUGGGAGUCUGGCUCUCGAGAUUCGGAGGACGGUGCCUCUUCGAUUUUGGAGCAAGCAAUCUUGUUGGGAGUGUUUUCUCGAAUGUGAGUAAAGGUUGGGCAUGUUUGCUAGUCUACCUUGCCACGAAGCACAGAGGUUGACACACAGGGACUUUCCAAUUAUAUCCAGCAGUGGUACUGUUCCUUUACCCUUGUGGGUAAUAAUAUGGUAGCUAGACCUUCAAAAUUUAUGUGUCUAAACUUUGUUAGUGCUGUUUCUUUGCUAUUCUUUUACCUUUCUUGGUCAGAGCGAUGUAGUGGGAGCUGCAAGCUUCACGUGCUCAACUUUGGCAGAGAACUUUGGCAAAGUUAUCUGUGGUACCCAUGAGCUAUUGUUGCGUGUGGGAAGUGGGUGAUUGAACAGUAAGAUUCAUGUGCUUUCUACUUCACCAGAAGUCUUCGACAGAAUGCCCAUAAUUUCUGCAAAGCUGAGUGUGCGUGUGACAGGUGCUGACAAGGCUAGAAAAGUAGGUGCCUCUUCGAUUUCUGAGAUCGGCCCUCGUGGUCUCUGAGCAGCCCAGCUUUUGAGAAAGCGAGCGCCUCUUCGAUUGAUUCGGAGAACGAUGCCUCAUCGAUUUUUGAGAAAGCAAUCAUGCUGGGGGUCUGGCUCUCGAAGAUUCGGGGAGCAGUGUCUCUUCGAUUUUUGAGAAAGUAAUCAUGUUGGGAGUCUGGCUCUCGAGAUUCGGAGGGCGGUGCCUCUUCGAUUUUGGAGCAAGCAAUCUUGUUGGGAGUGUUUUCUCGAAUGUGAGUAAAGGUUGGGCAUGUUUGCUAGUCUACCUUGCCACGAAGCACAGAGGUUGACACACAGGGACUUUCCAAUUAUCCAGCAAUGGUACUGUUCCUUUACCCUCUCUUCGAUUUUUAAGAAAGUAGUCAUGUUGGGAGUCUGGCUCUCGAGAUUCUGGCUUUUGGAGCAAGCAAUCUUAUUGGGAGUGUUUUCUCGAAUGUGAGUAAAGGUUGGGCAUGUUUGCUAGUCUACCUUGCCACGAAGCACAGAGGUUGACACACAGGGACUUUCCAAUUAUCCAGCAGUGGUACUGUUCCUUUACCCUUGUGGGUAAUAAUAUGGUAGCUAGACCUUCAAAAUUUAUGGGUCUAAACUUUGUUAGUGCUGUUUCUUUGCUAUUCUUUUACCCUUCUUGGUCAGAGCGAUGUAGUGGGAGCUGCAAGCUUCACGUGCUCAACUUUGGCAGAGAACUUUGGCAAAGUUAUCUGUGGUACCCAUGAGCUAUUGUUGCGUGUGGGAAGUGGGUGAUUGAACAGUAAGAUUCAUGUGUUUUCUACUUCCCCAGAAGUCUUCGACAGAAUGCCCAUAAUUUCCGCAAAGCUGAGUGUGCGUGUGACAGGUGCUGACAAGGCUGGAAAAGUAGGUGCCUCUUCGAUUUCUGAGAUCGGCCCUCGUGGUCUCUGGGGAGCCCAGCUUUUGAGAAAGCGAGCGCCUCUUCGAUUUCUGAGAUCGGCCUUCGUGGUCUUUGAGCAGCCCAACUUUUGAGAAAGCAAACGCCUCUUCGAUUUCUGAGAUCAACCCUCGUGAUCUCUAAGCAGCCCAGCUUUUGAGAAAGCAAACGCCUCUUCGAUUUCUGAGCAGGCGCCUCUUCGAUUUCUGAAGCUCCGUCGAGUGCAGAUUUUUAUAGGGGCUGGCAUUAAGUUCCAAAGCACACUUGAAUCUCCACCAGUAGAAGCUUCAUUCUUGCACUUCUAAGAUCUUGAUUUGUCCGACCUCUUCUCUCUUCAACACCUUUGAAAAUGUCUGGCCCCUCCGACCGUCGUUUUGACUUGAACCUUGUUGAAGAGGCAGCCCCGCCUUCUCCAGACAACAUAUGGCGCCCAUCCUUCGUCUCCCCUACUGGUCCUCUUACCGUUGGGGAUUCCGUGAUGAAGAAUGAUAUGACCGCUGCGGUGGUGGCCAGGAACCUUCUCACUCCCAAAGAUAACAGACUACUUUCCAAACGGUCUGAUGAGUUAGCUGUUAAGGAUUCGCUGGCUCUCAGUGUUCAGUGUGCAGGUUCUCUGUGUCUAAUAUGGCCCAACGCCUAUUUGCUCGAACCCGCCAAGUUGAAUCAUUGGCGGCUGAAGUGAUGAGUCUCAAACAGGAGAUUAGAGGGCUCAAGCAUGAGAAUAAACAGUUGCACCGGCUCGCACAUGACUAUGCUACAAACAUGAAGAGGAAGCUUGACCAGAUGAAGGAAACUGAUGGUCAGGUUUUACUUGAUCAUCAGAGAUUUGUGGGUUUGUUCCAAAGGCAUUUAUUGCCUUCGUCUUCUGGGGCUGUACCGCGUAAUGAAGCUCCAAAUGAUCAACCUCUGAUGCCUCCUCCUUCUAGGGUUCUGUCCAGUACUGAGGCUCCAAAUGAUCCCCCUCCGGUGCCUUCUCUUUCUGGGGCUCUACCGACUGCUGAGACUUCUCCUAAGCAACCUUUGUGAAGGCUCCCUCUUGUGUGUUUAUUUUGACUCAUGUAUAUGUACAUAUUUGUAGCUUAUCGGGGAUAUCAAUAAAUAAGCUUUCCUUCAUUUCAACGUAUUGUGUUAAAUACACCAAAGCCUUCUUCGCUAAGUUCUUUGAAUUUUCUUUUGUUGAAGCUUGUAUGUUGAAGCUUUCUGAGUGGAGCAUGUAGGUUGGGGUAGUGUUCCCUUAAUUUCCCGAGUGAGGAAAACUUCUCGGUUGGAGACUUGGAAAAUCCAAGUCACUGAGUGGGAUCGGCUAUAUGAAUCUUAGAACGCCAUUGUGCUCGAUCCUGUGUCAUGUCCUUCGUUAGAUCCAAGUACUCUAAGUCUUUUCUUAGAGUCUCUUCCAAAGUUUUCCUAGGUCUUCCUCUACCCCUUCGGCCCUGAACCUCUGUCCCAUAGUCGCAUCUUCUAAUCGGAGCGUCAGUAGGCCUUCUUUGCACAUGUCCAAACCACCGUAACCGAUUUUCUCUCAUCUUUCCUUCAAUUUCGGCUACUCCUACUUUACCCCGGAUAUCCUCAUUCCUAAUCUUAUCCUUUCUCGUGUGCCCACACAUCCAACGAAGCAUCCUCAUCUCCGCUACACCCAUUUUGUGUACGUGUUGAUGUUUCACCGCCCAACAUUCUGUGCCAUACAGCAUCGCCGGCCUUAUUGCCGUCCUAUAAAAUUUUCCCUUGAGCUUCAGUGGCAUACGGCGGUCACACAACACGCCGGAUGCACUCUUCCACUUCAUCCAUCCAGCUUGUAUUCUAUGGUUGAGAUCUCCAUCUAAUUCUCCGUUCUUUUGCAAGAUAGAUCCUAGGUAACGAAAACGGUCGCUCUUUGGUAUUUCUUGAUCUCCGAUCCUCACCCCUAACUCGUUUUGGCCUCCAUUUGCACUGAACUUGCACUCCAUAUAUUCUGUCUUUGAUCGGCUUAGGCGAAGACCUUUAGAUUCCAACACUUCUCUCCAAAGGUUAAGCUUUGCAUUUACCCCUUCCUGAGUUUCAUCUAUCAACACUAUAUCGUCUGCGAAAAGCAUACACCAAGGAAUAUCAUCUUGAAUAUGUCCUGUUAACUCAUCCAUUACCAACGCAAAAAGGUAAGGACUUAAGGAUGAGCCUUGAUGUAAUCCUACAGUUAUGGGAAAGCUUUCGGUUUGUCCUUCAUGAGUUCUUACGGCAGUCUUUGCUCCUUCAUACAUAUCCUUUAUAGCUUGGAUAUAUGCUACUCGUACUCCUUUCUUCUCUAAAAUCCUCCAAAGAAUGUCUCUUGGGACCCUAUCAUACGCUUUUUCCAAAUCUAUAAAGACCAUGUGUAAAUCCUUUUUCCCAUCUCUAUAUCUUUCCAUCAAUCUUCGUAAGAGAUAGAUUGCCUCCAUGGUUGAGCGCCCUGGCAUGAACCCGAAUUGGUUGUCCGAAACCCGUGUCUCUUGCCUCAAUCUAUGCUCAAUGACUCUCUCCCAGAGCUUCAUUGUAUGACUCAUUAGCUUAAUACCCCUAUAGUUCAUGCAAUUUUGUACGUCGCCCUUAUUCUUGUAGAUAGGCACCAAAGUGCUCGUUCGCCACUCAUUUGGCAUCUUCUUCGUUUUCAAAAUCCUAUUGAAAAGGUCAGUGAGCCAUGUUAUACCUGUCUCUCCCAAAAGUUUCCACACUUCGAUUGGUAUAUUCGUCUGGGCCUAUUGCUUUUUUAUGCUUCAUCUUCUUCAAAGCUACAACCACUUCUUCCUUCCGGAUUCGACGAUAAAAAGAGUAGUUUCUACACUCUUCUGAGUUACUCAACUCCCCUAAAGAAGCACUCAUUUCAUGUCCUUCAUUGAAAAGAUUAUGAAAAUAACCUCUCCAUCUGUCUUUAACCGCGUUCUCUCUGUAGCAAGAACCUUUCCAUCCUCAUCCUUGAUGCACCUCACUUGGUUUAGGUCCCUUGUCUUCUUUUCCCUUGCUCUAGAUAGUUUAUAGAUAUCCAACUCUCCUUCUUUGGUAUCUAGUCGUUUAUACAUAUCGUCGUAAGCCGCUAACUUAGCUUCUCUAACAGCUUUCUUCGCCUCUUGCUUCGCUUUUCUAUACCUUUCACCAUUUUCAUCGGUCCUCUCCUUGUAUAAGGCUUUACAACAUUCCUUCUUAGCCUUCACCUUUGUUUGUACCUCCUCAUUCCACCACCAAGAUUCAUUUUGGUGUGGGGCAAAGCCCUUGGACUCUCCUAAUACCUCUUUUGCUACUUUUCGGAUACAACUAGCCAUGGAAUCCCACAUUUGGCUAGCUUCCCCCUCUCUAUCCCACACACAUUGGGUGAUUACCUUCUCUUUGAAAAUGGCUUGUUUUUCUUCUUUUAGAUUCCACCAUCUAGUCCUUGGGCACUUCCAAGUCUUGUUCUUUUGUCUUACUCUUUUGAUAUGUACAUCCAUCACCAACAAGCGAUGUUGAUUAGCCACGCUCUCUCCUGGUAUAACUUUGCAAUCCUUACAAGUUAUACGAUCCCCUUUCCUCAUUAGAAGAAAAUCUAUUUGUGUUUUUGACGACCCACUCUUGUAGGUGAUCACAUGUUCUUCUCUCUUCUUAAAGAAGGUGUUGGCUAAGAAGAGAUCAUAUGCCAUUGCAAAAUCCAAGAUAGCUUCCCCAUCCUCGUUUCUCUCCCCAAAACCAUGGCCACCAUGAAAACCUCCAUAGUUGCCUGUCUCCCUGCCCACAUGUCCAUUUAAAUCUCCUCCUAUAAAUAACUUCUCCGUCUGAGCAAUUCCUUGCACCAAGUCUCCAAGAUCUUCCCAAAAUUUCUCCUUCGAACUCGUAUCCAACCCUACUUGAGGUGCGUACGCACUAAUCACAUUAAUAAGUUCUUGUCCUAUUACAAUCUUGAUUGCCAUGAUUCUAUCUCCUACCCUCUUGACAUCUACAACAUCUUGUACCAAGGUCUUGUCCACGAUGAUGCCAACACCGUUUCUCGUUCUAUUUGUGCCCGAAUACCAAAGUUUAAACCCUGAGUUUUCUAGAUCCUUUGCCUUACUACCAACCCACUUAGUUUCUUGUAGGCACAUAAUAUUUAUCCUUCUCCUCACCAUAACUUCCACUACUUCCAUAGAUUUUCCCGUUAAUGUUGCUGACAUAUUAAACUACACAACAUCUAUUGUAAUUUAUGUCUUAUUAGUAUCAUCACUUUUGUUCUUUAUUUCAAUGUCUAACAUAAUGAUCUGGUUUCAAUUUGCUACAGGCAUUAUUCCCAGACAAUAGCUAUGGUUUUGAUUGUAGCGGUGACUGAAAAAUUAUUCCGAAACUAACAUUUGAGGAAUUCAAGGUUUGUUAGUUAAUUUGUACAUCAGAAUACCAUGACAAACUUUGAAGUUGUAAUUGUUGACCUUACAACGUAUCUUUUGGUUUGGAGCAUUAGACUUAUAUGUGUUGCUUUCACUUGAAGGCUAACUCUUUAUUUUAGGCCUUGGAAUAUAACUAGGAAAUUGUGCCCGCACGUUGUUGCAGGAACGAAAAUAAAACUAUAGAACAUAUCAUGAAAAUCCAAAUGUACAUAAAUGUUGAGUAACACUAUUAACAUAAACAUAAUAAAGACUGCAUAUAAAAUGUAGUCAAUAUUUUUACAGGCCACUGUUUAUAGUUGUACAAUUUAGGCAAAAAACAUUAGGAAACAUUUUGACAUGGAUGUACAAAAGUGAUGAGUCUGAUAUUUCCCCCUGGUAGCUAUGUUAGGUGUUGAUCAGCAUCAGUUGUUCAUGUGCACAAAAAAUAGGGGUAUCAAUGUUAUGGUGGCCUAUUUACACGCAAAAAAUAUGGAGAAGCACUGAUGUUGUUUUAACAAAAGAUGAUCAGUCUCUUUUCUAUAGCAGCAAAAGUUUGUUCCUUCUGGCAAUAACUGCAAAUAAACGAUGUGCAGAUGGUAAAAAAAAUAUGUAAAUGCUAACUGAGCUGUAAUCAAGUGUGUGCAAAUAUGGUUACAUCAUAUAAAAAAUAGGAAUGGAGCAAAGUUACCUAGUUUUUUUUUUUUUUGGUAGAGGGUCUUUUUUCAUGCUUGUUGGAGAAGAUGCUUUUUUUUCAACAAUUUGAUUGGAACCUGACCAAAAUCCUAGACAUCUACUUCAGAGACUUCCUCUGUCUCACCGUACCAAAUAUAUUAAAGAGAUAGGAAAAAUAGAUUUAGAUCAGAUUGAAAAUAAAUUGAGAAUGAGAAAAAAAUGCUGUGAUGCAGAAUAUAACAUGUUUUUAGCCUCUGUAAAAAGGGCUCUCCUGAUGGAAUCUCUUUUCCUCUUGUGCGUUUCUCCGGUUUUUUCAGCUGGUGUAGUGGACGAUGAAACUGUUGUCGAAGACACUGCAAUUUCUUUCAUAAAAGACUGGUGUUGUUGGUUGGAUCAUUGUGUCCUCAGAAACAUUGUAGAUAAGGAGAUCAUUUGAAUUCAACAAAUUUCGUCGGCUUCCAAACCAAAGGUGAAAAUUUUUCCUUUGGCCUAUAAGUCUGAAAAACUCACUUGGUAAUUGCUUGUGAUCUGUUGAUCUUUGAUUGUAAACCAAAUCUUUGCAUGGCAUGCCAAAGACCUUUUCUCCUAAUUUGCCGAUAAUGAGAGCAUUGAUCUCAUUUGUUUCGUCUUCAAGGACCAAGAACACUUUGUACCUUCAUUCAAAUAGAAAAGCCAUUAAUUAUAGAGGAUACACAGUGUAAUAAGUCAAGAACUACAUUCUCAUAGAUUUUUCUAUGGUAUGGUUUAAUGUUAAUACUAAUCAUAUGAAAAAUAAAAGGAUAGGUAUGCAAAGUUUGAUUUCAAAUUUAAUUAAAUUUAUGGCUUGUAAGUUUGUUACGUGAUCAAUGAACUAUUAAUUGAAAAUAUGUAAUUAAAAACAGAAUAAAUGAUAAGUUUCAGUUUAAUAAGGAUAUGAGACAACGAUCAAUUGACAAACGCAAAAUAUAGUGUUUAACUCGUUACCAAGGAGUUGGCAUUUGAUUUAUAUGUUUUUGGCACAUCAGUUGACCAGUUGUUGGGUCCUUGUACAUUUGUUUGGCACAUGUAGGGCAAGCAGCAUACCACCAUUCAUAUGAUGUGUUAAACCGCUUAAUUGAUGCCUUGCACAAAAAUGUAUCAUCCUGUUAAAUAUCCAAAAAGAUGUUUAGAUAGUUAAUAAUCAUGAAAUAGAAAGCUUAUGUAAAAGAAGUAAAAAUAGAAAGCUUAUGUUUAGAUAGUUCAUAUGAUGUGUUAACUCGUCAAGUCCAAAACGCUGGACUCCAACCACAUGACCAAUAACAUCUACAAAUUUGAAAAAAAGAAAGAAAACCAAAACAUAAUUAGGUGAGGAGAAAAUGUUUCAUAAAACAUGUAUCAAUGCAUUGUAACACACAGCUAUAUAUACAUGCGUACAUAUUUAUUACCUGUUAGGAUAUCAGUCUUGUUCAGCCUGGAUACAAUCUAUUAUAAUCUUGCAAAAAAAAAUCUGCGACACAGAAUAGGCAGAAACACACUUGUUAACUUGUUAAAAACUGUUUUGGCAGUUAACACGAGAUGGGUGUCAUGCGGGACUACUUGACACUGGCCUCUUAUUUUGUUGGUACGAAAAUUCAUAAUCUCGUAGCAAGCACCUGCUUCAAUUUUUGGGACUAUUAUAUCAUAGUUCAUUUCGUCAGAAGACGCUUCUAUCGCUUGUUCCUUGAUAACCAAACAUUGAGAAGGGAAGAAAAAGAAAUUGUCAAAGAUAUCAUGAAUAGGUAAAUAACACUAAAUUUGAAACUUAAAAUAAUAUGAAAACAUUUGCAAAUUACCAACAUUAUAGACUAAGAUGAAUACUAAAUACUGAAAGCCAAGUUAUCAUUGUAAUUAACAGUUUAAAGGCAAUGGAUACCCAUAAAAUAAUUACAUGUCACAUAGACUUAACAUGAGAGUUGAUAUAUUUAAUACUUGAAAUAAUAUGAAAAUAAAUGUAAAUCACAAAUAUUAGAGAAUAAGAUGGAUAGUUAACGUCAAGAGUGAAUUUAUUAGUGUAAUUAACAAGUUAAAGACAAUGCAUAUGCACCCAAAAACAAAUUCUUAUCACAUAGAGACAGAAUGAUAACUAACAUGUAAUUUUCCGAUACAAAAUGAAAGAAUACAGAGAUUAGAAAUGAAUUGGAGAUUGUGUUUAUCCCAGAGAGUAAAAAUGUCAUGUGAUAUGUAUUAGAACAAAUACAAAAUUCACAUGUUAAGAGCUUAUCAAACAGUAUUAUUAAAGAUUAAUUACUGACCUUUUCAUCAACUAAUACACAGUGUAGACCUGCAUAUUUAUCAGUCAUGCCUGAAAAUCUUGGUAUCUAUAUUCUGCAGAUACGAACUUUAAUUUUUCCAAUUUUUUCAUAUGGGACCAAUCGAUCAAGAGGAGUUGGACCUCGACCUUCCAUGUUUAACUGCUGAAAUGAGAUUUAAGGUUUGUGAAUUGACAAAUAAUGCAGAAAGAAAUUUCAAAGAGGCUGAACAAUGAUGUAACAACUACACUUUCAAAACUAUAGACCUACAACAGUUUGUUUAAAAGCGUAACUGAUUAAAAGAAUGAGAUUGCCAAAAGAAAACACAGCACGACCACUGCUUAACUGAACCACAUUCUCAACACACAAACAUAAACGUAGUGAUCCUAUACAUCCAUCAUAUUCUUUUUCUCUGUUUCCAUAUCCCUGAUCCCAAUUCUUUAUCCCAUCCUUUCAGUGUUGUUUUUUGCUCACUCUCAAUGUCACGCCCCUAUCUCGACAUACGUCCAGGCUCGACACAUGACGUCACCAACUACUCGUAUCUCUAACAUAUCCCGCCACCAGGAUAUGCAAAACACAACUCGAGAACCAAUUGCGUAAUAAAUUUUUGUAUACUUUAUGGUUGCAUCUAACCUCUUCGUUAGACUGUCUACGUACCCUCAAUAGAGAUCAAGCCAUUCGUAGUUCAACUUCGCUAUAACUCGACAUAUAACACAAUCUAUUCAAGCCAAAAUGCAUAACAUUCCUCAAUCAAACAUUUGGACUUGACGAGCAUGAAUUAUUCGAUUCAAACUACAUAACAACCCGCAUGACAAUCAAGGUUUCUAUUUCAUCCAUCAUAUACAUCAUUAUGUUUCAACAUAAAAUCACUAUUCAUAUCAAGUAAUAUAUCAAAGAAUCAAUAAAGCACAAUAGUAUCCUCUAGUCGCAUUGAUCACUGAUCUAAUCAUUAUAAUAACAAUCAUAUUCAACAUCCUUCCACAAUCAUCUCAAGUAACCCAUUCCAUGAUAUCAAGGAUGCACGAUAUUAACAUUUAAUUAUGUUAAUCAGUCAAUCAGAUCACAUCUCAAUGCACAAAAUUAAUAAAGGACUUCUAUAUAAUUCCCCUGGAUUUCAAGUAAUAACUUGAUAAUUCAAAUUUAUAUUCACAAAAUUUAUUGUGGGUAAUUCUCAUUCACUCGAAUCCAAGGUACAAGUCUAACUUAUAGAAAUGAGCAAGAGUAGGGAUUCCAGACCACUCAACGGAAUCCAAAUCAAGAUACGAUUCCAGACCACUCAACGGAAUCCAACCACAUCGGCUUCCGGAUCACUUAACGGAACCAAAAUUAUCCAUCGGUUUCUUGCAUGUAAAAUUAGUGACAUCGAUGACAAUCUAUAAACAUCAAGUAUAGAAUUAUGCUUUAUGAAAUCAUAAUCAAGUCACUGACAACUUCGAAGGAGUCACCCAGACAUCCAACGACUUUUUUAAUUUAAAGCACAAGAUUCUCAAAAUCCAUCGUUCAUAUGUACAUUAAAAACUAGGGCUAGAUGGACGCAGUUCGGCCGAAGCCUACAUCUUUGAAGCUAUCUCAAUCCAAACUCAAUGAAACCCGAGGUGGAUACGACCCCGGACCAUCACUCAAAAAAAUCACGGAGUAGGAGGGAUUCCGGACCAUCUCUCAACGGAAUCCAAGUGGAUACGAUUUCGGACCAUCACUCAACAGAAUCGCGGAAGGCCAACAACCAUAUAUACAAUGACUCAAAGAAAUGAGACAAGCACAAGUUACUUAAUUUACAAAAGCUUAACCAAGGGAAAUAAGGCACAAAUACUAAAUUUAGAACGAAUCAACGAAGUGGAAGAUGAAACCAUAUCGAAUCAACAAAUCCCCAUCACCACAGUUUAACGGUCUACCACUAGUCCUCACAUUUCAUCACAACAGGCCAAUCAAACCAAUCAAACCAAUCAAACCAUAUUUCAAUAUAUAUACAUGUCAAAUCUCAUUUCAUAAACCUAAAUUAAUAAAGGACUUCUAUAUAAUUCUCUGCCUGGAUUUCAAGUAAUAACUUGAUAAUUCAAAUUUAUAUUCACAAGAUUUAUUGUGGGUAAUUCUCAUUCACUUGAAUCCAAGGUACAAGUCUAACUUAUGGAAAUGAGCAAGAGUAGGGAUUCCAUACCACUCAACGGAAUCCAACCACAUCGGGUUCCGGAUCACUUAACGGAACCAAAAUAAUUUAUCGGUUUCUUGCAUGUAAAAUUAGUGACAUCGAUCACAAUCUAUAAACAUCAAGUAUAGAAUCAUGCUUUAUGAAAUCAUAAUCAAGUUACUGACAACUUGGAAGGAGUCACUCAGAUAUCCAACGACUUUUUUAAUUCAAAGCAUAAGAUUCUCAAAAUCCAUCGUUCAUAUGUACAUUAAAAACUAGGGCUAGAUGGACGCAGUUCGGCCGAAGCCUACAUCUUUGAAGCUAUCUCAAUCCAAACUCAAUGAAACCCGAGGUGGAUACGACCCCGGACCAUCACUCAAAGAAAUCACAGAGGAGGAGGGAUUCCGGAACAUCUCUCAACGGAAUCCAAGUGGAUACGAUUUCGGACCAUCACUCAACAGAAUCGCGGAAGGCCAACAACCAUAUAUACAAUGACUCAAAGAAAUGAGACAAGCACAAGUUACUUAAUUUACAAAAGCUUAACCAAGGGAAAUAAGGCACAAAUACUAAAUUUAGAACGAAUCAACAAAGCAGAAGAUGAAACCAUAUCGAAUCAACAAAUCCCUAUCACCACAGUUUAACGGUCUACCACUAGUCCUCACAUUUCAUCACAACAUGCCAAUCAAACCAUAUUUCAAUAUAUAUACAUGUCAAAUCUCAUUUCAUAAACUUAAAUCAAUGGCUAAGCAUUAAAAAAAAUUAUUCAAUAGAAAACAUAUUUAUAAACCCAAGUCAUAUCCACAUAGGAUAACAAUUACGAAAAUAAGGUAAUCACCAAUAUCACAUAUAUUAAAGUCACUCACCUGAGGUCCACACUAACGCACUCUAGCAUGGAAUUCAAGGCAUCAAGCUCUAUUACCGCCAAAAACAAAGCACAAGUCCACAUUUAGAUUUCUCUCGAUAAAUUCACAUGCCCAAAACUCUCAUAAGUCUCCCACAACGACAUUUAAUGAGAAUCAAACCGUCGAUCAAAGGUAUGGUCCAUGAUCUUACAUCAUUUGCUCCGUAAGAUCCAACCACUAGAUUUUCACUAGUAAGUUCCUAAGGCCCAACAACUGAUAAAUAUGGUGCUCACAAAAUUGUACAACGAUCCAACGAUCAGAUUGUCAUCAAUCACAUAAACAAGUGGUGGUCCAAUUUGAUCGCCAUACCAAACAAUUGAAUUUCGGGAAACCAAGCUAGACAUAGGUUCAUAGGGUCACUAGAAGGUAUUUGGUACUUGACAACACUCGUGGACAAUCUCACGCACCGCCACACGCGAUGGUAGCCAUGGUGAAGGAUUUGAAAACCCAAUUUUUCAACCUUAACCACAAAGGCUCAAAUUUACGUGGUAAUUAGAGUAAAAAUCCAAUUUCAUCAUGGAAAACCGGGUUUCUAGGGUUCUACACACCCAACUCUAAAACGAAUACGAAAGCACCAACUUGAAGAUUAUGAAGAGUAUACUUCACUCGAAGGAAAUGGUUGACGGAAUCACCGGAAAAAUGAUAAAACCGCCGGAAACCCACAGAACUUUGCUGUCUCUAACUGGAAAAAUAGAUAAGAAAAUGGGAAAUCUAACACUACAGAGAUGUAGGGCUCGUCAAGAGCUUUAAUGAACACCAAGAUCACCCAAAACGGAGAUCGGAUGAAGGAGAUAUGAGCGGAUCAAGUUUGCGGGUUAACGGGUCUAAUUCGCCCCAAAACGGGUUUUUCCUUCUUUUCUCUCGCCACCUUCCCGUGGCUUUCUUUUCCUCUCCUCUUUUUAGCCACUCCCGUGGCCUUUUCCUUCUCUUUUCAUUUUUUUUUAAUUUUUAAUUUUUAAUUUUUUUAGCAACAACUUCAAACGUCCGUAACUAUACCGUUAUAAUCUGGACUUGCAAACGGUUUUCGCCUAUGCGUUCGUAAUCUCGAUAUCUAUUCAACAAUAUAAAUUGUGACCUCGAAUGGUCUGCGGAUUUUAAAUAAUUAAUUUUCCAAAAAAUAAUAUAAAAUUUCUAUAAUACCACUAUGUAGAUUAUACUAAUGAAAUCCAGUAUCUAGAUUUCACACUCAAUCCCAUUUUCUUCCAAGUCUGAUAAAACCCACAUGCAUAAACGGGCUACAAAUCUGCCAAACCCAAAACAAAACCUAACUAAAAAUCUGAGAGAUUAAAACUUUCGCUCAAAAAAACAGUCUAUCUCUCCGAUAAAACAGAAAUAUCCCAAAAUAGGAAUGCUUGGUAAUAAAAUAAUGAAGCAACAAAUGGCAUGAAAUAAUCAAAAAACAACCCUACAAAUUCAAAUAACCGAAACAAAUAAUCAUAUGGCCAAUUCAGUUCGAAAAAAAAAAAACAUCGCACAAAAAACUAAUACCUGACAAAGAACCCAAUUGGGGAUACUGGAAAUUGCAACUACACGAUCCUCCAAUUGACGAUCAGACAGCCGUUCAACCACUGCAAAAACAACCAUAAAAAAACACAAAGUCAUAGCCUAUCAAGAGUGUAAGUAAAAAAAAUGAACAAAUCGAUAUUUCCUGUCCCGAAUUAAAAACUGGAAAGCGAAAACAAAGGCGCUGAAAAACAAAAGCUGAAAAUCAAUUGCACAACAGCAGAAACCAACAAGAAAAACGAAAGACAGAAACGAUAACAAAAAGCAUAAGCAAAACGAAAGAAACGGCAAACAAAGCUAACCAAGCAAAUUUGAAACGAAGAAAAAUGCACAACCAGCUUAAACCACGGCAAAAAUAAGAGAGAGAAGAGACAAAGCCACGGCCAAUUCGAUGAUCGACACGUGGCCAUAAGUGGAAAAGGCAAAGCCGAGCAACACGCCGGGGGGGGGGGGGGGAAGAUAACAAACGGUCGCGGUGAUAAGGCAAUCAGAAGGUAACGUAAAAAAAAUUAGGAUUUAAAUUUUUGUGGUAGAUUUCGUUAGCAAAUUUAAUCCAAAAUUAUUUUUUUUUUGUUACUUGUCUGUUAAAUACAGGGAUAAAAAUGUAUUUUAACUAGUACGCAUUCUUCUUCCUCCCUCUGCGUUUCAUCUAUUUAUAUCUUAAAACAACCCCUACCAGAAAACCACAGAAAAUAAACCAUGAUCAUUAAUCUCUCAUCUUCUCCAUCAUCCUCUUCUUUCUCUCUCAUCAAGUUAUCUAAUUCCAAAUCACUCAUCUCUGAUUUUCCAUCAAAACCUAAAACCCACCACCCAAAACCUCUAUCUUCUUCCAUUUGCUGCUCAUUUUCUUCACUAGACCUUGGUUUUCACUGCAAGGAUCGAUUUUUCAUUGAAAAUGGUAGGUGCCCACAUGGGAAAAGGUUCAAGUUUAGGACUUGUGCGAUUCCUGGCUUCGACUCUGGCAACCUCAGUUGGUUUUGGAGGCGGCUGCUGUGUUAACGGCCAUAAUUGUUGUCCAUGAGAGCGGUCACUUCGUUGCAGCUUAUCUCCAAGGCAUCCAUGUAAGCAAAUGGAAGAAGAUGGAGGUUUUGGGUGGUGGGUUUUGGGUUUUGGGUUUUGGGUUUUGAUGGAAAAUCAGAGAUGGGUGAUUUGGAAUUGGAUAACUUGAUGAGAGAGAGAGAAUAGGAGCGUGGAGAAGCUGAGAGAUUAAUGAUCAUGGUUUAUUUUCUGUGGUUUUUUUGGUAGGGGUUGUUUUAAGAUAUAAACAGAUGAAAUGCAAAGGGAGGAAGAAGAAGGAGUACACGUUAAAAUACAUUUUUAUCCUUGUAUUUAACAGACAAGUAACGGAAAAAUCAAUUUUGGAUCAAAUUUGCUAACGGACUCUAUCACAAGGGUUUAAAUCCUAAUUUUUUUUACCACAAGGGCUAUCUUCCGAUUACCUUAUCACCACGAGGACUGUUUAUCCGAUUAGGCCAAAAUAUAAAGGAAAGGGGCAAAAUGACAUUUCAUAUAGCAUCUUCAAAAUGCCAAAAAAGUGAGCGUUAGAUCAGGGGCAAAAUCGGGUGGGCACUGUUAGUGAACAAUGGUUUUCCCACAGGGUUUUAGUAUAGAUAAUAAUUUCUUGGAGAAUCAACAUUGUUGACAAUUUUUUGAGCAAUAUUAUCCCCAAAUUUUCUUUGCAUGUUACCCUCAACGUAGACAUCAUAUAACCAUCCUUGAACUUCUGAACCAAAAAUUUGAGUUUUAUGAUUAUAACUAAACGUCUAUAAACACAUGAUACAGAUUGAGACAAAUGUCAAAUUUAAAAUGGCAUUAAUCAGGACAGCUGCAAACUCUGAUUUGUAGGCUUUGAAAUGGAGAAGUUACUUCUUGCUUCACUUUAGCAUCAUAGUUCAGCUUCUAAGUUCAGUUCUCAACUAUGAGGUUUCUCAGUUACCUCUUUCUUGUAAUAAAACAUUAGGUAAAUUAUACAAAACUACCUCAACUAUUGAGUAAUUAACAGCUUCAUACCUCGUCUUUAAAAAGUUUCAAUGUCAUACCUCAUCUACGAACUUGUUACAAUUUCAUACAUUCCGUAAGUUGUCUGUUAAUUCUUCUGUUAAAAUGCUGACGUGGCAAGUGACGGGAUCCAUUUUCUAUUAAAAAAUAAUAAAUAUUAAAAAAAAAAGACCCAAACCCAGAUCCCCAUCCCCCCUUCCCAUCUGUCCCCCCUCCUCCUUCUCCUCAUCCUCCUCCGCACCCACCUCACACCCACCCUCUUCCCUUCUCUACACACUCCACUCCUUAAAUCCACACCCAUUCCCCCAUUCAAAACCCCCAGUUCGUCUUCUCCCUCACCCGAGCCCAACCUGCAACUAGACUUGGCAGUUUUUGACACGACACGAAAACGACACGAAAAUAACGGGUUUCGGGUCAACACGAUAACUUAUCGGGUCACUAUCGGGUGACCCGUUAAGAACCCGUUAACGGGUUCUUAACAGGUAUACACGCGGGUAACACGUGGGUAACCCGUUUCGACCCGUUAAGAAAAGAAUUAUUUUAAUAAUUUUAAGGUUUAAUUACUAAAAGAUUUAUUAUAAAAUACAAUAGUCAUAUUAAUAUAUACAAUAUAUUCUAUAUUAAAUAUAUAGUUUUGUAUUAUUGUUCUAUAUAAAUUAUAAAAAAAUUAAAAAAAAGUUUUAGUCAUUAUUUAUUUUUAUUAUGAGAGUUCCUUAUUAUCAUUACUAGGAUAAAUUUUACAUAACAUAUUCUUGUCCAAAAUUAAAAUAUACUGGUAUAGUAUUUGUAUAUGCAAGAACUAAGAAGACAUACAUACAAGUAUGAAAAAUGUGAAAAAAUAUAUAAACACUCGUGAUUUAUCAUUAUUCCUCCACGAAUAAAUAAUUGUUACACUUAUAUUAUCGUUUAGAUUUUUUAAAUCCUUCAAACCCUCAUGAAUAAUGUUUUUUAUUUGAGGGAAAAAUUAAUAAAAUUAAUAAUAAUUAUUGUAGAAGUGUAAAAAUGUAAAAAUAUAUAUAUAAAAUCACUCAUAUAUAAAAAAAUGUAAAUGCUUUAAAUAAAAGAUCAAAUUUAUUCAUUACAUUCUUAUAGGGUCGAGGAGUGUAUCUGUAAAAAAAUCAUCAAAAUCAGAGAUAAAAUAACCGUUAAAUUAUGAUUUUUCGUUUAUAACCGCCGAAAACUUUUAUUCCAUUACGUAAUCUCUAAAUGUUUGUUUUUUACGAUUUUUUACAUAUGCGAUCUCGGAAUGUGUACAAAUAAGUUUGACGGUUGGAUCGUUGAAAAAAGUUUCAUAUAAUGCAUAUUGCGUCAAAACGGUAGAUUAAGCAAACACUUAGAGUUAAUAUUAUACUUCUAUUAAGUAUAAAAUAAGUUUUUGUGGUAUCCACUAGUGUAAAUACUUUAAAUUAAAGAUCUAAUUUAUUCAUUACAUUCUUAUAGGGUCGAGGAGUGUAUCUGUAAAAAAUAAUCAAAAUCGGAGCUAAAAUAACCGUUAAAUUGUGAUUUUUCGUUUAUAACCGUCGAAAACUUUUGUUCCGUUACUUAAUCUCUGAAUGUUUGUUUUUUAUGAUUUUUAACGUAUGCGAUCUCGGAAUGUGUACAAAUAAGUUUGACGGUUGGAUCGUUGAAAAAAGUUUUGAAGAAUGCAUAUUGCGUCAAAACAGUACAUUAAACAAACACUUAGAGUUAAUAUUAUACUUCUAUUAAGUAUAAAAUAAGUUUUUGUGGUAUCCACUAGUGUAAAUACUUUAAAUUAAAGAUCAAAUUUAUUCAUUACAUUCUUAUAGGGUCGAGGAGUGUAUUUGUAAAAAAUCAUCAAAAUCAGAGAUAAAAUAACCGUUAAAUUGUGAUUUUUUCGUUUAUAACCGUCGAAAACUUUUGUUCCAUUACGUAAUCUCUGAAUGUUUGUUUUUUACGAUUUUUUACGUAUGCGAUCUUGGAACGUGUACAAAUAAUUUUGACGGUUGGAUCGUUGAGAAAAGCUUCGUAGAAUGCAUAUUGCAUCAAAACGGUAGAUUAAACAAACACUUAGAGUUAAUAUUAUACUUUUAUUCAGUAUAAAAUAAGUUUUUGUGGUAUCCACUAGUGUAAAUACUUUAAAUUAAAGAUCAAAUUUAUUCAUUACAUUCUUAUAGUGUCGAGGAGUGUAUCUGUAAAAAAUCAUCAAAAUCAGAGAUAAAAUAACCGUUAAAUUGUGAUUUUUCGUUUAUAACCGCCGAAAACUUUUGUUCCAUUACGUAAUCUCUGAAUGUUUGUUUUUUACGAUUUUUUACGUAUGCAAUCUCCGAAUGUGUACAAAUAAGUUUGACGGUUGGAUCGUUGAAAAAAGUUUCGUAGAAUGCAUAUUGCGUCAAAAUGGUAGAUUAAACAAACAUUUAGAGUUAAUAUUAUACUUCUAUUAAGCAUAAAAUAAGUUUUUGUGGUAUCCACUAGUGUAAAUACUUUAAAUUAAAGAUUAAAUUUAUUCAUUACAUUCUUAUAGGGUCGAGGAGUGUAUCUGUAAAAAAAUCAUCAAAAUCGGAGCUAAAAUAACCGUUAAAUUGUGAUUUUUCGUUUAUAACCGUCGAAAACUUUUGUUCCGUUACGUAAUCCCUGAAUGUUUGUUUUUUAUGAUUUUUUACGUAUGCGAUCUUGGAAUGUGUACAAAUAAGUUUGACGGUUGGAUCGUUGAAAAAAGUUUUGUAGAAUGCAUAUUGCGUCAAAACAGUACAUUAAACAAACACUCAGAGUUAAUAUUAUACUACUAUUAAGUAUAAAAUAAGUUUUUGUGGUAUCUACUAGUGUAAAUACUUUAAAUUAAAGAUCAAAUUUAUUCAUUACAUUCUUAUAGGGUUGAGGAGUGUAUCUGUAAAAAAUCAUCAAAAUCAGAGAUAAAAUAACCGUUAAAUUGUGAUUUUUCGUUUAUAACCGCCGAAAACUUUUGUUCAGUUACGUAAUCUCUGAAUGUUUGUUUUUUACGAGUUUUUACGUAUGCAAUCUCGGAAUGUGUACAAAUAAGUUUGACGGUUGGAUCGUUGAAAAAAGUUUUGUAGAAUGCAUAUUGCGUCAAAACGGUAAAUUAAACAAACAUUUAGAGUUAAUAUUAUACUUCUAUUAAGUAUAAAAUAAGUUUUUGUGUUAUCCACUAGUGUAAAUACUUUAAAUUAAAGAUCAAAUUUAUUCAUUACAUUCUUAUAGGGUCGAGGAGUGUAUCUGUAAAAAAUCAUCAAAAUCGGAGCUAAAAUAACCGUUAAAUUGUGAUUUUUCGUUUAUAACCGUCGAAAACUUUUGUUCCGUUACAUAAGCUCUGAAUGUUUUUUUUUAUGAUUUUUACGAAUGCGAUCUUGGAAUGUGUACAAAUAAGUUUGACGGUUUGAUCGUUGAAAAAAGUUUUGUAGAAUGCAUAUUGCGUCAAAACGGUAGAUUAAACAAACACUUAGAGUUAAUAUUAUACUUCUAUUAAGUAUAAAAUAAGUUUUUGUGGUAUCCACUAGUGUAAAUACUUUAAAUUAAAGAUCAAAUUUAUUCAUUACAUUCUUAUAGGGUCGAGGAGUAUAUCUGUAAAAAAUCAUCAAAAUCAGAGAUAAAAUAACCGUUAAAUUGUGAUUUUUCGUUUAUAACCACCGAAAACUUUUGUUCAGUUACGUAAUCUCUGAAUGUUUGUUUUUUACGAUUUUUAACGUAUGCAAUCUCGGAAUGUGUACAAAUAAGUUUGACGGUUGGAUCGUUGAAAAAAGUUUCGUAGAAUGCAUAUUGCGUCAAAACGGUAGAUUAAACAAACAUUUAGAGUUAAUAUUAUACUUCUAUUAAGUAUAAAAUAAGUUUUUUGUGGUAUCCACUAGUGUAAAUACUUUAAAUUAAAGAUCAAAUUUAUUCAUUACAUUCUUAUAGGGUCGAGGAGUGUAUCUGUAAAAAAUCAUCAAAAUCGGAGCUAAAAUAACCGUUAAAUUGUGAUUUUUCGUUUAUAACCGUCAAAAACUUUUGUUCCGUUACGUAAUCUCUGAAUGUUUUUUUUUAUGAUUUUUUACGUAUGCGAUCUUGGAAUGUGUACAAAUAAGUUUGACGGUUGGAUCGUUGAAAAAAGUUUUGAAGAAUGCAUAUUGUGUCAAAACAGUACAUUAAACAAACACUUAGAGUUAAUAUUAUACUUCUAUUAAGUAUAAAAUAAGUUUUUGUGGUAUCCAAUAGUGUAAAUACUUUAAAUUAAAGAUCAAAUUCAUUCAUUACAUUCUUAUAGGGUCGAGGAGUGUAUCUGUAAAAAAGCAUCAAAAUCAGAGCUAAAAUAACCGUUAAAUUGUGAUUUUUCGUUUAUAACCGUCGAAAACUUUUGUUCAGUUACGUAAUCUCUGAAUGUUUGUUUUUUAUGAUUUUUUACGUAUGCGAUCUUGGAAUGUGUACAAAUAAGUUUGACGGUUGGAUCGUUGAAAAAAGUUUUGUAGAAUGCAUAUUGCGUCAAAACAGUACAUUAAACAAACACUUAGAGUUAAUAUUAUACUUCUAUUAAGUAUAAAAUAAGUUUUUGUGGUAUCCAUUAGUGUAAAUACUUUAAAUUAAAGAUCAAAUUUAUUCAUUACAUUCUUAUAGGGUCGAGGAGUGUAUCUGUAAAAAAUCAUCAAAAUCAGAGAUAAAAUAACCGUUAAAUUGUGAUUUUUCGUUUAUAACCGUCGAAAACUUUUGUUCCAUUACGUAAUCUCUGAAUGUUUUUUUUUUACGAUUUUUUACGUAUGCGAUCUUGGAACGUGUACAAAUAAUUUUGACGGUUGGAUCGUUGAAAAAAGUUUUUGGACCGCCAGCAAUAGAUAAUUUUGUAGUAGUGAAACCUUAAAUUUAUUUAACCGUUAAUUGUUAUUUACACUUUAUUCUUCUGACUGAAUUUCAUUUUUAAAAUUUUAUUUUUUGAAAACAUGAUCAUCUGGUGGAUGUAAGAAGAUGAUAUCACGUUUCGAUAUUUACGAUUAACUGAAAUAUGAGUCAAUGUCAUAUAAUUUGUAGAAACUUUAUAAACAUCAAGCAAUAUUUUCACUAACCGUAGAACUCUAAAUAUAAUAUCAACGAUUCAACGAUCCAAACCGUUCAUCUACCGGCACCCUCUAAUAGAUCAUGUUUUCAAAAAAGAAAAUCUAAAAAAACGAAAUUUGAUGAGAACAAUGAAGCAUAAAUGUAAACAACAAUCAACGGUUAAAUUUUGAUCUAUGAUUUAUAUGAUUAUAGUGGCGAAUUUCGAAGUUAAGCUCUUCAUGAAAGUUAUAAAGCUUGUCAUUACGAGUGUUUAUAUAUUUUUUUACACUUCUACAUUAAUUAAAAAACUAUUAAAGACUUUAGGUAAGCGAAAAUAUACUUAAAACAAAAUUGCGUUUUUAUGUUUUGGAUGUGAUAAUAUGGAAUGUAUAUACUUAUUUAGUAUUAUGUUUUUCAUUUGAUUAUUUAUUGGUUUAAAAUAUAUUUUCCUUAACGGGUAACGGGUCGGGUCAUAUUACCUGUUAAUAUUAUUGGGUUGAUUUCGGGUCAGGUCAUUUUACCCGUUUAUUUUAACGGGUGUUACAUGACACGACCCGUUAAGAUAUCGGGUAUGACACGAAAACGACACGAACACGGAAAACACGACACGAAUGCCAAGUCUACCUGCAACCCAGAAGAGAAAAUAAAAAAAAAGCUCAGAUCCCUUCUUGCCCGAGUCUCGACCCCCUUCCCUGCACCCACCCUCUCGAGGAAGAUGAAGAUGAUUUUUUUUUCUUUUCUGGGUUGCAAGUUGGGCUCCGGUGAGAAGGGGGAGAGGUUAGUGAAGCAGCAGGAGGAGGAGGAGGAGAAUGAGCACCAUGGGAGGGAGGAGGAGAUGGAGGAAGAGAAGGCGCUAGGGGGGGUUUAGGUUUGGAAAAGGGGGGACGAAUGGGUUUUGCCAGGGGAGUGGGGGUGGGGGGAUGAGGAUCUGGGUUUGGGUUUCUAAUUUUUUUAAAAAUAUUUUUUAAUAGAAAAUGGGUCCCGUCACUUGCCACAUCAGCAUUUUAACGGAGUAAUUGACAAACAACUGACAAAUGGUAUGAAAUUGUAACAAAUUCGUAGAUGAGGUAUGACAUUGAAAUUUUUUAAAGAAGAAGUAUGAAACUGUUAAUGACCUAAUAGUUGAGGUAGUUCUGUGUAAUUUACCCUAAAACAUUUGACCAGUACUUGUCAGGAUAUCCAAUUAAUUAGGUCAAUUUUUGUCAGCGGUAAUAAUUUGUUUUUGCAGUUUUAUAUGUGUCUCUGUCUCCAAAUAUGAUGAUCUCUUAAUUUGCUUCUAUAGUUUUUGUAAUAUGAUGAUCUCUUAAUUUGCUUUUGCAUAUCUUCUUUGCUUCCUCUGCUAGCUCUAUAUCCAAAUAAUUAUUCCUUAUUUCCUAUUUUUACAAGAAGCAAAUCAUUGAAUACACAUGGAAAAUUAAAAGGGUUUUAGUUUUUGGAUUAGUUUAAAAUUUUUGUUGUUAUUGGUUGUAUUGCUUUAAAAUAUUUGAUGGGUAGUUUGAAAUGGAGAACUUAGUUGAUUGAGUAUUAACUUUUAUUAAAUUAAGACUCUAAGGCUCUAAUCUAAUUUUCAUGCUCAACAUCUCCUCUAUCUUUCUACAAUUGGUAAAACUUUUGUAUUAUUAUUCCAAUUUUGGUUACUGGGUUUUGGAAUUUUCCAUUUUUUUUCUGGGUAAUCAAUAUUGUAUAUAUGCAUGACAAGUAUAAACAAUAUUUUAGGGCAAAUUUAGUUGUUUAAUUUUUGAAUUAGAAGUUUUUGGUUUAUCUAUAUUACGUGAAAUAAAAAAAAAUUAUAAAGCUUUCGUUUUCAUGUCUUAAAGCUUUAAGCUUUACUUGAAAAACGAACUUAAUUUUGGGCUCAAAUUAUUGAAUUUCUUUGUUCUAUGCGUUUGAAUUUCAUUAAAUUUUUGUUAACGUUUGGUUAAAAUCUUCAUUACUGUAAUAUGAUCGAAUUUGCGAUUUAAUUUUUAAUUUUUUUUUGUGACAAUGAGAUUAUGGUAGGAUUUCGUUUAGAUUCCUCGGCCCAAGGAGAGUCUCUGCUUUUGAUAAGAUUGGGGUUGAUGCUAUCUCUGUCACAGCCCGUCCCGGAGAUAUGUAUUAUUUUAUUCUCGAUAAUGUGAAAGGACGGUUUUAUCCUUAGACAUUGAAAUUGUAGUGUAUGUGUGUGACAUAUUUUGGUUCUUGGAUGUCAUGUUCUUGGUUGGUUGGUGACCACGUGGGACACACACACACACAAACCUCAUUCUCUCUCUUCUCUCCCGUGCUUUCUCUCUCAGACUCACUAUCUCUCCUCAUUCUUCGUACGGUCGAGCACCAAACUCACCCAUUCACGCACAGAUCGAGAUCGUGCUUGGUUGUAUUGUCUUCAUCUCCUCACCAUGAGCUCAUCCAUACCAGUUUCAGGUAUGAAAACCUUCGAAAACCUCGUGAACCAAGAAUCUCCAAUUUGAACAUUGUUCAUGCUAACGUAAAAACAUGUGUUUUUGGAAAUUCUAAGCUCACAUGGAGCUUUGGAAGGCCCUCUACAGGCUCGGAGAAGUUCGUUUGGUGGUUUUGGACGUCGGAAUCGAGAAGUCGAAGCUUGGCUGGUUUUUCUCGAAUUUUCCCAGCAAGAUCCCGUGGUUUUUGAGGCUUGAAAGAGGUAUAAACUUGUUCUAUUCUCCAUGCACUUCAUUUUGGUAUAAAGAUCGUGAAAAAUGGUGCAAAAAUGGCCGAGAUAUCAUAGUUUAAAAAUUUCUCAGUUUUCCGGCGCCAACGACGGUUGCCAGAGUUCAGAGGUAGGAGACGACGGAAUAUUCCGACGUAGUCAGUUAGUUUGGACGGAUUCCGUUAGGACUUAACGGAAUAUUCCCCAGUAUAUACUUGAUGGUGUUAACUGACGCCGUCAGUAUGCUUGUCACCUGGCCACGCGUGGGGGUGCGUAGGGCCGUGCCCUUGCUUGCGCGUGGUGGCGCGUGGGUGAUCGAAAUUUUUUUCUAAAAAUAUUGGGACGUGACGUUGUUUAGAUCACGUUGGUAUAUUCAAAUACCAAAUUUGAGCAGUGUAUGAGAAGUUAUUAGCUAGUUUUGUGUAUGUGCUUUAAAUAACGUUUUUAUAGUUAAUUCGCAUAUAGAUGAGACUUGUCCCGAUGACGAGCGUGUUCAAGGGCGACUCAGGGGCUACGACCCUUCGACAUACUAGUGAGUGAGAUUUUGGUUUUCAGUAUAUAUUUAUAUACUUGAUAUUUUCCCAUAAAUAUGUGUUUAAAUGAAAGUAUGCCUUAAAUGUCAUGCAUAUGAAUUUAUAUAUCGUAUAUGAAUUGGUAUAUGAUGCACUAUAUAUAAUUGUGGUGUUGUGGACACUCAGGUAAGCUCAGGUGAAUUAUGGUUGGUUAUGUGAAUUAUCGAUGAUGUGAUAUGUGAUUGAAUAACGUUGAGCUCAUAAAACUGCACCUAGGGUGAUUGUGAUUUAGCCAGAGAUAUGGCACAUGCCUGUUUAUAAUGUCACCUCCCGCACCAUAUGCUCAUUUUGGAUCCAAUUUACGUGCACAGUCUUAUCGUACAGAUCUUAUUUAUGGUUUCGACUUGUAGGUGACUAGCGAUUUAUCACCCAACUAUUAUGUGAGAGUAGUAUUGAGCAUAAAUAUAUUACACCCAGUAUUGUCGUAUAGACCUUUUCAUUUGGUUCCAACUCUUGUGCAGUAUAGUGCCGUAUAAGUCAUUGUAGUGAUUCCGGCUAGAUUGACUUUUGAGCUAUGAAUUCAGCCGUACAGACUACCACAGGGUUCCGGCAUAUAUGUUACAUUUCUAUGAAAUUAUUCUUACAUGAAUUGCUUACUAUGUUAUAUCUUGGCAUGGCAUACAUAUGAAUAUGAUUAUGUGAAGCAUGAUUUGAAUUGAUAUAUUUACAUAUAUAUUUAUGUAUAUGCUUAUAUCUUGAUUAUGGGAAAAAUUAUACAUGUUUUACAGCGAGGGGUUAGAUAUGUUGAUAAAUAAAAUGAUUUUGUAAAACAUUUGUUUUUGCCCACUCAUGUUUUCUAUUUUGCGCCUCUCCAUGUUUUAGGUAAGUUUUCAGUUGCUGGGUGCGAGGACUUCGGCGGUUCUAACCUAUCAAAAUAAUUGUAGAACAUCUUAUGGUACUGUAUAAUUAGUACUUGUCCUACUGGACUGCACCUAGACUUUCUAUGCUUUGAUUAGGAGUAUUUACUUUUGUAUUUUACUUCUAACACUUCCUGUUUAAUAAUGCACUCCAGUAGUUUCAGUUUUAAUUAUUCGUAUAUUUCUUAUCUUAAUUGCUUUCGCAUUGUGCACAUGGCUACGUCACCCCCACGUGACGACCAAUAUGCCUUGAUCUCGAUCGGGGUGUGUCAAUAUCAUGAAACAAAACCCAGGUCUAAAUAUUUGAUAAUUUAUAAUUUCAAGAAAGCCAAUAAGCCUACUGUGGACGCCGCAGCGGCCUAGCGCCGUUUUCCAAAAUCCUCUCUUACUUGGGUAAACAAUUAAGACUUUUGGUUCAGUUUUUAUUAUGCCCAAUUUUGUAUUUAAACCUUAAAAAAAUUUAAACUAAUUUGGGGUUACUGAAAUAGGCAUGCUUGAUGAGUGUUGCAGAGCUGCCAUCCCUGAAUCAGAAGAUGUUCAGAAGGAAGAAAAAGAAGAAGAAGAAAGUCGUGGAAUAUCAAAAGCUUUUAGCUUGUGAAUGUAUGCUUUUCCCAACUCACCUUUUGCUUUUGUUGCACUGAAUUGGUAGAUUGGCUUCAAAAACAUAUAUAUGUGAUUUUUCGUGUAACUAUUUUGUUUAUACCAUAUUUAGGGCCUCGUACUUAGACCUCGUAUAAAUACUCGGGGGACUCAAAUGUAAUUAUGCAAUAAGGAAAGGGGCAAAUAUGUAAUAAGUGAGGAAUAUAAUACAAUCAGUGUGUACGUAGCCCAAACCUUGGGAAGAAAAGGUGUCGGCGACACUCUCAAGAAGCCUCGCGAACGCAAGCUUUACUACCCUGCUCUCAAGCUCUCGGAAGCUAUGGAUAGAAGAGGAAUGAACAACACAGUCGGUGAUCAGGCAAUACAUCUUGUUCUUGUUGCUAAAGUCUGGCAUAUUCCUACUGCAGAAAGUUAUUUCAUUGAUCUUCUUGAAUCAGCGAAGACCCAUCUUUGUUACGGGGCCCUGCUCAACUGUGGCCGCCAAAGCAUCAUCUUCCCCACCAUUUCCCAUCUCUAGUACUACCACCUCAUCCAGACGAUUCCCCACUCAUCCACUGCUUUUGUCGGCAAAAGCAGAAAGGGAAACAAAGAACUUGAGUGCCAUCUGCACUCUGCAAAGUAAAAGUAAAAGUUAAAAAAAAAGGGAAGUAAUGAUGGUGCCAGUCAGAUGCACCGAAAGCACUUACAGCUAUGAAUGUCAAUACCAAGAAUGACUGCUGGGUCCGGUCAAUGAUGAAAGUACAAAUACAUCCUCCUAGCGCUAGUCAGGUACUACUUCCAGAUGGGAGACGAUUGGCCUAUCAAGAACAAGGAGUCCCAUCAAAUAACACUCGAUUUUUGUGGUGAUGGCAUUAUGAGCGUGACCCAUUGAGCAGAGGGUCAGAUUUAUUUUUUGAAUGAUGUAAAUUAUUUUUCUUAUCUUUCGGAGACAUCUGUAUACACCCCGUCAGAGGGUAAUAAAAUAAAAAUAAAAAAAGGCAAGCCCAAAAUAAUAGGCUACAAGCCCAAAGUAAUGGGCUGCAAUGUCAUGUGGAGGGCAAACGCCCAUAUGCCCAAAAAUGUCAAACCCUCUAUUAUCACCAACCAGGUGAUCAAAAGUACGCCCAGUACUUCAAAAUUAUUCGGCAACCCACCGCUAUUACCACCAACCCGGUGAUGAAAUGUACAACCCGUACUCUAAUAUCCUUUGGCACCUGGCCACUCAUACUACCAACCAGGUGAAGAAGGAACUUAUCUUCAUGAGCAUGAGCACUACUCAUGUCAAUCAUACAUAAACAUUCAUGAGUAUCACUUAUAUCAAUCAUACAUAAACAUUCAUAAGCAUCACUCAUGUCAACAUUCAUGAGCAUCACUCAUGACAACAUCCAUGAGCAUCACUCAUGUCAAUCAACAUAAACAUUCAUGAGCAUCACUCAUGUCAAUCAGCUUCAAAAGCUUCAUUUACAGAACUCUAGCUUCAAAGCUUCACUUGCAAAGCUUCACCUACAAAGCUUCAGUGCGGGGUAUACAAAUACCGUCUCCGAACAACCGCCACUUCGGCCCAUACAUGGAUUCAAUUUGAAGUCUUCAGCCAACAGACUCUAUUGACCGAAGACUUGGGGGACUACACUAUACACCAUAUAUGGGGCCUCAACUGGGCCUCAUGAAAAAUAUACACCAUAUAUUGGGCCUCAACUGGGCCUCAUGAAAAAUACUCGAGGGACUUAGCCCAUUACUUAUGUAUGAAUGGGCGAGCCCUUAUUCUAUAAAAGGGACUCAUUCACCAUCAUUAGAGAGUAUUGCCGCCAGCUGAGCAACCGCCUCGCCGCGAGCAUCAACUCUAGCACAUUAUUCAUGUAUUGAGGAGCGAGCCCUUAUUCUAUAAAAAGGACUCUCUCACAUUCGUUAGAGAACAUCGCCGUCAGCUGAGCAACCACCUCGCCACGAGUAUCACUCAUAACCCAUUAUUCAUGUACUGAGGAGCGAUCCUUUAUUUUAUAAAAGGGACUCCCUCACCAUCAUUAGAGAGCAUCAACUCUAGCCCAUCAUCUAUGUAUUGAGGAGUGAGCCCUUAUUCUAUAAAAGGGACUCCAUCACCUUCAAACGCCACAAGCCGAGCCAACCAAGGCAACAUAAGCCACAAGCCGAGCAGUCUCGUAGCAUGUGCUACUUCUGGUUGAGCAUCAUUUCAGAUUGAGCACCGCCUUACAUCGAACAUCAGUUCAAGACAACAUCUAAUUACUUCGGCCCACACAUGGACUGAAUUUCAAGUCUCCAGCCAAAAGACUCUCUUGACUGAAGACUUGGGGGACUACUGUUUAUACCAUAUUUAGGGCCUCGUACUUAGACCUCGUAUAAAUACUCGGGGGACUCAAAUGUAAUUAUGCAAUAAGGGAAGGGGCAAAUAUGUAAUAAGUGAAGAGUCAUUAUUCUAUAAAAGGACUCCUCAUCCUCACAAUUAGGGGGAGGCUCAUUCUCACCCUCAGAUGCCAUUUCUGAAGCCUCUCUCACCCUCUCUUAGAGCUCUCUCUCUCUCCCUCACUUCUCAGAGAAAUAUAAUACAAUCAGUGUGGACGUAGCCCAAACCUUGGGGUGAACCACGAUAACCCUUGUGUCAUUUACAUUUUAUGCAGAUUCACGGUCGGAUUUACGUUGUUCCAAGACAUCCAGUUUUGUGCAUCAACAUAUUUCUUUACAUAAUUACCAAUUGAAGCUGAUUUGAGAUCGUGUAACAUUUCCUUGCCCAACCAAAGAUCGCUGUCGCUCAGAGCUGCAUUUCAUGAAACAAGUUUAUCUCCUGCCAAUUUUGUGUACCCACUUUUUAUUCAUGAGGGUUGGUGCUUGCUUGCAAGGCAAGUUGGUGCUAUUAAGUUUUGCGGUUUUACAAUCUGUUCAUGCUUAAACCUCUUUCAAUUUUUCAAUUCUAUGUAAACCUUGCAGGUCAGGACGGCACCCCUAUCUAGGCAAUGUCAGGAUGUCUAGGCUUGGGUGGAGACGUGGACUUAUGGAAGAGGUGAAGUAGCUUAGCUCUAUCUCAUUAGCUCUUAUCUGUUCUAUUAAUGCUAAGAUCAAUGGUAAAAAGUUAUAUUGAUUUUAUAAUCAAAGAUACAUAUAUUAUAAAAACAGAGGGUAUAUCAUUAAUUUCUUGAUGUAAACAACUUCCUAAGUUGGCUCCAUCAUCUUUCUCCUCACUUUCGAUCGGGUACCGCCUCUACUUACCGCGUUUUGUCGUGGAUCUUUGGGAGGGUGUGUAGAGCUUUAGCUCGGGUGUCUGCACCACCACCUUUGUUGGCCCUUGCUGGUCACUCCCGUUGUUGCUCGCCCUUGUUAGCGAUGUUGCCUGUGGGUUCUUUCUACUUGCAUGCUUGUUUGUUCUCUUGGGGGCUAUUCCAGUGCUGGUUUUGGGAUGAUGAUGUGACCUCUGUCCUCACCACUUCUGGGUUUCUUGAUGGUUUAAUCUUAAGUAAUCGUGGCGGGUGGCCGAUUGGGAUGUGGUUCUGUCGGCGAUGGGUUCUGUGUGGUUUGGUUGUUUGUCUUGGGCUCCAAGGUUGGUCUUGGGCCUUUGUUUUCUGUGUGUUGUGGCCCUUUUUCUUUUGUUGUGUUCAUAUGGUUUUGGGCCUUUGUUGUACUUCUCUAGUUGGUAAUGAAUUUUAUCCUUUGUCCCAAAAAAAAAAAAAACAAUGAUAAUUUGAAGAACCAUUUAAAGUAUUUUGGUAAUUAGCAUACUUAAGCUUAAAUGUGAUAUAUCUGUUUAGUAUUUUUUUGGAUAAAUUACACUUUCAUACCUCAGGUUUGGGGUCUAUUUCAAUUCAUUACAAUAUCUUUAAAACAUUUCACUUUCAUACCUUAAGUACUAUUUUAUUUCAAAAUAAUACAUCCGUUACAUUUUCCAUCCAUUAAUCUGUUAAAUGCUGACGUGGCUGCCACAUAUAUGCCACGUGGCUGCCAAAUGUCUGCCACGUGGCAAAUAAAAUAAUUUUUUAAUUUUUUUUUAAAAACCUGAAUUUUCUCAACAAAAAAAAAUUGAAACACACAUCUGCAAGAAGAAGAAGAAGAGGGAGGAAGAAAGAAAAAGAAAAAAAAAACUGUCCCUCAUCCCCCAGCGACCCAGAAGAAGAAGAAGAAAAAGAAGGAGGAAGAAAAAAAAGAAAAAGAAACCCACAUCUGCAAGAAGAAGAAGAAGAAGAAGAAGAAGAGGGAGGAAGAAAGAAAAAGAAAAAAAAUGUCCCUCCUCCCCCCAACGACCCAGAAGAGGAAGGAAAAAAAAAAAUAGAAACGCACAUCUGCAAGAAGAAGAAGAGGGAGGAAGAAAGAAAAAGAAAAAGAAAUGUCCCUCCUCCCCCUAGCGACCCAGAAAAGGAAGAAAAAAAAAUAGAAACCCACAUCUGCAAGAAGAAGAAGAAGAAGAAGAAGAAGAAGAAGAAGAGGGAGGAAGGGAGCUGGGUCGGGGUGGGGGGAGGGUCGCUGGGCUGGGGGGGACGGAGGGAGGGUCGCUGGGCAGGGGGGCCGGAAGGAGGAUCACUGGGCUGGAGGGAGGACGGGAGGAGGGUCACCGGGCGGGGGGAGGGUCGCCGGGGGGGGGUUCUUCUUUUUUCUUCUUCUGGUCACUGGGGGGAAGGACAAAUUUUUUUUUUCUUUUCCUCCUUCUGGUCGCUGGUUGCAGAUGUGGGUUUCAUUUAUUUAUUUAUUAUUUUUUUUGUUGAGAAAAUUCAGGUUUAAAAAAAAAGAAAAUUAAAUUUUUUUUGCCACGUGGCAGACAUUUGGCAGCCAUGUGGCACAAAUGUGGCAGCCACGUCAGCAUUUAACAGAUUAAUGGAUGGAAAAUCUAACAGAUGUAUUAUAUUGAAAUAAAAUAGUACUUAAGGUAUGAAAGUGAAAUGUUUUAAAGUUGUUGUAUGGGAUUGUAAUAAACCUUAAAAUCUGAGGGGCUACUGUGUAAUUUACCCUAUUUUUUUAUACAGUGAUAAUACUCAAGUAUAAUUUACAUCAUAUAUCUUUUGAAGUACAUAAAACUAUGAAGAAAAAUCCCUAAUUAAUCUGAUUAUGGGGAUUUUGUUUUAUAUCAAAAUAUUGCAGCAGAAGUCACACUUUGAAGAGUUCACGCUGCACAUAAAGAUGAUGAAAUGCUACAUGAGGUAUACUUUUGUUCUGCAAUAUGACCCUUUUUAUUUUAUUUUUAAGACAGAUAAGGUUGAAAAGAAAUUAUUUAGUAUUUUUGUAUCAGUUUUGAGUGCCUAUUUUGGCUUCCAUAUUUGGUCUGUACAUGUGAGGUAUAGAGUGUUCAAUAUGUAUUUGGUUUCUAUAUUGUUAAUGGAUCUAUAGCAAGUCCGCUUCCCUCAGUGUCCCUGGUAACAAAAUUUAUGGCGUGUCUUCGUUCUUUCAAUUAUUUGAAAGCUUCCCUGCUCUGCACUCUUGUACAAAGACUUAUGGUGUUUCAUCAGUUCCAUUUGGUGGUUGGGUGGGAAAUGAAAUUAAAACUCUGCAUUUCAAAUGGUCUAAACCAAAUUGUAUCAAAUGUGAAGCAAAGGGCAAGAGGUGUAGAUUGAAGAACAAUGGCACUAAGAGCGAAAUUGAACUUGUUGACAGGAGGAAACCAAGUAAGGAUAACGCGUCUAAAUCUUAUUUCGCAUUUAUUAUGCUCAUGAUGUUUUUAAUGAUGAUGAUCGGUAUAAUGUGCUACAUGCUGUGAUUUGUCUGCUUUCAUGUAAUUAGCGGCUUAUAUUUAUGGUAACGAUAUUGAUUAAUUUCGAGAAAUGACAUUCUAAUUUUCGCAACUGUCUUUUGCAGGCAAAACAAAGACGUUUGCAAGGGUGAGUUGUGUAUGACUGUUGUUUAGCUUUGUUUCAUCUCCAAAGGACAUUGGAGAAUAAAUGUUUACUCAUGGAUAGUAUCUAUCUAUUUGCAGGAGCAACCCUACGUUCAUUUGUUCUGUUACUGCUGGUCAUUGCAACAUAUCACGCCUAUAACGCUGAAAAAGAGAAUCGAAUGAAAAUUGAUAAGUUUUCGGCGGACUACAAAGAUCAUAAGCCAAGCAUAUAUUCCUAUGCAGAUAUUAAGAGGAUUACAAAUCAAUUCAAGUACAAUUGGGCCAAGGAGCAUACGAAGCUGUUUUUUUUUUUUUUUUUCUGAAUGCUUUGUUGCCAUGAAAGUACUUAACAUUUCCAAGGGCAACGGGGAAGAGCUUGUGAAUGAAGUGGGAACAAUGGGUCAUAUUCACAAUGUCAAUGUGGUUCGCUUGGUUGGUUUUUGUGCUGAUGGAUUUAGAUGAGCUCUGGUUUAUGAGUUCUUUCUCAAUGGUUGGCAUAAGUUGCAAGAUAUUGCUAUUAGCAUAGCCAAAGGAAUCAAGGAUGUGAUCUACAAAUCCUCCAUUUCGAUAUCAAACCACAUAAUGUUUUGCUCGACCAAAAAUUCCUGCCAAAAAUCUCUGAUUUUGUUCUGGCCAAGUUAUGUUCCAAGGAUCAAUCAAUGUCAAUGACUUAAGCGAGAGGGACCAUGAGAUACAUUGCACCUGAAGUGUUUUCCAGGAAUUUCAGAAAUUUGUCUUACAAGGCAGAUGUCUUGAAUGUUGCUGCUUGAGAUGGUAGGAGGAAAGAAGAAUGUUGGUUCAACCACAGACGACACGACAAAUGAAAUCUACUAUCCAAAAUGGAUUUAUAAUCUUCUAGAGGAAGGAAAUGAACAACGGAUCCAUAUUGAAGAAGAAUGUUAUGGUAAGAUUCCAAAGCAACUUGUAAUUUUAGGGCUCUGGUACAUCGAGUGACACUCGGUGGAUCAUCCUACCAUGAAAACGGUGGUGCGGAUGUAGGAGGAGGAGAAAACUUAAUGAUGCAAGCAACCCUAAAAGCCUCCUACAGUUAGAAGCAAUUGUUGAAUUAAAGUAACAUGUAUAUAUAUACGCACCAACACAAGUCAAUUCUGAGAUGAAUCCAAGCCAAACAAUUACAAACGGCAGUUAUUCACCAAAUCACUUUAAAGCAAAAAUUUAAUUAAUAAUACAUUACUGCACUUCCUUAACAAUUUGACUAUCACCUAGCUGACAAUGAACACGUUAGUUCCGCGUUAGAACAUAUUGGGUUCAAUUCAUUGUCUUGAAUAUCACCCGCAGUCACAGGCGCUUCUUGUGGGCAUAGAGAAGGCUUGAGAGGCAUCUGCAGACAUUCAACAUCUCCUCCAAGCAUUUCGACAACUUUGGACAUCGAAGGACGAUCACUUGGUUUCAUUUGAAUACACCAUAAGGCUGUUAUAACCAUCUUUCUUAUUACUUUCUUUUCCUCCUCAGUAAUAUUGUUCAUUUCCAAGUCAUUUCCCACAAUAUACUGAUCGUAUACCCACAACGGGAAGUAGAUUUGGCUUGAAUGCUCUACCAUUGCAUUCAAAUUCUUCCUUCUGCUUGCCAUUUCCAUCAACAACAUUCCAAAACUAUAGACAUCGGCCUUGUAUGAGACACCUCCAAUAUUUUUGUAGAACAACUCGGGAGCAAUAUAUCCCAUUGUACCCCGUGCUGCCGUCAAAGAGACAAUGCUAUUAUCUACAGGAUACAGUUUUGCAAGCCCAAAGUCAGAAAUCUUUGCUUUAAAGUUCUCAUCAAGAAGGAUGUUAUGAGGUUUGAUGUCGAAAUGUAGAAUUUGCAUUUCGCAACCUUGAUGUAGAUAUUCGAUCCCUUGAGCCACUCCAAGAGAAAUCUCGUACAUAGUCUUGAUAGUUAAAGGAAGACUUCCUUCUUUAGAAUAAAUGUAUUUAUCAAGAGAACCAUUAGGCAUGAAGUCAUAUACUAGAGCACGCUUUGAUCCCUCAACACAAUAUCCAACAAGUUGCACCACAUUGGCAUGGUGAAUCCUUCCGAUUGUAGCUAUUUCGCUAAUGAAAUCUUGGUCAUCAGCUUUGGGCUUGCCCAAAACUUUAACUGCUACAAAUCGGCCACUACGUAGCUUUCCUUUAAAUACAGAGCCAAAGCCACCUUUGCCCAACCUGUCCUUAAACUUGCGAGUCAUUUUCUUGAUGUCCGAGUAAGAGUACCUUAUAAGCAUGAAGUUGUUAUUGCAUUGCAGAAAAUCUUCUAUUGUGCCAUGCAUUGAUAAAUGUCUUCUGCGCCAUGUGUAGAUUAAAAAUGCAGUCACAACUAGAACUCCAAAAACAAAUCUGGCUAGGAAAAAUAACCCUGCAUGCAUUGACAAUAAUAUGUUAGAUCCACUGCGUAUUACUUUUUCUUCCCUUUCUUUCCAAAUUACUUUGUCCUUGAUAUAAUUAAAGAGAGAGAAUGGGAAAUCUACAUAUGCGGAUAAUACAAUCUCGUAUUAGUUCUUACCGAUGCAUAUGAGUAUAAACCAUCCACGUACUGCAACAAAAUUAAUUGACAAUGAGUUUGAAAAGUGCAUAAAGUGAAAAAUAAAAAAAUAAAAAAAAUCAAAGGGUGCCUUUAUUGACACCCAAAUUUUAGUUAGUUUCACUCAACUAAAAAAUUUUUGUCAUCAAACUUUUUAAUUUGCCGUCGAAAUUGAGUUCACCCAACCCACCAAGCAGCAAGCACCACUCACCAAAAAACACGAACAACACACACCCACAACUCACCAAUAGAAAGAGAAUGAACACACAGACCCACAAAGAGCUGGCAUCGACGCUGUUGAUGAGGGAGGGACCAGAGGAUGGUGUAGUUUCGUCGGGUGCGCGGUAGUGGUUUUGUCUGUUCAUUUUCUCUUUCUUUUGGUAUGUGGAGGCUGGUGUGGAUUUGGGCGAACUUGAAAAUGAGGGGAAACUAUGAAGUUUGACAAAAUGUUUUAGUUAGGUGAACUUAACUAAAAUUUGGGUGCUAAUGAAGGUACCCAAAAUCAAAAGACUUGAGCGUAUGGACUAAUUAAAUGAAGCUCUUACUGAUUUCUAUUUCUUCCAACUUGCCAGCUGCAAUAGAUACAUACCACGGAAAAGUGAGCAAAGACAUACAGUUACUAUGUUUAAGAAGUACAGAUAGAUCACACAAAAAUAAAAGAAUCUUUUGGAGAGAAACUUCUUACACAAUGAGAUGCGUCCAUGACCUACAGUGAAAAAUGUGACGAAGAAUACACAACAUUAGCAAUAGCUCAUCUAAUCUUCAGAAUUUAAAAAAUCAAGUUUGUCGAUCGAAAACUUGUAAAUAAAACAAAAGGAGAACCCCUUACGGAUUUGGUCCCAUUUAUAUUCGAUUAGGUCCCAAAGAUAUUCGAUUAGGUUCCAUAUAUAUUGAAAGAAACCUACAAGAACAAAGAAAGAACAAGACCACAUGCAUUAGCAUAACCAGUGUGAGGUGUAUAAGUCGUUAGAAAAUAAAUUUAAAAUUCUAGUUUUGUCAAUACAUUGAUUAAUAUAUAUAUGUAUUAUUUUUUCUAAAAAUUUAAUCGUCCCCCUCCAAACUCAUUUUUCUAGCCUCUAGCCCAUCAUAUAUAUAUUUAUCUGAAUAAAAUUCAAUGAUUAGGAUCCAACUGAGAAACUUACCAAAUUAAGUUUGUGUGUCCAUUUUUAUUUGUUUUAAUGGAUCAUGUGCAUUGAAUUUGGCAAGGUUUUGUAGCCAUGAAAUAUGGUUCUAGAUGGAGGAAUUAAUUUGGAUUUUUUUUUUAAUUUCGACAACAAAUUUCAAUUUGAAACAAUAUCUAUUGUUUAAUUUUAUGAAAAUAAUUUACCUACUAUGAAAAUUAAUUUUAUGAAAACAAUAUCUAUUGUUUAAUUUUAUACCUACAUGAUAAUUACAUGAAAAUAGUUAACCUAAUAUGAAAAUUAAUUUUUUGAAAACAAUAUAUAUUGUUUAAUUUUAUGAAGAUAAUUUACCUACUGUAUAAUUACGUGAAAAAAUUUACCUACUAAGAAAAUUAAUUUUUUGAAAACAAUAUAUAUUGUUUAAUUUUAUGAAGAUAAUUUACCUACUGUAUAAUUAUAUGAAAACUAAUGUGCCUACUUUUUUAAUUUGUAACAAAACCAAUUUACCUACUUUUUAUGGUAUUUAGUAUACAUAAAUGUAGAAUAUAUGUUCAUAUAUGGGGUUUAGGUGCCUUCCUAUAUAUGACCCUUGAUUUUACUUUAUUUACAGCACUGCAAUCAAAUGUGUGGCUGAGUUGGAGGGUAUUAUUAAAAGUUAGGAGGAUAAUUUUGUCCAAGGGCUGGGGGCGAAUUAGCAUACAGAGGGCGAUGGGAGCCAUGCCCAUUGCACAGAGAGAGAGAGGGACAGAAAAGGAGGGGAUGGGGGAUUUGAUGGAUGGUCACAGAGAGAGAUUGGGUGUGGGAUGUGAGGGGAGAUUACAGAGAGAUAAAUAAAAGGGAGGGAUCGGGGGAUUUGAGGGAUGGUCAGAGAGAAAUAGUGAGGGAGAGGAUGGGGGGCUGAUUUUCGGUUCCUCCUUCCAGAUUUGUUCCGUAAAACCUGUUGGGUACAAUUCAAUUUCCUCCCCCUUUCCCCUGAACGAAAAAUUCGAAACCUACAACUCAAAACUCACUCAUUUGACCCCCCUCCUUGGCUUUCCACCUUACUCAUCUCCUGGUGGUUCUUUCUCUCCAUACGAUUCGAUUUCGUUGAGUUCUUCGUUGCCCUCAUGAUUUCCCAAUUUGAUUUUUUGGGCGUCCUUAGUCGUCGUUUUUAUCUGGGUUUACUGCAUUGUUGCUUUUAGUUUCUGGAUUUUUAUUUUUUUUGGCGGUUUGAUGAAUCGUGGUUAAUAAUUUCACACCAUGGGAUUUUCGCACUUCUGAUGGAAUUGAGCGAGGGGAUUCGAGGUGGGGUUUUACUGAUAAUUUGUCUUCAUUCAAAUGAAUGGUUAAAAUUUAUGAGUAUUAACAAAUUUUGUAAAUUAUUCUUAUGCAUUUUAUUGAGGGAUAUGGGGAUCUAAUCGAUUUCUCUCUGUAGUGGGAUUGAAAUUGGGACUUUGUGGUACUCUCUCUCGCUCUUCCUCUCUCAUAUGUGUAUGAAGUGAGUUCUGAAUUGAGUUCUUUCAAGGGAACCCAUCAACGGUUUGCUUGCUGGGGGAAUUCGGAGACUACCAGUGUAUGAUUUAGUUAUCAUUUAUUUUUUUACUUAAAUUUAUCCAUAAAUAAUAUGUGGGUAAAUUUAUACUAAACAAUUGUGAUAAGCCAGCCAAUAUGCCAUACGACUUUGAAAGCAUUGAUUUUAUGUAUAGUUUGCAUUUUUGCAUUGUGAAUGUUGAAUUUUGUGUUUAAUUUGGAUUUUUGUGUUUGAAUUUGUAGCAUGAUCUUCCACUGCAGCAUCCAAAUUUUGCAUUUGUAAAUUGUCAAAGAAAAACGAAGUAUGAGGAAAUUAUAGGAGAUUGUGUCGGCUUUGGCCAUGAAGGGUAUCAGCAGUUUACCGCCCCCCCCCCAACACAGGUGAUUAAUCGUUUUUUAGUCUGUGUUCUAUAUGGAUGAGAAAGUGAUUGAAAAAUAUGAUUUUUUUUAUUUGUUGGUUGAUUUUGUAAGGACGAUGUAUUAAUUUUUUUUUUUGGGAGCAGCUUCUCCAUAAAUGGGGGUAAGGCUAGCCGACAUUCACCUCUCCCAGACCCUGCGUAAAGCGUGAGCCUUGUGCACUGGGUACGACCUUGUGUAUUGGGUAUUGUGUAGAACCAGCAAUGCAAGAGCAGGAUCUGAUCAGUCACGCCCGAAAAGGGGUUUGUUUCUCAAAUCACAUUCAUUAGUUAGAUUAUUAAUGUGCGUUGGAAGGCUCUUCAAUAUGAUUUUGUAAUUUCUCAUUUCCGGCAUUCUCUUUUUGGUUUUUGGAGUAUGUAUGUGAUUUGUACUUGAUUAUAGAAUAAAAAUUAAUAAAACACGAGAUGCAGCAAUUAAUUUGCAUCCUUAUGACAACACAUAUAUGAAAGUGCAUUCAAAUUCAAUAUGCGAAUGUGUGACAGGAUUUGCCUGCCUGCUGCUGCUGGUAUGCUUGCUGUUGUUUCUCGCGUUGUUAAUUUUUUGUGUGUGUUGAUUUGAUUAACAAUUCAAGCGUAUCUCUUUUCUUUUUUUUUUUUUUUUUUUUUUUGUGUUGGUUAGCAGCCAGUUUUAUUUAUUGGAUUUUUUAUUUGGAUUUAUGGCACUGAGGGUAUAGGUGAACAGUGAAGCGGUUUGUAUGGGCUCAUGUAACUUAAACAUGUAGUGAGAAGCGAGGAUUUUGUUUUAGUGUUUAUGAUAAUCUGAAGGAAUAUGUAGAUACUAUGAUUUGAGGUUGCUUUCUUAAACCAUGAUAAAGCAGUCCAAGUAAUUUUAACAACAACAACAACAACAACAACAACAACAAAGCCUUUUCCCACUAAGUGGGGUCGGCUAUAUGAAUCCUAGAACGCCAUUGCGCUCGGUUUUGUGCCAUGUCCUCCGUUAGAUCCAAGUACUCUAAGUCUUUUCUUAGAGUCUCUUCCAAAGUUUUCCUAGGUCUUCCUCUACCCCUUCGGCCCUGAACCUCUGUCCAGUAGUGACAUCUUCAAACCGGAGCGUCAGUAGGCCUUCUUUGCACAUGUCCAAAUCACCGGAACCGAUUUUCUCUCAUCUCUCCUUCAAUUUUGGCUACUCCUACUUUACCUCGGAUAUCCUCAUUCCCAAUCUUAUCCUUUCUCGUGUGCCCACACAUCCCACGAAGCAUCCUCAUCUCCGCCACACCCAUUUUUUGUACGUGUUGAUGGUUCACCGCCCAACAUUCUGUGCCAUACAACAUCGCUGGCCUUAUUGCCGUCCUAUAAAAUUUUCCCUUGAACUUCAGUGACCUAUGACGGUCACACAACACGCCGGAUGCACUCUUACACUUCAUCCAUCCAGCUUGUAUUCUAUGGUUGAGAUCUCCAUCUAAUUCUCCGUUCUCUUGCACGAUAGAUCUUAGGUAGCGAAAACGGUCGCUUUUUGUGAUCUUCGCUAGAUUGCUCUGGUCAUUAGUAUGGAUAAGUAUAUAAAUGGAUAGAGAUAGGAAAGCGAACACAAGAUGUACGUGGUUCACCCAGAUUGGCUACGUCCACGGAAUAGAGGAGUUCUCAUUAAUUGUGAAGGGUUUACACAAGUACAUAGGUUCAAGCUCUCCUUUAGUGAGUACAAGUGAAUGAUUUAGUACAAAAGACAUUAGGAAAUAUUGUGGGAGAAUGAUCUCGUAAUCACAAAACUUCUAAGUAUCGGAGUGUGGUAUCGUCUUGACGUGCCUUAUCUGUCUCAUAGGUAGAUGGGGCAUCUUCUCUAGAAGUACUCUUCCUCCAUCCAGGGGUGGUAUCUUUAACUGGUGGAGAUGCACAAGGUAAUGUAUCAAUUUCACUUGAAGCUUACUUGUAGUUUCAGGCUUGGUCAAGCGCGAUACAAACCAUGUAGUAGGAGUCCCCCAAGUCGCUGAGCUAGGGGAUCUGCUGAAAGAGGUGACAGGCAAGGUAAGCAAUCAUAGCUCCGGCUGAUUGUUCACAGUCUCCCUAUCUUGCAGGCAGCAUGAAGGAUAAAGAGAAGAAAAUGAGAAGAGAUGAUAUGGGAUACUUUUGCUUUUGAAGAAGUAACUUUCCACAGGCUUAUUCUUGAACUGAGCUGGAGGGUUUUCUGGUUUCCUCCAGAGUAUAAGGCCGACUGAAGAAUUUGAGGAUCAAAACAAGUCCAUCAAAUCUAGAGUACGUUCAACCCUGCUGAUAUGGGAUACUUUUGCUUUGACAGAGUAAUGGAUGUAUCGGCACGUGUGCUGUUACGCUUGUCUCCACAUGCUUCCUUGUAUCCUUUUCCCUUGCCCUAUCUGUUCCUCAGGUAGAUGCAGUAUCUUCCCUGGAAGCAUAAGAUGUUGAAGAUGACUACUCGAGAGCAAUAUCAGGUAAGUAAUCAGGUAAGGGGUUCCAGGCAGUCAGUUCCUGGCUGGAAGCUUGAUUCCAAGUACUGACUGAUUGCUCUCUUUCUCCUUGCCUUGCAGGUAAGAAUAAGGUCAAAGGAAAAGACAGGGAAGAAGCAUGAUAUGGGAUACUCUUGCUUUUAACCCUGAUGAUAUGAGAUAUUCUUGCUCUAGUAUAGCUUGUUUGCAGAGGGAUUAUCGGGGGGAAAGAAAGCUGAAUAUUUCGAAAGGCUUCGUUGGGAGUGCCCUCUUAGAUAUGAGGAAGGGUUGAGCAUUUUUGCAGGUCUGCCUGUCCGUUGAGGAUGGAGGUCGACAUAUAUAGGAGUCUCCUUAACAACAAGUAGUCAUGCUAUUCCUUUACCCUACUUGGUCAUAGCACGGUAGUGGGAGCUGUCAGCUUCACAUGUUUUAACGCUGUCAAAGCACUUUGAAAAAGUGGUUUGUGGUAUCUGGAAAGCUGAUGUUGCGUGUGAAGAUUACAAACAGCUUUAUCCAAGGGGAUCCGGCUCUUGUAGUUGGGAAAGUGUUGCCUCUUCGGUUUUCGAACAAGCAAUCCUAUCGGGUAUCUGGCUCUCGAGAUUCGGAGAACGAUGCCGCUUCGAUUUUUGAGAAAGCAAUCAUGCUGGGGGUCUGGCUCUUGAGAUUCGGAGAGCGAUGUCUCUUCGAUUUUUGAGAAAGUAAUCAAGUUGGGAGUCUGGCUCUCGAGAUUCGGAGGGCGGUGCCUCUUCGAUUUUGGAGCAAGCAAUUUUGUUGGGAGUGUUUUCUCGAAUGUGAGUAAAGGUUGGGCAUGUUUGCUAGUCUACCUUGCCACGAAGCACAGAGGUUGACACACAUGGACUUUCCAAUUAUCCAGCAAUGGUACUGUUCCUUUACCCUCUUCGAUUUUUGAGAAAGUAGUCAUGUUGGGAGUCUGGCUCUCGAGAUUCGGAGGACAGUGCCUCUUCGAUUUUGGAGCAAGCAAUCUUGUUGGGAGUGUUUUCUCGAAUGUGAUUAAAGGUUGGGCAUGUUUGCUAGUCUACCUUGCCACGAAGCACAGAGGUUGACACACAGGGACUUUCCAAUUAUCCAGCAGUGGUACUGUUCCUUUACCCUUGUGGGUAAUAAUAUGGUAGCUAGACCUUCAAAAUUUAUGUGUCUAAACUUUGUUAGUGUUGUUUCUUUGCUAUUCUUUUACUCUUCUUGGUCAAAGCGAUGUAGUGGGAGCUGCAAGCUUCACGUGUUCAACUUUGGCAGAGAACUUUGGCAAAGUUAUCUGUGGUACCCAUGAGCUACUGUUGCGUGUGGGAAGUGGGUGAUUGAACAGUAAGACUCAUGUGCUUUCUACUUCACCAGAAGUCUUCGACCGAAUGCCCAUAAUUUCCGCAAAGCUGAGUGUGCGUGUGACAGGUGCUGACAAGGCUGGAAAAGUAGGUGCCUCUUCGAUUUCUGAGAUCGGCCCUCGUGGUCUCUGAGCAGCCCAGUUUUUUGAGAAAGCAAGCGCCUCUUCGAUUUCUGAGAUCGGCUUUCGUGGUCUUUGCGCAGCCCAGCUUUUGAGAAAGCAAACGCCUCUUCGAUUUCUGAGAUCGACCCUCGUGGUAUCUGAGCAGCCUUGCUUUUGAGAAAGCAAACGCCUCUUCGAUUUCUGAGCAGGCGCCUCUUCGAUUUCUGAAGCUCCGUCGAGUGCAGAUUUUUAUAGGGGCUGGCAUUAAGUUCCAAAGCACACUUGAAUCUCCACCAGUAGAAGCUCCAUUCUUGAACUUCUAAGAUCUUGAUUUGUCCGACCUCUUUUCUCUUCAACACCUUUGAAAAUGUCUGGCCCCUCCGACCGUCGUUUUGACUUGAACCUUGUUGAAGAGGCAGCCCCGCCUUCUCCUGACAACAUAUGGCGUCCAUCAUUCGUCUCCCCUACUGGUCCUCUUACCGUUGGGGAUUCCGUGAUGAAGAAUGAUAUGACCGCUGCGGUGGUGGCCAGGAACCUUCUCACUCCCAAAGAUAACAGACUACUUUCCAAACGGUAUGAUGAGUUAGCUGUUAAGGAUUCUCUGGCUCUCAGUGUUCAGUGUGCAGGUUCUGUGUCUAAUAUGGCCCAACGCCUAUUUGCUCGAACCCGCCAAGUUGAAUCAUUGGCGGCUGAAGUGAUGAGUCUCAAACAGGAGAUUAGAGGGCUCAAGCAUGAGAAUAAACAGUUGCACCGGCUCGCACAUGACUAUGCUACAAACAUGAAGAGGAAACUUGACCAGAUGAAGGAAUCUGAUGGUCAGGUUUUACUUGAUCAUCAAAGAUUUGUGGGUUUAUUCCAAAGGCAUUUAUUGCCUUCGUCUUCUGGGGCUGUACCGCGUAAUGAAGCUCCAAAUGAUCAACCUCUGAUGCCUCCUCCUUCUAGGGUUCUGUCCAGUACUGAGGCUUCGAAUGAUCCCCCUCCGGUGCCUUCUCUUUCUGGGGCUCUACCGACUGCUGAGACUUCUCCUAAGCAACCUUUGUGAAGGCUCCGUCUUGUUUGUUUAUUUUGAGUUAUGUAUAUGUACAUAUAUGUAGCUUAUCGGGGAUAUCAAUAAAUAAGCUUUCCUUCAUUUCAACGUAUUGUGUUAAAUACACCAAAGCCUUCUUCGCUAAGUUCUUUGAAUUUUCUUUUGUUGAAGCUUUGUGAGUGGAGCAUGUAGGUUGAGGUAGUGUUCCCUUAAUUUCCUGAGUGAGGAAAACUUCUCGGUUGGAGACUUGGAAAAUCCAAGUCACUGAGUGGGAUCGGCUAUAUGAAUCUUAGAACGCCAUUGUGCUCGGUCCUGUGUCAUGUCCUUCGUUAGAUCCAAGUACUCUAAGUCUUUUCUUAGAGUCUCUUCCAAAGUUUUCCUAGGUCUUCCUCUACCCCUUCGGCCCUGAACCUCUGUCCCAUAGUCGCAUCUUCUAAUCGGAGCGUCAGUAGGCCUUCUUUGCACAUUCCAAACCACCGUAACCGAUUUUCUCUCAUCUUUCCUUCAAUUUCGGCUACUCCUACUUUACCCCGGAUAUCCUCAUUCCUAAUCUUAUCCUUUCUCGUGUGCCCACACAUCCAACGAAGCAUCCUCAUCUCCGCUACACCCAUUUUGUGUACGUGUUGAUGCUUCACCGCCCAACAUUAUGUGCCAUACAGCAUCGCCGACCUUAUUGCCGUCCUAUAAAAUUUUCCCUUGAGCUUCAGUGGCAUACGGCGGUCACACAACACGCCGGAUGCACUCUUCCACUUCAUCCAUCCAGCUUGUAUUCUAUGGUUGAGAUCUCCAUCUAAUUCUCCGUUCUUUUGCAAGAUAGAUCCUAGGUAACGAAAACGGUCGCUCUUUUGCAAGAUAGUCCAAGUAAUUUUAACAUAGAUAUAAUUUUUUAUGCAAUGCAUGAGUAUAUGAAAUGUUAAGACGAUAAUAUAUCAUGUGAUUUAAAAUUCAAAGAGAGACAAUGAACCAUGUUUGAUAUUUUGUUUGUCUUGUUUCGUUUAAAUUUGGGCGUUUUUCAGUUGGAUUCAUGGGUUUUGUUUAAGAUAUCAUUUUUGGUUUAGCCAACGCAAAAGUUUACAUCUUUUCUAUGUUGGAUUCAUGGGGUUUUCUUAAGCUUUCAAGUUUUCAGUUUUUGUCAAGAAAUUUAAUCUAGGUUUCAUUUAUUUUUCAAACUAGACACUUUUGUGAAGAUUUUCUUUAUAAUUCAGUAAAUGAUUGCUCCUUUACCUGUAAAUUUGACUUAUGUAAAUUUCCAGGUUGUUCAAAACCCGCAGGGAAGCGCGGGCAAUUUUUCUAGUUAAAUGUCUAAAAGAAACGUAUAAGAGAUUUGGUGGCAUGAUUUUGUAAAUGAACACAAAUUCAGGGACAUCUUUUAUCCAACAUGACAUCAUAUUUAAAAUUUGGGUUUUAUUUAGAAGUUAUAAUAUUUAUGUGGCCUUUUGUCUAGAGUUUAAGAGUUGCCAGGAUUGGAUGAAAAUUUGCUGAGUGUUGGACAAAUGAUGCAGCAUGGAUAUUUCCUUCUAUUUGGAUUGAUGAGGUUGCUCUAUUUGAAGAUAAGAUGCUGGAAAAUCAUGUGGUUACAGUACAAAUGACUGGGAAUAGAUGUUUCCCUCUCAUAAUGGAAGAUAAGAAAUUCAAUGUGUUGAAAGCUGCUUUGGAAGACGGUGCUUAAGAUUGGCACAUAAGACUUGGACAAUUGAAUUUUCAAAGCCUGUAGUUACCUGUUAGUCGGGAAAUGGUACUAUGAAUGCCAAAGUUGAAGCAAACACAAACAGUAUGUGAAGGUUGUGCGGUGGGAACGCAUCACAGAGAAGCCUGUAGCAGGGAGAUAAUGUGGAGAGCAAGUCAUCCACUAGAGUUGAUACACUCUGAUAUUUGUGCAGGUUACAACAUCGGGUGGAAACAAGUAUUGCUUGACUUUCAUAGAUGAUUGUACAAGAAGGUAUUGGUUGUAUCUUCUGAAGCACAAGUCUAAAGUGUUCACUGUGUUUAAACAUUUCAAAGCCAUGGUUAAGCUACAAUGUGGAUACCAGAUCAAAAGAUUGAGGAGUGACAACGGUGCAAUAUCUAUUUACUAGACAUCCUUUGGGAUUCUUCCAUAUUAGAACAAGGAUUCUAUUCUAAAAAGGCCCCCUCUCCCACGGUAUAAAUACACCCAUCUAGGGUUCAUCUACGGUAGCACAAUCUAAACACUUUGAAUUCUCUUGCCCACUGCUUGAGUCUAAAAUCAUUCAUUAACUUAACUAACCUCCCCCCCCCACCCCCCCCAACCAAAGGUUUGCUUACGAUUGUUUCACUAUUUUGCAGGUUGUUCCAGACUACAUGAAUUCGUGCUCGACCGCCUCUUACGGCUCCAAACUAAUUAAUAAGUUUAAGGGGGAUAUGAUGAAGAAGUAUGAGAUGACUGAUCUUGGCUUGCUUUAUCAUUUUCUUGGUAUGUGAAUAGUUCAAACAGAGCAAAAGUAUCUUUAUCAAUCAAAAGAAGUACACUCUUGCACUUUUAGACAAAUUUAGUUUUGAAGAUUGCAAGCCUCUCACUAUAACACUUGCAGUGAAUACGAAGUUGAAAGGAGAAGAUGGUGGUGCUCUUGUAGAUAAAGCUCUUUAUAGGUAGAUUGUUGGUAGUCUGUUAUAGUUGAUAGCUACAAGGCCUAACAUUGUGUUUGAUGCGAUCUUACUCUCAAAAUUCAUGCACAGUCCUUCAAAGAAACACUUUGGUAUUGCAAAAUGGGUGCUAAGAUACAUACAAGGAACCUUGGAUUAUGCCAUUGAAUAUUUGAAAUCCAAGGAAGCAAUAUUAUGCUAAUAGGCUAUUGUGGCUGUGAUUGGAGUAGGGAUGAAAAUGAUUUGAAAAGUACUCCUGGAUAUGCAUUUUCAUUUGGCAGUGGAAUCUGCUCAUGGGCUUCAUCGAAACAACACAGUGUAGUAUUGUCUACUGCAGGUGCUGAGUAUGUUAGUGCCUCUGAAGCUAUUACUCAAGAGAUUUGGCUUUGAUUUAUAAUGGAAGACUUUGCUGAAUUACAAACUUAGGCUACUUGAUUGCAUUGUGACAACACAUCUGCCAUUGUCAUGACAAAAACCAUGUGUUUCAUGAAAGAUCCAAGCACAUAAAUAGCAGGUAUCACUUCUUUAGAGAAUCACUACAAAACAAUAUCAUCAAUCUAUUGUAUUGCAGAUCAGAGGAACAAUUGGCAGACAUCUUCAUCACAGCAUUGUCAAAUAAUCUAUUCUUCUAUCUCAGAAACAUGCUAGGGAUCAAAUCAGCAACAAUCUUAGAAGUGAGUGUUAAUGAUUAAGCAUUGGUGUUGAUUCCUUAGACUGCAAGCUUAGAAGGUAUGGACUGCACAGAGAGAAGGAGGGGGAGAGAGCGCGGAGAGAGGAAGAUGACGGAAGGGUGGGUCUUUUGAACAGAGACCUUGCAGACAAAGGGUGAGGGAGGGAUGGGACUGAUCUUAACGAAAUUACAGGUUUGUUUUCAAUUUCUUAUUUACAUGUUUUCAUAUUCAAUGGCAAUUUGGUUUCUUUUAUUUCAAAUUUAACUUCGAAAAUGUCUUUUAAAUUUAGGUAUUUUGUCUUCAACUCUAUCGCUUCCAUGCUAAUUAAGGUAGAUUAAAAAGUAGGUUUUUUAUUCAAAAUGGUCCUUGAGAUUUGCAUCAUUCAUAAGUUUGGUUUUUAAGAUUUAAAAUCAAUAGAAGUAGUCCUUGAGAUUGUCCACCAUCCAUGAUUUUGGUUCUUCCGCUGAAGCUUUUGGCCGGAAGUUUGAGCAAUUUUCAAAGUUUCGUAACUCAAUCGUUUUUUAACCAAAUUCGACUCAUAAUAUAUCAAAAUAAAGAUAGGAAAGUGUAGAAUAAGAUUAUAUCUAUUUGGAAGCCCAAUUAUUGCCGAAGAUGGUCAGAAAAUAGCCUCAAAGUUGACUGGUCCGAGGGAAAACUGGAACCGGAAAUUCGCUGAAAACUGGGUAAACUUUAAACGUUCAUAACUUCUUCAAUACUCAACAAAAUCAAGUGAUUCAAAAACGAAAAUCAUACUUCUCAACGAGAAGAAGAGAAUGGUACCUUUUUCAACAGCUAACUUGCCGUGGUUUGGUCGGAAAACGGCUCGAAAGUGGCUGUUGAAAAACAAGUCAACAACUUUCAAGCCGUUUUCUGGCCAAACCACGGUGAUUUAGCUAUUGAAAAAGGGUACCAUUCUCUUCUUCUCGUCGUGAAAUAUGAUUUUUGUUUUUGAAUCGCUUAAUUUCGUUGAGUAUUGAAGAAGUUAUGAACGUUUAAAGUUUACCCAGUUUUCCCUCAGACCAGUCAAUAUUGAGGCUAUUUUCCGACCAUCUUCAGCAACCAUUGAGCUUCCAAAUAGAUAUAAUCUUAUUCUAUAUUUUCCUAUCUUCAUUUUGAUUUAUUACGGGUCGAAUUUGGUUAAGAAAUGAUUGAGUUACGAAGCUUUGAAAAUUAUCCAAACUUCCGGCCAAAAGCUUCAGCGGAAGGACCAAAAUCAUGGAUGGUGGACAAUCUCAAGGACUACUUCUAUUGAUUUUAAAUCUCAGGGACCAAACUUAUGAUGAUGCAAAUCUUAGGGAUCAUUUUAAAUAAAAAGCCUAAAAAGAAUUGCAACAGAAACAACUAAAAACCAAGUUGGCCUGCAGGGUUAUCUGUAUGUGUAUUAUAUUGAUAAUUCUAGGACUUAUCAUAUCAUGUUCCUAACUUGAUGCUGUGGGCAUCUUCUCCUAUUAAUAACAGUGGCACCUUAAUUUGAUCAACCAAAUUUGGUGAAGCACCAGACAAACAGAAACCCAUGCAUACAGAGCCAACUGCACUGAAGCAUGAAUUUAAAAAAAAUAAUGUACAUGAUUAUUAUUCCACUACUUAAUUUGUUCCAACUCACCACAAAUUUCUCUUCAUUAUGGUUGUUAGGACAAUAGAUUAGGUUGCAAGAUAAAUUUCCAAAGUUCUACUAGCUUAGGUUUUCAGAAAUCAAACAUGCAAAGUUUCUAUGCAUGUUUUGAAAUUGGUUUUAGGAAGUGGGCUUCCAAGUCUUAACAAUAAUGGACACUAUGAAAUCAGGGUAACCAAUUGGGGAUAACUAUAUACUUCAAAAACGCAUAUUUUACACACACACACACACAUUCUGUCAAGAAUCAGAUUUGAUUGGCACAGAUGAAGAUGAACAAUAAGAAUGAACAAUAAGAGGCUAGCUAGGAGCUGAGUAAAUUGAAUCGAUUACCAUGUUGUAAUUGGCCUAGCUACUCUCUAGUUAUUCUUCAAGGUUGUAUAUAAUAUAUCUACCUAUAUAAUCUCACCCUGUUUCCCCCUUUUGUCUCUCUGUGCACUCAGAAAACAAGCCACCCUAAUUCAAGUUCUCUAUCUUCAGAUCACCAGCAAUAACCUCAUCAAGGUCCUAGGAGGAAUCACGAGGAUUCACAGCCGAAUUGGUAUGUACUUAUGCUUUUGCAAAAAGCCCUUUUCUUGCCAUUUUUCUGUUUUAGAAUUGGGACCAAAAUGAUUAUGAGUGAUUUUGAAAAACACCGAGAAAAAAUGGCUAUCAAGCAAGCAGGCUGUGAGUAUUCAAAAUAUAAUUUUCAGUCAAAUAAAAUAUUGGCACCACAAGCUUUUAAGUAGGGAGGGAUGUUUGAUUAUAUAUUUAAAUUAAGCAAAGAAUCUUGCAUAAGAAAACGAUCCAAGUUGAAGUAAACCAAAUAUAUGGUGCAACAACUGUUAGUUUGGUCAGUCUUCAUCACACUAAUCAAAUGGGCCCGAGGGGUUGAUUUUCACAGUAACCACUUACUUUUUAGUAUGUUCCGGAGUAUUUUAGUGUUUAACUAUUUUUUACAUUUUUGAGGUUCGGAGUGAUUUUUAAAACGAGUCAUGAAUUUUAGUUUUCUAAUAUUACACUCUCUAUGCUUCAGAUUUUCCACAUUUUGACUUGGACUUCUUUUUUUCUUUGUUCUGUUUGAAGAACUUAGUACUUUUGAUUUCAGUAGCAAAAUAAUUUGAACAGGAUGAGAGAGAGAGAGAGAGAGAGAGAGAGAGAAAUAAAGCAUCUACUUGAUCUCUGUACUUUCUCUUAUUCUUAUGUGUGGUUAAGGUUGCAUAUCUGAAUUUUAACCUAUCAUCAUGUAAGUAUUAUAGUGUGUUUUAGAAGCGGGAGUGUGUGAAAUGUGUUGAUGCUGAUGAUGGUGUCGAAUUUGGGGACACUUCCCAGCUAGCAGAGCAAGUAACAGAGAGCUUUUUCCAACUCAAAUUUAAUGAUUCAAGCUGCUUAAGACUUGCAUAACAUUUCCAAGUUGUAGUCGAUGUGCCUGAGUUCUUGAGUACUUCAGUCUUCACUAAUGAAUGUAACACCAUUAAGACUUGGAAUGUCUUUGGGGGGUACGAAAUAACAUUGCUCAUUUCGUAUUUUAUGGGUUCGAAUUUUUUGUCGAGUACGUGAUUCUUGCAAAAGAGUUGUAAAUAUCGUUGUAAAUAUGUGUAAGUAGAGUUGUAAACCCUACCAUUGAACACUUAAUAUAGUUGUACAUAUAUAUAGAAAUUUUUACAUGCUUUGUACAGUUUUAAACACCCACAACAUCGUGCGGGCACACUUUCGCUAGUAUUUUAUUGUACUAGUGCACUCAAAUGUCUGUAGCUAAAUAUGUUAUUAUGAAUUAGUGGAACAUAAGAAAAUAUGGAAAAACAUAAGUGUACCAAAAAGUUCGUACUUAAACAUAGUAUACUAAAUUAGUGUACCGGUAUGUUCGUGCCUACCCUAAACUAGUAUACCGAAAUGUCCAUACCUAAACAUGUUAUUCUAAACUAGUGUACUAAGAUGUUUGUACCUAAAUACAUUGUAAUAAAUUAAUGGCACAUAAGAAAAUAUGCAAAAACAUAGGUGUGCCGAAAAGCCUCUACCAAAAUAUUUUCUUAUAUAAGAUAAUUACAAUAAAUUGGUGAUGCAAAAUGUCAACAAAUAAAAGCUAAUUCAUUUGAAUUCAAAUGAGUAUUAAAAUUUAAUUCAUAUCAGCAUAAAAUUAUAAAUAGAAAAAAAGAAAGACAUUGAAUGCAUAUGCUGCCAUUAAAUAGAGUUUAGGAACUAAAAUCAAUUUUUUAAUCUUGUGUGAGACAUUUUUCUAAAUUUUAUUUUAUUUAAGGAUUAAAAAUAUAGUUUUCUAUUACUUAUAUUUCUGACUACAUAUGGUUAUUACUUUAGUCGAGAGUUGACGCACCUGGAAUGGUGUCUGGAAAACAUGAUGACCCAUAAUUCCAGCCUUGGCAGCGUAUUCCAGGCCAGAAAUGAAGCUCAAAGCCAUACACGAGAGCAUUGUGUAUGUCUUUAUAAGAGACGUUGCUGUAGUCCUUAACGGAGUAGUCAAAGUGACCCAAAUUCAUCCAAGCCCUCCCCUCUGCACUGCAACCCUCAUCCAAUUCCCAUACUUCCAUGUACUCCCCGACCAUGACGUAGCUAUACGUUUUUGGUUGGCUCGAAGAAGUAGAACUUGUAUUAUUCAAGCAUGGAGCAGUGUCCACGUACAGAGAAGAAUUCAAUGGAUUCGAACAUUUCAAGUAAUAUAUAGAUGUUAAAUUCCCUCGUGAAUAAUGUUCAUAAUAAUUUAAAGUAUUGUGCGGAAAAUUUCGAGGCAUGGAAGAGCAAUUGGUGUUCACAAGGCCAGGAUCUAGAAGUCGGAUUGUUUUGUCGUUGUAGUUGAUUGCCUGGACGUAGUAUUUUCCGGACGAAGGUAGGUAUAGUACUGUAAUGUUGCUCUCACAGGACAGAGUAUACCUUACGUCGCCACAAUAUUUUGGAUCAUCGUUCAGUCGAAAAGGAUAGCUUAUGUUGUGGACAUGGCCGCAGGAUGAAGUACAGGACUUGGCACUGGUGUCGUCCUUAGCGUUACAAGUUCCACUGCAGAAGCUAAGAAGAAGAAAGGCUAAACUUAAGGUGAAGGACCUGCUUCCACUAAUUUCCAUUGGAGAGAGAGAGAGAGAGAGAGAGAGGUGUACUAGUUCACACCAAGUAGUCAUAUAAUAUAGGAGGGGUUAAGGCACCUUCCGUGAAAUUGCAGUUGAAAUAUCCUAGAGAAAAAUCGGUCGUCAAUGGUAUCCUAGAGAAAAGUCGGUCGAUGGUGUUUGAUACGGUCAGUCAACGGUGAAGACAGUUGUGAAACAAUAAUGCUCUCCCCCGCUCUCUUUAUUAUAUAUGUCUUUCAUUAAUGGAGGAUACUGCGUAAUUACUACGCAUAUAUCUCUGCUUAAUCACACAAAACAAAAAAUACCAUGCGCCUAUAGAAAAUUUGACUUUUUCCCUAAAAAUUAAUUUUCUUUCACCUCCAACCCAUCAUAUAUAUUCUAUAAGAUAAGAAUAACCCAUUGACUAGCUCCAAUUAAGCAAGUUUCUUAACUUGCUUGAUGACUCUGAUCAUGUGUAAUUUUGGGGAAUUGGAUGCUAUUUUGUCUCUACUUUAUUAGGCUUUUUCAAAUGGUUCUUUCACAUUUUUCAAAUGGUUUACAAUCUCUCUUCAUUUUUAUUUUUUGCAAGAAUGUAUUUAGUUUUGGUUUACAAUUUCACCUAGCCAACCAAAUGUCGUAAAUACACUUGUGACUCGUUCAUCACUGAUUCAUGAAAAUGUGUCCUACUAUAUAAGCAACAAAUUCAAAACCAGGUUGAAAACUUAUGUAUGUAACUAAGGACUCAUGAGAAUUGUAACCAUUGUACCUAAGUACCAUAUGUGCUCGAUAGCUUGAGGUGUUUGUCUGACUACGUAAGUACAUUGGAGGUUUGUUGGAUUGCUUGGGUUUUCACUUGAAACCAGUGGCUGGCCAAUAUGCAUCACUUUUCCACAUAACUUUUAUGCAAAAAUCUUUCCUUAAGUUUUUACAUCACAGUUCUUGACUAGCUUCAAUAGACAUAUUGUUGUCAUGCUUGCUUAGUUAUGAUCCUUCAAAGUUUCUAUGUUCUCAGUUUCCCCUUCAAAUCGAUAUGUUUUGUAACUUCUUCUUUUUUUCUUUCUUCAGUACUUUUAUAUACUGAGAGCGAUAAUUCCGCGACUUGGUGAGAUUGGAAUGAUAAAUUAUUAGUGAGCCUUCACUUUUUCUUGAACAAUAAUCACUUUAGGAUGAGUUACAUUACCAACUAGAGAGAUUGGUCUAGUCACAUCUCUUCAGAAUGUUGAAAUAAGUUUCAAGUUUAAUCCAUAGCUCAACCAAAAUAAAUAAGAUAUUGUUGAUUGCACAUUGAUUUAUAUGAGAAAAUAAAUAAACUACUAGUAAGGAAACUGUUGGCAAGUGUUGAAUUGUUCUGGUAUUUAAGGUCUUCUUUUUCAACCUGCUGUACUUCUAGUGUAAACUUUCCUUCUUUUUUAAUGUAGAUUAGCAUAGAAUAUCGCUUAUGAUUAGAAGAAGAAAAAAGAAAAAUAAAAAGGAAACUAUUGAAUUUUGUUCAAAGUCUAGGUCGUAGUUCUUCUCUAGAUUAGAAGAAGCAGUUUUUUUUUUUUUAAGCAUAGCAAUACCAAACUGGCCCCUAAACCAACAUAAGACAAGUGAAUAAAAAACUACCACAUUGAAUUCCUAAGUAGGUAGCAUUUUACACAUCGGAGAUGCUCUUAUACUAUCCUUUUUAUAAUUUUAUAUUAUUCUUGAGUGGCAUCACUCAUCUUUGGUGCAUCCAAUGGAACCCAGUGGAUCUAGAUCGUCCAUCCAUUAAAGUGGAGGUUCAGAUGUUGGAAGGAGAGAACUUAACCAUGCCUCCAAAUUCUUGUGCCUAUACAGGUCUUGCACGAACUAAUACAAGUCCGCCUGCAGUGCCGGUAUAUUAGACUUCCAUGACUAUCGUGGUCUUUGGGGUUAACUGAAGAAUUUCCGAGCGAAUGGAACCACAUGUAACACAGCUAAGCCUAAUUGAUAGCGAUUUUACCACUUUUAAAACAAAGGGUUAAACCAUAGAAAAUUCUUGCAAGAGACAAGUGUUUGUAGUAUAGAAUGGCUCAAGCAAGGUCGAUCUCCUCAGGGACUGAUAUAAACAAUUUACGAGUUUUUGUGUAUUUAACUUAUUUAACUCUAAAAAUUACACUAAUUUGACGAAACUAAAUAUUACUGGAUGUGACUUAAACAAUUAUCUAAAAUGGGAAUUGGUUUAUAGGAAUAAUGAUUCAACUAAACAAAACAAGUAAAUGAGAAAAUUCAAGAUAAAAUAAAUGAUUGAAGAAAAAUAGAUUGACAAUAUGCUAGAGUUCAACCUUUACCAACAACACUCAUACGUAGCUUUUCCAAUUGCUUAAAUAAUUGAAAACACACAUGCUUUGAAAGUUGGAUUUUCCUUGUGUAUGUUUUACUUGUGACAUUCAAGCUAAAACGCAUACCACUACAUGCAACUUAUCCAUGACAUUUGGAUUAAAUAUAAACAUGAGUGAUUCAUUAAUCUUGGUGAAAAUCCUUUUGUUAAACCAUGUAAUCCCUAAGAGCAUGAUAUUUACCUUAGGAGAGUACAAUCCUCAAUCACAAGAAGCACAACCAAUUUUAACGUGACAUUCGUUCAAAAUUGCAUCCGAUAACUUUUCUAAGCAUCCUAAUGGUGAUCAAGCAUCAAGGUACAUAGAUAGUUUAAUUCAGUGAUUGAAAAUAUCAAAGCAAGCAUGUAACAACACUUAAGCAAUUGAAAAAUAAAUCUACGUAUUCAUGUUGCCGCUCAUGGCCUCACUCUAGCAUAAUAAUUUAGUUACACAUAAUUAAUUUGAUACAUAAGAAAUUAUUCAUAAAAGAAAAUAAAUAACUAAGAAAGAAGACACCCGUUUCUUUUCUCCCGUCGCAAGUCUAUGUGAAAUUUUCCGUGUGCACUGCCUUCUCCUGCUCCUCCCUCUGUUUCCGUGCUCUGCCUGCACUCCUGCUUUGCUCCCUCUGUUUCCGCACCUCUCCUCUAUUCCCUGUGCUUCUGCUUCUGUCCUUCUGCUGCUCGCCAGUCCGAGUCAACUGCUUCUUAUUCUUUUAUUUUCUUUUCAGUCCUGCGCACUCCACUUCCUUCCCACUCUUCUCUGUUUUUUAUUUGUUUAUUUUUUUCUUUUCUUUCCACACCUCUUUGUCUGCCAGUCUGUCUUUUUUAUUUGUUUCUUUUUCUUUUCGUCACUGCCUCAAUGCUCUCUCCACUCUGUCAGAAUUCUUCCAUGCUGUUUUUCCACUUUGUUUCCUGCCAUCCUCUCUGCUCCUUUGUCCGUGUCUUCACUUUUCUUCCUUUUAAUUGAAAUUAAUCCUAAAACACAUUUAACUGCACAAUAACACAAGGUAAGGUAAAAUGUCAUAAUUAUAACACAAAAACAUCACAAAGACUUUAAAAAUAGAUGGUAUAAAUGUAUGAAAUAUAUGAAUGAUCACUAAUCGACAAUGAUUCAUACAGCGACAGAUGAGACGCGCAAAGCAGCUUCAAAGAAAGCACUAUACUGCUUUAGUUAUGUGCUAAGUUGCAUGCAUGGACGCUUCAAUACACUAGCGUGUGACGUAUCAGACACAAAAACAAACACAAAACUUCACAGACACUCUUGGACACUUGUCCAACACUCCACAUGGCAUAUCGUUGACUUUGACUGACUGACACUUUAGGGAUACACGUAGGACAUUGUUAAAAAAACACGCCAGUGGUAAUUGUAAAAUUAAAUUAAAAUUUUAGGGUAAAAUUGAAAUAUGAAAAAAUUGUCUUAGGGUAAUAUGAAAAACGGAUUUAGAGGUAAAUGUAAUGUUGUAUUUUGUUUGGAUGAAGAAAUUUAAUAAUACUAAGGAAUUUUAAAAUGAAAUUUUAUUUUCUAGAAUUUCUGAAUUUUCUUAUUUGGUUAACUUAAAAUGAACAAGAGAAUUUGAAUACGGAAUUUAUUUAUUUAUUUUUAAACUCUCACUCAUAGAAAUUUAAAAAUGACACAUAUUUACAUGAAAUUUAAAUUUGGGGAUUCGAGGUCUCAAAUUCCAAGUUUUUUUUUCUUGCAAAGAUUCUAAAUUUCUAUUUUUAUGAAUCGAAAAAAAAGAAAUUGGUUUGUGCCAAUUUAUAAAUUCUAACGUUUGUCAACUUAUAUUGUUGCCAUACUUGCUUAGUUAUGAUCUUUCAAAGUUUUGAGCUCUCAGUUUCCCAUUCAAAUCGAUAUGUUUUGUAACAUUCUUUUUUUUCUUUAGUACCUUUGCAUUUUAAGAGCUUUAAUUGCGCUACGUGAUGAGAUUGUAAUGGAAUUAUUAGUGAGAAUUUCUUGAACAAUAGUCACUUUAGGAUGACUAGUACAAAGAUGUCAAAGUGAAGUGGGCCCUUACCAUUGACCUGCUAGGGGCACAGCCAUCAUUAUUGACCCCGAAAAGUAUGCAUGCCAAUAAAAAAUAAUUUAGUCAAAUUCUUUCUUUUUUUCAAAUAAGUAACUCAAUUUCUAAUAAACUCGAAUUUGCUGACUAGUGGGUUCUUACCUAAAUUAUAUCUUGUUUUGUCUAUGACAUUUUGAACUCCAUAAGCAAAUUUAUUGUUUCAUCUAGUUAUAUAUCUUUACACAUUAGUCACUUAAAAGAGUGUUAUAACAUUAAUUACGUAAAUGAGUGUUGUACAAACAAAAACAAAAGAAUAUCUCUUAGAUUAUUGGUGCAAAUAUCAUAUAUCAUCACAUGAUUCACCCCAAAUGUUUCGUUUUCAAUGCCAAGAGUAAUGAUGAUUACAUGUGUGUCAUUGUUAGAGGCUACCAACAGAGAGCAUUUGUGUAGUGAUUUUGUAUGUUUGCACGAGAUUUGACUUCUCAACCAAACUUUGAGCACCGAAUAGGAUGCUGGUUCGAUUAUGUACUUUUUUAUGCCCUGAGAACUGAGAACUAUGAGUUUCUCUGUGUUCUGCUUGCCUAAAAGCAUACAUUAACAACCUUGGGAUCACCUAAAUUCUAUUAAUAUAGCAUGAUAUCAAUUUAUCAAUAAAAUUAUUAAUUUACAAAGAUUAUUUCUUUUCUUGUGCAUCCAAUGGAACCUAGUGAUCUAGAUCGUCCAUCCAGUAAAGUGGUGGUUCAGAUGUUGAAAGGAGAGAACUUAACCAUGCCUCCCAAUUCUUGUGCCUCCACAUGUCUUGCACGAAAGAAUAAAAGUCCUCCUGCAGUCCCGGUACAUUAGGCUUCCAUGACUUCCGUGGCCUUUGGGGUUAACUCAAGAAUUUCCAAGCGAAUGGAACCACAUAUGAGUAUGACACAGCUAAUCCUAAUCGAUAAUGAUUACUACAGCGACAGAUGAGCGCAAAACAACUUUAAAGAAAGCACUGUUACUAGUACUUUGUUAUGUGCUAAGUUGCACGUGUGAACACUUCAAUACACUAGCGUUUUACGUAUCAAACUCAAAAACAAACACAACACUUAGUCGACACUCUUGGACACGUGUCCAACACUCCACGUGCCGUGUCGUGGACUUUGACUGAAGGACACUUCUUGGGCACUUUUAAAAUUGAAUUAAAAUUUUAGGGUAAAAUUGAAAUAAGGAAAAAAUUAUUUUAGGUAUAAUAUGAAAAAUAGAUUUAGAGAUAAUGCUAGAGAUCGCAAAUUUCUCUCUUGACGUAGGAGGCAGAUUGUCUGCCCUCCUGUUUGGAUGCCCUUCCCAUCCUCUUCUAUUUGUGCAGUCACGGUUAAGCCACGUCAACAUUUUAUAUUCUUAUUGCUUUUUGUCUUAUUAUCUCUAUAAAAAAAUUAAUAUAAAAUGUUGACGUGGCUUAACCGUGACCGUACAAAAUGGGAGGGGAUGAGGAUGACACCCAAACAGAGGGCAGACAAUCUGCCUCCCUUGACGUAAUAACAUGAAAAUUAUUGAUGACUUAAGUGUACGUGAAGCAGCUCUAGUCAAUACUCAAUUGCAAUUUGGCCCAUUUUUCUAAAGCGUGUUUGAAGCCGAGUCAUUGUUGGAAAUCUGCAAGUUCAGUUUCAUAAUUUCAUGCACUUCUACAUGAUAAGUUUCAAAAUUUCUUGCACAUCUACAAGAUUAAUUUCAUAAUUUUUUGCACUUCUGCAAUAGCAGUGUCAAAAGUUUUAGAAUUCUGCAAGGUUAGUUUCAAAAUUCCUACAUUUCUACACAAAUUUCAAAAUUUAUGCAUCAAAAUAAAACUCAAAACCUCAAAUCGAGUACUUUCAAAAUACUAAAAUCAAAACCAAAGAUCAAAAGUUUCAAUCAUUGUCAAGAAAAAAUAAAAAAUAAAAGGUUAUAGAGGACGGUGUCAUUCCACACUACAAGUUUAUACAAGUAUUGUCCUUUACUAAAAGGCUAUUUGAGGACUGAGGAUUUAGGGUUUAAGGUUUCGAAUGUAGGAGGGCAGUAAUCACGGACAACUUCUUCGAAAGAAAGGAGCAAAGAUCUAACUUCAUCCAGCAAGUGCCUUUCCAUACUCAAAUCCUCCUCAUGACAGGAGUCAGUACGAAUUUCACCUAGCCAACCAAAUGUCGUAAAUAAACUUGUGACUCGUUCAUUCACUGAUUCAUGAGAAUGUUUCCUACUAUAUAAGCAGCAAAUUCAAAACCAGGUUGAAAACUAAAUUAUGAAACAAGGGGCAACUUUUAUCUUGAGAAACCAUUUGAAAACUUAUGUUCUGUCGUAUGCAAGAAGGUAUUUCCUUUUGUGUUUUAAUUCUGCACUUAUUUUUAUUUUUUCCACAUAAAUAUAAUGUGCCUACAUUAUUUUUCUAUGGAUUAAUUUACCUACUUUAAUUAUUUUAUAUACCUACGUUAUUUUUUCUUGAAUCUUUUCACACUCGACCAAACUUCUCUUGGAAUUUUAAUUAGAUGAAACAAUAUGAAUCUUGAACAAAGCAACGCAAAACGUAAUACUGAGAGAUUGAAUCAUUGAAGUGACGUGGAGCUGGGUACUCAACACUCAUAGGAAAUCAAUCCAAGAAUGAAAACUCUCUUAUCACUUUCUAUCCAAAAUUUUGGAAUUAUGUGUGUGUUCCAACGAUUAUCCGAAGGAUUAUUCUUCUUUUAUUAAAUUUAUAAGGAAAAUUAGCAUGGGGCAUAAAUGUUGAACUGUGAAAUCCCGUCUCCGGAAUUUCACCAUUCAUUAUGUAUCUCGCAAUUUAAAUUCGUAUUUCACGUUUAUGUUAUUUUUAUUACUUAAUUUUAAUUCCGCAAAUUUUGAGCUUAAAUCGAAUAGUUAUCGGGUUUGAAUUUUCGUAAUUAAUCUUUAAGACUCGUUGACCUUUCGAGGUCACAAGUAACGUUUUCGAAUAGAUCUCGAAACCACGAGCACAUAGGCGAAAGCCGUUUGGGAGUCCGGGUUUUAACGAUAUAGUUACAGACAUUUGAAGUUGUUACUAAAUUAUAGAUUUUAAAUUUAUUUUGAAACUCCCACCUUGUGGGAAAAGGACUAAUGAGAUAAGAGAGUGAGGGACCAAUUAGAAAUGGGAGAGAAAAGGAGAACGAAUCAGGAAGGAAGGGAAAAAGAAAAAAGAAAAAAAAAGGAGGGACUGGAUGCUGCCAGGUGGCAGCGGGAGAGAGAAGAAGAUGAGGUUGCGGGAGAGAAAAGGAAGGGAAGAGUGACCAAUGGAAGGAGAGAGUAAGGAGGGGAAGGAGAGACCCAAAAAUGGGUCAUUUUUCACCCGCGAACUACCAUUUUUGACCUGGCCAUAUCUUCUUCAUCCGACUUCCGUUUUGGGUAAUCUUGGUGUCCAUAGAAAGCUCUUGACGAGUCCUACAUCCCUGUAGUGUUAGAUGUCUAUUUUUCCUUUCCAUUUUUCUAGGUCGAAGCCACAAAGUGCCUAGGGUUUUCCUGCGAGUUUUCUCAUUUUACAGUGAUUCCGACAAUGAUUACCGUCGAUCAUCACUACCAAUAGACUCCUCUCAACCCCUGGACCAAGGCCCAAGCAUUGGAUGAGGCGUCGAAGUUCGUUUUGGCGAUGAAUCGAGGAACACCCAUUUCUAGGGUCUCCAACGUGUUUGGAUGAAAUUGAGACACUUCUCGGCCGAAUUGGACUUGGCCACAGGUAUGAAAAUUGAUCCCCACACUGAGAUAUACUUGCCUGUAAAUUUGGUAAUUUUUUGAAAUUGUUGAAUUUUUCGGCGAGUCGGGGCGGCCGACCGCCACCGGCAGCAGUGCGGGCGGCGGUGCUUCGGCCAGUGGGCCGACGAUGCCUUUCUAAGUUCAAUUAGAUGUGCUGGAUUUGUAUUUGAUAUUCGUAUGACGUGGUUUGAUCGUUUGAACCUAAUUUCAUUAUGAUACAUUACUUGAUCAAAAUAUGAAUUGACGAUCCGACCGUCGGAUCGUGAUGAAAUUUUAGUAUGUUGUUCUAGAGGAAUAAUGUGGAUUUUAGAAGAUUACGGAUCCAAAAUCCAUGUGUAGAUCUUCUGGAUCAAAUUACGUAGAGAUGUGGACCCCACCGUUGAUCUGAAGUUGACUUUUGGUCAAUAGGUAUUGAAUCAUUUAUUUUACUAAAAUUAGUAUUGCUAGAGACUCAAUGAGGCUUUGCGGACUUGUCUUGGUGAGUGACUUUAAUAUAUGUGAUAUGGUUUUUACCCUGUUUUCUUAUAAGUAUCCUUUGUGGAUAUGACUUGGUUUUGUAAAUGUGUUUUCUGUUAAAAUGUGAUUUUAUAAUUGGUCAUCGAUCUAUUUUUAUUAAAUGUGAUUUGAUUUAUGGAUUGGAAAUAUUUGUGAAAAGGUGAAUUGAAGUGCAUAUUGAAAUAUUUAUGAAUUGUGUUAUAAAUAUACAUUUGAAAUGUUGAGAAAUGCGAGGGCUAGUAGGGGACCGUUACCCUAGUGUCACGGGGUUAGGUGACACCGAGUCUGCACCAUGUAGCAGUGGUACAUGGAUGGUCUUACUUGGUUAAUCCGCAAUGGGGGACCAUAUUAUUUAUGGAUCGCACUUGGUUAAUCCGCGAUGGGCGAUCCUUAUGGCCAUGUAUACUUAGGAGUGAUAAUGCUUAGUUAAUUCACGAUGGGUGAUCACUGCCUAACAGUUUUAUAGGUGUGACUUUGCUUGGUUAAUCUGCGAUGGGCGAUCCUUAUGGCCAUACAUACUUAGGGGUGAUCAUGCUUGGUUAAUCCGCAAUGGGUGAUCACUACCUAGCAGAUUCAUGGGAGUGACUCUGCUUGGUUAAUCUGCGAUUGGGGGUGGGGGGGGGGGCGCGGGGAGGGUCACUACCUACAUGGUUACUCAGGGGGUGGCUCUGCUUGGUUAAUUUGCCAUGGGGGGCCACUUCUUGUUUGGUUACUUAUGUAGGCUUCGGCCGAACUGCGUCCCUCUAGCCCUAGUUUUUAAUGUACAUAUGAACAAUGGUUUUUGAGAAUCUUGGGGGUUUGAAUGGGAAAAGCCGUUGGAUGUCUGGGUGAGUCCUUCGGAGUUGUUGAGACUUAACUAUAUUUUCAUAUUUACAAACUUAUAUUUGAGGUUUAUAAACUGUGAUCGAUGGUCUUUUCUUUUAUUGAUUAUCACAUACUUGUAUUAUUGUCACUCACCUGAGCUCCGCAACUUAUCCAAGUUCCGUUUGGCCGGUGCACCAUUCUCAUGAUGGAGGCACUGAUUUUACAUAUGAUAGGUUUGGGUAGAUUAUGAGACACCACUUGAUAUUUUGGUUCCAUUGAGUGGUCUGGAAUCCUUGCUCUUGCUCAUUCCCAUAAGGUUAGUCUAGAACCCUAGAUUCGAGUGAAUGAGAAUUACCCACAAUAGAUGAUAGGAUUUUUACCACCUGCACAAAAGGGUUAAAAACACCUAAAAUACUUGCAAGAGAAACAAGGUUAUCGUAGUAUAAUUGGCUCAAGUAAGGUCGUUCUCAACAAGGACUAAUUUAAAUAGAUUGACGUGAAAUCAAUUCCCAACUAAUUAAUUAAAACAAAGUCUUUGAAAAAGGUGAUUUAACGGCCUAAAUUAAGAAAAACGAAUUUAAUUAAAAAGAUUACUUAAAAACCCCAACUGGAAGGAGGAAGAAACAAUUUUUACAAUUCAAAGUGAGAAAGUACUAGGGUUCUGCCGUCACCCUAACAAUCCUAUGUAACUCUUCUAAAUUACUUAUGAACCAUACAUGCAUAUCUUGAAGGUUAGGUUUUCCUAGAGUAUAUCCUACCUGAAACCUCCAACAUAGAACAUAUAUCUAACAUGCAACUCGUCUGUUGUGUUCAGAUCGAAUGUGAACAUGCAAGACUAAUUAAGUUUUAUGAAAACCCUUUUGAAAAAACCAUAUAACCCUUAAAACGUGUCGUCCAUCCUAAGAGGUUGCACAUAUUAACCACAAGAAGCCUUAGUCAAUUUUAGGGACAGCCCUCUACCAAAAUUGCAUCAAAUUACUUUUCUAAUUAUCCUAAUGGUCGCGAAUCACUAAGAAAAAUAGAUAGUUUAAAGCACAGUGAUUAACAAUCCAAAACUUGCAUGCAUGAAUUCAUAAGCAAAUUAAAAGAGACUACAUAUUCUUGCUAAGGAUCAUGGCCUCACCCUAGCAAAAUAAAAUUAGUUACGCAUAUUCAUAAUUAAAAUCAACAUAAUUGUAUUAAACUAGAAAAAGAAUGAAAACACCUUGUAGAAUAAAAUUUGAAAAUCUCUAAACUUUGUCCCAAAUCUUCUCUCCAAAAAAUUGCAUGCGUUCUCUCUCUAAAAAAAACCCCUAGGUCUGCCAAAAGGCUUAUUUAUACUACUCUAAAUAAAAUCCUCCUAAUAAAAGGUCUUAGAAUAAGACUAGGAAACUAAAUAAAUUGAAAUAAAUUAGGAAACCUAAUCCUAAAUUGGCUUGGUAAAUUUGCCCAAAAUUCUGCACAGCCACGUUCUGGACCCAAAUCAGCUCCAAAACUAGCCCAAAAUUUAUGAACUUAAACUUUGACUAUUCUGAACACUUCUCCAGAAGGUCACGAACCCAUCUGAAGUCAUCUUAGGCUCCAAAAACACAGUUUAAGCCUAGAAACGUCAAUUUCCAACAACGCGCACUGCUCCUUCAUUUAAUCUCCAAAAAAUAACCGCUUGGUAGAAAUUGCUGAGAUUUUGACACGAACAAGCUAAGGAACAUACGAAAUCACUCCAAAAUUCGUCUGUUUGGUCAUGUUUUGCUCCAGAGGAAGUCAAAUUUCCUAUGUUGAAAAUAUAAAGCACAAUAUCAAAAUUCUAUCAAAAUAAUUAUCAAAUUAUACUAAGAAUAGGGUGAAACAUAUAAUAUAAUUUUGACUCAUCAAUAGACCUUGUGAAUAUAAAAUAGAUUUACCAUGUUAUUUCUCAUAAUCCAAGUAGGAAAUUAUUUAGAGUUCCUUGUUUAAAUUUGUGAAAUGAUAUGUUACUACAUUCAUUGAUUAACAUAAUUAAAUGCUAAGAUCAUGUAUCUUUGAUUCAUGAAUUGAUUGAUUGAUGGGAUUGCGGAAUGACCUUGGUUAUGGUUGUUAUUAUUAUGAUUAUUUUAGUUGAUCAAUGUGGCUUGAGAAUAAUAUGUGCUUCGUUGGUUAUUAGAUAUGUUACAUGCUGUGGAUGGAACUAUCAUGCUGAAAACAUGGAAUUUAUAUGAUGGAUGGAAUGAGAAUCUUGAAUGGCAUGUUGGUUUGUUUUGUAGCCUAAACUUGGUAAUGUCAUGCAUGUCAAGUUCUAAUAAUUGAUUACAGAAUGUUAUGUAUUCCUGUUAGAACGCACUAGAAUAAAUGUCUAAAUUAGUGAACGACGAACUAUGAAUGACUUGAUCCCUAAUGAGGGUAUGUAGGCAGUCUAAUGAGGAGGUUAGAUGCAGCCAUAAAGUAUACGAAAAAUUACUAUGCGAUUCGAUUCUCGAGUUGUGAUUUGCCAUAUCCCGGAGGUGGGGUAUGUUGAGAUACGGGUAUUUGGUGAAGUCAUGUGUUGAUUCUGAAUGUAUGUCGGGAUCGAAGCAUGACAUGAACGAAUAAAUUUUCCUCGACUUGGAAAGGGAUUGUGACUUUAACACGCUAUUUUUCUUCAUCUUAUGCAUCAUGUUUAUCAAAAGACAAAUAAUAUGACUUCACAUAAGGAGAGAAUAAGAGUAUUUUCCUUUGUAAAAAUCAACUUUUGUUUAAGAAGAUGUGGAUGCUGAUUGAUGCACCAUGUGAAUACGAAGAACGACCUUGGAGGGAGAUGAGAUAUUCAUUAGAAGCUAGCGAAAAAAAAAAAGUUAAUAAUGAUUUAGUCAAAAAGCAAGAAAGCCUCAUUUUCUAAGUGGUAGUCAUUAACACGAUACUUGAUAAGGAGAAAAGUCAUAGUAUUUUAUUUUACUGGGAACGAGGGUGCAAGGUCUCAAUUGGAAUAUGAGAUGAAGUUUCUACAUAACUAUAUAUGACAAAGAAAGAAGUCUAAGUUUGUAGGUGGUAGGGCUUUUAAUUGAUGUGAGUUUGUUGAGAAAUGAAGAUGAGCAUGAAUACUGACAUCGAUGCGAGUUAGUGAACACGAUGCUUCUCCUUUGGCCUUUUAAUAUGAUAAUACCGGAAAACAAGUUGUUACUAAUAUAUGUAUAUCUGAUUGGUGGACUAAGAUGUACAGUACGAUUUUUGAUAGAGUAAUGUUAUGGAAACUAAAUUUGUAGACUAGAUUUUGAAAACUAAAUGACAUGGAAUCCUUACUUAUGUGCUCAUUUCCGAUUAGUGACACAUCAUUUAGUUUGUAAAUUUAGUCUACAAAUUUAGUCUCCUUAACAUUACUUUUUUUGAUAACUAGCGAAGAUGAACACUCUCAUGACAAAAUUUAUCUAAAUAGACCUAAAGGCAAGACUUACGAACUUCAUAUGCAGUGGGAUAAAAUCUUAAACUAAUUUCCAUUUUUAUUUUGUAGUUGAUAGGGAUUUUACCACCUCCAAAGGUAGAGAUAAAAACACUUAAAAAUACUUGCAAGAGUACAAGGUUAUCGUAGUAUAGCAGCUCAAGCAAGGUCGUUCUCCACAGAGAUUGAAUGAAUAAUUUAUGUAAAUAUCAAAUCUUAAUUAAUUAUUUGAAAACAAAGUUUGGAAAAAGGUGAUUUUAUGACCUAAAAUAGUAAAAAUGAAUUUAAUUAAAAAUAAUUAAAUAAAUUGGCAAAGUAAAGAGAAUAAAAGAAAAUAGUUUUGAAAAUAAAUUUGAGCACUAUAGGCCGUUCUGCCAUCACCUUAACAAUUUUACGUAGUUCUUCCAAUUACUUAUGAAUUACGUAGUUCUUCAAGGUUGUAUAUAAUAUAACUACCUAUAUAAUCUUAGCCCGAGACAUGUAUAUAUAUAUAUAUAUAUAUAUAUAUAUAUAUAUAUAUAUAUAUAUAUAUAUAUAUAUAUAUACAUGUCCUGAGAAAUAUGAACAAUUAAAGGGUUUUCUAUUCAAAUUUACAUGGGUUUUGUUUGCAGCCUCGGAUCAUACAUGUGCAUUUAAUUUGGUUUUGUUUUCAGUUUCAAGAGACCCUGACAUUUUUCCUUUUAUGGGCCUUUUCUUUGCAGACUCGGACGCCCUUUGUGCUCAAGGUAGGGGCGGAGCCACCAAGGGACUAGGAUAGUCCCUGGCCCAUCCUGACUUCAUCUGAGGCAUGAACCUCAUGGAAGAAGAUGAAGCAAAUGACGUCGUUAAACUGUUUUGAUUUUAAAUCUUUUCGGCUGUCUAAUGCAACGAUAAGUUUGGCAGGGGAGUUUUAAAAGAGAUGUGCAAUUUUAAAUGGAAAAAGCAACCCCACUUCUGGUUCGAUUCUCUCACCUAACAGUAAUAUACACCCUAUAAUUUUCUAAAGCAACCCACCUUCUUUAUUUGCAGACCUCUCCCCCUUUUCCUUCUUUUUCUACUUCUUUGUAUUUUCUUUAGCCUUCCACAACCUACCUCUUACUUGGUUGUUUGGGUUUUUACAUUUUUUUCUUCUUAGUAUUGAAUUUAAGAGAAUUUUUUCAAUUUUAUGAGGAUUACACAAAUUGCAUAUGUCAACAUGUUAUGAAUUCAACUUUUUACACACACUUAUAUAUAUAUAUAUAUAUAUAUAUAUAUAUAUAUAUACACACACAUAUUUGUGAAAUACCCCUCCUCAUUCAGAAUUUUGGCUCCGCCACUGGCUCAAGGAAAACAAUUUCAACUUUUUACUUCUAAAGUGUUGCUCUUAUUUAGCAGCAGGUAUUCCGUUGUAUACAAUAAUAUGUUUUGUGUUAUGCUAGGAACCCUGUUUCCUUCUUUUGUCUCUCUGUGCACUCAAAAAACAAGCCACCCUAAUUCAAGCUUUCUACCUUCAGAUUUCCACAUUUUGACUUGCUUUUUUUUUUCUUUGUUUUGUUUAAAGAACUUAGUACUUUUGAUUUCAGUAGCAAAAUAAUUUGAACAGGAUGAGACAGAGAGAAAUAAAGCAUCUAUUUGAUCUCUGUACUUUCUCUUAUUCUUAUGUGUCGUUAAGGUCGCAUAUCUGAAUUUUAACCUAUCAUCAUGUAAGUAUUAUAGUGUGUUUGGGAAGCGGGAGUGUGUGAAAUGUGUUGGUGCUGAUGAUAGUGUCGAAUUUUAUGUGUCGUUAAGGUCGCAUAUCUGAAUUUUAACCUAUCAUCAUGUAAGUAUUAUAAUGUGUUUGGGAAGCGGGAGUGUGUGAAAUGUGUUGGUACUGAUGAUAGUGUCGAAUUUGGGGACACUUCCAGCUAGCAGAGUAGGUAACAGAGAGCUUUUUCCAACUCAAAUUUAAUGAUUCAAGCUGCUUAAGACUUGCCUAACAUUUCCAAGUUGGGGGGGGGUAGGAAUUUAUGGGUUUGAAUUUUUGUCAAGUAUGUGAUUCUUGCAAAAGAGUUGUAAAUUUGUGUAAGUAGAGUUGUAAACCCUACCAUUGAACACUUAAUAUAGUUGUACACUUAUAUACAAUUUUUUACAUGCUUGGUACGGUUUUAAACACCCACAACAUCACGCAGGCACACUUUUGCUAGUAUUUUACUAAACUAGUGCACUCAAAUGUCCGUAGCUAAAUAUAUUAUAAUGAAUUAGUGGAAUAUAAGAAAAUAUGGAAAAACAUAAGUGUACCAAAAAGUCCAUACCUAAACAUGGUAUACUAAAUUAGUGUACCAUUAUAUCUGUACCUAAAUAUAUUAUACUAAACUAGUAUACCGAAAUAUUCAUACCUAAACAUAUUAUAUUAAACUAGUGUACUGAGAUGUCUGUACCUAAAUACAUUUUAAUAAAUUAAUGGCACAUAAGAAAAUAUGCAAAAACAUAGGUGUGCCGAAAAGCCUCUACCAGAAUAUUUUCUUAUAUAAGAUACUUACAAUAAAUUGGUGAUGCAAAAUGUCAACUGUUUGUACCAUACUUGACCAAUCCCGAAACUACUGAGCACCGGUCAACGUUAUACCGUCAAGGACCCAGAAGAGCUUCCCUUCAACCAGGAGGCCAAUCACAAUGCGACACGUGUCGACAUCAGAAGCCAAUCACAGCUCGACACGUGUCAACAUCAGAAGCCAAUUACAACACGACACGUGUCAAUGUUAGAACAAAACUAGAAACUCUCUUCUAUAAAUAGGGAUCAUUCUCCCACAAUAAUCUCUAAUGUCAUUUUGUACUAAACUAUUCACUAGAACUCACAAAAUGAGAGCUUGAACCUAUGUAUUUGUGUAAACCCUUCACAAUUAAUGAGAACUCCUCUACUCCGUGGACAUAGCCGAUCUGGGUGAACCACGUACAUCUUGUGUUUGCUUCCCUGUCCCUAUUCAUUUACGUACUUAUCUUCACUAGUGAUCGAAGCAACCAAGCGAAGGUCACAAACCUGACACUUUCUGUUGUACCAAAGUCCUCGCUGAUUUUGUGCAUCAACAUUUGGCGCCGUCUGUGGGAAACGACACUUAUUCCCACUCUCUUCAGCUUUGUCAAGCUGGUUUCCACUGCUCGUACACUCUCUUUUGGCCAAGCAUCUCUCUCCGACAUGGGGAGCGAAAGAAGCCAUAGCACACAGAAUGACACCCCCAUUGGACCUAGUAUGAAGCAACGAAAGCAGGAAGGAAAUAGAGUUACUCUUCAAGCUAAAGUUGAUGAGUUAGAAGCUCAGAACAACAAGAUAGUGAUGAGGAACGAGGUUCUCCAGGAGCAGUAUGAAAAACGUUUUGAGAUGCUUCACGAGGCUAGGCAUGCUCAAGCACACAAGCUUGUCGCCCCUGCUGAGGUCAACAAUCAUCUGAAUGCCCCCCAACACGAAGGGUCACCGAUAUCCAACACGGACAUCCCUGAUAAGGAUCGAGCUACACAUCAAUGUGAUAAUCAACAUGAGACUUCUCUCAACCCAGCUGCUUCAACCCGAAGCAGAAGGAGUAGAGGAAAGCACCUCCUCACAAAAGGAGUGGAAGGAUCAAAAGCCGUCUAUCGCGAUUGUCGAGACUUCCUAAAGCAACGUCGAGAGAAUCCCAUCCACAUAAGCUCGAAGAUCAAUGACCCAAGAGUUUCUGAAAGACUCGGUCCUCUCCCACGACCCAGGCCAGCAGUUAAUCUAGGGAAUGGGCAACAAGUCCCAGAAGAACAUGAAGGUACAGGGGACUCGGAAAUGUUCCGACAUACUCACUCUAGGAGUCAGUGUGAUGAGUCCAAGGAAAAAUCACGUUAUCUUGAUCAAACUUUCCUACUUACAAGAGGCGAUGGGGACUUACGGAAGAAACCUUCAGUGGUGCACGACUCCACUCAGGACCCCCUUGUCCUACAGCUCCUGGAGGAAGUAAACAAGUUGAAGGCUGAACGUCAAGCCGAGAUACCUGACUGGAACCAACCCAGGCCUGGGCCCCUCACAAGAAGGAUCCUCAACACCCCCCUCCAAGCAAAGACAAAGCAGAAGCUUGGCUUACAACUCUAUACUGGAAAGGAAGACCCGAUUGAACACCUUAACCUCUUUGAGUCCACCAUGGUAUACCGGAGACACACCGACGAAGAACGGUGCCUUCUCUUCCCCUCCACCCUCUCUGGCUGAGCUUUAAAUUGGUAUUGCCGUCUUCCGCCUGAGACAGUAGACUCAUUUGAAGAGUUGAGGAAGCUGUUUGUCUCUCAACACAUCUUCCAGACCGAUCGCUUGCAUUCCGCAGAUGACUUGUACACUAUUCGCCAGAAGCCAGAUGAGUCAUUACGAAAGUAUGCUGGCCGCUUCAGCCAUGAGUAUUCUCGUUGCGCUGAGGCAGAUGACAAGACUGCCCUCAAGGCCUUCACGACAGGCUUACGUGACUGUUUCUUCAAGUACAUGAUCAAUGCCAACACUUGGAAGACUUACUCUGAGGUGAUGACACAAGCUUACAACCAUGCCUCAGCCGAGGCAAGGACAUAUCAAGGGAAACCCCUUACAGUAACCCCUUAUCAGCAAGUAGGGAGUGGAGGCCAGAUCCAACCAAAUGAGAAGACCUCAACCUUCCAAACGGUAGCAGCACACCCCCUGCCUCAUUUAAUGCUUCGCCAAGUCAGCAGACAUAUCAAUCCCAGGGCAAAAGGAAAGAUUUCCAUCCUCACCAAUCUCAUUUUAAUAAAAAGAAUAAGGGGCACUAUCGCGAUAACUCAGGAUAUCGUCACAAUAACGCCCGUCCCCAAGCAGUCAAUGCAGUGGGCCAAUCACGUGUCAAGACAGGCCCUACCCUCGGUAUGAGACAUACACACCUUUGAACGCUACAUGCGCGGCCAUCUACCCCAGUAUAGCUCAUUUGAUACCAAAGCCAAAGCCAAGACAGCCAGAUUACAAGUCCACGAAAAACACGGGCAUGUUUUGCUGCUACCACGAGUAUAAUGGCCAUGAUGGCGAGAAGUGCGUCAUCCUCCGUGAUCAUAUUGAAGCUUUGGCACGUGAAGGAAAAAUUGAUCAGUUCCUCCUUCACCCUCCAAAGGAUAACCGUAACCAACGCCAGGUGAAUGUGAUAUAUUCUAUAAGCGGCGGCAUACCUAUGUCUGAAUCUUCCAAUAGGGCCAUGAAAAACAGUGAACAAACUUUGAGACCUGGCCAUCAAGUGUUUCACGUGGAAGACAUCAGGGGAGGCAAGUAUCAAAAGCCUAACUGGGAUCCAAUAUGUUUCUACCCUGAGGAAGAAAGAGGUAUCAUCUACCCUCACAACGACCCGCUGAUCGUGGAGGCUCACAUAGCAAAUUUUGAUGUGAAACGAAUCCUGAUAGACACAGGUGCUUCAGUCAAUAUCAUGUUUGCUGAAGCUUUCAAGGCACUUAAUGUAGCUGAACACUUGCUCGAUCGCUCGAUUUCUCCUCUGAUAAGCUUCUCUGGCGAUAUCGUGCAACCUUUAGGGAGUAUACACUUACCCUUCACCAUUGGUACAGGCCCCUACACAGCUAUUAUUACCACUAACUUCCUAGUGGUCAAUUGCCCGACGGCAUACAAUGUCAUCUUUGGGCGCACAGGCAUCAAUGAUCUCAAGGCCAUGGUAUCCAUACAUAUGUUGUUGAUGAAGUUUCCAACCCCUUUCGGCAAUGGAUACAUCAGGGGAGAUCAACUUAGUGCUCGAUCAUGUUACAACACUUCAGUUAAGCAACAACACCUGCCUGUCCCCAAGGAGACCCUCUCUAUACAUAACCAGGUAGUAAAGACCAGUCCAGAUGAAGCCAACUUGAAUCUUCAUGAUGGCAACAGUCAACCCGACGACCCUCGAGAUGACUCAUUCACCCAGCAAGCACAACCCGCUGAAGAGUUAGAGAAUGUCUCUAUCUCCAAAGACCAUCCAAAUCGCAUGGUGAAGAUUGGCACCACUUUGUCACCACCCCUUCGGUUGUCGCUGAUCUCUUUUUUGUAAGAGAACACCGAGGUCUUCGCUUGGUCAUAUAAAGAUAUGCCGGGCAUCUCUCCCGAUAUCAUCUGUCACCACUUGAGUAUUGAUCUCAAGACCAAACCAGUAAAACAGAAGCGAAGAUCUUAUGAUGUUGAACGAUACGAGGCGAUGAAAGCAGAAGUGAAAAACUCAAGGACAUAGGCUUCGUCCGUGAAGUCAAUUACCCAACAUGGGUAGCAAAUGUUGUCCUUAUUAAGAAAAAUCCGACCAAGGAAAGUCUCUUGCUUCAGAAGGUCUUGUGGAGAAUGUGUGUCGACUACACCGACCUAAACAAAGGAUGCCCGAAGGAUAGUUUCCCCCUUCCUCUCAUUGAUAGACUUAUAGACUCUACGGCAGGGUGUGAGCUCUUGAGCUUCAUGGACGCUUAUUCAGGAUACAACCAAAUCCUCAUGAACCCCUCAGACCAAGAACACACAGCCUUCACUACUGACAGGGGACUAUAUUGCUACAAAGUCAUGCCUUUCGGCCUAAAGAAUGCAGGAGCAACUUAUCAGAGACUGGUCAAUUCAAUGUUCGCCGAACAGAUUGGGAAGAGCAUGGAAGUUUACGUUGAUGAUAUGUUAGUCAAGAGCAAACAUGCUGACCAACACAUCACCAACCUAUCUGAAACUUUCACCAUUCUAAAGAGGUAUCGAAUGAGGUUGAACCCCAACAAAUGUGCCUUCGGCGUGGGCUCUGGCAAAUUCUUAAGCUUCAUGAUUAGCCAACGAGGCAUUGAAGCUAACCCCGAAAAGAUCAAAGCAAUCCUCGACAUGAAAGAGCCAGUAACUUCAAAAGACAUCCAAAGCCUUACUGGCAAGGUGGCAGCCUUAACCAGAUUCAUCUCUAAGGCCACAGACAGAUGUGCUCCUUUCUUCAAAACAUUCAAGGGAAAUAAGAAAUACAUUACAUGGACGGAGGAAUGUGCCAAGGCAUUCAGGAACCUCAAAGAGUACAUGAGUAAAGCCCAUCUGCUCUCCAAACCAGAAGUUGGUGAUACUCUCAUUAUCUAUCUAUCAGUUUCGGCUUCAGCAGUCAGUUCUGUUCUUAUUCGAAAGGACAGUGGUGUCGAACGGCCCGUCUACUAUGCUAGCAAGGCCCUACAAGAUGCGGAGACACGAUACUCCAACAUUGAGAAAUUAGCUCUAGCAUUGGUCAUGUCUGCUCGAAAACUUUGCCCUUAUUUCCAAGCACACGCCAUCAUCGUGCUUACCAAUCACCCUCUUCGACAGAUACUCCAGAGUCCUGACACGUCUGGGUGAAUGAUUAAAUGGGCGAUAGCAUUGGGUGAGUUUGACAUCUCCUACCAACCAAAACCAGCCGAAAAAGGGCAAGCAGUAGCAGAUUUCAUCGCCGACUUCACAUAUCCUGUUGACAUUGCUUCUACACCUGAAGCAGUAGCUUCAUUACCAUCGGAAACUCAGAAGAUAGAAUCAACAACCCCAUCAUGGAGUCUGUAUGUUGAUGGCUCAUCCAACCAACAGGGCUGCGGAGCAGGAUUAGUCCUCACUACCCCGGACAAAGUGGCGAUAGAAUACGCUUUUCGUUUCAAAUUCAAGGCAUCGAACAAUGAGGCCGAAUACGAAGCCCUUCUAGCAGGCUUACGUUUGGCCAAGCACCUUGGGGUUAAACAAAUUGAUAUCUUCAGUGACUCCCAAUUAGUGGUCAACCAAGUCACGAACAACUUUGAUGCUAAGGAUAGCUCCAUGGCAGCAUAUCUUGCGCAAACACGACUUUUGCUCAAGCACUUCCACUACCAGAUCACCCAAGUUCCUCGAGCGGCAAACAGUCAUGCAGACGCUUUAGCUCGCCUCGCCUCGGCAGUGGAAGACAAGAUUGGGAGAAAAAUUCAUGUCGAAUUGUUGGCAGCACCAAGCACCAUGGUCGCGGAGGUGUGCAAUUUACAACAAUGAGAUAGUUGGAUCACCCCAAUUUAUAAAUUCCUUGCCCAUGGCACCCUUCCAAAUGACAAAGUCCAAGCUAAGCAGAUUCGAUACAAGUCUGCCCGCUACCUGAUCAUUAAUGACUAACUCUACAAGCGCGGUUUUACCCUGCCAUACCUAAGAUGCCUUACACCUGCGGAGGCGGAAAUUGUCCUUCGGGAAAUACAUGAAGGAGUCUGCGGAGAUCAUGCUGGGUCUCGGUCCCUAGCACACAAGACUUUUCGCCAAGGAUACUAUUGGCCAACACUCCACCAAGAUGCCAUCAGAAUAUCUCGCUCAUGUGAUAAGUGUCAACGCUACACAACUAUCCCUCACUCCCCUCCCGAGCCGCUUACUCCUAUGAUCAACCCUUGGCCCUUCGCCCAAUGGGGACUUGAUUUGAUCGGCCCAAUGCCUGUAGGGAAGGGCAAAGUCCGCUAUGCAAUCGUUGCAGUUGACUACUUCACAAAGUGGGCUGAAGUAGAACCCUUGGCAACCAUUACUGAGGGAAAAAUAGAAGACUUCGUAUGGAAGAACAUCCUCUGCAGAUUCGGCAUUCCCAAUGCGAUAGUCACGGACAAUGGGCGGCAGUUCGACAACAAGAAGUUCAAGAUGUUUUGCUCUAAGUUCAACAUCAACUUAUGUUUUGCCUCUCCAGCCCAUCCCCAGUCUAAUGGACAAGUCGAGGCCGUUAACAAAAUAAUCAAGCGCAUUCUGAAAACUAGCUUGGACAAAGCUAAAGGUUGUUGGCCAGAAUUCGUACCCCAAGUUCUUUGGUCAUACCGCACUUCAUAUCGGACUUCCACAGGAGAAACUCCAUUCUCACUUGCUUUUGGUACAGAAGCAGUUGUCCUGGUUGAGCUUGAGCAAGCAACAUACCGAAUCCAGAAUUACAUGCAGAGUGAGAACGACAAACAACUCACCCUCAACCUGGAUCUAGUCGAGGAACACAGAAAUCAGGCUCACCUGAGGAAUGUCGCCUACAAGCAGCGCAUUUCCAACUACUACGACUCAAGGGUCAAACCUCGCUCUUUCAAAGUGGGAGACUGGGUACUGAAGAAAAGAUUACUAUGUGAUAGGGUCCCGAGUGAAGGAACACUCAGUCCUAACUGGGACGGACCGUUCGAGGUCGUCGGCAUCAGCCGCCCUGGCUCCUACAAGCUCAGAAACUCCGACUGCAAGACCCUUGGCCAUCCAUGGAAUGCUGACCACUUGAAGUAUUAUUACAAAUAGACUCACAUUGUACAAGUGUUAAGCUACAUCCGUUCGGCAUCCUAUGUAACAAAGACCAUUUGGUAUGAAUUCAAUAAAGAGGUGAUUUAGCCAACUCGGCCCUAAACUCUUUUACAUUCUGAGCAAUGAAACACUCAAGUGUUGAAGCUUCAACGCAAAUGUUUCCAAUACAAAAUCAAAUCUAAGUAUGUGUCAACAAGACUAUACAAAGGAUCUAUGCAAACAUAGUCAAACAUUCAUCAAUGAUAGGGCAAACACUUGAAGCUUGAUAAUGCAAACACUUGAAGCUUGACAAUACAAACACUUGCUUGAUAAUGCAAACACUCAUAAACAUACAAAACAAAAAAAACUCUCAGGCUUAUAACAUGGCACAUGCCAUACAAACAACAAACUAGUGUAGGUAGAGUACAUGCAGAAAGUGAAAGCACUUCUAGUCAUCCUCAUCUGAGGUUGAACCCCUGAUCAUAUCACUAUGAGUCCUACCGCCAUUUUCUGCAUUUCCAAACUCAUCAUCACCCUGAUGACUCUGCUCAUCAGCACUAGCCUCAUCACCAGACUCAUCUGCACUGCUAGAAUAAACGGCAAGGUUGAAGGUUUCACCUUUUCGAUGAUGCUCAUCUAUUUCUUCACGAUAUUUUCGAAGAACGCUUCCAUCAUCAUAACGAUCAAGGACAGCCAUCCAUUUCCUUUUUUCAAAGUGAACUUCCCGGGUACAGCGAGGUCUAAGGACAUGGAGAAAGGCCGGGGAACCCAAGAACUCCUUCACAGCAGCUUCCUUCUCAGUCGGGAUACUACUCUUCAGCUCAGAAACCUCAACCAAGGCACUAUCCAACUCCCCUUUAACCUUGGAAACCUCGAGCAAAGUUGUCUCCAACUGUUUCUUAGUCGCCUCCAACUGUACUUUGAGUCUCAAGUUCUCACCAUUCCGCCUCUUCAAACUCUCAAAAUGUUGAUCCCUGACUUCAAUGGCCUUAGCCAAAGCUUUGCUCGUCUUCCUGGCAUCAUUCACAAGCUGCUUAUUCUCUUUCAGUUUCACCUUGCACCGCUCAGCCUCUCGCAGUCUGUCGUGAUACUCAGUCAUGACCUGCAUGACAAGACGAUCAUCGCUACCAAAAUAAUGCUAAUAAAGAGGAGAAAACAAGGAAAUGACAAAGUAACACUCACAUAUGAAGACAGCUUCAACAUCCGGUCACAAUCCGAUUCAUCUUUAGCUAAAGGCUCUCCGAGCUCAUCGAAAGUGAAUCGACGCCCUGCCAGGCAAUUGUUGAUAUACCCAAAGUCCUUUGGUCGCAUGGCAACCUUCAAAUCCUUCCAAGGGACACUGCCAACCUCUUCUUUAUCUUUACCCUUGCUGCUAGAACUAGGAUCACCUUUCUGCCCAAUGUGCUCCCUAACUGGAGGAAAGAUAGGAUUGAUAGUAGGAAGAUGAGGCAACAAUCGCCUAUCUUCCCCGGCAACUAUGGCAGCAGCACAUCCAAUGGCCUCAGCUUCAGCUUUCUUCGAGGCAGCAACCUUGAGGACUUCUUCUCGAGACUUAGUUUUAAUGAUUGGUCUCACUCGGUGCUUGCGAGCUUCCUUGUGAAACAGGAUGUCUUCUGAAGGAACUAACAUGGGCAUUCUCCUUUUCUUGGUGCUAGUCUCCACUUUCUUGCCCACCUUCUCCACUGAACAAGGAAAAUCAAAGUAAGGAAUACCACAUUAUAUAUCUAUAUAAAAAAAAAAAGGGAAGAACAAGGAUCAAGUGAGGAUACAACUUACUCGCUCGUCUCUGGCACUCGGAAACUAAGGGCUGGAAACCGUACUUUCGAAACAAGGGUCGUAGCUUACCCAAGUGUCUAUCUUCUUUAGGCACCCUCAGCACUUUCUCUACAUCAGCUAGCUCCUGUCCGGAGAGUUUGAUGGUGCCUCGUGUCACUGCAUGAAGAAAAAUCUUAGAAGCAAGAGAAAAUCACAACAAUAGCAAAUAAUGAGAAAAUGGAUACAUUACAACCUACAGUCUGGAAGUGAGUAGGAACACGUCGCUCAGGCGUGACACCCUUAGCAUGCUCCCAAUCAUUAUAAAGAAAGCACCAACGUUUCUUCCAUGUGCAGUACGCCUUUCUCUUAUCAAAGACAACACGCUCUCUCUCACUCCGACAUGCACAUUCAGCAUAACCAGUACAUGCUUUCACCGGGCGCAUCUUAUAACAGUAGCGCCACUGAUGGAAGGAAGGUUCACCUAAUCCACACUCCAUCCAUAUAAUAUAAAACCCGAUCAAGGUAUCCCAGAAACCGGGGUUGAGUUGCCCCGGUGCAUAACCAAUAAAAGACAGCAUCCGUUGCAACCACGGAUGCAAAGGUAAAUUUACCCCCAAGGUCACUAAUGUCUGGGUAUAGAACAUAACAUGACCCGUGGGCGGCUCAGAAGGCAAUUCUUCACAACGCACCAAACGUAUUCCUACACUACGGGGGAUACUACAUGAUCGCCUUAGGGCCUCAAGCUGCUUUUCGAUAUCUAACAAGUUAUUUUCUAAAUGGUCCGCUGUGAACUCAGAGCGAAAUAUGGGUAUGGCGUCACAAACAACCCCCUCACCCACUAGCAUGGAGGAAGAACCAAUAUUGGCUAAGGUUUGACAAUUGUGAGGAUCAGAACGAAAUAUGGGUAUGGCGUCACAAACAAACCCCCUCACCCACUAGCAUGGAGGAAGAACCAAUAUUGGCUAAGGCUUGACAAUUAUGAGGAUCAUCCAACGUUUCUUUCAUACCAGACUCUAACAAAGGCCAUGAAGACCCUGACAUGGCAGGCUCAAACCUAGAGCUAGAGCUAGGGGAGCCCUCAUCACUAAGACUUCCAGACUCCGACAUCUACAAACAAACAGAAACAAACUCUAUCACUACAUGAAGGAUCAAAACAUAAGGAAGCUCAUAGGGCAUGCAGAAAAGCUCAACCAGUUCCUUAUGUUCUUAACAGAAUACAUGAACACUCAAACAAUNNNNNNNNNNNNNNNNNNNNNNNNNNNNNNNNNNNNNNNNNNNNNNNNNNNNNNNNNNNNNNNNNNNNNNNNNNNNNNNNNNNNNNNNNNNNNNNNNNNNNNNNNNNNNNNNNNNNNNNNNNNNNNNNNNNNNNNNNNNNNNNNNNNNNNNNNNNNNNNNNNNNNNNNNNNNNNNNNNNNNNNNNNNNNNNNNNNNNNNNNNNNNNNNNNNNNNNNNNNNNNNNNNNNNNNNNNNNNNNNNNNNNNNNNNNNNNNNNNNNNNNNNNNNNNNNNNNNNNNNNNNNNNNNNNNNNNNNNNNNNNNNNNNNNNNNNNNNNNNNNNNNNNNNNNNNNNNNNNNNNNNNNNNNNNNNNNNNNNNNNNNNNNNNNNNNNNNNNNNNNNNNNNNNNNNNNNNNNNNNNNNNNNNNNNNNNNNNNNNNNNNNNNNNNNNNNNNNNNNNNNNNNNNNNNNNNNNNNNNNNNNNNNNNNNNNNNNNNNNNNNNNNNNNNNNNNNNNNNNNNNNNNNNNNNNNNNNNNNNNNNNNNNNNNNNNNNNNNNNNNNNNNNNNNNNNNNNNNNNNNNNNNNNNNNNNNNNNNNNNNNNNNNNNNNNNNNNNNNNNNNNNNNNNNNNNNNNNNNNNNNNNNNNNNNNNNNNNNNNNNNNNNNNNNNNNNNNNNNNNNNNNNNNNNNNNNNNNNNNNNNNNNNNNNNNNNNNNNNNNNNNNNNNNNNNNNNNNNNNNNNNNNNNNNNNNNNNNNNNNNNNNNNNNNNNNNNNNNNNNNNNNNNNNNNNNNNNNNNNNNNNNNNNNNNNNNNNNNNNNNNNNNNNNNNNNNNNNNNNNNNNNNNNNNNNNNNNNNNNNNNNNNNNNNNNNNNNNNNNNNNNNNNNNNNNNNNNNNNNNNNNNNNNNNNNNNNNNNNNNNNNNNNNNNNNNNNNNNNNNNNNNNNNNNNNNNNNNNNNNNNNNNNNNNNNNNNNNNNNNNNNNNNNNNNNNNNNNNNNNNNNNNNNNNNNNNNNNNNNNNNNNNNNNNNNNNNNNNNNNNNNNNNNNNNNNNNNNNNNNNNNNNNNNNNNNNNNNNNNNNNNNNNNNNNNNNNNNNNNNNNNNNNNNNNNNNNNNNNNNNNNNNNNNNNNNNNNNNNNNNNNNNNNNNNNNNNNNNNNNNNNNNNNNNNNNNNNNNNNNNNNNNNNNNNNNNNNNNNNNNNNNNNNNNNNNNNNNNNNNNNNNNNNNNNNNNNNNNNNNNNNNNNNNNNNNNNNNNNNNNNNNNNNNNNNNNNNNNNNNNNNNNNNNNNNNNNNNNNNNNNNNNNNNNNNNNNNNNNNNNNNNNNNNNNNNNNNNNNNNNNNNNNNNNNNNNNNNNNNNNNNNNNNNNNNNNNNNNNNNNNNNNNNNNNNNNNNNNNNNNNNNNNNNNNNNNNNNNNNNNNNNNNNNNNNNNNNNNNNNNNNNNNNNNNNNNNNNNNNNNNNNNNNNNNNNNNNNNNNNNNNNNNNNNNNNNNNNNNNNNNNNNNNNNNNNNNNNNNNNNNNNNNNNNNNNNNNNNNNNNNNNNNNNNNNNNNNNNNNNNNNNNNNNNNNNNNNNNNNNNNNNNNNNNNNNNNNNNNNNNNNNNNNNNNNNNNNNNNNNNNNNNNNNNNNNNNNNNNNNNNNNNNNNNNNNNNNNNNNNNNNNNNNNNNNNNNNNNNNNNNNNNNNNNNNNNNNNNNNNNNNNNNNNNNNNNNNNNNNNNNNNNNNNNNNNNNNNNNNNNNNNNNNNNNNNNNNNNNNNNNNNNNNNNNNNNNNNNNNNNNNNNNNNNNNNNNNNNNNNNNNNNNNNNNNNNNNNNNNNNNNNNNNNNNNNNNNNNNNNNNNNNNNNNNNNNNNNNNNNNNNNNNNNNNNNNNNNNNNNNNNNNNNNNNNNNNNNNNNNNNNNNNNNNNNNNNNNNNNNNNNNNNNNNNNNNNNNNNNNNNNNNNNNNNNNNNNNNNNNNNNNNNNNNNNNNNNNNNNNNNNNNNNNNNNNNNNNNNNNNNNNNNNNNNNNNNNNNNNNNNNNNNNNNNNNNNNNNNNNNNNNNNNNNNNNNNNNNNNNNNNNNNNNNNNNNNNNNNNNNNNNNNNNNNNNNNNNNNNNNNNNNNNNNNNNNNNNNNNNNNNNNNNNNNNNNNNNNNNNNNNNNNNNNNNNNNNNNNNNNNNNNNNNNNNNNNNNNNNNNNNNNNNNNNNNNNNNNNNNNNNNNNNNNNNNNNNNNNNNNNNNNNNNNNNNNNNNNNNNNNNNNNNNNNNNNNNNNNNNNNNNNNNNNNNNNNNNNNNNNNNNNNNNNNNNNNNNNNNNNNNNNNNNNNNNNNNNNNNNNNNNNNNNNNNNNNNNNNNNNNNNNNNNNNNNNNNNNNNNNNNNNNNNNNNNNNNNNNNNNNNNNNNNNNNNNNNNNNNNNNNNNNNNNNNNNNNNNNNNNNNNNNNNNNNNNNNNNNNNNNNNNNNNNNNNNNNNNNNNNNNNNNNNNNNNNNNNNNNNNNNNNNNNNNNNNNNNNNNNNNNNNNNNNNNNNNNNNNNNNNNNNNNNNNNNNNNNNNNNNNNNNNNNNNNNNNNNNNNNNNNNNNNNNNNNNNNNNNNNNNNNNNNNNNNNNNNNNNNNNNNNNNNNNNNNNNNNNNNNNNNNNNNNNNNNNNNNNNNNNNNNNNNNNNNNNNNNNNNNNNNNNNNNNNNNNNNNNNNNNNNNNNNNNNNNNNNNNNNNNNNNNNNNNNNNNNNNNNNNNNNNNNNNNNNNNNNNNNNNNNNNNNNNNNNNNNNNNNNNNNNNNNNNNNNNNNNNNNNNNNNNNNNNNNNNNNNNNNNNNNNNNNNNNNNNNNNNNNNNNNNNNNNNNNNNNNNNNNNNNNNNNNNNNNNNNNNNNNNNNNNNNNNNNNNNNNNNNNNNNNNNNNNNNNNNNNNNNNNNNNNNNNNNNNNNNNNNNNNNNNNNNNNNNNNNNNNNNNNNNNNNNNNNNNNNNNNNNNNNNNNNNNNNNNNNNNNNNNNNNNNNNNNNNNNNNNNNNNNNNNNNNNNNNNNNNNNNNNNNNNNNNNNNNNNNNNNNNNNNNNNNNNNNNNNNNNNNNNNNNNNNNNNNNNNNNNNNNNNNNNNNNNNNNNNNNNNNNNNNNNNNNNNNNNNNNNNNNNNNNNNNNNNNNNNNNNNNNNNNNNNNNNNNNNNNNNNNNNNNNNNNNNNNNNNNNNNNNNNNNNNNNNNNNNNNNNNNNNNNNNNNNNNNNNNNNNNNNNNNNNNNNNNNNNNNNNNNNNNNNNNNNNNNNNNNNNNNNNNNNNNNNNNNNNNNNNNNNNNNNNNNNNNNNNNNNNNNNNNNNNNNNNNNNNNNNNNNNNNNNNNNNNNNNNNNNNNNNNNNNNNNNNNNNNNNNNNNNNNNNNNNNNNNNNNNNNNNNNNNNNNNNNNNNNNNNNNNNNNNNNNNNNNNNNNNNNNNNNNNNNNNNNNNNNNNNNNNNNNNNNNNNNNNNNNNNNNNNNNNNNNNNNNNNNNNNNNNNNNNNNNNNNNNNNNNNNNNNNNNNNNNNNNNNNNNNNNNNNNNNNNNNNNNNNNNNNNNNNNNNNNNNNNNNNNNNNNNNNNNNNNNNNNNNNNNNNNNNNNNNNNNNNNNNNNNNNNNNNNNNNNNNNNNNNNNNNNNNNNNNNNNNNNNNNNNNNNNNNNNNNNNNNNNNNNNNNNNNNNNNNNNNNNNNNNNNNNNNNNNNNNNNNNNNNNNNNNNNNNNNNNNNNNNNNNNNNNNNNNNNNNNNNNNNNNNNNNNNNNNNNNNNNNNNNNNNNNNNNNNNNNNNNNNNNNNNNNNNNNNNNNNNNNNNNNNNNNNNNNNNNNNNNNNNNNNNNNNNNNNNNNNNNNNNNNNNNNNNNNNNNNNNNNNNNNNNNNNNNNNNNNNNNNNNNNNNNNNNNNNNNNNNNNNNNNNNNNNNNNNNNNNNNNNNNNNNNNNNNNNNNNNNNNNNNNNNNNNNNNNNNNNNNNNNNNNNNNNNNNNNNNNNNNNNNNNNNNNNNNNNNNNNNNNNNNNNNNNNNNNNNNNNNNNNNNNNNNNNNNNNNNNNNNNNNNNNNNNNNNNNNNNNNNNNNNNNNNNNNNNNNNNNNNNNNNNNNNNNNNNNNNNNNNNNNNNNNNNNNNNNNNNNNNNNNNNNNNNNNNNNNNNNNNNNNNNNNNNNNNNNNNNNNNNNNNNNNNNNNNNNNNNNNNNNNNNNNNNNNNNNNNNNNNNNNNNNNNNNNNNNNNNNNNNNNNNNNNNNNNNNNNNNNNNNNNNNNNNNNNNNNNNNNNNNNNNNNNNNNNNNNNNNNNNNNNNNNNNNNNNNNNNNNNNNNNNNNNNNNNNNNNNNNNNNNNNNNNNNNNNNNNNNNNNNNNNNNNNNNNNNNNNNNNNNNNNNNNNNNNNNNNNNNNNNNNNNNNNNNNNNNNNNNNNNNNNNNNNNNNNNNNNNNNNNNNNNNNNNNNNNNNNNNNNNNNNNNNNNNNNNNNNNNNNNNNNNNNNNNNNNNNNNNNNNNNNNNNNNNNNNNNNNNNNNNNNNNNNNNNNNNNNNNNNNNNNNNNNNNNNNNNNNNNNNNNNNNNNNNNNNNNNNNNNNNNNNNNNNNNNNNNNNNNNNNNNNNNNNNNNNNNNNNNNNNNNNNNNNNNNNNNNNNNNNNNNNNNNNNNNNNNNNNNNNNNNNNNNNNNNNNNNNNNNNNNNNNNNNNNNNNNNNNNNNNNNNNNNNNNNNNNNNNNNNNNNNNNNNNNNNNNNNNNNNNNNNNNNNNNNNNNNNNNNNNNNNNNNNNNNNNNNNNNNNNNNNNNNNNNNNNNNNNNNNNNNNNNNNNNNNNNNNNNNNNNNNNNNNNNNNNNNNNNNNNNNNNNNNNNNNNNNNNNNNNNNNNNNNNNNNNNNNNNNNNNNNNNNNNNNNNNNNNNNNNNNNNNNNNNNNNNNNNNNNNNNNNNNNNNNNNNNNNNNNNNNNNNNNNNNNNNNNNNNNNNNNNNNNNNNNNNNNNNNNNNNNNNNNNNNNNNNNNNNNNNNNNNNNNNNNNNNNNNNNNNNNNNNNNNNNNNNNNNNNNNNNNNNNNNNNNNNNNNNNNNNNNNNNNNNNNNNNNNNNNNNNNNNNNNNNNNNNNNNNNNNNNNNNNNNNNNNNNNNNNNNNNNNNNNNNNNNNNNNNNNNNNNNNNNNNNNNNNNNNNNNNNNNNNNNNNNNNNNNNNNNNNNNNNNNNNNNNNNNNNNNNNNNNNNNNNNNNNNNNNNNNNNNNNNNNNNNNNNNNNNNNNNNNNNNNNNNNNNNNNNNNNNNNNNNNNNNNNNNNNNNNNNNNNNNNNNNNNNNNNNNNNNNNNNNNNNNNNNNNNNNNNNNNNNNNNNNNNNNNNNNNNNNNNNNNNNNNNNNNNNNNNNNNNNNNNNNNNNNNNNNNNNNNNNNNNNNNNNNNNNNNNNNNNNNNNNNNNNNNNNNNNNNNNNNNNNNNNNNNNNNNNNNNNNNNNNNNNNNNNNNNNNNNNNNNNNNNNNNNNNNNNNNNNNNNNNNNNNNNNNNNNNNNNNNNNNNNNNNNNNNNNNNNNNNNNNNNNNNNNNNNNNNNNNNNNNNNNNNNNNNNNNNNNNNNNNNNNNNNNNNNNNNNNNNNNNNNNNNNNNNNNNNNNNNNNNNNNNNNNNNNNNNNNNNNNNNNNNNNNNNNNNNNNNNNNNNNNNNNNNNNNNNNNNNNNNNNNNNNNNNNNNNNNNNNNNNNNNNNNNNNNNNNNNNNNNNNNNNNNNNNNNNNNNNNNNNNNNNNNNNNNNNNNNNNNNNNNNNNNNNNNNNNNNNNNNNNNNNNNNNNNNNNNNNNNNNNNNNNNNNNNNNNNNNNNNNNNNNNNNNNNNNNNNNNNNNNNNNNNNNNNNNNNNNNNNNNNNNNNNNNNNNNNNNNNNNNNNNNNNNNNNNNNNNNNNNNNNNNNNNNNNNNNNNNNNNNNNNNNNNNNNNNNNNNNNNNNNNNNNNNNNNNNNNNNNNNNNNNNNNNNNNNNNNNNNNNNNNNNNNNNNNNNNNNNNNNNNNNNNNNNNNNNNNNNNNNNNNNNNNNNNNNNNNNNNNNNNNNNNNNNNNNNNNNNNNNNNNNNNNNNNNNNNNNNNNNNNNNNNNNNNNNNNNNNNNNNNNNNNNNNNNNNNNNNNNNNNNNNNNNNNNNNNNNNNNNNNNNNNNNNNNNNNNNNNNNNNNNNNNNNNNNNNNNNNNNNNNNNNNNNNNNNNNNNNNNNNNNNNNNNNNNNNNNNNNNNNNNNNNNNNNNNNNNNNNNNNNNNNNNNNNNNNNNNNNNNNNNNNNNNNNNNNNNNNNNNNNNNNNNNNNNNNNNNNNNNNNNNNNNNNNNNNNNNNNNNNNNNNNNNNNNNNNNNNNNNNNNNNNNNNNNNNNNNNNNNNNNNNNNNNNNNNNNNNNNNNNNNNNNNNNNNNNNNNNNNNNNNNNNNNNNNNNNNNNNNNNNNNNNNNNNNNNNNNNNNNNNNNNNNNNNNNNNNNNNNNNNNNNNNNNNNNNNNNNNNNNNNNNNNNNNNNNNNNNNNNNNNNNNNNNNNNNNNNNNNNNNNNNNNNNNNNNNNNNNNNNNNNNNNNNNNNNNNNNNNNNNNNNNNNNNNNNNNNNNNNNNNNNNNNNNNNNNNNNNNNNNNNNNNNNNNNNNNNNNNNNNNNNNNNNNNNNNNNNNNNNNNNNNNNNNNNNNNNNNNNNNNNNNNNNNNNNNNNNNNNNNNNNNNNNNNNNNNNNNNNNNNNNNNNNNNNNNNNNNNNNNNNNNNNNNNNNNNNNNNNNNNNNNNNNNNNNNNNNNNNNNNNNNNNNNNNNNNNNNNNNNNNNNNNNNNNNNNNNNNNNNNNNNNNNNNNNNNNNNNNNNNNNNNNNNNNNNNNNNNNNNNNNNNNNNNNNNNNNNNNNNNNNNNNNNNNNNNNNNNNNNNNNNNNNNNNNNNNNNNNNNNNNNNNNNNNNNNNNNNNNNNNNNNNNNNNNNNNNNNNNNNNNNNNNNNNNNNNNNNNNNNNNNNNNNNNNNNNNNNNNNNNNNNNNNNNNNNNNNNNNNNNNNNNNNNNNNNNNNNNNNNNNNNNNNNNNNNNNNNNNNNNNNNNNNNNNNNNNNNNNNNNNNNNNNNNNNNNNNNNNNNNNNNNNNNNNNNNNNNNNNNNNNNNNNNNNNNNNNNNNNNNNNNNNNNNNNNNNNNNNNNNNNNNNNNNNNNNNNNNNNNNNNNNNNNNNNNNNNNNNNNNNNNNNNNNNNNNNNNNNNNNNNNNNNNNNNNNNNNNNNNNNNNNNNNNNNNNNNNNNNNNNNNNNNNNNNNNNNNNNNNNNNNNNNNNNNNNNNNNNNNNNNNNNNNNNNNNNNNNNNNNNNNNNNNNNNNNNNNNNNNNNNNNNNNNNNNNNNNNNNNNNNNNNNNNNNNNNNNNNNNNNNNNNNNNNNNNNNNNNNNNNNNNNNNNNNNNNNNNNNNNNNNNNNNNNNNGCUCUUCNNNNNNNNNNNNNNNNNNNNNNNNNNNNNNNNNNNNNNNNNNNNNNNNNNNNNNNNNNNNNNNNNNNNNNNNNNNNNNNNNNNNNNNNNNNNNNNNNNNNNNNNNNNNNNNNNNNNNNNNNNNNNNNNNNNNNNNNNNNNNNNNNNNNNNNNNNNNNNNNNNNNNNNNNNNNNNNNNNNNNNNNNNNNNNNNNNNNNNNNNNNNNNNNNNNNNNNNNNNNNNNNNNNNNNNNNNNNNNNNNNNNNNNNNNNNNNNNNNNNNNNNNNNNNNNNNNNNNNNNNNNNNNNNNNNNNNNNNNNNNNNNNNNNNNNNNNNNNNNNNNNNNNNNNNNNNNNNNNNNNNNNNNNNNNNNNNNNNNNNNNNNNNNNNNNNNNNNNNNNNNNNNNNNNNNNNNNNNNNNNNNNNNNNNNNNNNNNNNNNNNNNNNNNNNNNNNNNNNNNNNNNNNNNNNNNNNNNNNNNNNNNNNNNNNNNNNNNNNNNNNNNNNNNNNNNNNNNNNNNNNNNNNNNNNNNNNNNNNNNNNNNNNNNNNNNNNNNNNNNNNNNNNNNNNNNNNNNNNNNNNNNNNNNNNNNNNNNNNNNNNNNNNNNNNNNNNNNNNNNNNNNNNNNNNNNNNNNNNNNNNNNNNNNNNNNNNNNNNNNNNNNNNNNNNNNNNNNNNNNNNNNNNNNNNNNNNNNNNNNNNNNNNNNNNNNNNNNNNNNNNNNNNNNNNNNNNNNNNNNNNNNNNNNNNNNNNNNNNNNNNNNNNNNNNNNNNNNNNNNNNNNNNNNNNNNNNNNNNNNNNNNNNNNNNNNNNNNNNNNNNNNNNNNNNNNNNNNNNNNNNNNNNNNNNNNNNNNNNNNNNNNNNNNNNNNNNNNNNNNNNNNNNNNNNNNNNNNNNNNNNNNNNNNNNNNNNNNNNNNNNNNNNNNNNNNNNNNNNNNNNNNNNNNNNNNNNNNNNNNNNNNNNNNNNNNNNNNNNNNNNNNNNNNNNNNNNNNNNNNNNNNNNNNNNNNNNNNNNNNNNNNNNNNNNNNNNNNNNNNNNNNNNNNNNNNNNNNNNNNNNNNNNNNNNNNNNNNNNNNNNNNNNNNNNNNNNNNNNNNNNNNNNNNNNNNNNNNNNNNNNNNNNNNNNNNNNNNNNNNNNNNNNNNNNNNNNNNNNNNNNNNNNNNNNNNNNNNNNNNNNNNNNNNNNNNNNNNNNNNNNNNNNNNNNNNNNNNNNNNNNNNNNNNNNNNNNNNNNNNNNNNNNNNNNNNNNNNNNNNNNNNNNNNNNNNNNNNNNNNNNNNNNNNNNNNNNNNNNNNNNNNNNNNNNNNNNNNNNNNNNNNNNNNNNNNNNNNNNNNNNNNNNNNNNNNNNNNNNNNNNNNNNNNNNNNNNNNNNNNNNNNNNNNNNNNNNNNNNNNNNNNNNNNNNNNNNNNNNNNNNNNNNNNNNNNNNNNNNNNNNNNNNNNNNNNNNNNNNNNNNNNNNNNNNNNNNNNNNNNNNNNNNNNNNNNNNNNNNNNNNNNNNNNNNNNNNNNNNNNNNNNNNNNNNNNNNNNNNNNNNNNNNNNNNNNNNNNNNNNNNNNNNNNNNNNNNNNNNNNNNNNNNNNNNNNNNNNNNNNNNNNNNNNNNNNNNNNNNNNNNNNNNNNNNNNNNNNNNNNNNNNNNNNNNNNNNNNNNNNNNNNNNNNNNNNNNNNNNNNNNNNNNNNNNNNNNNNNNNNNNNNNNNNNNNNNNNNNNNNNNNNNNNNNNNNNNNNNNNNNNNNNNNNNNNNNNNNNNNNNNNNNNNNNNNNNNNNNNNNNNNNNNNNNNNNNNNNNNNNNNNNNNNNNNNNNNNNNNNNNNNNNNNNNNNNNNNNNNNNNNNNNNNNNNNNNNNNNNNNNNNNNNNNNNNNNNNNNNNNNNNNNNNNNNNNNNNNNNNNNNNNNNNNNNNNNNNNNNNNNNNNNNNNNNNNNNNNNNNNNNNNNNNNNNNNNNNNNNNNNNNNNNNNNNNNNNNNNNNNNNNNNNNNNNNNNNNNNNNNNNNNNNNNNNNNNNNNNNNNNNNNNNNNNNNNNNNNNNNNNNNNNNNNNNNNNNNNNNNNNNNNNNNNNNNNNNNNNNNNNNNNNNNNNNNNNNNNNNNNNNNNNNNNNNNNNNNNNNNNNNNNNNNNNNNNNNNNNNNNNNNNNNNNNNNNNNNNNNNNNNNNNNNNNNNNNNNNNNNNNNNNNNNNNNNNNNNNNNNNNNNNNNNNNNNNNNNNNNNNNNNNNNNNNNNNNNNNNNNNNNNNNNNNNNNNNNNNNNNNNNNNNNNNNNNNNNNNNNNNNNNNNNNNNNNNNNNNNNNNNNNNNNNNNNNNNNNNNNNNNNNNNNNNNNNNNNNNNNNNNNNNNNNNNNNNNNNNNNNNNNNNNNNNNNNNNNNNNNNNNNNNNNNNNNNNNNNNNNNNNNNNNNNNNNNNNNNNNNNNNNNNNNNNNNNNNNNNNNNNNNNNNNNNNNNNNNNNNNNNNNNNNNNNNNNNNNNNNNNNNNNNNNNNNNNNNNNNNNNNNNNNNNNNNNNNNNNNNNNNNNNNNNNNNNNNNNNNNNNNNNNNNNNNNNNNNNNNNNNNNNNNNNNNNNNNNNNNNNNNNNNNNNNNNNNNNNNNNNNNNNNNNNNNNNNNNNNNNNNNNNNNNNNNNNNNNNNNNNNNNNNNNNNNNNNNNNNNNNNNNNNNNNNNNNNNNNNNNNNNNNNNNNNNNNNNNNNNNNNNNNNNNNNNNNNNNNNNNNNNNNNNNNNNNNNNNNNNNNNNNNNNNNNNNNNNNNNNNNNNNNNNNNNNNNNNNNNNNNNNNNNNNNNNNNNNNNNNNNNNNNNNNNNNNNNNNNNNNNNNNNNNNNNNNNNNNNNNNNNNNNNNNNNNNNNNNNNNNNNNNNNNNNNNNNNNNNNNNNNNNNNNNNNNNNNNNNNNNNNNNNNNNNNNNNNNNNNNNNNNNNNNNNNNNNNNNNNNNNNNNNNNNNNNNNNNNNNNNNNNNNNNNNNNNNNNNNNNNNNNNNNNNNNNNNNNNNNNNNNNNNNNNNNNNNNNNNNNNNNNNNNNNNNNNNNNNNNNNNNNNNNNNNNNNNNNNNNNNNNNNNNNNNNNNNNNNNNNNNNNNNNNNNNNNNNNNNNNNNNNNNNNNNNNNNNNNNNNNNNNNNNNNNNNNNNNNNNNNNNNNNNNNNNNNNNNNNNNNNNNNNNNNNNNNNNNNNNNNNNNNNNNNNNNNNNNNNNNNNNNNNNNNNNNNNNNNNNNNNNNNNNNNNNNNNNNNNNNNNNNNNNNNNNNNNNNNNNNNNNNNNNNNNNNNNNNNNNNNNNNNNNNNNNNNNNNNNNNNNNNNNNNNNNNNNNNNNNNNNNNNNNNNNNNNNNNNNNNNNNNNNNNNNNNNNNNNNNNNNNNNNNNNNNNNNNNNNNNNNNNNNNNNNNNNNNNNNNNNNNNNNNNNNNNNNNNNNNNNNNNNNNNNNNNNNNNNNNNNNNNNNNNNNNNNNNNNNNNNNNNNNNNNNNNNNNNNNNNNNNNNNNNNNNNNNNNNNNNNNNNNNNNNNNNNNNNNNNNNNNNNNNNNNNNNNNNNNNNNNNNNNNNNNNNNNNNNNNNNNNNNNNNNNNNNNNNNNNNNNNNNNNNNNNNNNNNNNNNNNNNNNNNNNNNNNNNNNNNNNNNNNNNNNNNNNNNNNNNNNNNNNNNNNNNNNNNNNNNNNNNNNNNNNNNNNNNNNNNNNNNNNNNNNNNNNNNNNNNNNNNNNNNNNNNNNNNNNNNNNNNNNNNNNNNNNNNNNNNNNNNNNNNNNNNNNNNNNNNNNNNNNNNNNNNNNNNNNNNNNNNNNNNNNNNNNNNNNNNNNNNNNNNNNNNNNNNNNNNNNNNNNNNNNNNNNNNNNNNNNNNNNNNNNNNNNNNNNNNNNNNNNNNNNNNNNNNNNNNNNNNNNNNNNNNNNNNNNNNNNNNNNNNNNNNNNNNNNNNNNNNNNNNNNNNNNNNNNNNNNNNNNNNNNNNNNNNNNNNNNNNNNNNNNNNNNNNNNNNNNNNNNNNNNNNNNNNNNNNNNNNNNNNNNNNNNNNNNNNNNNNNNNNNNNNNNNNNNNNNNNNNNNNNNNNNNNNNNNNNNNNNNNNNNNNNNNNNNNNNNNNNNNNNNNNNNNNNNNNNNNNNNNNNNNNNNNNNNCAACUUGGCGGGUUCUAGCAAAUAGGCGUUGGGCCAUAUUAGACACAGAAGCUGCACACUGAACACUAAGAGCCAGAGAAUCCUUAACAGCCAACUCAUCAGACCGUUUGGAAAGUAGUCUGUUAUCUCUGGGAGUGAGAAGGUUCCUGGCCACCACCGCAGCAGUCAUAUCAUUCUUCAUCACAGAAUCCCCAACGGUAAGAGGACCAGUAGAAGAUAUGAAGGAUGGACGCCAUAUGUUGUCUGGAGAAGGCGUGGCUGCCUCUUCUCCAAGGUUCAAGUCAAAACGACGGUCGGAGGGGCCAGACAUUUUCAAAGGUGUUGAAGAGAGAAGAGGUCAGACAAAUCAAGAUCUUAGAAGUGCAAGAAGGGAGCUUCUACUGGUGGAGAUUCAGGUGUGCUGUGGAACUUAAUGCCAGCCUCUAUAAAAAUCUGCCCUCGACGGAGCUUCAGAAAUCGAAGAGGCGUUUGCUUUCUCAAAAGCUGGGCUGCUCAGAGACCACGAGGGCUGAUCUCAAAAAUCGAAGAGGCGCUUCCUUUCUCAAAAGCUGGGCUGCUCAGAGACCACGAUGGCCGAUCUCAGAAAUCGAAGAAGCACCUGCUUUUUCAGCCUCAUCAGCACCUGUCACAUGCACACUCAGCUUUGCGGAAAUUACGGGCAAUCUGUCGAAGAUUUCUGGUGAAAUAGAAAGCACGUGAAUCUUACUGUUCAAUCACCACUCUCCACACGCACCAUCACUCCUCGGGGUACCACAUAUAACUUUGCCAAAGAUCUCUGACAAAGUUUAGGCACGAGAAUUUCGAAGUUCCAGCUACCCUACUAUUACCCACAAGGGUAAAGGAACAGCACCACUGCUUGACAACUGGAAAGUCCCUAUGUGUGUCGACCUCCGUGUUCUGCGGCAAGACAGGCUGGCAAGAACGUCCAACCUUUACUCACAUUCGAGAAAAGACUCCCAACAUAAUUACUUUCUCAAAAACCGAAACAGCACCGCUUUCUGAAUCUCGAGAGCCAGAUCCUCGACGGGAUUGCUUGUUCGAAAACCGAAGAGGCACAGCUCUCAGAACUUCGAGAGCCAGAUUUCCUUAGAUAAAGCUUGUCUGUAAUCUUCACACGUAACAUCAGCUUUCCAGAUACCACAUACCACUUUUUUCAAAGUGCUCUGACAAAGUUAAAACACGUGAAGCUGGCAGCUCCCACUACAUUGUUGUGACCAAGAAAGGUAAAAGAAUAGCAUUACUACUUGUUAUUGGGAAAUCCCUAUAUACAUCGACCUCCCUCCUCAACGGACAGGCAAACCUGCAAAAAUGCUCAACCCUUUCUCGCAUUCGAGAAUGCACCCUCAACAUAACCUCUCGAAAUACUCAGCUUUAUUUCCCCCGAUAAUACCUCAAGCAAAUAAGCCACACCAAGAACAAGAGUAUCUCAUAUCAUCAGGGUCGAAAGCAAGAGUAUCCCAUAUCAUGCUUUCUCCCUGUCCUUGUCUUCGUCCUUGUCCACACCUGCAGGACAAAGAGAAAGAGAGCAGUCAGUCGGAACCUGAAAUCAAACCUCUAAUCUGGAACUGACUGCCUGAGACCUUUGCAUGGUUGCUUACUUAGCAUUGCUCUCGAGAACUCAUCCUCAACUGCUGUCAAGGUCAUGAAUUCCACCGGCACAUACCUCAUGACAGGUUGAUCAGAUAUUGGCUCUUUACACUGAAGCUGCCAAGCGUGGAUGAGUCACUAUGAAGGAAUGUUCUGAAGGACCAUUUAAAUGCAAAGGUUGCACACCACUUCUUCCAUGCAAAAGAUUGAAGCAGAAGGUUCAACGGUGAGCUGAAACAGAUCACUACAGCACGACACCUUUCCAUACCACAUUCAUUAUUCCGUCAACAGCAAAAAGUAUCCCAUAUCAUCAAGGUCGAACGUACUCUAGAUUUGAUGGACUUGUUUUGACCCUCAAAUUCUUGAGUCGGCCUUAUACUCUGAAGGGAACCAGAAAAACCCUCCAGCACAGUUCAAGAAUAAGCCUGUGGAAAGUUACUUCUUCAAAAGCAAAAGUAUCUCAUAUCAUCUCUUCUCCAUUUGCUUCUCCUUAUCCUGGCAGCUGAAUGAGAGACAGGAGGAAAGGAGAACAAUCAACCGGAAGCCAAAGUCGAACCUCCGAUCCUGGGUUGCUUGCUUGGAAGUUUGACUGCUUACCUUGUCUGUCACCUCUUUCGGCAGAUCUCCUAGCUCGGCGACUUGGGGGACUCCUACUAUAGGGUUUGUAUCGCACUUGACCAAGCCCGAAACUACAAGUAAGCUUCAAGUGAAAUUGAUACAUUACCUUGUGCAUCUUCAUCGGUUAAAGAUACCACCCAUGGAUGGAGGAAAAGUACUUCCAGAGAAGAUGCCACAUCUACAUAUGAGACAGAUAAGGCACGUGAAAAUGAUACCUCACUUCAGUACUUAGAAGUUUCGUGAUUACUCAAUGGCUUGGAUCUUGCAAGUCCCCAACCGAGGAGCUUCCCUCACUCGGGAACUUAGGGGAGCACUAUUUGUACCAUACUUAACCAAUCCCGAAACUACUGAGCACCGGUCAACGUUAUACCGUCAAGGACCCAGAAGAGCUUCCCUUCAACCAGGAGGCCAAUCACAAUGCGACACGUGUCGACAUCAGAAGCCAAUCACAGCUCGACACGUGUCAACAUCAGAAGCCAAUUACAACACGACACGUGUCAAUGUUAGAACAAAACUAGAAACUCUCUUCUAUAAAUAGGGAUCAUUCUCCCACAAUAAUCUCUAAUGUCAUUUGUACUAAACUAUUCACUAGAACUCACAAAAUGAGAGCUUGAACCUAUGUAUUUGUGUAAACCCUUCACAAUUAAUGAGAACUCCUCUACUCCGUGGACGUAGCCGAUCUGGGUGAACCACGUACAAUUAAUGAGAACUCCUCUACUUAUCUUCACUAGUGAUCGAAGCAACCAAACGAAGGUCACAAACCUGACACUUUCUGUUGUACCAAAGUCCUCACUGAUUUUGUGCAUCAACAUCAACAAAUAAAAGCUAAUUCAUUUGACAGCAGGAUUCAACGUUUAUGUGUGCAUUAUAUCUUAAAAGUAAUUCAGCAUUAUAAGGAACAACAAAACCAUUAUCAAUUUUGAUCCAUUUUUUAUGACAUAUUUUGUAUCAUCAGUGUCUAUAAAUAGGAAACCAUUGUCUUAAAAAAUUGUCUCAUUUUUAUAUGGCUUAGGAAAGUUUUUGGAACACUUAUUUUCCCACAUGCAAGGAGAAUUUUGAUUAAUAUGUCCACAUGGACCAUGAAUCAUAAAUUGGUUAACAAUUUCGUAAAGCUGAGGAUUGACAAAUUUGUUUGGCAACUCAGCAGAAAUAAUUGAAUCUAUAUCUGAUGCCAUAUAACAUUUGAAAUUUGAUUUCAAUCAUAUUAACAUAUGAGAAUGAGGCAAACAUAUUUUUUGAAAUUCAAUUGUACAAACAUCUGUUUCCAAAAAUAAUUGAAACAGACAAAAACCCAAAAAAAAAAAAAAGUUAGCAUGAUAAAGCAAAAAAAGGGAAACAAAUUUCAGAUAAGGGAAAAAAUAAGUUUUUAGAAACUUACCUGCCUCAACUUGUCCAAAGGGUUUUCUAGAUUUAAUGAAACCGAGCAUAUCAUCAAGUUUCAUUUUAAAUAUUCUAGAAAUUAUAUCAGGCCUGUCCUCAGGUUUGUAUCCCAUUUUUUUUUUUCAAUUUCUCUUAUAAUUUCUGGCCAUUUUACUUUGCAUGUAAAGGUUAUGAACAAAUCAGGAUGACCAUAUUCUCUACAAAUAGCCAUAGCAUCUUGAUAAUUAUUAAUCAUAUAUCUAGGACUUCCUGUGUAUGAAGCAGGCAACACAAUUUUUUGGCCUAACUUGUUUGCAUCAUUGUCACCUCUUGACAUUGCAUCGUAAAUUCCCUUGUAAAUUUCACUUCUUAAAUUUUUCAGAUUUUGUCUAAUAUAAUCCAACCUAUCUUCUUCAAGUGUUGCAUAGGAAUCUACCAAAUAUUGUUGAAAAAGUCUACCACAUUUUAACAGUGUAGUUAAGUAUGGAUCUCUUUCUUGAAUUUGGUAAGCUAUAUAAGUUCUCAUAGGUAUUCUUUGUCUCUUCGUUUUUGGACCGUUAUAAUUUUCAUUCCAUUGUAAAUCUGGUCUAUACUCAACUUCACCAUAUGGAAAAAGAAUAGGAUACUGAAGGGCCAUAAAUUUUGGAUUCAAUUUUGUAACACACUUUAAUCCUUUUCUUUUACAAUCUACAAUAAUAUCUCUAUUAGAGUCAGAUAAACCUAUAUCACCAAUUAUUAAACCACCUAUUUCAUCACUUGUUGGUUGAUCAUAUUGCUUGCUAUCAUUUGGUUGUCUCCCUAACAACGUAAGUUUUAAAUUGGUCAAACCAUCAGUUUCAUAUUUGUCUCUUGUUGUUUGAAAAAGUUUGACCAACUCAUUUGAUUCAUCAAACAUUUUAAUCAAGUUUUCCACAAUUUUUGAAUCAAGUUUUUUAUUUGUUCCAUCACAAUCAAAAGCUCUAAGUUGAUUCUGUAUUUCAUUAUAUAUAUCAUAAACAUAUAACUGAGCAAAUUUUGGAGACUCAUUAUCAACAGGUAAAAGAGAACCCAUCAAAUGACAAAUUUGACCACUAAUCUUAAAAAUGUAAGGACUUGAUCCGUUAUUCAUUGAGUGAUCAACUUUUGCUCCCAUUGAAGUAAAUGAAAACAUAGAAUUGUAAGCUCUAAUAUUUUCUCGAAAUGAUAAACUCUUUUACUUCCUUUUGGAUCAAGCAAGGAAUCUAAAAAAGAUGGUGUUGGCUUUGGACUUGAAAAUUUAAUUUUUCCUUGUUGACAACAAAGAGUAAAAAUGGGUUGAUUUUUUUUUUUCUAGCUUUGUUUAAGAGGCUCUUUUAACCAAAAAUAUGCACCACAAUACACGCAUUUAUAACUUUUAUCACCCAAAUCCAUAUCUUUCACAACCCCUACAAAAAAAACAUAUAUAAAAAGAAAUGUAAUCAAUACAUGGAAGUAACUUAAUCCUAAAACCAAGCCUAAAGAAAACAAUUAUUGCAAAAAAUUAAAAACAUACCGUUUCUAUUUUUUUUUUUUGGAAAAAGGCCUGACCCUUCUUCAUGAGACAACAAUUGUCAGCAUCUACGGUAUUGAACAAACUCACAACGUUUUUCCCUUUUUUAUCAAAGGUGUACAUGGUUUUUUCAAACGGGAUGAUGUCCAACAUUUCAUUAUCGUUAACAGAGUCAAUCACACAGUGGUUAGUAGAAGAUCUACCGGAGGAACAUUGAUAUUCAACUGAUGAAUAUUCGCAAAUAAAUAUGUCAAUCGCAUACAUAAUAACAUCUUCAGAAUUAUGCCUAUAACUCGCUCUACACAUUCUUUUUCGCUGGUGACCAUCGUCAACCAAUGUAUUACAUUCACUAUCAGUAACGCUUUUGUUUCGUUUUAUAGCAUCUUUUGUUUGAUCAUUUGUACAUUUUUAGACAUGAUGGAAACCAACCGUUACAACUUUUUCAUAAACAAACAACUGGACAACAGAUUAAAAAAAAUGAAAAAAAUCAAUAAAAAGAUAAGAUAUAUAUGAAAACAAUAAAGAUCACACAAAAACUAAUGACAUGUCUGAAUCAAAAGUUUCAUUUCAAUUUAACAAAAUGCAAAAGAAAACUGCAUUGUUAAAGUUUUAAUAAAUAAUUUCAGAACUUUAAAAAAGUUACCUUGAGGACAAAGCGCCUUGGAAGUUGAGGACAAAUAGCUUUAAAUCCAAAAUACUCAAGAUUUUUCAAAUUCUGUUAAAAAAAAAAAAACACAUCACCAGAAAACUCAUUACAACAAAUAAACACUUAUUUGUUCACAGGAACUAUCUAUUGUAAUAUAUGAUGAUGGUGCACGGUUGAGUGUUUAAGUUUAUUAAAUAACUGAAAGUUGGGGGUGGCUGGGUACAUGUUUUCCUUUCCUUUCGUUUUUUUUUUUUUUUUUUUUGGUGUUUAUUUAAUAUCUCCAAGUCAACGGUAGUAGUUCCUAGGAAAACAAAAGUUGAGUUAAUUAUUAAAACAAGGAAUACCAUAGUUCACCAAUGUGACAGAGAUGCACUGUGUGUGCAAGAUUAGGGAUGAGUGCGGAUGUACUUACGCUACCAAAAAAUCUAAGCAGAAUUGAUUACUGAUUUUAAUAAUUAAAAUCAGAUACAAUUUUUCAAAAAUAAAUGCAAGGUGAUGGGUAAGUUUGUCAAUGAAACGAUUUGAAGUCAUAUCUUUACAGGUAGGAGAUAGCAGAUAUUUGCAUUGCAUAUCUUAGCAGAAUGAGCAGAUAUGAAGGAAAAUUAGAUUUAUUCAAUUUCGAUAUAAAGAGAAUUAAUUAAUGCAGGAACAACGUUUGUGCACAUUGAGAAUCAAAUUAACUAAUUAACUUACUAACCCGUAUUGUAAAUUUCACACCUAUACUCAAAACAAAUUUUGUAACCAAUGUCCCAAAAAAGAGGCAAAAGGAAAGAAAAAAAGCCUUUGUAUGGUAUACUACGGCGUUAUCUGUGUAACCGAACUCAACCCAGCAACCUUCUUGUAUACUUGGAAAUUUGUUACAGAUGUUAUGGCUGCAGAAGAAAAUAUAUCUUUCAGCAUUAAUAUCAUUAAGACUUAAGUAUAAUACCAUAGUUCACCAAUGUGACAGAGACACUGUGUGUGGAAGAUUAAUGAUGAGUAUGGAAGUAAUAAUGCUAUCAAGAAAUUUAUGCAGAAUUGAUUACUAACUUUAACAAUUAAAAUCAGAUACAACUUUUCAAAAAUAAACCAAGGCCAUGGGUACACUUUGUCAAUGAAACAAUUUUAAGUCAUAUGUUUACAGCUAGGAGAUCGCGGAUAUUUGCAUUGCAUAACUUAACACAAUGAGUGAAUAUGAAGGAGAAUUAGAUUUAUUCAAUUUCGAUACAAAGAUAAUUAAUUAAUGCUCCUUAGACAUCAAUUUGAUUAAGAUGUGUGCCUGUCUUCUCAGUUUUUGGCAUUAUAGAUGUGGGUGGUAUAAAUUUUUACUUAAAAAAUUGAACUCGAAAUGAAAACCUAGGUGAGAAAGCAUGGAAACAACUCUUGUGUACAAAUGACUUGUACGAAUGAAUUUUCUUGAGAUUUGAUCCCAGCUUUUUGAUAAUUGUCAGCUUUUAUAACUCAAACCAUUUCCAAUAACUAUUUGGUUAUAGGAUGAAUAAUUAAGCAUAAAAAAGUGAGUUCAUGCUUAUGAAAUUGAGAAGGCAGGCACACAUCUUAAACAAAUUGAAAAAUGAUGUCUAAGGAUUACAUAUAGCAUAUUUCAGCUAAUGAUACAACGGCCAUUGAAUUCUGUAUUGCAAAUUUGGCUAUUCAAAAGCCUCUGAAUUUAUAGACUAAAUCAGGAUCGCAUUAUUAAAUCAUAUUAUCAAAUUGGAAUACAAACAUUGAAAAAUACAUGAACUCAUGCGCAACUUUGAUUAAUCCAACAUUAAUAUCGGAUCUAUCUUGAGAGAGUACCUUCUCACAGAUCAAAAUAGUCACAUCUUACUUUCUAACUCUUUCGUAUAGGACCUCAUCCUUCUCACAGAUCUAUAUCUACUUCUAGAUAGCCUUUAGGAUUUCCCUGGCUUAGCACAAGAAUUCUAUCCUUAAAAGAACUCUCUACUGACUGGUAUAAAUACACCAUUCUAGAGUUCGUCUCUGGUUGCGCAAUCAUCGCACUCUAACUCUUUUGCCCACUGGUUAAGUCUUAUACUUGCUUAUUAACUUGACCGUCGGAGAGUCUUUGGCUAACACACACCCCUUAGGUCUUAGGCUUGCUCACGUUGUUUGCUGUUUUACAGGUUACUCAAAUUUGUGCCUCCACCAUCUGCGAUAGUGACGAAUUUGGUUCCAACAAUUGGUUUUUUCAUUGAGAUAGAACUCAUAUUCCUCUCGACUAGAUCACUCUACCCAUUGAGGCCCCUCUUAAAUGAUUGAGAUGUGACUGUGCCAUCUUCCCACAUGAAAAAGAUAUUUCCUUCAUGGAAAAUGUAUGGGAAAACAUGUUAUAGAUACAUGCGUCUAUAAAAGGGCUUCGAAGAAGUUCACGAGCCAAGGAAUAGGCAAAACUCAUUAACCUUGAGAUGCGAGUAAAGGCUAUUGAAGUUAAGGAAUGGGUAAAUGACGGAUCAGAAGUCAACAUCCUCUUUAAGGGUGUAGCUAAGAGGAUCGGCAUUCUUGGCAACAUUAACGAGGGUAAGACCAUCUUCCAAACCCUUAACGAAGCCACUGUCCAGUCGUUGGGAACGGUAAAACUAACAGUUCAAGCAGAAUCACAGUCACCUGGUGACCUUUCAUAUUAUGGUCUGCCUAAUCUUUACAAUGCCAUUCUCAGCCGAAACUGGUUGCACGAGAUGAAAGUUGCUCCAUCAACCUACCACCAGCUGCUUCGCUACCCCAUAGUGGAUGGAGUUUAUAGAGGGCGGAAUGUUUGAGAAGGCAAGGAAGCUGACAGAUACCAAAACCUUUUAACUCUGAAAUGGGGGCAGGAAGAACAUACAAAAACAAGAUAAGAGCUGGAGCCCAUCCCAGACACAAUACGACAGUUUUCCAUCCUUUAUCCGAUCAAUACACUAAGACAAGUGGAAAGCAAAAGAUUUUCCAUGGGUUUAAUACCUAGUACCAAAAUAAGGUGGUACUUCGGCUAUUGUGAUGGGAAUCUUUAUGAACGCAAAGUUUGGAAGGUAAUGUUUGUCCGAAUCAACAUUACCAGGGGGCUUCGAGCUUUGUGUUCUGCUUUAUUACUCAUUACUUCGAAGUUAACGUACUUCGGAAAAAUUGUCGGAUUAAAUCAUAUUCUACAAUUUUAAAGCAAAGGAUGGAAAGUCUCCCAAGCACUUAGUAACUUGGGUAAGAGCUAUUUAGACACAGGCAUAAAUGUCAUCCAAAACACCAUGCAUUCACAAGUAAAUUGCAACAAAAUAAGAUAUCCCAGAGUACCAUCACUAGGGAAAGGAUGUUCAAGUUAUAGAAAGGACAUGCCCUCAUCCUAGCAAAUAACAAAUUAACGCAAAACAUUGCCAACAACCUUUUUUGGCAACAACUUCCCUUUUGGCAGUAGUUAAAGGAUAUGCAAAAGUAUUGGCUGAUGGAUCACCACUGGAAGCAUAUCCUCUUAUUCGAAUGCCUCAAAGUCAGAAAUUUCACUCAGUAAAUCUUUAAGAGCAGCAAAAUCAGCAUCCCGGAUUUCUUUCAGAAUCUGGUAGUUGUCCCAACCUCCCAAAUGAUCUUGCUACGUGUAGCCAAAGAUAUACCCAAAGUUGUACCCCUCCGCAUAUUCUUUUGCGAGCACUUUCUUGUGAGAUGCACGCAGGCCCAUUAUUUCUGACUCAUGCUCAUCCUUGAGUUGUUGAAGAUCUGCAAGGUGAAUCAUCUCACGGAAAAGUCUUUCCACCUCUGAUUGGAGACUAGUCCACUCCCCUUCUUAAGCAUUCCGUUUCGAAGACAACGUUCGCAUUGAUUAGGCUUCAAGGCGCACCAAAGUUUGCUCCGCCUCAACUUUGGCUCCAACUUUUCCUGCAGUUCAGCAAGAGUUGCCUUGUAUUCAUUCGCUUUAACAUAUUCAAGAGUGGCUUCAUUUAAGAAUUUCUCUACCUCUACCUUAUGGGCUACUCUCAUAGUUUAUUGCUCUACUUGUACCCUCCUGAGCUCCGCCAAUUGAGCUUGCAAUUGUUGCUCGAGCUGCAUUUGGCCUCUAAUUCGUGCAAGAAAGACCGCUCAAGAAGAAAAAUUCACUUCGCUUGGUCGAAAAGAGUCGCCUUUGUUCAGACAUCAGCCUGACCAACACAAGUAAGGGAAAGGAAAAACAAAAUUACUAAAGUUAUUUUGUAAGAAAAGAAUGAAUGAUUACCUCAUAUCGACUUUCGUGACAUUGCAUCAUGGCAUCUUCAAAGGACGUGCGAGCUUCCUUGUAGUUUGCAGAAAAAAACUGCAGAGCCAAGAAGAGCUCAGGUAAAGUCUGCGUUUUGAAGUCUAUUAGUGUCCAUUAAGAAGGCAACGUGAUUUAUUGAAGGCUUAAUGACAAUCGAGGGCAGCACGCCCCCUUCAAUUCUGGUUAAAGUCGCCAGCAAGGGAAUGUUAGCUUCGAAAGGCACCUUGACAGGUUCGGGUAAACUCCUUGUCGCUGGAGGUGUCAGAACUGGGAUAUAAAAAGGUUUAAGGACUCGAACAUCAUUCAAAAGUGGAGGCAAGCUUGGAUUCAGGUGGUUGUUGUUGCGUUAGUUCUUGAGAUGGAAGGAAGAAAGGUUGAGAUUCUCUUAUGAGAGGAUGCGGAGCAGAAGUAUCUGGAGUUAUAUUUAUUGAAACAGUAUGACUUCUCUUUCUCCUCACAGUGGAAUUUCUUCCUUUUCUUUGGGAUUCUCUGGUACCACCUCUAUUUUUGGUAGUUCCCCUUCUUUGGGAUUCUCGGGUACCACCUCUAUUUUUGGUAGACGUAUUUGAAAAGGUGUAGCUAAUGACAUUGAGGAAGUUUUGCUGGACCAUUUUCACUUUUUUUUUGCUGGAGUGGGAGAAAUUUUGGGUUUAGGAUGAUGGGCCCCCUUAUAAACCUGUUUCACUUCGAUCCAAUUAGGAUUCAGAAUAGGGAAAAUAGAGCAAUGAUUGAUGACUAUAUUAUUCCCCUAAUCUCAAAAUCGAACUGGGGAAGUCAUCCAAUUCCAAUUAUGGUGCUUAAUAAGGAUUUGCAUUGCCUGAUUGAUCAACUCUGGUCAACACGCGCCAAUAUUCUUUAGGUCAUUGUUCAGACAAGGGUUGCGAGAAGUGAUGUUUUUAACUCUAACCCCUAAGAUGUCACCCUCUCAAUCACCAUCGACUACCCAGACAUCCUUGAACCAAUCUUUAUCUUGCCAAGGAAAAUCUAGGAUAUAUGGCGUUCAUAAUAGGCUGGGUUUUGGCAUGAAAUAGUAAAGGUCGUCAGAGGUUCUUCGCACGUUGUACAUCAUCCUGAAUUCUUGGAGCCCGAGAUCAGACCUUUACCAAUGAUUAGACAAAGCACGUGAUAAGUUUGAAGGCAGCUAGGGCCAAGUCACAUAUAGCAACGUCAUAACUGAUCAGAAUACCUUUUACAAGAUUAGACAAAGGGAAUCUUAGGCCUAGGGAUUAGACGAAGCAGGAAGAUCGACUUGAACAUUUUGCUCAGGUUCCCACCAAACCCUACAUUGGUUUAAUAGGUCUUGAUGGCUUUGAAUGAGGGCCUUGCCUUCUUCUUGACUACAUAAACUCAUCAAUGGAAGAUUGUACGGAAAGUUCUUUGAUGAUUUUGAAGUUUUGCUCGAAGAAACAGCCAUUAGAGAAGACUGAAAGGAUUUAAAAAUUUGAAUGUGUGGGUGAAAAAGUUGAAACCUUUUUCCUUGACUGAUUUGAGGAUUUUUUGAAAGAUGAAAGGAAAGAGCUUGAGGUUAUAUAGGUGGAAUGUUGCGAAGUAGUCCAGCCGUUAAAUGAAGUCCCACCUCUCUAGGGAUUAAUAAAUUCGACAAGUAUUUUUGACAUAAAUUUCUCCUUUUUCAUGCAUAUGCAACAAAGAUAAACUUCAUCAUUGGGACCUUUGGUGCGUUUGGUACGUGGGACGGGACGGGACGGAACGGGACGAGGCGUUCCGUCCCGCGUUUGGUGCGCCAAAAAUGGGUGGAACGGGUUGUUCCACAGGACAGAUUUUGGGUGUUUUUGCGUCCCACCUCCCCCCCUGGAACGGGUUUGUUCCACGUAUGUGGAACGCAAUGUUUUACCAUUUUAAGACAAAUAUACCCCAUGUCUUUUUCAAAAAUUACACCUUCAUUCCGUCCCGUUCCGUUUCGUCCCGUCCCGUUCCGUCCCGUCCCGUCCCGUCCCGUCCCGUUCCGUUCCGUCUGCGUACCAAACGCACCCUUAUGGCACAAUACUCGAGACAACACAUCUCAAUUUGGAAUGUCUCGUCGACUCUAUAAAAAGGGAUCACCUAAUGAAGAUUGAAGGCUAAACAAUCCGUAUUCCAGCUUACUUUGAAAGGCAUGGUCUUGGUCUUUGAAUAACUAUCCAUCCUCAAGGGGAACAAGUUCCUUUUAGAUACAUAUAGUUAGGGGCAAUUGGGGGACCAUGAUUUGCCAGAGCCGAAGUCGGGCUAAUCAAAAUAAAGUUACCUCAAAAGUUCGGUUAUGGUCUUAACAUGUCAAAGCGGAGCUAGAUUAACCGAGCUGUGGUGCCACCAACAUCCUGUUCCGGAGCAGUGUCCAAAGUCCAAACGAUUUCACUGAGAAUGACCAUACUUGUUCCGCAAGACACUGGGAUAUGAUCUGGUAUGGAAUCAACCAAAUCUUCUAUAUGUCUUGGAGUUCAUACAAUCUAGGAAUUGGUAUGCACCACAAGUAAUCACACUCCUAAAGAGGAUGCAAUAUCUACUUCUAGAUAUCCUCUAGGAUUCUCCCAGCUUGACACAAGGAUUCUAUCCUAAAAAUGUCUCUCUCAUGACUGGUAUAAAUAUACCCUUCUAGAGUUCGUUUCUAGCAACACAGUCGUCGCACUCUAAUUCUCUUGGCCACUGAUUGAGUCUUAUACUUGCUUACUAACUUGAUCGCCGAAAAGCCUUUGGCCGGCACACAUUCCCCCUGGGCAGUUUUAGGCUUGCUCACGAUUGUUUGUUAUUUUACAGGUUGCUCGGAUUUGUGCUUCACCAUAUGCGAUGGUGUGCGAAUUUGGUUCAAGCAACCGUGUUGACAAAAAAAGUCAACAUAGGUUCAAGAACUGGACCGAACCAUUCAGACCGUCCUGACAUAAUCGCUCCAAACUAAACCGAACUAAACCGUGACUAUAAAAAAUUUGUAAAAAUAAAAAUAACACAAUUGGCAACCUGAUUCUGACUACAACUCUAAAAUCAUCCUCCAGUGAUCGGUGUAUGUACUUUUGGAAAUUGAAUGCAUUGUUGUUAAGGCAGAUGAGUCUACAAAAUUUGUGAAAACAUAUUUUAGAUAUAAACUACUGAAAUGUGAGAAAUAAGAACCAAAUAACAGUGAAAUGAAUGAUAUAAGACUUAUAUUUCCGAACAACAAUGCAUUCGAUUUCCAAAAGUACAUUCAACGACCACUGGAUGAUGAUUUUAGAGUUGUAGUCGGAAUCAUCCUCCAUUGAUUUGAUAUAAAAACAUAUUUGAUGGGAUUUAGUAGCAAAUGUUGGAUUGUAGAAUCUAAAAACGGAUUGAGAGGCUAAAGUGUAAUUCGGAUAUUAGUACUACAGCCUAGUAGCGUACUUGUAAGUGAGAGAUCUUAGGUUUGUAUUUCAGGAAUAAGGAGUUCAUAGCGAAUUUAUUCCAUAUAUAAUUGUGCAUAUAAAAUAAUGUAAUUCGAAAAUUAAUUUAGUGACCAUGCUACAAUUAAUUAUAUCAUCAAUUUUGGAAUCCCUUUCUUGGCUUAUGUCAAAAUUCAAACAAAUUUAAACCUGUUGUAGGCCUAUUUAACUAAACUACACUAAGGUGUAGAGAGAGAGGGGGCUGGCAGUAGCAAGAGAGAGAGGAGAGAUUUAAUUGUGAGAUGUGUAUUGUAUCACCCCAUUGUGCCUUUAUUUAUAGUAGUAGGAUAGGUAAAAACUUUACCUUACUAGGAUUACAAUUUUUAUUAAGUAAUCAACUCCUAAUAGGAAUACAAGAGAUAUUCCUAGAUUCACUAGGAUUUACAAAAUCACAUUCUUAUUCUAAAUAUGACUGCAACACUCCCCCUUGAGUGUGUAAAUACUCAACAAGCCGUCGCAUCAGAUCUUCAGCAGAUAAGGUAGAAUAGUUGAUGAAGUCAGUGGCACAAUGGGUGAACGCAACUCUCAAAUUUAAGAAAGUAUCCAUUGGUAGUAAAACUCAUAAAACCUCGCUAUAGUAAAACUCAACAUGGGAGAAAAACUCAUAGACUAAGGAGAAAAGUGAGAAGUAUGCAUAAUGUCUAAAACAAACGUCACACAAGAUGAAAUUAGUGAACUCAACGGAGUAUGAUCAUCCCAGGAUAGGUGCCUCAUCAAAAUCUUGUUAGGUAGCAAUAACCCAGUAGGAAAAUGCUCUUAAUCAUAGGAAAAAGAGUUCAUUAAGGUCAAGUGAGUAUGCUUCUGGAUACUCCCCCUGAGUUAGACAUAACUUCUAAAUAAGAAAACUACAAGUGAUUCAACUCAGAUAAUUUAAGCAUAUCGAUUCCUUGGACGAGCUUCUGAAAAGUAGACUUAGGUAAUGACUUGGUGAAGAGAUCAGCCAGGUUGUCCUGGGAACGGAUUUGCUUGACUUUAAUGUUCUGAUGUUGCUGCUGCUAAUAAGAGUAGAAGAAUUUCGACACUAUGUGCUUGGUGUUGUCUCCCUUGAUGUAUCAAUUUUUAACUGCUCGAUACAUGUUGCAUUGUCUUCAAAGAUCAUCGUAGGAAGGUCAACGACGGAAGUAAAACCUCUAGAGCUUCGAAUAUGUUGCAUGGCUGCUCUCAACCAAAAGCACUCACACGAUGCUUCAUGCAGGGCGAGGAUCUCAGCAUGGUUCGAAGAAGUCGCAACUAGCGUUUGCUUGGUAGACCUCCAAGAUAUAGCGGUGUCUCCAACGGUAAAGACAUAAUUGGGAACGUGUCCUAUAUAGGUCAGACAGAUAUCCAGCAUCUGCAUAACCAACAAAGCAAGAAUCAAUCCAAGAACUGAUAGGGGCUGCAACACUCGAAGAUUCGGGGGUAUAAAACAAGCCCAAAUCCAUCGUACCCUUGAGGUAGCAAAAAAUGUCUUUAACAAUAUUCCAGUGCUUGCAUGUGUACGCAUUACCGUAUCUUGCCAAACGAUUAACAACAAAGGAAAUGUCAGGUCUAGUGCAUUAAGCCAAGUACAAUAUAGCCCCAAUUGCACUUAGGUAUUGAACUUCGAGUUCCAAAAUCUCUUCCUCAUCCUCCUUUGUAUGGAAGGGAUCUGGUUUAACAUCUAGAGUCCGAACGACCAUAGGUGUACUCGAAGGCUUUAUCCUAACAUCGCAACACCUUCUGGGUAUAGUUUGGUUGAUGUAUUAGGAUUCCAUCUGAACAAUGCUCGAUCUCCAGGCCGAGGCGAUAUCGAGUUUUCCAAAGAUCUUUCAUCUCAAAUUCCGAUUUCAAGUGUGUAGCAAUUUCUUCAAGCUCUGUGAGAGUUCCAAUGAGGUUCAUGUCAUCGAUAUAAACUGCAACGAUUGCAAAUCUAGAAUGUGGUUUCUUUAUGAACAUGCAUGGGCAUAAUUCGUUGUUCACAUAACCCUGACUUAUCAAAUAUUCACUCAGACAGUUAUACCACAUCCGCCCGGAUUGUUUUUGAAUCCUUAGAGUGACAUCCUCAUUCUAAUAGAGAAAGUGUUCCGUGGUUUAGAACUAUUUGAACCAGUCAAUGGAAGUCCUUCUAGAACUUUCAUGUAUAUUUCUGUAUCUAAAUCCCCAUAGGAUACGCGGUUACCACGUUCAUAAGCUGCAUAUUCAGCUUUUCAGAAACUACCAAACUGAUAAGGUAGCGGAACAUUAUGACGUCUAUUACGGGGGAAUACGCCUCCUUGUAAUCAAUCCUAGGGCAUUGAGAGAAGCUUUGCUCUACGAGGCAUGCUUUGUAUCGCACUAUUUCAUUCUGCUCAUUACGCUUCCUCACGAAAACCCACUUGUAGCCAACGAGCUUCACAUGUGGAGGAGUAGGAGCUACGAGCCCAAACACCUUAUGUUUUGCAAGUGAAUCAAGUUUGACCUAGAUUGCUUGUUUCCAGUUUGACAAAUUUGUUCUACAUCGGCAUUCAUCAACAGAACGUGGUUGCAUGUCAUCACUAAGCAUGAUGUCAGUAGCUACUAAGUACGCGAAUGCAUCGUCGAUGAUCAUCUCAUUCUUAUUCCAAACCUCAUCCAAUACUGCGUGGUGGACCAAAAUCUCACGAUUCUCAAGAAACCAGUUUAUCUCAUCUAAGACAUCACCGUAAUCUAGAAUAACCUUCAUGCGUUGGAACGGAUGAGUGAGUGAUGGUCAGAUUCAAACUGGGGUCACUAGUUGGUGCUGAUUUCCUCUUUCGGGUUUGUGAAUCCUUUGAACCAAGGGGUCUACCACGCUUCAGGAUUGGAGCAUAUGAUUGGCUAGCUGCCAAUGUACUAGGCCACGUGGAAGGUACAGCCUCCCCACCAUCGGGGACGGUCCGGCCUUCCCAGGCAGGAUAGUGACGUAUAUGGGAUACGUAUAUCCUUGCAGGUGCGUUUGCAGCGGGUAUAUGUGAUAUUGUCACCUUUGCUAGAUUGGUAAAAGCAUCUAGUAUGCUCUAAGCAAUGCUCUGAAGAUCUAUAAUUUGGCGCACCUCAGUUUCAAACUGAGCAGUGCGGGGUUCUAAAUAAGACAUAGUGGGAGCAUACCAUGACAAUUCGUGGCAUUCUCCAGGAACAUUAGCAUGUUUAUCUCCUCCUAACGACAGGAAAACUGUCUCAUCAAAGUGACAAUUUGCAAAAUGUGCAGUAAAGAGUUCUUCUGUUAAGGGUUCUAAAUAGUGAACAAUUGAUGGCGAAUCAUAAUCGACAUAGAUUCUCAUUUUUCUCUGAGGACCCAUUUUGGUACGUAGUGGCGGCGUUAUUGGCACAUAAAUAGCGCACCCAAACACCCGUAAAUGAGAGACGUCAGGCUCGUAUCCAAUGACCAACUGUAAUGGUGAAUGUGGUUGGGUAGCGGUGGGCCUCAGGCGGACCAACAUAGCUGCGUGCAAUAUUGCAUAGCCCUUGGCAGAUACCGAUAGUUUGAUUCACAUAACCAAAGUCUGAACUAUUAACUGAAGGUGCUUUAUGAAAGCAUUUGCCAGGUCGUUUUGGGUGUGAACAUAGGGUACAUGAUGUUCCACAUCAAUCCCUACUAACAUGCAAUAAUCGUCAAAAGUUUGUGAUGUAAACUUUCCAGCAUUAUCCAGUCGAAUCGACUUAAUCAGAUAAUUAGGAUGGUAAGUGUGAAAUCCCGUUCCUGGAUUUCACUGUUAUCACCUACAUAUUUGUAUUAUUGAGAUUUUAUAUUAUUUCUCGAUAAUUUAUUUUAAUUUGUUGAAUUUAAAUUUUAAUUAAAUUAGUUAUUAACGUUUGAAGUUUGGGGCAUUUUAAAAAUAAAUAGAAAAAUCUAGAAUUCUCUUAUCAAAUAUGGUGUGCCACAUGGGUGGCCCAGAUUUAAUGAAAAGGAAAAUGGAUGGUGGAGAUGCAAAGGAAAGGACUUGAGAGAGGAGUGGAGAGCAUGGGCACUGCCCAAUUAGAAAUUAAGAAAAGAGGGAAAUGAGAGAAGAAAAAAAUGAGGGAAGAAAAGGAAGAAACGGGUUUGUACGACCCGUGGGUAUUGCCGGCCACCCAUCUCCAUUUUCCGACGAAUUUCUUCAAACAACCACUUGGAAACACUCUCUUGACCUUCCCUCUACAUGUUUCACCCUAAAAAUCAAAGGUUUUGGACUUGAAUUAGGGAGAAACCGCAUUAAGGGUGCGGCGGGUGUGUGUGUCAAAUCUCCCAAAUCCCAAAUGUUUACACACAAUGACCAAUCAAAAGACUUCCCUUAAGCCCCUGAACAAAGCCCAGGCAGUGGUGGAGGCGUCGGAGCAAGUUUGGAGGUCGAAUUGGAGCACACCCAAUUCUAGGGUUCUUACGGGUUUUAGAGAAAUUGGAGCACUUCUUGAUAAAAUUGGCCUUGGUCACAGGUAUAAAUUUUACUCUACUCAUUGAGAUCUUCAUUUCUGUAAUUUUUGGUAAUUUUUAAAAAUAGUUGAAUUUUCCGGCAAAUCGGGGCGGCCGACCGCCACCCGCGGCGGCGACCCGGCCAGCAGGCCGACGAUGUCCUUUUAAGUUCAAUUAGAUGCCUUGAUUUCAUAACUGACAUCCUUAUGAUAUAGUUUGAUUGUUUGAACCUAAUUUCAUUACGAUAUGUGGUUAGGUCAAAAUGUGAUUCGACGAUCCGACCGUUGGAUCGUCAGCAAACUUUAAUGCGUCAUAGAAUGUAAUAUUUGAGGAUGGUUUGAAUUGAUGGAUUGGGAAUCCGAUGUACUGAUCUUCCUAAUUUGGAUUUCUAAGUUUGUAAAAUCAAACGUUGGUCGCCACUUGAAAUUGUAAUUAGCGGGGAUCCGACCGUCGGAUCAUGAUAAAAUUUUGGUAGGUUGUUUUAGAAGUAUAAUGUGGACUUUAGAAGGUUACGGAUCUGAAAUCCAAUGUGCGGAUCUUCCAUAUUGAAUUGUGUAGAAUUGUGGAUCCUACCUUUGACCGAGAGUUGACUUUUUGUCAACAUGUCUCCAAACGUUCUUAAUGCUAAAUUUAGUACUACGAGAGACUUAAGUGAAGUCUAGUGGACCUCCAUUGGUCGGAGAGUGACUUGAAUAUUUGUGAUACGGUUAUUACUUUAAUCAUUUAUGUUAAAAUCAUUUAUGAAUAUGAAUUCGUCUUAUAAAUAUGAUUUCUAUUGAAAUGUGAUUUUCAUAUAUUUAGCCAUAGACUUAUGUUUAUUAAACAUGAUGUGGCUUGUGUACUGAUGAUAAUGGUGAAUAUGUGUGUUUAAUUAUUUCUAGUAAUGCAAAGGAUAAGUAUGAUAGAUUUUAUGGCAAUGUGAUCUUAGAAUCCUAUUAGAAGUAUUUUGUAGAACUUAUAUGCUUGUGAGACCUAUUAGGUGGUGGUCAUGAGAAGUGGAUAUGGUAGGUGACUACGUUGUAAGUAUAGAGGGGAUGAGGGUUAGAUAUACUUGGUACAUUCAGUGGGUACCAUAUCCACAUGGAUUCCGUUGAGUGAUGUUCCGGAAUCAUAUCGUUGUUUGGAUUCUGUUGAUGAUGUUCCGGAAUCGUAUCGUUGUUUGGAUUCCGUUGAGUGAUGUUUCAAAAUCGCAUCGUUGGUUGGAUUUCGUUGAGUGAUGUUCCGGAAUCGUAUAGUUGUUUGGAUUUCGUUGAGUGAUGUUCCGGAAUCUUUGGAUUCCGUUGAGUGAUGUUCCGAAAUCGCAUCGUUGGUUGGAUUCCGUUGAGUGAUGUUCCGGAAUCGUAUCGUUGGUUGGAUUCCUUUGAGUGAUGUUCCGGAAUCGUAACUUUAAUAUGUGUGAUAUUGGUGAUUACCUAUGUUUCAUAAUUAUGACCCUCUGCAGAUAUAAAUUGGUUUUAUGAAUAUGUUUUCUAUUGAAUUGUCAUUUCCAAUACUUAGACAUCGAUUCAUGUUAUGAAAUGGGGUUUGGCGUGUAUAUUUGAAUUAUGGUUUGAUUUGUAUGAUUGGCAUGUUGUGACGAAAUGUGAGGACUAGUAAUGGACUGUUAACCAUUGUGAUGGAGAUUGGUUGCUUCGAUAUUGUUUGAUUUUCCGCUUUGUUGAUCAGUUCUAAAUUUGGUACUUGUGCUUAAUUUCCCUUUGUUGAGCUUUUGUAAAUUAAGUAACUUGUGUUUGUCUCAGUUAUUUGAGACGUCGUACAUUAUGGUUGUUAGCCUUUCGUGAUUCCGUUGAGUGAUGAUCCGGGAUCGUAUUCACCUUGGGUUUUAUUGAGUUUAGAUUGUCAUAACUUCAUAGAUGUAGGCUUCAGUCGAACUGUGUCGCUCUAGCUCAGCAUUCCGAUGAAUUGUAUGUGUUAUUGAUGAUAUGGUUAUUGGCAUUAUUGAUUGAUGUGAUAAUUGGAUGGUGUUGGAAUGCAUAUGUGAGGGUGAAUGACAUUAUGACUAGAGAUUAUUAUUGUGCUUAUUUAAAUGUUCCUUGAGGUGCCACAUAAUUGAAUUGUGGUAUUAUGUUGAGACCUAGUAGUCUAUGUGAUAAAUGUUCGAGAGUAAUGAAAUGGUGAACUACGAAUGGCUUGAUCCCUAUUGAGGGUACGUAGGCAGUCUAAUGAGAAUGUUAGAUGCAGCCAUAAAGCUAGAAAAGAAAAAAAAUUAUUGUGAAAUUUGGACCUUGAGUGGCCUUCUUUCAUAUCCUGGAGGCAGGGUAUGUUAGAAGUUCGAGUUUUCAGUAACAUCACGUGUCGAUCCUGGGCGUAGGUCAGGAUCGGGGCGUGACAGUAAGCCCUUACCUUAAUAAUUUGUGCUAGGUGUUUAGCAAAUGCAGCAUUGCGUGUGGACAAUAGGCAAACAUGUGACCAUCGUGUCGAUGCAUCAACCAACACCAUAAAAUAUCGAAAUGGUCCGCAUGUUGGUUGGAUAGGUCCACAAAUAUCCCCUUGAAUCAUCUGAAGAAACUUAGGAGGGGGUCAUGAAGAAACAUAAGGAGGUAACUGAUGCCCAUGUGAUGAUUUGAGGAUACAACGCAUCAUGUCAUGUCCAGGAUGUACUAAACUAUCAUGCCAAAGUAGCAAAAUGUUCUGGAACUCAGGCAUAGGGUCGGCCAUAUGAUGAGCUUCUAUGCCACGAAUGGUUGUGAUGUACAACCCAUUCGGGAGACGUUCCAACUUCUCAUGAAUACGUUUUUGGGCCAUAUUCGUAAGAAGUGAUACAAAGAAAUUCAGAAUCAUUAUCUUCAGUGGUUUCAAUAUGAUAUUGAUUAUCUCAAAUAUCUCUAAAGCUUAGCAACGUUCUUCCGAAACAUGGAGAAUAAAGUGCCUCCUUAAUGGUUAAGAUUGUACCAUUGGACAACAUGAUACAGGCUUUUCUGUAUCCUUCAAUCAGGUUGGAUGGGCCUGAUAGAGUUGUCAUCAGAGCAUUCUUGGGUAUUAAGUUAGUAAAUAAUGUCACUCACGCAAGAUGGUGUGCAUGUUAGCAUUAUCAGCCAGACAAUUAACUUCCCCACUAGACAUACCUAGAAAGAAUUUAAUUGAAUUGGUCACAUGUAUAAAUGUAAGUCCAUUCAUUAAAAUAAGCAAUUCGAGAAAAUAAUAUCCAUCAAAUAACAAUCCAUAAUUCAAAACAAACCAAAACCAAACAAAUUAUUCCAAAUACUUAGAAAAAUUGUUCAAAAUUAAACCAUGAACCUAGAAAAAUAGGGGGGAGGGUUCGGCCACUCCUAGUGAGUUUGGCCACUAGGGGUAAAACACCCUAAAACAUGUCUAAAAUUCAUUCUUCCAUCGGAGCUGAUGCCUCCUGAAAAUCCAAUAUCUCCAUUGAUGUAAUAGUAUCUUCCGAAUGUUCCACAUAUGCAAAGUUAGACUCACGACGGGAAUGAUACUUGGCAAUAGCCUUGGGGGUAGCUCGGCAUACGCAUGACCAAUGAUCCUUUGGUCCACAGCGGUAGCACAUGUCCAUUUCAGUGGAAGCAGACUGAACGGGAGCUUUGCCCUUGUUCUUGAAGUUUGGGGCCUUAGGGGCAACAGGUGGAUGCUGCUAGGUCGGAUUUCCUCCCUUAGGGCCGACACUCUAUUGACUUUAGGCCCGUUGUUGGGCUUACCGCCUAUUAUCAUAGCCACGACAAUUCUUUCGUCGUUUGUGGCUGCUAGAAUUUCUCGUAUGUACUUCAAGCGAGGUGUUUAAGCUAGUCGGUCAGGCUUGAUGAUUCUUCAUCAAAAGUUGGUUCUACUUUCAACAAGAAGUAGUACAGAGAUCAAAUCCAAAAAUUUGGUGAAUUUAUGUGCCCUAUAUUGUUACUGCAGGACAAUAUUGGUUGCAUGGAAGGUCGAAUAGGUCUUCUCUAUAAGAGAUCUGAUUCGAUUAGUUCCACUUUACAGAACUUUAGAAGUGAUCGGAUUCUACAAACUUCAUAGUUGUUUCAUUCAUGGACUUAAAGUCUUGGAAGCAAAGAUGUCGCCAAACGUGUCUUGCUUCAGGCAAGUAGAGGUCUUUCUAGUGAUCAAAACGGUUGGCCAGAACAAGCUAGAAGGUGUGUGGGUCCUCCUUAAUGAGGUACUCGGUCUACAGUGCAUCAUGGAUGUGUCUUCGAAUGAAGAUCAUUGCAGUAGCUUUUUCAUCUUUGUCGAUGGGUUCAUCAUCAAUUGGUUCCUCGAUAGCGGCUCGAAAACUCUUUGCAGUUAGAUGGAGCUUCACAUCUUGAACCCACCUCAGGUAGUUUCUUCCAGAUACUUCCAGAGCGGUGAAAUCAAGCUUUUUUAAGUUCGACAUGUCCCUAAAACAAAGGGUACAGAAAAAACGUGAUUAGUCAUAUGGUGAUCCAUAGACAUAUAUCGUAGAACAUUCAGGUUCUAUAGACAUGUAUUGGUUUAAUUUAUGCAUGAAAGUUAUAGGUUUCAUGUGGUAAGUUUUGAAUGAAAACUUCAGGUUUCAAAGGCACUAAAUAUGAAACUACAGGUUCAAUUUAGUUUUAUGAACGAUUAGUUCAUGAGUGAAAGGUUUCUGCAAGAAACACAGAAUGCAAUAUGUUGAUUUAAGUAUAGUGGAUUUGAGUUUCUUCGGGAACUCAAGUGUGAGAGCUUCGUUACUACGAAAGUAUGCCAACGGUUCAAAGUAUAAAAAUAAAUUAUUAAAUUGUUAAUGUCCAAAAGUGAUCUUUAGGUCAAUAAUUUUGGAUUCAUUAUCAUAUUAAUGGACUGCAUGUCACUUUUAAUUAAUGCAAUAGAUCGGGACUAAACGGGGUCGAUCGUGGACGCAAAAUUAUUUGGGAAAAUGCCUUGCAGGUUCGGCUGCAAGCAUGUUGGGCCUCGAUGAGGCCAACAAGCCUCAGGCUGAAAGGCUUUGGGGAGCCCAAUAGCCAAGGCUGUUGGCUUUAGGUCGAAAAACAUAGCCCAAAAAUUUGGGCUUGGGUUGGCUGCAGAAGGGCAACCCACUGGUGGCUGUAGGCCACGAGCCGAGAGGGGACACAGGUGCAGGCCUAGCGGAUUGCUGGCCUUGGGUUCAAGUAGGGAACCCAGUCGAGGCUGGGUCCGGGUAGGGGCAAGCUUCAACCCAGUGCACAAGGCUGCGGGAAGCGGGGCAGGGCUCAGGACAAAGCCUAGCAGCCUUUUGCUGCUUGCAGUUUUGGGCUGAGAAUAGAGGGAAAAAUCCAGGGAAGGCUACAAGCUUCCGUUUGGAGGUAGGUUAGGCAUAAGGCCCGAGUUAAGCUAGCCAGGCUGAGGCCUGGUGUGUCCAUGUGCUCGCAACAAAGCCUAGAGGGCUGCUGCCAAGGUCCAAACGUCAAAACGACGUCAUCCUGGUGGCGUGCUCCACACGGCUGAGCUUCAGGUCAAUGGUGGUAGUGUGGCGGAGCCACGGUGGUAGUGUGGCGGCUGUGCCGCAUGUUCCCAAUAUAUAUUUUUUUACAUCCAUAAGGUUUGAAAAACCCUAUAUUGCUUCUAAUUUAUUUAUAUAUUUUGACUCACAAUUCCACAUUGCAAUUUAAUUGGUUAAUGCAUGAAACAUAUAUAUAUGUAUAUUGAAAAAAAUAUGAAACAUAUACAAUAUAUAUAUAUAUAUAUAUAUAUAUAUCGGAAGGAAAAUAUAACCAUAGAGGGGUUCAUACAUCAUGGGGAGUGUUUUCAUGCAUCGUGGACGUUUCAAAUAUCUUCCUUUAUUUUAAGCAUACCUGAUUUGCAGAAAACUAAUAAGAGCCUUUGAAUUUUGUGGAAGAUAGCCUUCUCCUACAAUCCGUCAGUUCCUCAGCUUCUGGCAAGAGCUUGUUGAUAACGUGUUGUAGGUCUAUUUAACUGAACUAUACUAAGGGGUAGAGAGAGAGGGGCUGGCGGUAGCGAGAGAAAGAUGAGAGAUUUAAUUGUGAGGUGUGUGUUGUAUCACCUCAUUGUGGCUUUAUUUAUAGUAGUAGGAUAGGUAAAAACCUUACCCUAUUAAGAUUACAACUCUUAAUAAGUAAUCAACUCCUAAUAAGAAUACAAGAAAUAUUCCUAGAUUCACUAGGAUUUACACAAUCACAUUCCUAGCUAUUCUAAAUAUGACUAUAAACACGGAAAUUCCUGAGAUGAAUGAGACAAGAACACGUGUAUAAAAUAAUAUUUUUGUAUUAAUGAUUUUGGGGUUACAAUCUCUCAGAUUUAAUCCUCUGAUUCGAUCUCUAUAAGGUGUUGAUUUGUGGAUGGGCUGCUGAUCCAAAGGGUCAUCGGGGCUUGAUCUUUAGGAUGAGCAGUGGUGUAUGGAUCUUCAAGGGCUUUUGUGCUUGAUCUUGAAGAACAGUGGUUGAAUUUAUUAAUGUUGUUGAUCCAAAGGGCCGUCAAGGGCUUGAUCUUAGGAUGAACGGUGAUGAACGAUGAACACUUUCUUCAAGGGCAGUCGGGGUUGGAUCUUAAAUUGGUGGAAGUUCUUCAAGGGUCAUUGGGGCUUGAUCUUGAAGGAGGAUUUGACGAAGAAUGGAGAGAGCUUUCUUGAUCCUUCGGGAUUUGCUUGGAAGAUUUGGAGUUUCAAAGCUUCAAGGUUUUGGUGUGAUGUGAAUUGGUUAUGAAUUGGUCUCUAAAAUGAAUGCCUUGGCUUCCUAUUUAUAGAAUUCCAAAACUUUAAUUUUUGGAUUUAAAUGAUCAUUUGAAAUAAAUCAUUUCUGCCAAAUGUUGACACAUGUCAUGUUUGAUGACUUUUCUGAUGAUUCUUGAUUUUUCGUUAAGUCACAUGCUAUGUGUAAAAUUUAUGUGACACGUGAACGUUGAAAUUUUAAUUAUUGAUCAACAUUUAUUUCACCGAAAUUUCGAUGUUUACGAUGACUACAGCAAAACCCUCAUUUUUUCAGAUUUUGGAAAGAAUGGCGUCAUUGAAUUCAAUAUCGUGAUAUGGGAGAUUGAGUAAGCUAAAUUUGGAGUAUUUUAAUGUCACACUAAAUAUGGCACCGACAAUAGACGUAAGCCAAAGUCAUAGGUUUAAUGCAGACAAAAGUGAAUACUAAAUACUAUAUACUGGAUACUGAAUGGAGGGUGGCUUUAAAGCUUUCGGCGUACCAAAUUAUGAUACUAAUUGACUUGAUUCCUUCACAUGGUAUAUAGGCAAUCUAGCUCGAAUGUUGGAUGUAACCAUAAGAUUGAAUAAAUUAAUAUUUUAUCAUGUUCCGAAGUUCAGCACAUGACAUUAUUGUGAGGUCUAGGUAUAGUCCUUAGAGUGAUAAAAACAAGGCUCCUCCAAGGAGGGCUAGUUGGAGGUGUGAAUUGACAUUUACUUCACACUCAUAGGAAAUCAGUCCAAGAACGAAAGCUUUCUUUCCAGUUGCUAUCCAAAAUUUUGGAAUUAUAUGUGUUGUCCAAAGGAUUAUUCUUCUUUUAUUAAAUUUCUAAGGAAAAUGAGCAAGAGGCGUAAAAGUUGAACGAAUGAAAUUUCAACAAUCUGGAAAGGGAUUGUGAGUUUGCCACACCAUUUUUCUUUCUUUUAUGCCUUCAUGUUUAUUAGAAGACAAAAAUAAAUGACUUUACAUUGGAGAAAAAAAAAAGUAUUUUCCUUUGAAAAAAAAAUCAACUAUUUAUUUAAGAGGAUGUGAAUGAUUGAUGCAUAAUGUGAAUACAAAGAACGACCUUAGAGGGAGACGAGACAUUUAUUAGAAGCCAAAAAAAAAAAAGUUACAAUGAUAUAGUAAAAAGGCAAGAAAACCUCGUUUUCUAAGUGGCAGUCAUUGACACACUACUUGAUUAGAAGAAAAGUCAUAGUAUUUUAUUUACUUUUGUUGGAAUGUAUAUUAAUAAUUAUAAUAUUUAAUUCAAAAUAUUGAAUGAAAAACACAUAACCGUUUGAAAGGGAUCAAGGCAUUCCUUGGUAAAACGGUAUCAUCUAAUAGAUGAAUGUUUGUAUCUCUUAAUCAACCAAUAUCUUAGGUUUUAUAUAAACUCAUGUUAGUAUAGCCGUGAAAGAUAUAGAAAAUUAGAGUUAAUUUUUAUUCUUGAGAAAUAGGGUUUCCCCGCUUUGUUUCUCUCAUGCUUCGUAUGUCAAAUUCCAAGUCGUGUCUUGAGAGUACGGAAUAUAUAAAGUUCGCCAGAGUCCGAAGAUUGAAGUGUUUUGACUUCGAAUUAUAAAUUGUUGAAUCCUGGGAGAUGGACGCCUACCAAACUACAAGCACAAGAGUAAGGGCGAAAUUCUAUCUUUAGGACAUUGCAUUUAUGCAAGCCUCAAUCUCCAAAUUUAUCAGUUUUUCUAACUUUAUCUUUAGUUGUUUAUAUUAAUCUUGUAAACUAUUGAUGUUGUUAUUUACUUUAUGAUUAUUAUCAUUGGAAUUCUUGUGUUGUUAUCAUAUUUUCUAAUAUUGCCUCAACAAUCUAAAGAUAGAAGUUUUAUCCCUAUGGAACAAUCAGAAAAAUAUGAAUGUUCGCAGUUCUCAUAUUGAGAGUUUAAAGCUGUGGCUUUAAAAGUGUUGGACAACAUAAGGUGUCGUAUUUGAUGUGAAGCCAAGAAUUGAAUGUUUCUUGACAUUAUACUGUGAGUUUACUCUCGUUAGUUUCUGAUUUAGGUGAGAAAUAAAUAUAUGUUUAUGUGGACUGUAUGCAAUAGGGUAAAUCUAGGUUUGUAUCUCAUAAUUGAAAAGGAUUCGAUACAGAUAUGUCUCAGAAAAUGCAUUCAAUUUGUAUGGGCAUUGCCACAUUCAAUAAAAAGUCAUAUUGGUUGACUGCAAGGGUCAGAUGGUUUGUGGUCAGACCAAUGGAUAUUUGGGCAUCCCCGAUGACUUUUCUCAACAGAUGCCUUGCUUGAUCAGUUUGGUUGGCGAUUGCCGAGCAAAAUGUCUGCAUCAUAAACUUUCAAUUCAUUCCCACAAGGACUAGAUAUGCAUGAUACAAAUGAUCGAAGAUUUUGAUUUUCGCAUGGGUUUCAUUAAUGUCAGAUUUGAAGAUAAUUUGAUGAAACCAAAAUUUUCCUUCAAGACUGAUCAAAAGGAUUUGGAAUGUUUCGAAUGCAUAUACACAUGGCUAUUAGAAGAUAUGUAUAUAAUGAAUGAUAUGAUGCCAAUCCAAUUCUAGGUUGGAACUUGAGCAUGAUGGGAAUAUUUAGAAGAUUAUACUUCUAAAAUCUUUUUAAAGGGAAAAAUUAUGACGGAUCUUGGGUGAAUGACCAAACUGCCUAUUUCAGAUAGGUGCAUACCAAAUGUUUAUUGGUUAAUAAAGAAAUACAAUAGUAAUAUGCAUAUAUUUAUCAGAUUUAUGUGUGUAUUCAUAAAAUCCAUGCCUGCAUUACCAGGUAUAUAGAAAUGCAUUUAUUAUCGUUUGUCAUAUCAUUAUUGCAGAUUUGUAUUUCUCCAUUGUAUAUCAAGUGUUGUACUAUGGAGAAUUAUGAGUACUUUCUCGAAAGAGGAGUAAUGUAAUGGGAACCAUGUUCUUCAUGGUAAGACGAUGAAAUUUGACUUUGAGUAGUGACAAUCAGUCGUGAUGUUGAGACGAUCAGUCGUGAUGUUGUCCUUAGUUAAAUUGUAAAGCAUGAAGUCAUUUUGUUUGAGUUAUUCGUCUUGAAGAUGACGCUUCAGUUGUGGGGGCCAAAGUCUGCUUUGAAAGGUUUAAGCACUCUAAGGUGAGGCUUACUGUGGAAACUGUGUACAUGCUACAGACAAACCCCUAACAAUUGAAGAUAGACUUAAAAAUGACUUGUGUGUUCUUCAUGCCACAAUGCGAUUGUUCUUUCUUCGGGAUAGAGAAGAUAGCCCUCCUUAUGUCCGUAUGUGGCUAUGAACUUUGGUUUGUGACAAAGAGAACCAUUGAUUUCAAGGUCAUUGAAAUGAAAUGGGCAUGACAAUAUCCAUAGGUGAGAUCAAAGGCCAAAGAUAUAAUUGGAAAGCCUAACCAUAUUGUCUAUAAAGCAGAUUUAUGCCGUGUUUACAAACCACAUGUACAUGGUUUUUGUUUGCUCCCUAAGUCCGCCAUGGUGCCUUGCGGGCAAGCCAGGGAUUUACUUCACAUACGAGAUUGGUGGGUGCGGGCGUGCCACUACUAGAUGCCGCUAGUAGACGGGAUUUGAAUGAUUGAGGUUGCGCCUUUGGACUUCAAAUCAAGAGAUUGUGCCAUUUGAGUGGGAAUUGCUCAAAUUAAGGUUCUUUGUUUGCCUUGAAAAUAAGGACUUUACUUAUAUGGAGAGAUAGAACAAUAUGUAAAUGAUAAGGUUGCUUGGAAAUAUAAAUGACAGAGGAAAAUGACUAAUAUUGCAGAUUGCUUGUGACUGGAAAUGAGUACAUAAAAGCUACAAAUGAGAUCGAUACCGCAAAUGAGCAGCAGAGCUAAUAAACUUAAAUAAAAGAAGGCUUUUGGCAAAUCUGGUUUGAGCAGAGUUUGUGCUUUUGUUUGUUUGUUUGAGUGUCCAUAAUCCUUCUCCAUCUACUUCUUUAUAUAAGGAUCUGGAAGAGCCCCCUUAUUGAGAUCUUUGUACUUGCCCGAAAGAAGCUUGGGCAGCUUGCAUUUCCUUACUUGGGUAGCUUGCAUUGCUUUUGCCAACUUGCAUGUAGAAACAAUAUUAAAAGGGGAACUUGCAUCUCCACCAUAUGUUUUAGCACAUGUUUUCCUACUUGUAAUAAACUAACAUUUAAAAGAAGCAAGUUGGCUUCUUUCACAUAUUUUUUGCAUCCACAUCCGUAAGUUGCCUUCCAACCCUUUUGCAAGGAUGCAUGCAUCUUGAUUAAACAAAGCUUGACAAAUCUCCACCACCAAAACAAAUUGGAAGAACAAUAUUAUAGUGUCAAACCCCUCCACUUGCCUCUAAAUAUCUUUCCAAAUUAGCUUUCUUGCAUAUUAAUCCUCUAAAUGCCAUAUUUUACCCAAAUUACCCAAAUAAGUAAAAAUGGGUAUAUUUUGAGUGCAAACAGUUUUAUUACAUUCGGGCAAAAGAUUUGGUGAAAGAAAAUAACCAACCAAGUCAUUUGGGAUAAUGGGAUUUCACGAGGAUGAUGGAGGAAGAUUUAGUCUUCUUUAUAUCUUGUUCAACUAUUAAUAAUUAAAUGUGACAAAAAAAAAAGAGUUUUGCUCAUAAGCCAAGUUAGUCAUGGAUAAAACCAAAGGACAUUCCUUUGAGAGAAAUUAUACACUGAAAAUGUGGGGGUCUUUUGGAAAGAAAAGAUGAUACAUUGAAAAUGUGUGGAGCAUCUUGCAAAAUUAAAUUAGACAUGAUGAUGCUUAUUAAGUAAGCAUAUGAAUAGUCAUGCAUGGUAGUCAUAAUAUGGAAAGGAUGAAAGUCAAGAAGUGCUUUUCCCAUAAUAGCUAGUGAGGCAUGAAGGCCUAGGAAGAUAAAUACAUAAGGUCUUAUCUUUAGUUGUUUCCUACUUUUUAAAGAACAAAACAUGAUCGAUUUAACAAUAACGUUAGAAAUUAACCACAAUUAUCGAAGAAUUGUGGGGGUAGCUUAACUAUUUUUGAGAUAUGAGAUUUACUUACAAAGAAUGGAAACAUAAUUUGCUAAUCAAAUGAGACAAUCAAGAUGUCAUCUCUUGUAAUGAGUAAUUGUUUAAGGUAUGGCAAGGUUAUAGACCUUCUAUAGAUACCUUAAAUGUGGGGGAAGUCUACUUCGGUAUGGCAAGGUUAUAGACCUUCUAUAGACACCUUAAAUGUGGGGGAAGUCUACUUCCUAGUGUUAGCAAAUUAUUACAUAAGUCCUAACAUAUGUUUCGAGGACUUAACAUUGGAAAACAACUAUUCUCGUAUGAAAAAUAAUUUCAUAAUAUGGAAGUGCACACCAUAAGAGUAGUCAACCUUAGUGGUACCAAUUAGUAAAUGUUUGACUAGGGAGUAAGUUAAUCAUCGAGGGGAAUGAGGCUGAAGCCAACAUAACUAAUGAAUCAGUCGGGCGAAAACCUAACUUAGUUGAUUGGGGAUCCCAUGGUCUAAGUUCAAUAGGCAAACUAGUUGGGCAUGAUUCAAAGAAGUUAACAUACUAUAUACCUCAUUCCUAUGAUGGAAGAAGUGUGUUGUCUGCAGAAGUUUUAGGGUGUAUAUUUAUACUUAAUGACAGUGAUAUCUUAUAAAUAAGAGGAAUAGAGCAGACUAUUUUUUAUCAGUGGUUACCUAUGUGAGAAUAGAAGUGGGUCGCUUCUGUGAGAAUGAGAUGGCUAAAUUCUCUAAAGCUCUCAUGAAUCCGAGAUUUGUUCAUGACCAAAAUAAACACAACCGUAUGAACCAGAAUAUAUUAGGAUUAGGGAUGUAUGUUGCUUAUUGUCUCGGUUUACUGCUGCGGUGAACAGUUCAAGAUUCCAUAUCCACUGCGUCACCAAGUAAAUCCGAUAAGUAUUCACUAGGGUAGGUUCAAGUCCAAAAGACACCUCUCCUGAUGCAUAUCUUGUCCGCCUGUACUCUCAAAUUCUUCCUAAUUUUUCAUUCAUGUAGGGGAUUGUUGGAAUUUAUAUAUUAUAAUAUUAAUAAUUAUAAUAUUUAAUUCAAAAUAUUGAAUGAAAACCCCAUAACCGUUUAAAAGGGAUCAAGGCAUUCCUUGGUAAAACGGUAUCAUCUAAUAGAUGAAUGUUUGUAUCUCUUAAUCAACCAGUAUCUUAGGUUUUAUAUAAACUCACGUUAGUAUAGCCGUGAAAGAUAGAAAAUUAGAGUUAAUUUUUACUCUUGAGAAAUAGUGUUUCCCCACUUUGUUUAUCUCAUGCUUCGUGUGUCAAAUUCCGAGUCGUGUUUUGAGAGUACGGAAAAGACAAUUUCUAUGGGGAAAAAGUUGAAAUAGGGGAUGAAGAUUCCCGAUUUUAAUUUCGUUAAAUAGGUGUAAUUUCACAAUUCCAACUACAACAAGAAUCACAAAUUCAUAUGCGGAAAAAUCUUGCGAGCACCAAACUUUACUAUUAGGGCGCCAAAUUUCAUGAUAAAACCUGAUAAGGGGUUUAGGGCUGCAUCUUUCACUCUAUUAACUCUCCAAUCUUCGAAGGGAUUUUCGGCUCUUGCAUCAUCUCUUGCUUUUGUUCUAGGUCAGCGUCUCUACUCUCUUCUUUCUUGAAUUAUUUUAGCUUUUCGGGUAUACUCUUUAUGCCAAUUGUGAAUUUUGCUAGUUAUUUUUAUUUUAUGAUAGUCAUAUGUUUGCUGUGCUUUUUUUCUUCCGAUUGAAUUGUGUAUUGGUUGGAUCUGUAACACAAUUUUUCAGUUUUUUUUAUGGACUUUGGUGUUAGUUCCUUGUUAUAGAUAUUGUGCUUUUGAAGGUUUAACAAUAGGCAAGGCUGAAUAUGAUGAUUUCGGUGUUAAUUACUUUCUCAUGGUACUAUACCAGAUUGUUCUCUCUUUGCAUUUACAUGUAACUAACUGUUCAUUGUAGAAAUGUAGUAUUUGGAAGACCUUUUUUUUCUGAUUUAGUGUAUGUUUGUUGGACAAAAGAAACAUGUAGAAGAGAAAACAUGAUUAAUAACAUUGUGCGUCUAUUUUUUUUUUUUUUUGACAGAAGCGAUAGAGUAUUCUAUUACUAAAAACAACCAAAUACAAGAGGUGUCAUGGCUACAAUUUCUCCAUGGCAAAUUUUUUGCAAACAUUUUGUAAACGCUCUACGGCUACCACAAUAGACCAUUAUAAACAGAGAUUCCGGAUAAAACUGUCACAAGGACGGCAGACACGACAAUCCUCACACCCGUACCCUAACAUAAGAGCAACUCCAUCCAUGGAGCCCUACCCCCUGGCAAUCCACUAUUCAAUCCACCAUAUUGAACAGUAACUGCCUUAAAUGAAUAGUAAUUACCAUUAAUGAACAGUAAUUGCCAUUUACAUCUUCAUCCUUGGAACCCUCCCCCUAGCAAUAAGCAAUUAAAAUAAUAGUUUUUUUUGUUUGUUUAAAUAAUAAAAAAUUGCAAAAGCUCUGGUCCCUCUCUCUCUCUCUGACACAAAAAAAAUAAAAAAUUGCAAAGCCCUCGGGCCACAUGCCCAUCGACUCCCCACCCCCCCCCCUUCGCUCGGGCUCUCACUGUCGCUCAACCUCCACACGGCUGGACCUCUCUCCACCGGCCCUCGGGCCCUUUGUCCUCGCCUGUCGCCCGAGCAACCAGCCUCCGCUGGAGUUGCUCUAAAGCCAUCGACAAUGAGGCUAAAUAAAUCGCUUAAGAGAUACAAACAAAUCACCGCAAUAACACAAUCUACUUAACCCGCCCAAGGCGCUACAAACAAAAUCUUAAACCUAAAGUCGAUGACAUGUCCACAUGCAUGUCCAAGGGGAAGAGACGUUGCAGGAGGCAUGGGUUGCCCGACCAUGUGGGUCUGUCGGUGGCAAGGACAACAAAGCAAUACCAAACUACUUCUAUCAUUCUCCUUAGCGCUAUAUUUUUCCUUAGCGCCAUAAAUUUCGCUUAAAAAGCAUAGGAAGGAAGGCUAAAAUUAAGGCGAAGAACCUGCCUCCACUAAUUUCCAUAGGGGAGAGAGAGAGAGAGAGAACACCAAGCAGUAUUAUAAUAUAGGUGGUCUUAAAUAACCUUCCGUGGAGUCGCAGUAAGGACUUCAAAUAUCCCAGAGAAAAGUCAGUCAAUAGUUUUUGACAGAGUCAGUCAACGGCGAAGACAGAAUUGUGUAUCAUAAUGCUCUCUCCCUCUCUCUCUCUCUCUCUCUCUCUGUCGUCAAUGGAUAACACCAUAUAAUUACUACGUGUAUAUCACUGCUCAAUUACACAAUAGAAAAAUCCUUGCGCAUUAUUUUUGUUCUUAUUAGCUCAGAAAUGCAGAAAUUGAUCAUCUCUUACUUUUGCAUAUUGUUACUGGUUUUCUUCAAACUAGUUGGAGCAAGCCAUGCGUGCCUGGAAUCCAAGUGUAGCGAUGAUCAAGGCGCAGCUAUCCAUUUCCCAUUGCGCAUCAGCCGCAAACAUCAUUGUGGAAAUCCUGGGCUUGAAUGCAAUGUAAGAUAUGAGCAGCAAAUACUAGUAAAAUUAUUUGUCAAACACAUAGAUUACAAGCGUCAGGAAAUCCAAGUGUAUCCCCCAAGUGAUUGCCUGCUGCUGAAGCCUGUCGAAGUCACAAACAUAGAUUACAAGCGUCAGGAAAUCCUAGUGUCUCCCCCAAGUAACAACUUGUCAUAUUCUUUCAUCAGAAACUUAACCUUAUUCAGUUGUCCUACUUCUGUUGCAAGAGAUACAUAUGCGUAUCAAGUCCACUGCCUCGGUGACCCUGGCAGCAGAAUUUAUGCCCUUGAUUCUACAUAUCAAUUAGAAAAUCUCUUCGAGAAUCUACAAUCUUGUUCAAAGAUGUAUGAUGUUUUAUCUGGCAAUUGGGAGGGUAAUGGUUCUGUUCUUCAAUUCAAAUGGUCAAAACCAAAUUGUACAGAAUGUGAAGCGGAGGGAAAGAUGUGUAGAUGGAAGAACAAUGGCACCAACAGUGAAAUUGAAUGUCAACGCGUGAGGAAACCAAGUAAGGAGAACAUUAUAUUCAUUGCUAGUUUUAAACAUCGUUACAUUUAUGUCUGAGUAAUUAUUAUUUGAAGGAUGUUGUCCGAUCCAUUUUUCUGAGGAUAUUAAUUGUCAGUCUCGAUUUAAUUUGCAAUUCUUUUACAGGCAACACAUGGAAAUUAGUGGUUACAGGUGGAAUUCUGGGUGCUUUGCUUCUUGUUCUACUGAUGAUUGCAGCAUAUCGGGUAUAUAGCACUGAUAGGAAGGAAAAAGAGAGUCGAUUAAGAAUUGAAAGAUUCUUGGAGGAUUAUAAAGCACUCAAACCAAGCAGGUAUUCGUACGCAGAUAUUAAGAGGAUUACAAAUCAAUUCAAGGACAAGUUGGGCGAAGGAGCCUAUGGAACUGUCUUUAAAGGAAUGCUCUCUUCUGAAUUCUUUAUUGCUGUCAAAGUCCUCAACAGUUCAAAGGGAGAUGGGGAAGAGUUCGUAAAUGAAGUGCGAACGAUGGGUCAUAUCCACCAUGUCAACGUGGCUCGCUUGGUUGGAUUUUGUGCUGAUGGAUUUGUACGAGCUCUUGUUUCCCUGCAGGAUUUUAUUUCAUCUGCAGAUAGUAAGAAUUCACUUCUUGGUUGGGAUAAGCUGCAAGAUAUUGCCCUAGGCAUAGCCAAAGGAAUUGAAUAUCUUCACCAAGGAUGCGAUCUACGAAUCCUGCAUUUCGAUAUCAAGCCCCAUAAUGUGUUGCUAGACCAAAACUUCACUCCAAAAAUUUCUGAUUUUGGUUUGGCCAAGUUAUGUUCCAAGGAUCAAAGCUUGGUGUCCAUAACUACAGCUAGGGGGACCAUGGGCUAUAUUGCACCUGAAGUGUUCUCCAGGAAUUUCGGAAAUGUGUCUUACAAGGCAGAUGUCUACAGCUUUGGAAUGCUGCUGCUUGAGAUGGUAGGAGGAAGGAAGAAUAUUGGUUCAACCACGGAGAACACUACAAAUGAAAUCUACUAUCCACAGUGGAUUUACAAUCUUCUAGAGGAAGGGGAUGACCUACGAAUCCGUAUUGGGCAAGAAGAAGAUGGUAAAAUUCCAAAGAAACUUGCUAUUAUAGGGUUAUGGUGUAUCCAAUGGCACCCGUCGGAUCGUCUUUCCAUGAAAACAGCCGUUCAGAUGUUAGAAGGAGGAGGAGGAGAAAGCUUGACCAUGCCGCCUAAUCCCUUCAUGCCUACAGGUCCUACAACUAGAAAUGCAAGACGCCUAGAGCGAGAAGCAAUUGCUGAAUUAGAGUAAAACGUAUAUGACAGAUAUGUAGAUUCGUAUUGAAUGUGUAAUGAUUCAAACCUAAAGGGAUAUUUUGAUAACCAUUUCAUUUUGGCACCAAACAAAAGAAAUUUGUUUCCACUCCAUGUUUAAGCAAUAGAUGCCGAUUAUUGUUUAUCAUUUAUUAAAUUUUAUUUUUGGUUACGGUAGAAGCCUAGAAGGCAAUCGAGCACCGGACUUACCAAAUUCUAACUCAUUUCUACACACCAAGAGCUUGAUUUCGGUUCUUAUUUUUACUAUUUAAGCUAUAAGCCGUGAUAAUAAUUAGAGCACUAUCAUUUGUUGUGAGCUUCAACUGGUUAUUUUGUAUGUUUUAAACUUUUAAUUAGAAUUUAUUUUUCACUUAGACUUAUCUUUCCGUAUGGCAUGCCAUCCCAACCCUAGUUUUUCUCCUCGCUUGGAGUUUGGGAUACGAAAACUUGCCAAACAAAGUAGAUUGAUUAGUAACCGAAGCUAAUUAUUCGACUGAAUAUUGUUUAGAAUUUUAAUUAACAGAAACAAUAUGAAUCUUUUUUGUUUGUUUUGAAAACUAGAGAUUAAAUUGUUACUUGUUAGAAGUAGAGUGAUUGGUAGACAUCGAAUCCUUACAUAAGUGCAUAGGCAUUAUUGCGUGAGGAUGACGUGAGGGCAAGGGAAGUAGCAGCAGACCGUGUGGGCUGCUGUGGUUCAUCUGCUCGGGUGACAGGAUAGCCUUUUUGACGAAAUUAUAAAGCGCAUAAACUUUUUGACCAAGAGAGUGGUCAACUAGGGGUGGGCACUUGAAAUCGAAAACCGAAACCGAAACAUGAACCAAAUCGGACCGCACCGAACGAUUUGGUUUUGCGGUUUUGAAACCGAACCGCAUUGUAGGAAACGGUUUGGUUUUGGUUUUGGCUUUUGAAAACCGCACCGAAACCGAAACCGUAUCUCAAAUUAUAUGCCAUGUUUUAAUUAGUUGUUUGUUAGAGUCCAUACAUUUAGUAUGUACAUGUCAUAAUAAUGAUUAUUUUUUCCAAGUUAUAUCCCUCAUCAAGCUUGGCAUCUCAAUGUUUCUUUACAGGAAAAGAAGAAAACUUUGUCACAGUUAUAUCCUUAGAACCCUAAUUUUCAAGUUUAGAAUGAUAGCCUAUAUAAUAUAUUAAUCAGAAAUGCAAAUGAAAACUCAAAAGGAACAAUGAGCAUCAAAUAAGAGUAGUCACAGAAGGAGAGAUACAAGACCGAAUCUCUAAUCAAGUAAUAAGUUGCAGCACUUCAUUUGGGUACUUUUUCCUGCUCACAGAGUUUAUCACUUGUGCAAGAGUUUAUCAUCUGUGCAAUUAGCUAGCUAGAGUAAAGAAAAGAAUUCUCAUGUGGGUGGUUAAUUAAUGUAUGUGUGGAAAAUGAGACUGUGGUAUGUGUAAAUAAGUAUAAAUUUUAAAUUGUAGAUUUUUUUUUCUAAAAAGCCAAACUUAAACCGUUUGAAACCGCACCGAACCGAUCGGUUUUGACUUUAAAACCGCACCGAACCGCACCACAAAAAGUUGUGAUUUCGGUUUUGGUUUCACUCAAAACCACACCGAACCAAACCGUGCCCACCCCUAUGGUCAACAAAUGGGACAUGGAUUCGUCGAAUCCAAAUCCUAAGAAUUCAUUAAUCUAUAUUAUUGAAAUUUGAUCAAAAGAUUAAAAUUAUUAUAAUUUUAAAAUAAGCUCGUAUUUGUAACUGUUGAAUCAACCUUUAAUGAUCCAGAUUGAUAAAUCCUUAAGAUUAGGAUGUAUGAAUCCGAAAAGGAUCAAUGUCCCAAAAAAUAUGCAACGUUUUGCAAGGGUAUUAAAUUUAUGAGUGGGAUAGACACAAAUAGCAGACCGUGUGGGGUGCUGUGGUUGAUCCACUAGGGUGGCAGGAUAGCCUUUUUGACCAAAUUAUAAAGCAGACUUUUUGACCAAGAGGGUGGCCAACAAAUAUGCAACGUUUUACACGGUAUUAAAUUUAUGACUGAGGAUUUGGAUCCUCUCCUGAGCUAAUGGAGAUGAUCUUCCUGACCAACCAUUAUGGGUUGUUGGAUUUUUAUCCAACGGUUAUAAUUAUUAUAACUUUAAAGGAACUCCCUUUUUAUAACCGUUGGAUAAAAAUCUAACAGUCCAUAAUGGUUGGUCAGGAUGAUCCUCUCCAUUGGCUCAGGAGAGGAUCCAAAUCAGAUGGACACAAGUAGCAGACCGUGUGGGGUGCUGUGGUUCCUCCACUAGGGUGGCAGGGUAACCUUUUUGACCAAAUUAUAAAGCAGACCUUUUUGACCAAGAGCGUGGCCAAUAAAUAUGCAACGUCUUGCACGGGUAUUAAAUUUAUGACUGGGAUGCACACUCAUCUUCUUCCUCAUUCGUUGUUUAUGUAAAAAAAUGUAAUAAAUUGUAAUAAUGAUCUUUCAACUUUAAUUAAAUUGAAACAAUAGUUUUUUAAUUAAAAUUCAUUAUUAUUAGUCUAUUAACUCAUUAAAACGUGUAGCUAUAGUCAUUUUCGUCAACUCCUUCAGAAUUCUGUCAAAAUAAGUUAUGUUGAAAGGACCAUUGCUAUAAUUGGGUUAAAGUUAGGGACCAUUGCUAUAAUUGGGUUAAAGUUAGGGACCAUUGCUCUAAUUGAGUUAAAUUUGAGGAAUCAUUUCUCUAGUUGGAUUACAGUUGAUGGAUCAUUGAUACAAUUUUUCUUAUUUGAUUUUUCAUUGUGCCCCUUGAUUUAGCCUCAAGUGCAUGACAUGUGACUAUUUUGACGGAAGUUCUAAUGGAGUUGACGAAAAUAAUCAUAGUUGCACGUUUUGAUGAGUUAAGAGACCAAUGAUAAUGAAUUUUUAGUUGAGGGAUCAUUGCUCCACUUAGAUUAAAAUUAAGAGAUCAUUACUAUAAUUUACUCUGAAAACUAAAGGCCUCCUAUUUUAGUUAUGUUUGUACCAUACUUGACCAAUCCCAAAACUACUGAGCACCGGUCAACGUUAUACCAUCAAGGAUCCAGAAGAGUUUCUCUCAAACCAGGAGGCCAAUCACAACACGACACAUGUCGAUAUCAAAAGCCAAUCAUAGCGCGACACGUGUCAACAUCAGAAGCCAAUCACAACACGACACGUGUCAAUGUCAGAACAAAACUAAAAACUCUCUUCUAUAAAAGGAGAUCAUUCUCCCUCAAUAUUUCCUAAUGUUCUUUGUACUAAAUCAUUCACUAGUACUGACUAAAUGAGAGUUUGAACCUAUGUACUUGUGUAAACCCUUCACAAUUAAUGAGAACUCCUCUACUCCGUGGACGUAGCCAAUCUAGGUAAACCACGUAUAUCUUGUGUUUGCUUCCCUGUCUCUAUCCAUUUACAUACUUAUCCACACUAGUGACCGAAGCAAUCUAACGAAGGUCACAAACUUAACACUUUCUGUUAUACCAAAGUCCUCACUGAUUUUGUGCAUCAACAAGUUGCAUUGGAGAAUCCUUUCAACCAUCCAAAUCCAAAACAUGGAUCUAAGGAGCCAAGAAACAAAGAGGAGUUCGUCCAUAUUCAUGGAUACAAGAAGCUAUGAGCAAGGGAAUGAGGACCUCACUUUGGGUGACUAUCAUUUACUUCUGCAAAGAGGACCUACAAAAAUAUAAAGUCAACUCACUUUGCUUUGAAUUUGAGUUGAGUCUUUGACUAACUACUAGACUCUGAAUUUCAUGAGUUAAGUUUUGUUUUUGAAUGCAUAUAAGCAUGCUAGAGCCUUUAAUUGUUAAUUACAUGUAUAUGUGUUGCUCAAAUGAACUUAGUUUAUCAAAUUUUUCUCUCAAGACCAAGGUAUUAAAUAUCGAUGAUAUCGGAAAUAUCGGUAGUCCAAAAACACGGAAAUAUCGAUGGAAAUAUCGAUGGAAAUAUCGGGAUAUUAUCGAUAUCGAUAAAAAUAAUAUGGAAACCACGGAAAUUGUAAGAAAAACUUGGAAAUUUUUAUUGAAACUUUGCAGAAUGUUUAUUUAGUCAAUUAUCUAUUAGUUUAUCACAAAAAUUUGGAAGGAAAUGCAUUGCAUGAUGGAUUUAACUGAUUUAAGUUGAUUAUAUAGCGAGCUGGCAAACAUUGUGAGUGUAGAAAAUAUGUAGUAAUUAAUGAAAGAAGUUUAAACACACCAUAAUCAUUUAUAUAUAAUGAAUUAGUACAAUAUUUUACACUUUAUACAUUGCAUGGUAAGAUACAUGAGUGACUAAGUACCACAUAGAGUUCCUAUGAGGUUCAAAAUUUUCACUAUCUUCAUCAUCUCUAUGUGUAGAGUAAGUGUAUUGUGAAGAGUAGUCAGCAACCAUGGCAAUGGCUUUCAAGAACCGAAAUCCAAAAGUCAAUAGGAAACCGAAUACUUCGGUAUUUUUCGGGAUUUCGGGAUUACCAAACAAAUGGGAUUUGGAAACCAAUCCCAUAUCGAAAAUUUCGGUAUUUUUCGGGAUGGGAUUCCCGAACUUCGGGAUGGUUUUGGUUUGGGAUUUUUCGGUUUGGGUUUGGGACUUUUUCGGUUUGGUUUGGGAUUUUCGGGAAUUUUUUCCAACCCUACAUGUAAGUGACCAAAUAAAAAAUAGAAAAAUUAAAAACCACAUGCCAUUGACUAAGUAAUUAAUUGACACAAUUUAAAAUAUAAUACCACAAAAAAUUUGGAAUAUGUGCAAAUUUGUUUCUUGCAAAAAGAAUUCAAAACAAAACCAUAUAUAUAAAUAUUUUAGCAUGUUUUCACAAAAACAUAAGUGGUAUAGUGGUCAAGGCGCUGAAGGAGUUAGAUGGGAGGGGUUUGAAUCCCUCUAUGUGCAUGUUUGAGACUUUUCAGAAAUUUUCAAAUAUUUUUAGGUUCAUCUCGCGAUAAUAUCGAUAUUAUCGCGAUAUAUUAGCGAUAAUUAAAGGAAUACUCGUGAAAUAUCGUUAUAUGAAAAAAACGAUAAUAUCGGCGAUGUUUCGCUGAUAUUAUCGAUAUUUUCUUCUAUGUUCAAGACCAACUUCUAUGGCAUGCGUGGUGUGUUUGAGACUUUUCAGAAAUUUUCAAAUAUUUUUAGGUUCAUCUCGCGAUAAUAUCGAUAUUAUCGCGAUAUAUUAGCGAUGAUUAAAGGAAUACUCGUGAAAUAUCGUUAUAUGAAAAAAAACGAUAAUAUCGGCGAUAUUUCGCUGAUAUUAUCGAUAUUUUCUUCUAUGUUCAAGACCAACUUCUAUGGCAUGCGUGGUGUCUCAUGCCAAUCACACAAAUGUUAUGUAAAAAGAAUUUACACGUUGUGUUGCAUGAUUGACAAUUAACGACACAAUAGUGUUAUAACCGUGUCAAUGUUAUGAAAGUUUUUAUGCAAAGUCACUUGAUAUGCCGCAACAAUUAGUAAACAAUAUUAGAAAGACCUAGAGGAACCCACAAUUAAUUCCAAUUCAUUAAGUAGCUCAUGUGCAAGCAAAGUAUGGGCUUCCCAUGGGCAGGAGCUGGAAUUUACCCAUAUUUGGUAGUUAUGUAGCAUUAUACGAGGAGCCUGCUCAGCAUUCAAUAUGUUCACCCACAUGAUGUUGAGUGUAAUCCUUCUUAAGGUUCAACGAUAUUGUUUCUAUUAACAAAUAUAAAUAAAAAAAUAAGCGAAAUACUAGAGAGAUUACACGUUUAUAUUACAUUGUUGUACCAUAUUGUGAUAUGGCUGUGUACAUACCACGUCUUGUAAUGAGUUUAUCUCAUUAGAUGUUAGACUGUUGGUUAUUUGUAUUACUUAUUACAUCAUAUGGUACAUCAAUGUGGUAUAAAUAUGCAAUCUCUCCAACAUUACCCUUAGGAAAAUUUUAUUUGAACCCAUCUAACCUCUUUCUACACCCAACUUAAAUUCUAAAUGUGAAUUGUCUAUUUUAUCCUAAUGCAUAAUUACCAUCAAGUACAAGAUGAAAUUAAGAAUAAAACUAAAAUUUAUCAAUAAACCCAUACUCAAUAAUUAAGUUCUACCAUCACACAAUUUUUAUCCUACAUUCAUUUUGAAUAAAUUCCUAAGGGCUGCAAUAAAACCCUACGAUCACCUAAUAAUCAAAUCCGGUUGCUUUUUGUUUCCUCUCUAGCUUCAUGUUAACUCGAUCAGUAAAAACAAAGUAUUCAAAGUAUUCAUGUAUAAAAUAAGCCAACUUGGACUGGACUUGCUAUAAACCUAAAAACAUAAGCAGAAUCCCAGUUGCUAAUUCCACAAGAACUCGACUUGCGACCAUUCAAAACCCAAUAAAAAUUCAAGAAAACCAGAACUUACCAAGUGAACGUUGACGGCUGAGCCAGAGCAGCAACGACGAAAGGAAGCAUUGCAGAUAAGACCUGAGACGACGAGCCGUCGGAAGCCCCUUUGGAUAUUUCAGCUGAUGGGUUUAUCCCAAACGACAGCAUCAACGCGUUGCCUUCCUUCCUCUGCGACCCGACUCUGCUGAUGUGCAAUGUGCUUACUCUUGUAAUCACUCCAUGUGCCAUGUGCAAACAAUCGAAGCACAUCGAGGUAGACAUAAUUUUCAGUUCCUUCAAGCUGCACAUAUUCCACAGUAAAAAAACAAAUGCAUAUGAAACAAGACCCUAUAACAAUCAACAAUUUUAUUUUGACUUUGGCUGCAACAAAAUUCUGAUUAUACAUCCUUUGCUCAAAUCCAGAAACUACACCACCAAAAUAUACACAGAAAAAUGAAACUUCCACAAUAAAUAAAUAGAAACAUGGGAACCUGAAGAACAUUAGGGACAUCGAUAAUUUCCGAAAAGGCAAAAAGGGCAGGGUGGGAGGUGACUUCUGCGACGAGGGGGCCGAGGGCGGAGCCAUCGAGUGAUGAGGCUUGCUUCACGAAGUGAUCAAAGGCCUCCUCUUGCUUUUGCUUUCUAAAAGGGUGUAAAGAUGAAUUUUUAUAUAUUGAAUUGAGUUUGUGAGGGUAGUUUAGAUAGUAAUUUGGGUUUAGAGAGAAAUUGAUUCUUUAAUUAAAAAUAAUAUGGGUGUAAAGAAUAAGUUAGGUGUAGCAAGAAGUUGUAUGGGUUCAAAUAAAAUUUCCCUUACCCUUAUCAGAAACCCUAAAAGACAAGAAAUGCUCUAUACUAAGACGUGUUUAUCAAACCGGAAUGAAAGUGUAGGAAAUGGAAUUGCACGAACUCCAAGUCAUUUUAGUGUUUACUAAACCAGAGGGAAUCAACAUUCAGGUGGGACCCACCCAAAAUCCGGAAUACAAUUCCUUAAAUACCCGGAAAUGGAUUCUUGACUUGGGAGGUGGGAAUUGAGUUCCUGAAAAUAGAUUCAUCAGGGAUCCAAGUUUUCUACCCAUACUAUCCUCAUGCUUUUUUGGUAAACCCAAAUAUCCCUCACAAUUUCACCUCCCCAGUUCCAUGACCAGUGUAUAGACCCAUCUCUCUUCUCCCCAAUCCCACCAUUUCCUAACAGAGGAGCUUCGACUCCAGUGAAAUCCCGACCCCUUUCUCCUUGCCCCGUCGCCGCAGACUAUCCAAAAUACAUGCAUGAACGCACAAAGAGAGGGGAAAAUGUAUGGCGUGGCCGCAUGGUCAUCUAAAAACAGGGGGUGGGGACGGUUGUGAUAGGUGGUGAGGAGCUGGGUUUGGGGAUGUAGGGGGGAGAAGAUGGCAUCGCAGCUUUUUGUGUUUUGGGUUUUUUUAUGUUAUUUUAUAUUUUUAAUAAAUUUGUUAAUUAUUUAUUUUGCUGAAUAGUUAUGUUUUCAUGUAGCUAAUUGGAUUUUAUGAGCAUAUGUGGUUAUCAAAAUUAACCAUUAACUAGCAUAUAAAAAUAUAAUUUAUAACAAGGGCAAUUUAGUAAUCAAAUAGGUUUCAAUUCCGAUUCAUGUGAGUGAGUAAAUAAUUUUUAUGUAAUCAAUAUCAUUUUUAUUCCGAUUCCAGAUAGUUUAGUAAACAGAUUCAACAUGAAUCCAAUUCUAAUUCCACUUCAUUCCAUCUUCUUCUCAAUUCAAUUCAAUUCCUCAUACUCUGAUUACGGAUUAGUAAACGGGUCAUAAAACGGAAAGAGAAAAACAUUGUUCAUAACCAACAGUGUUUUUACUUUUUUGCCCUCAUUUUUAAUGUUUCUGUGUUCCCACUUUUAUGCCUCUAUACAGUGAAAUCCCCAAUUGCCCUAUGGGCAUAGGUGUGUAAAAAAAUUGUUUUGCACACGUGGCAUGCUAGGGAGAUUUCUCUGCUGCACCGUUUCCUUCCAGCUCCACUCCGAAUCGAUACUGAAUACUGCUCAACCAAAUUUUUUCAUCAUUUCAUUCCGUCCUUGUCAACCUCUUCAUUCUUGCUCCACCAUGAAUCGAAACAAAAAAUUGCUCAUCCAAAUCAAUUUCAGUUAACUCAAAUCCCUAAAACCCAAAUUUCUCCAGAUCUUUGGAUUUAGUUUACUUUUUGUUGUUGCGUAAAGCUUAAAUUUACGUACAAUUUUUUUAUUUUCUUGAUUGGAAUUUGGAAAGAAUCAAUUGUUCUUUGAAGGAAUUACAGAAAAUUGGAAAGGGGAAAUGGGAAAUGGGAAAGCGAGGAAAUGCGGGCAAAUGGGUUUUGGGAAAAUGACUUUUUUUUUUGGCAUUCGCUUUUGGCUUUCAUCCUUUCUGCGUUUGCUUUUCCUCAUUUUUUUUCUCAAGAACCAAACAUAAAAUAAAAAGAACCUAGAAAAAAGAAAAGGAAAAUCACAAGAUUAAGAAUCUGGGAUUGCAACAAUGGAGCUUCUGUGCCGAAAUAUCAAUUGGGUUCCGUUUGAUCUUCGGUGCUUCUUCUGCAUUCAAAAAGUUGGGGUUUUUUUGCGUGAUGGGAACACAUUUCCAAAUUCGACCUCAAUCCCAAAGGAACCAUCCACCAAAUAACCCUUCCUCCCUUUCUAUUUCUCUCUCUGUAAUUUCCCCUGACCGAAUCACACAAUCCAACCAACUCUCUGUGUAAGGCUGCCUCACAAAUUCCAUGGAUUUCAUGGACUUACCCUCUCUAUGAGCCUCCCUCGCCGAAUCCAACUAAUUUCCUUAGGCCCGUUUGGGAUUGAGGUGAUUUUAAAAAAAGCAAUUGUGAAAAAAAGCUGAGGGUCAUUUUUGUGUUUGGUAAACUGAAAAAAAAUGGCUUAUUUUGAAAGCUGCUGUGAGAAUAAGCUGAAAAUCAAAGGAAAAGCUGAAGCUGCUAUUUGCUGCUUUGAAAAAAAGCCAGUUUUUUCAAAGCACACGGAGCUACAAUGCUCCUUUAAUGAAAAGACACACUAUCAUCCUGCUUUUUUUUCCAAAAGCACUUUCACAAAAAAGUUUACCAAACACUCUACUGGCUUUAUUUCACAGCCGCUUAUUCUCACAGCAGCUUUUUUUCAAAGCACAGCAAUACCAAACCAGCCCUAAUUCCAUCGAUAGCCACACCCACCCCUCCCAACUGAAAAUGACAAUAAUGCCCACCCAACUUUUAUUCUCUGCCUUUAGAUCUCAAAUUAAAAUGGGUAAUAAAGUCCUUUUCACACCAAUACCCGCUAUUUAACAGCUCAAAUGUACACAACCCAAACAAACACAUGGCCUAAAGGGCCUACCCCAGACCCCCGGCCCAAAAAUAUAAAGGAAAACUAAUGAAAAUUGCUUGAAAACUUUGAGUUUUAAUGAUAAGGACAAAAUAAAGGGUAAAGUGAAUAGUACCAGGAUUGACUUUUUAGUGUAAAAAUGUGGUUUUUCGUUAAAGUGAACAGUACCGGGUGCUUUUCGUUAAAGUUCCCAAAAAAUAAUUGGAAAAAGAAGUGGCAAUUUGGUAAAUAAAAUGUUACCUUUUCCAUUGCCCAUUCCUUUUGGAAAAAGAAAUGAAAUUAAAACUCUUCAUUUAAAAUGGUCUUAAGCCAAAUUGUAUUGAAUGUGAAGCAGAGGGUAAGAGGUGUAGAUUGUAGAACAAUUACACCUAGAGCGAAAUUGAAUUUGUUGACAGGAGGAAACCAAGUAAGGAUAACGCGUCUAAAUCUUAUUUCGCAUCUAUUCUGCUCAUGAUUUUUCUGCUUUCAUGUAAUUAGCGGCUUAUAUUUGUGGUAACGAUAUUGAUUAAUUUCGAGAAAUGACAGUCUAAUUUUCGCAACUGUCUUUUGCAGGUAAAACAAAGACGGUCUAAUUUUCGCAACUGUCUUUUGCAGGCAAAACAAUGACAGUCUAAUAUUCGCAACUGCCUCCUACAGUUAGAAGCAAUUGUUGAAUUAGAGUAACACUAGAAAAUGCACCCGCGCUUUGCUGCAAGCAUUGAAUAAUUAGUCACAACAUUCAUGAAUAGCAUUCCAAUAAAGCAACUAAAAAGACGUCGUAAUACGUAAGAACCAUCGAAGUCAAAUUUUGCUUGCUAUAUAUGGAUAUGCAUGCUAUAAGAAACAUCUAUUUAUAGAUUGUAUUGUGUCAUCAAUAUCAUAGUUGCAAGUAAUCAGCCUACUACAUGGAAGAAAAACACAGAAAAGGGAAAGUAGAAAAGUAGAAACAUAAUACUUGAGUACCUGGCAAGAAUAGUAAGUUCUUGAAAAAAUUGCUAAACCGUCUAACAAAUUCAAUCGUUAAACGUUAUACUGUAACCCAAGACAAAAAUAAAGUAUAUUGUUUGUUUACAAAUCAAAACGAAGUGCUGCUACAAUCCUCAACAGCUAUGAAUCAUUUUCAAAUAAAGAUACUCAGAUUUGACGGCACAUCAAAUAACCACCAAGCGAAGCAAAUUACGCCAUGUGCUAAUAAGAAACUAAAACAAAAGCAAGAUUAAAUAUCGAAAUUUUUUUAUAAGGCAUCAAUUGACAAAAUGCUUCUUAAUGUGGUCUUCCAAGAAAUGAAUGCAGCUCACAAACAACUUAGAAAUCAUUGUCACCUCAAUCUUACUAAAUAGAAGCAUAAAUGGACAUGAUAGCUCCCUAAUUUUGUAAUAGAAACUCUAACAAAGAAUAUCAGGCUCCAAAGGCCCUAACUUUUCCUAGGCAUAAAUCUAUACAUUGCAAGUUUAAUUCCAACGAAGCAAAUAUGCGUGCAAAGUAAAAGGCAUCAACACUACAUGUACUGCUUACAAUCGUCUCAAGUUGCUGACAACAACAACAACAACAACAACAACAAAGCUUUUUCCCACUAAGUGGGGUCAGCUAUAUGAAUCCUAGAACGCCAUUGCGCUCGGUUUUGUGUCAUGUCCUCCGUUAGAACGCCAUUGCGCUCGUCUCAAGUUGCUGACACAAUGUUUAAAAUAUUCCAAGACUCAAAGAUUUUCACACAAAUAGAGCACCUUACCAAAACAAUAACCGAGGUUGUCGUAUUUGAAUCAAGCAGAUGCUUUGCAAGGCCUUCUUCAAUAUCGUCUCAUAUUCCCUUUUCAUUUUUCGUAUAUGAUACAAUAAACUAUUCAAAUCUAGACAUAAAUAAGAGAAUCUGCUACACCCUACUAUCACAAUUGUCAGUCCUGAACAAUAAUGCAAGUCUAGUGGCAAAAACCACCUCAAUGAACAACUCACACACACUGAUCAUACAUCUCUAACUCUCUUUUUCAAAUAACACACACUCUGAUCCAAAACAGGGUAAAUAAAAUGCACAUCCUUAUACAUUUCUAACUUUCUUUUUCGAAAUCCAAAAUAGGGUAUUCUAACUCUCUUUUUCAUUCAUUUCUUACAAACCAAUCAUACAUUUAAAAUAGGCUUUGAAUAAAAAUAGGGUAUAUAAUUAUAUACCUCAAAAUGCCUAGGAACCAACUUCCCCCUCCAACGAUUCAAAUUCUUGAAAUUGCCAACACAGUAAAUCCAUUAGUACUAUAUAAAUGAAAACACAAUUGAAACCCAUCAAACAAAACAAUCCCACAAUUUAAAUGAUUCAAUCCUACUACAAUUGAAAUUCACAGAAAGAAUGAAAAACCAGAACAAAACUGCAGCACCUAAAAAGUUGUCAUACAAAAAAACAUGGAAUGUAAAAAUAUGUUAAGAAAUCUAGUUCGUUAAUUUCCAGCUGCUAAGUGGCAUUAUGUAACUUUAGUAGUAUAACUAAUUAACUACUUAUCUGGUGGGUUGCACUUCUAUCCAAUUGGUAAGGAAAGGAAAAUAAAAAUCAACCCCUUGGUCUUAGUUGUGGCUGCAAAGUGCAGGCCACCACCAAGUCUCAGUGUUUGUGUUUUAGCAAAACACUUAAAUAAAUUAAAUUCUGAAAUGUAAAUUAUAUUCCUAUAACUUUAAGAUGCACAUAUAGUAUUGUUGAAGUCGAACUGAAAGCACUGACAAUUCCAAGCAACAGAGCAGCAAUUAUUAAGAGCCAAAACUCAUUCCUAGUCUCCUCAUCCUGGUACUCAACUCUAAUCUUCGGUCAGCAUCAUUGACUGAAAUUAGGAGAGAAAAAGAAAAGGAAUUUCAGAAAUUGUCUAUGAAGCAAAGGAUACUGCAGUUACUUCAAGACAUGUAAAUUGCAUAUGUAUAAAGUAAUUUUCUACAUAAAGGAAUGAGGCAUAACUUUCUCUCUCCUCUUCAAACCCUAAACAGUGCAAAGCCACAAACUUUACAGAGAUUAGAAUGAGAACUGGAAUUAAUAGAACAAUGACUGAAAAGUAACAUACUUGAGGAGUGAAUGAUUUAGUGUUUCCAUCAUCGGAACGCCGGAGUAAGUCGCUAAGAGAGGUCGCAAACAGCCCAAAGGGACAAACCCAGACCCCCGGCCCCGAUCCAUACCCUUCCCCCUCAAAUCCCGACGGCCCCCAUACUUUUCUCUGACUGUACACCCUCUCCCACUCAUGAAAUCGAGGAUCUGCAGCAAUGGUACUGAGAUCCCCACUCCUCCCUCUCCCUUUCUCUCUGUCGCUCUGUCUCCCUCUCCCACUGUCUGUCUAUCUUUAUCCCAGAGCGGCAUGGUCUCCCAUCCCUGAAACCCUCACCGAAAGGUGGCAAUUUUGUAAAUAACUUGAAAUCCACCAACAGCAGGAGCAGAGAAUUGAAACAAACAUUUAGGCUCGUUCGAUAACCAUUUAGGCCAAAACUGAGCACACCUAAACCAUUCCUACUCGUGCCAAAUGUUAGUGGGGAAGCAAGAUGAUGACUUUAUUGUUCAAAACCAAAAGAAAAAAAGAGAGAAAACAAAAUAACAAAUCUAAUGGUUGUAGUGUAAAAGCUGAGAACGUAAAUAAACAUGCAGAGAAAAAAAUUGAAGAUACAAAGUAGCUGCAUCAUGAAACACUUACUCCAAUUAGACGCAAAAAGUGAUGGUGAUGAGAAGAGAGAGAAAAUGCAAUCGUUUUGAUUUUUCUGGCUUUUAAAGGGAGCAGCUUUCUUCGACCACCCAAAAAAGGAAGCUGCUUCGUAUGGUUGUGAUUUCCUGAGUGUAUGUGAGCGGGUCUAUGGCACUUGCACUUUUUGUGUCGGUUACGGUAACCGGGCGAGCUGAACACGGCGGCAUGGGACUGAAUUCGGAGAGGUGAGAAAAAUUAAAAACACAAAAAGAAGGUGUUCAUUUUGUCACAUUUUUAUUACUAAAAAUUCAAUAAAGUACAUUCAUUAGUAUGGUAACUUAACUAUUUAAUUCCAUCUCAUUAAACUAAAAAAAACAAUUACAAAAAAAUAAGGGAAACCUUGUCCAAAGAGACCUGAGAGAAAGUGACGACUUCUCCUCUCAUUCCACUCCAUACUUGAUCUCUAAAGUCCAUUUGGCAUGUAAUUGAUGUUCAAUUUCAAAUUUAGUGGUAGCAAUUAGCAAAGCUAAUGAAAGAAUCAAAUAAAAUGAAAGAAAAAGCAUCAUGAAAUAAAUCAAGAUGAAGAAUGAAAUUUUGGCAACUCCCCAUUCUCUUCUUUUAUAUAAAAGAUACAUCCUAUUUGUAGUGAAAACAGGUCCCGACAAGCCCAUUUAUCCUCAAGAAGUAUUUUCUAUGACUUUAAAAACAUAAUCUGUGAAAUUAUCUCUUGGCAGAGAACAACAACAAAUCUUCAUGCAUAGCUUGUAGAGAAAGACAUCAGGCAUACAAAAGAACACGCAAGCAUAAAAUAAACGACGCAGGGAAAACAAAAAAUACAAUUAAAUACGCUGUCAAAAGAACAUGAAUAAAUGAAAAUUACAAAACAAAGAAGUGAUGAGAAACCAAAGUACCCAUUUCAUAAUCUAAUUGUUUUUUAGUUUGCUGCCAGCCAUCCCUGAGUAAUGCAUUCACUUCUGAACCCCAAACACACUGAAACAAAAAUUCACACACAUGAACUACAACUCCGCUAUGUAACAAGAAUUAAAAGCAUCUCAAAACAAAAUGGCAAACUAUAAGAGCACUGUAAAAGUAAAAUUGCAAGAAAUCUAAUACUUGGAGGGCAAGUACUAAUCAGACGAAAAUGAAAGAUUGAACUACUUCGCGUGGAACUGUGCCUUGGUUUUUUCCCAUGCUUACAGGAAGCUUUGCACUGAGCCCUUAUAGCCCAAAUUUUCUCUGAAGGAAAAAAAAACACAAUUUUGAAAUAAGAUUUUCAUAUUAUACCUUAAAGAGAAGAAUUAGACAACAAAAAAGAGAAGAAUUAGACAACAAAAAAGAGAAGAAUGAGUACUAUUCAUCAUAUAUUGUUAGAGUAUGUGGUCCUCUGGUCCAAUGGUCCUGCAGCCAUAUUUACUUUAUAACUCUUUCUUUUAGUCUUAAAAACAUCUUGGAUCUCAAAUUAACAUGUUAGCUAUGCGUUAGAACAUAUUGGGUUCAAUCCAUUGUCUUGAAUAUCACCCCCAGUCACAGCUGUCUCUUCGGGGCAUACAGAAGGCCUGAGAGGCAUUUGCAGACAUUCAAUAUCUGCUCCAAGCAUUUCGACAACUUUGGACAACGAAGGGCAAUCACUUGGUUUCAUUUGAAUACACACAAGGCGGUUAUAACCAUCUUUCUUAUCACUUUCUUUUCAUCCUCUGUAACAUUGUCUAUUUCCAAGUCAUUUCCCACAAUAUAUUGAUCAUAUACCCAUAACGGGAAAUAGAUUUGGCUUGGAUGCUCUACCGUUGCAUUCAAAUUCUUCCUUCUGCUUGCCAUUUCCAUCAACAACAUUCCAAAACUAUAGACAUCGGCCUUGUAUGAGACACCUCUAAUAUUUUUGUAGAACAACUCAGGAGCAAUAUAUCUCAUUGUACCCCGUGCUGCCGUCAAAGAGACAAUGCUAUUAUCUACUGGAUACAAUUUUGCAAGCCCAAAGUCAGAAACCUUUGUGUUUGCACUCAAAAUAUACCCAUUUUUACUUAUUUGGGCAAUUUGGGUAAAAUAUGGUAUUUGAAGGAUUAAUAUGCAAGAAAACUAACUUGGAAAGAUAUUUGGCUGCAAGUGGGGGGGGUUUGGCACUAUAAUAUUGUUUUUCCCAUUUGUUUAGGUGGUGGAGGUUUGUCAAGCCUUUGUUUAAUCAAGAUACAUGCAUGUAUUGCAAGUGGAUGGGAGAGCUUUCGGGCAAGAACGUGUAGUGAAAGAAGCUAGUUUGCUUCUUUUAAUUAUUUUAUUGCAAGUGGGAAAAUACAUGUGGUGGAGAUGCAACUUGCUUCUUUUUUAAUUGUUAGUUUAUUACAAGUGGGGAAACAUGUGCUAAAAACAUGUGGUGGAGAUGCAAGUUUCCCUUUUAAUAUUGUUUCUACAUGCAAGUUGGCAAAUGCAAAUGCAAGCUGCCCAAGCUUCUUUCGGGCAGGUACAAAGAUCUUAGCAAGGGGGCUCUUCCAGACCUCUAUAUAAAGAAGCAGAUGGAGAAGGAUUAUGGACACUCAAAACAACCAAUCAAAACUCUACUCAAAUUAGCUCAUCAGCUUCCUUGUAGACAUUUAUUUUUAGCCAAGCAUCCUUUGCUUUUCUUGUUUAUUAGCUCUGCUACUCACUUGUAGUAUCGAUCUUAUUUGUAGCUUUUAUGUACAACCCUCUUUCAGUCAUUUAAUCUACAAGCAAUCUGCAAUAUUAGUCACUUUCCUCUGUCAUUUAUAUUUCCAAGCAACCUUGUCAUUUACAUAUUGUUCUAUCUCUCCAUAUAAGUAAAGUCCUUAUUUUUAAGGCAAACAAAGAACCUUAAUUUGAGUAACUCUCACUCAAUGGCACAAUCUCUUGGUUCGAAGUCAAUCUCAGGCGCAACCUCAAUCAUUCAGAAUCUGUCUACUAACGGUAUCUAGUAGUGGCAUGCCCGCACCCCACCAAUCUCGUAUGUGAAGUAAAUCCCCGGCUUGCCCGCAAGGCGCCAUGGCGAAUUUAGGGAGCAAACAUAUUUUGGCACACCCGGUGGGAUACCUUAAAUAGAGUUAUAUUAUGAGCAAUCCUUAUGUUCAUGAUUUUUCUCAAUAUGCUUUUUCGGAGUAUGAGGAGGAUGACGGUGUUGAAGAGCGCCCAAGCUAUGGCUAUCACAUAGAGCCAACCUAUGAGUUGUCAACUUAUGGGUACAUGGCUGAAAAGUACUCAAGUCCCAUGGAACAUGAUUGUCGGCCAACUAAUGGCCAUCAAAUAAAUAAUAAUCUUGAAGAUUGGCCAACUUAUGGCUAUGAUGAAGGUUAUUAUUCUUUUGAAGACAAUCAUAUUCAUGAAUACUAUGAUAGGCCAACAAAUGGCUUUGAGUAUCAAAAUGCUUCCAAUGAGUACAUAGAGCCAAUAUAUGAGAUACCAACUCAUGAUCAUCCAGAUGAAAAGCUCUACAAAGAGGAUGUGGGCAAAUUAGAGAAGGUGUCCAAACUCCAUGUGGCAAGCAUCGAUAUGGUGAAGAGGUGACCAAGUGUUUUAGAAAGGUGGAGGAAAGCUAUACCACUUUUGGAGAAACUUUGAGAAAGUUGAUAGAUCAAAUGUGUCAAAUCCCCUCUACAAAGCACACUCACCCUACUACAACCAAGGAAGAACAAAUCAUACACGUUGAUGAAGGCCAAACAAUGGCCCCACCCAAUGAAAAAUCCAUGAAAAUGGAUAUGGUUGUAGAAGGCCAAGCCGACAUAUUGAAACCGAUAACGGCUAAGAUGGAGCUUAUGGCUAUUGUAGGCCAAACACCAACGCUCGGGGGGCUCGAACUCACACCUCAUGUGGAGCCCGAAGAAGAAGAAAAUAUUUCCCACUCUCUUCUCCGCCAACACAAGCAUGUCAUCCAUACCAAGAUCUCAAGAAGGGCAAAGCUUGGGAUCAAACAUAAAUGGCCACCUCCUAUUGUUUCCAAGCUAUAUGGUAUGGCUAAUUUAAAUGGUGGAUCUAAUCUCUCUACACUCAAUUUUAAAAAGAGAAAAAGAUUUGAGUGUUAAGAGAUAUCUGGGCAAUCAAGGGGCUUAACCAAUAUGCCCAAGUGGGGCUUAUUUUGUUGUUUCCUCUUUUGCCUGAAGUUGAACUCCCAGUCUUCCUUUUCUUCUUUCCUUCUCUCUUUCCUUUUCUUUCUCUCCUGUUUCCUUUUGCCCGAAAGUAGGUGCCAAAUCCCUCCUCUAUUCCUUUUUCUUUAUUUCUUUCUCUUUGUCUUAUCUUGUCUUUCACUUUUCCCAAAAGGGCUAUAUAUAUACAGAGAGCUUAAGGGGAGGGAUCCCCAUUUUUUGAAAAAAAUGGGGAUUAGGUGUGGGGCCCACUUCACAUUGAACUUCAACAAUCCGAACCGUCUAUUUUGUUAGUCUCGAUUCAUAGAUCAUCCUUGCAAAAAUUCAAUUCAAUCCGAAACCAUUUGCCUAUUUAAUUAUCAAGAUCAAAUUUCAUUUUUUCUUAUAUAACAAAGUAUUCGUUUAUUUCAUUGAACCCAAUUAGAUGUCUUAAACAUUUCCAAUUUAGCUAAUAUUUUGCAAGGAUGAUCUAUGAAUCGAGACUAACAAAAUAGAUAGUUCGGAUCGUUGAAAUUCGAUGUGAAGUGGGCCCCACACCUAAUCCCUAUUUUUUUCAAAAAAUGGGGAUCCCUCCCCUUAAGCUCUAUAUAUAUAUAUAUAUAUAUAUAUAUAUAUAUUAUAUGUGAAAAGAGGGGAAUGGAAGUACUUUGCCCGAGUGGGCUUGUUAUAUAUAUUAUUUUAUAUAUUAUAUUAUAUUAUAGUUUUGAAAGUCAUUCAAAAAAAAAAAAAAAAAAAAAUCUGAGCAGUUUGCCCGAUUCCCUUUUCUUCAAAAUUUGCCCAAAUUGGUUCUUUCUUUUACUUUGGUCUGUGUUACCCGAGAGGGCUUUGUCCCUUUUUGUUUCUCUUGCUUUGGUUGCCUGACAGUCUUCCCUUUUAUUUGUUCUUUCACUUUUUCCAGCCAACCCAACAGGGCCUUUAAUUUCCUUUUUCUGUUUGCCCGAAAGGGCUCUGUUUUUUUGUGUGUUUCUUGUGCUGUUACAAAGAAAAAGAUAUAAAAAUUAAAAAUUCCAAAAAUCACAAAAACAUUUUGCUUUCUUGCUUUUGUUUUUUCUUGCUUUCUUUCCUUUUUUGUUUUCUUGCUGGGGAACUUUACAGAAAAUAUCAAAAAGUUGGGCAGCUUGUGAGUAGCCAUUUUUACCUUUCUUUCCACUUUUCUCUUAUCCAAUGAGUGUAUUUAGCCCGAACCCAAAAGUUGAAAUUAGAAAACCAUCUAGUGGCUGUACCCAAAUUCAUGGAAUGAGGAGUUUCAUAAAAAGCCGAAUCUAUGGCUUUCUUGCUGAAAAGCAUGUCAUCUGUGUCUCAAUGGCUAUUGCAAGAAAGCAUGGGGCUAUCUUGCCCAACUGGUGGUGCCCGAUGGAACCAUAACCAUGCCUGACGGUAAUGACGUCUUCCCUACUCACCACCAACAGACUCUGCAUGUCUCCCUAACGCUCACCAGUUCCUACAACCAAGGGUCGGGCUACUUUGACGACUACCAUUAGAGGCUACAGUAAGAGCUUUUGAUGUGGCUACUAUUAAUCACUGGAGACUAGUUUUCAUGGGUAAGAAAAUAGAAAAAUGGAGCUGCAUCUAAAUGUGAAAUCCGAAAGCUGGAGGAAGAUGACAGAAAAUUAUGUUGCUGUUGCCCGAGGAUGCUACAAUCUUGCCCGAUGAGCAUGACAUCUUCUCUGUUGCAAUUUGUUUAGAUGUUGUCAAUCAUAUAUGGGGCCCCAUGCUUGAUCUGGCAAACGUAUUUGAAGUGUUCAUGCCACUACAACCAGCAAUAAAUCAAGACCAGAUCUCUGAAGGAUUCUGCAGAUCGGUCGGUUCACUCAGACAUAACCACCUCCCUCCGAGCGGAACAAAAGCAACAGUGCAAAGUAGACAGCAUUACCUUGAUUUGGGAAGCAGAAUUCUGAACCUCAAGCAGGAUCUCUUGAUACGCAGGAGUUGGAGUAAGGAAACAAUGGCAGCCAACAUAAUAGCCGCAGCUUCGAAGCCAGACCUACCCGGCCUUCGGUCGUCAUCUUUAACCCCUUGGAGCUUCACCACUGGUUGAAGGAAGUAUGCAGAAAUUUACCUUUGCAGACGGAGCUUGGUUUACAUUUGCCCAGUUAAAAAGGAGGAGGAAGGGAUUGGAUCUCCAACAAACACUAAUAGCUUUCCGUUCUUUCUGCAACAAUCAAUUUUCAUGAUCCGUGGACUUGGGUUAUUUUCUUCACGCACGCACAAGGCAUACCCUUUCAUAGCUCCAGGAAAAAUCACCACUCUCUUCUCAUUUGACCAGCAGCUCUCUCUCUCUCUCUCAGACUUGGAUUAUGGUUGCCGCACCUUGAUCUUUAAGUGAUACCUCGAACAGAGAAACAACUUCUCUUUUGGAGAAGAGGAAAGGCUAGAGAACGACCCACGUUCAUCUUUUUCUCUCUAUCUCUCUCUCUCUCUAUCUAUCUCUUUCUUUUUCCUUUUCUUUUUCUUUUCUCUUGCUUUCUGUUCCUUUUCUUUUUCUUUUCUCUUGCUUUCUGUUCCUUGUCCCUUUCUCAAGGUAUGUCCUUCACUUGGCCCGAAAGGGCAGCAUACUAUAUAUAUUAUAGUAUGUGGCCUAAGAAAGAAAGUCUAGUCCUUUUUAUUAUUUCUUUUCCUCUUAUCUUUUUGUCUCUCUCUCUUUCUUUUCCUUCCUUUCUCUUUCUUCCUGUCUAUUUUUUCUUUUUGUUUUGAGUUGCCCGAAAGGGCUUUAUAUAUAUAUAUAUAUAUAUAUUAUAUUUGAAAAAGGCAAAAAGAAAAAGAUAAAAAAUAAUAGUUGCCAAAGUUUAUUUAUGUUUUAUCCUUCUUUUCCAGUUGUCCGACUUCGGGCAUUUUCAGUUUAUUAUCUAUGUAACCAGUGAAGAUGCUCUUAUGUUUUUUGGUAUCAACAAGAAGGAUGCACAAGUCAGACAACAUUUUUUUCCAAUGCUAGUUGCACUACCAAUUGCCUUGCUCCUCUUGCCAAAGUUUAUCAACGACGGCAGGACCGAAGAGGUAGACGUGCCUCUUCCUUCGACAUCAUUCUUGGCAGCAUUAGAGUUGUAAGUUUCACAAACUUUGCUCAAAUUUGUAAAACUUGGGGGGCACUGUUUGCACUCAAAAUAUGCCAAUUUUUACUUAUUUGGGCAAUUUGGGUAAAAUAUGGUAUUUGAAGGAUUAAUAUGCAAGAAAACUAACUUGGAAAAAUAUUUGGCUGCAAGUGGGGGGGGGGUUGGCACUAUAAUAUUGUUUUUCCCAUUUGUUUGGGUGGUGGAGGUUUGUCAAGCUUUUGUUUAAUCAAGAUACAUGCAUGUAUUGCAAGUGGAUGGAAGAGCUUUCGGGCAAGAAUGUGUAGUGAAAGAAGCUAGUUUGCUUCUUUUAAUUAUUUUAUUGCAAGUGGGAAAAUACAUGUGGUGGAGAUGCAACUUGCUUCUUUUUUAAUUGUUAGUUUAUUACAAGUGGGGAAACAUGUGCUAAAAACAUGUGGUGGAGAUGCAAAUUUCCCUUUUAAUAUUGUUUCUACAUGCAAGUUGGCAAAUGCAAAUGCAAGCUGCCCAAGCUUCUUUCGGGCAGGUACAAAGAUCUUAGCAAGGGGGCUCUUCCAGACCUCUAUAUAAAGAAGCAGAUGGAGAAGGAUUAUGGACACUCAAAACAACCAAUCAAAACUCUACUCAAAUUAGCUCAUCAGCUUCCUUGUAGACAUUUAUUUUUAGCCAAGCAUCCUUUGCUUUUCUUGUUUAUUAGCUCUGCUACUCACUUGUAGCAUCGAUCUUAUUUGUAGCUUUUAUGUACAACCCUCUUUCAGUCAUUUAAUCUACAAGCAAUCUGCAAUAUUAGUCACUUUCCUCUGUCAUUUAUAUUUCCAAGCAACCUUGUCAUUUACAUAUUGUUCUAUCUCUCCAUAUAAGUAAAGUCCUUAUUUUUAAGGCAAACAAAGAACCUUAAUUUGAGUAACUCCCACUCAAUGACACAAUCUCUUGGUUCGAAGUCAAUCUCAGGCGCAACCUCAAUCAUUUAGAAUCCGUUUACUUGCGGCAUCUAGUAGUGGCACGCCCGCACCCCACCAAUCUCGUAUGUGAAGUAAAUCCCCGGCUUGCCCACAAGGCGCCAUGGCGGAUUUAGGGAGCAAACACUUUGCUUUAAAGUUCUCAUCAAGAAGGAUGUUAUGAGGCUUGAUGUCGAAAUGUAGAAUUUGCAUUUUGCAACCUUGAUGUAGAUAUUGUUGACUUUUGUAUUUUAGGUAGGAUCCCUAAUUGAUAUGUAAUCCCAUGUAAUCACUUGUAAUUAGUUUUUCUUUCCUUUUAUGUUAGGGUUGUACACCUAUAAGUUCCUCUUAUUGAGAAGAAUAUAUCAUCAUUCAAAGCAUUCUCUUCUUGGCACCAGAGCCUAGGUUUUGAAAAGAAAAAAAAAAGAAAAGAAAGAGGAGACGAGAUCGUGCUCUGUACGGAAAACCAUAACUACCAGCCGCACAGCCAGUUGUGCAGCGCCGUCCGACCAGCAAGCGACGCCGUCGUUUCUGACCCGAGAACCCGAACUACCCGCCAUGCACCCAGGUGUGCAGUGUGCCGAUCAACCAGCGAGCGACGCCGUCGUUGCUGAUCCGAGUUCACCGAGCCACUCCCUGCAUCUACCACCACGAACCGAGAUUCAACCCACUGCCUGAAAUUUGUCCCAGAUUUCGGCCUGUGUAUCUGUUUUGCGUGCCCAGAUUCGAUUGAACCGAGUGCACCCACUUCACAAUGGCUCCCUGUGCUUGUCCUUUUUCAAAUGGAUUUGACCGAACCGGACAUGAGAGUAGGACCGAUCGAGACCAGUUCAAGACUUGUGAUCCCCACUGUAACAAGUCGUGUACCUCGAUUGUCGAAUCGAAAAUAGAUUCUAAUAUAGGUAACAAAGGUAAGGCUUUAAAAGUUUCUGCAUCUGUUACGAAUAAUACAUGGAUAAUUGAUUCCGGUGCUACUGAACAUAUGACUUGUGAAUCUAGGCAGGUACAAAUCCUAAAACCACCCACCAAAACUGUUGUGAGUGUUGCCAACGGUAAUGUUGUUCUCAUUAUUGGAGAAGGCACUGUCUCCCUGUCAAAUACCCUUAGUCUUGAUACCGUGCUUGUUGUUCCUUCUCUUGACCAUAAUUUAUUAUCUGUUGCUCAAAUAACUGUCGCCCUGCAUUGUCUUGUGAUUUUUUGGCCUUCCUUUUGUGUUUUUAAGGACAUUCGGACUCACAAGACGAUUGGUUAUGGUAUUAGGAAGGGGAAGCUCUAUUACUUGGAGCUGACAUCAAACAGUUUUCGAAUGUUGACUCACGCUCUUGCAGUGGACGGAAAUUCGGGGGAUAGGAAUAAAGCUUCGGAGGUUUGGUUGUGGCAUCGUCGACUUGGACAUGCUUCUUUCGGCUAUCUACGGAGGUUGUUUCCUAGCCUAUUUGUUAAGCAUGAUGUUUCUAGCUUUAAAUGUGGUGUUUGUGAACUAGCUAAAAGUCAUCGUGCUUCGUUUCCAUCCAGUUUGAAUAAAAGUUCUGUUCCAUUUAUGAUAAUUCAUUCUGAUGUUUGGGGUCCAUCUAAAACUGCUACAUUUGGUGGUGCUCAUUGGUUCGUUACUUUUAUUGAUGAUUGCACACGUAUGACUUGGGUUUGUUUGAUGAAAUCCAAAGGUGAAGUUACUUCUUUGUUUCAACAGUUUUACAAAAUGGUACAAGUACAAUAUAAGUCACAAAUACAGGUUCUCAGGAGUGAUAAUGGUGGCGAAUAUGUUAACUCUGAACUUCGUGCCUUUCUUGAUCAUCAUGGGAUUGUUCAUCAAACUACAUGUCCAUAUACUCCACAACAAAAUGGGGCUGCCGAAUGCAAGAACCGUCAGCUUCUGGAGGUUGUUCGUGCUUCUUUACUCGAGGCUCGUCUCCCGUUAUCCUAUUGGGGAGAAGCUCUCACCUCAGCUGCGUAUCUCAUUAAUCGUGUUCCAUCCCGAUCGGUUGAUUUUCAGACACCCCUUCAGGCAUUUUCUUUACAUGUUGAUGCUCCUGCAUUCCCUAAUCUUCCACCUCAUGUGUUUGGAUGUGUGGCCUUCGUUCAUCUUCAUAAACAACAGCGAAGUAAGCUUGAACCUCGAGCCUUACGAUGUGUGUUUGUGGGGUAUGCAUCAAGGCAGAAAGGAUACCGUUGUUAUCACCCACCGACGAAUAAGUUGUUUGUCACUAUGGAUGUUGCGUUUCAUGAGAAUGAUAUGUACUUUGCCAAUCUCGAGUCUUCACUUCAGGGGGAGAAUCAGAAAGAAGUUCAAACUCUUGAUUAUACUAUUCCAGAUAUAGAUAGAGUGAAUGAUUUGGAUUUAAGUGGUGAUGUCUUGGAAAUAAGUGGUGAUCAUUCACACGAAAAUAAUGAUGUGAAUGAAUUGGAAUUAAGUGGUAAUGUCUUGGAGACAAGUGGUGAUCAUUCACAUGGAAACAAUGUUGAAAACCUUGAAAGGGAUGAGUCGACAUCGCCAGAUAACUCACUGCCUGAUAGCUCACUGCCAGUUUCCUCACCACCGGACAACCCUGUGUCGCCAGCUACCUCACAGUCGAUCUUGAGUCCCAAUAACCAUAAUCAAUCGUCUUCGAUCCCGGAUGCACCACCACCACGUCGUCUCCCUGAUCGCAUCAACCGAGGUAUUCUUAAACUUACUUAUGAAGCCGACCCUAAAUGCAAAACUAGGUAUCCGGUGAGUAAGCCCAACCCUGAGUCUAAUGUGUUAUACCCGUUAAGUAAUUAUGUGUCUACCAGUCACCUGUCAGAAUCAAAUAAGUCAUUUGUGCAUCAAUUAUCUACUGUAUCUAUUCCUAACAGUGUGUAAGAGGCUUUAACUGAUCCACGUUGGCAAGUAGCAAUGAAUGAAGAGUUGAAGUCUUUGAAGAAGAAUGCUACCUGGGAGAUCACAGAUUUGCCAGCUGGCAAGAAACCUGUGGGAUGCAAAUAGGUCUAUACUGUGAAAUACAAAGCAGAUGGGACGGUGGAUCGUUUCAAGGCAAGACUGGUAGCAAAAGGAUAUACUCAAAAAUAUGGAAUCGACUACACAGAUACAUUUGCAGGAGUAGCCAAGAUCAACACAGUUCGUGUUUUGUUGUCCUUGGCUGCAAAUCUUAAUUGGCCUUUACAACAGUUCGAUGUGAAGAACGCCUUCUUGCAUGGAGACUUGACAGAAUAAAUUUAUAUGGAUCUUCCACCGGGAUGUAAUGCUCCAGAUAAAUACAAAAGAAAAGUGUGCAGAUUGAAGAAAUCUUUGUAUGUCUUGAAGCAGUCCCCUCGAGCAUGGUUUGGAAGAUUCACAAAAUCUAUGAAAGCAUUUGGUUACAGACAAAGUAACUCUGAUCAUACUUUGUUCCUGAAAAGACAGAAUGGGAAGCUUACUGCACUUAUUGUGUAUGUAGACGAUAUGGUGGUAACAGGUAAUGAUCCGGAAGAACGUGCGGCCUUGCAAAGAUACCUGUCUACAGAAUUUGAAAUGAAUGACCUUGGAUCCCUGAAAUAUUUUUUAGGGAUUGAGGUGUCGAGAAGCAGUUCUGGAAUUUUCUUGUCUCAGAGGAAGUAUAUUAUUGAUUUGUUGCACGAAACUGACAUGUCAGCUUGUCAGCCAGUAGCUACACCAUUAGAAGAAGGAUUGAAGCUUAGUGUUGAUCCUAAUCAAGUACCAAUUGACAAAGGAAGAUACCAAAGGUUAGUAGGCCGUUUGAUGUAUUUGGCACACACAAGACUGGACCUUGCUUAUGCCUUGAGUGUAGUGAGUAAAUACAUGCAUGAUCCUGGAGAACAACAUAUGAAUGCCGUGACGAGAAUAUUGCGAUAUUUGAAGGGAAGUCCGGGCAAAGGAAUUUUGUUUAAGAGGAAUAAUCACUUUAGUGUUGAAGGUUAUACUGAUGCAGACUGGGCAGGUUCCAUUGAUGAUAGACGCUCAACAUCAGGUUACUUUACGUUUGUUGGGGGUAACUUGGUUACAUGGAGAAGUAAGAAACAGAAUGUGGUUGCCCGUUCCAGUGCAGAAGCAGAAUACAGAGGUAUGGCUUUGGGGAUUUGUGAAAUUUUGUGGCUUAAGCUUCUGUUAAGCGAUUUGGGUAUACAACAUGAUCAGCCCAUGAAAUUAUUUUGUGAUAAUAAAGAUGCUCGUGACAUUGCACAUAAUCCGGUACAACAUGAUAGAACAAAGCAUGUUGAAGUUGAUUGGUUCUUCAUCAAAGAAAAAUUGGAAGGGAAAAUAAUUGAAGUACCAGCGAUAAGAACAGAAGAUCAGUUGGCAGAUAUCCUCACAAAAGCUGUUUCGAGUCACAAGUUUUCAAGUUUCUUACACAAGUUAGGCAUGAUCGACAUAUAUUCACCAACUUGAGGGAGAGUGUUGACUUUUGUAUUUUAGGUAGGAUCCCUAAUUGAUAUGUAAUCCCAUGUAAUCACUUGUAAUUAGUUUUUCUUUCCUUUUAUGUUAGGGUUGUACACCUAUAAGUUCCUCUUAUUGAGAAGAAUAUAUCAUCAUUCAAAGCAUUCUCUUCUUAUAUUCGAUCCCUUGACUCCAAGAGAAAUCUUGUACAUAGUCUUGAUAGUUAAGGGAGACUUCCUUAUUUGGAAUAAAUGUAUUUAUCAAGAGAGUCAUUAGGUAUGAAGUCAUAUAUUAGAGCGCUCUUUGAUCCCUCGACACAAUAUCCAAAAAGUUGCACCACAUUGGCACGGUGAAUCCUUCCGAUUGUAGCUAUUUCGCUAAUGAAAUCUUGGCCAUCAGCUUUGGGCUUGCCCAAAACUUUAACUGCUACAAAUCGGCCACUGCGUAGCUUUCCUUUAAAUACAAAGCCAAAGGCACCUUCGCUCAACUUGUCCUUAAACCUGCAAGUCAUUUUCUUGAUGUUCGAGUAAGAGUACCUUAUAGGCAUGAAGUUAUUGCAUUGCAAAAAAUCUUCUAUUGUGCUAUACAUUGAUAAAUGUCUUUUGCGCCAUGUAGAUUAAAAAUGCAGUCACAACUACAACUCCAAAAACAAAUCUGGCUAGGAAAAAUAACCCUGCAUGCAUUGACAUUAGUAUGUUAGAUCCACUGUACUACUUUUUCUUCCCUUUCUUUCCAAAUUACUUUGUCUUUGAUGUAAUUAAAGAGAGAAUGGGAAAUCUACAUAUGCUGAUAAUACAAUCUCGUAUUAGUUCUUACCGAUGCAUAUGAGUAUAAACCAUCCACGUACUGCAACAUAAUUAAUCGACAAUGAGUUUCAAAAGUGCAUAAAGUGAAGAAAAAAAAAUUUGAAAAAAAUCAAAGGGUGCCUCUAUUGACACCCAAAUUUUAGUUAGUUUCACUCAACUAAAAAAAAAAUUCAUCGAACUUUUUAAUUUGCCUUCGAAAUUGAGUUCACCCAACCCACCAACCAGCAAGCACCACUCAACCAAAAAAUGAACAACACAAAGAGCUGGCAUCGACGCUGUCGAUGAAGGAGGGACAUGAGGAUGGUGUAGUUUCGUCUGGCGCGCGGUAGUGGUUUUGUCUGUUCAUUUUCUCUUUCUUUUGGUAGGUGGAGGCUGGUGUGGAUUUGGGCGAACUUAAAAAUGAGGGGAAACUAUGAAGUUUGACAAAAUGUUUUAGUUAGGUGAACUUAACUAAAAUUUGGGUGCUAAAAAAGGUACCCAAAAUCAAAAGGCUUUUGUUUACCCAAUGCUAUGUACAGGUUUGACUUUUGUUUAUAUUCUUGGAUCUGUUGCUUGGUUGUAUAAUUUGGAUGUGGUUUUGUUUCAAGAUAAUUUGUUCUUCGUUUCUUGAGGCUUUUGUGUGUAGAUUUGAAACCGUUUAGCUUUCAAGCCGUUUAUACUCAAGGUAAAUAAUUUCGUUUUUUUCUUUUUAACCUUUUUUGUAAGAAUUUUUUAUUUAAUUUUGUGAGAGUUGUGUUUUCUAUAGUAUGAAAAUUGAAUCUUUGUGAUCUUAUAUCCUUAGAUAUGUUGCUUGGUUAUAUGAUUUGGCUGUGUGCAUUGUUUCAGGACAAUUUGUUCUUCGUUUUUGGGGCUUCUGUGCGUAGUUUUGAAGCCUUUUGUAGUCAACAUAAAUAAUUUUAUUUUUCUUUGUUUCUAGUCUUCUUUGUAAGAAUUUCUUAGUUAAUAUUUUGAGAAUUAUGUUUACUAUAGUAUGAAAACUGAAUCUUUGUGAUCUUCUAAGUGAUGUAACGUCAUUGCACCAUGUAUGACUGCCAUUAUCGAACAUGAAAAGCUUUUUUAUUUCUGUACUCCGUCCUUUCAUACGAUCUGCCUCAAAAAUGGUUUCAUUACAAGUUCUAACAUGAUUUUUGCGAUGUCUUAUGAAAAAACAAUGUCCACCAAAACAAUAGGAAAACGUCGCCGUCUGCUCUUCUUGGCUGAGCUUCAUGACUGGCCGAAUUCCCCUAUUCCCUUCCUCUUAUACUUUUUUGUAUUCGUUCACCAAAACAAUAGGAAAACGUCGCCGUCCGUUUGAUUGACGGCGAAAGAAAAAGACAGAGAAUAAAAGCCUGACGGAAUAUUGCGAUUUGAGAAAAAAAAGAAAGAACCACGUUGACAUAAUAUACUCACAAUAGGUGUACAAGGUUAAUAAAGCUUUACUGUGGUUCCAUUUUUUUGCAUACUUCAAAGGCUCUGAAUUGCUAAUGGAAUUAGCCUUUAGUUUUAGGAAGAAACUUGGAACCCCCUCCGUCCGUUCUAUCCCCAAUGGAAUUAACACUUGGAUAGUACUAUGACAAUGUGUCAUUAUUUGAUGCAUACCUGUAUAAAUUUAGGCUAAGUGUUUUAUACACAAAUUGGUACAGAUUAAGCUUCUGGGAGCAAAAUCAUAUACGGGAGAGCUAACUAUACAAUGAUACAUUCUUAUCUGUUAAUUAUCUUUGGUUACCAGCUAUCCAUGUUGCUGACAUAUUAAAUUACACAACAUCUAUUGUAAUUUAUGUCUUAUUAGUAACAUAAUGAUCUGGUUUCAAUUUGCUACAGGCAUUAUUUCCUGACAAUAGCUAUGGUUUUGAUUAUAGCUGUGACUGAAAAAUUAUUCCGAAACUAACAUUUGAGGAAUUCAAGGUUUGUUAGUUAAUUUGUACAUCAGAAUACCAUGACAAACUGUGAAGUUGUAAUUGUUGACCUUACAAUGUAUCUUUUUUGGUUUGGAGCAUUAGACUUAUAUGUGCUACUUUCACUUCAUGAAGGCUAACUCUUUAUUUUAGGCCUUAGAAUAUAAUUUCUUGGAGAAUCUACAUUGUUGUUGAUAAUUUUUUGAACAAUAUUAUCCCCAAAAUUUCUCCGCAUGUUACCCUCAACGUAGACAUCAUAUAACCAUCAUUGAACUUCUGAACCAAAAAUUUGAGUUUUGUGAUUAUAACUAAACAUCUAUAAACACAUGAUACAGAUUGAGACGAACGUCAAAUUUAAAAUGGCAUUAAUCAGGACAGCUGCAAACUCUGAUUUGCGGCCUUUGAAAUGGAGAAGUUACUUCUUGCUUCACUUCAGCAGCAUAGUCCAGCUUCUAAAUUCAGUUCUCAGGUAUGAGGUUUCUCAGUUACCUCUUUUUUGUAAUAAAACAUUUGACCAGUACUUGCCAGGAUAUCCAAUUAAUUAGGUCAGUUUUUGUCAGCCGUAAUAAUUUGUUUUUGCAACUUUAUAUGUGUCUCUGUCUCCAAAUGAUGAUCUCUUAAUUUGCUUCUAUAGCUUUUGUAAUAUGAUGAUCUCUUAAUUUGCUUUUGCAUAUCUUCUUUGCUUCCUCUGCUAGCUCUAUAUGAGAUUCCAUCUCCAAAUAAUUAUUAUUAUUUCCUAUUUUUACAGGAAGCAAAUCAUUGAAUACACAUGGAAAAUUAAAAGGGUUUUAGUUUUUGGAUUAGUUUAAAUUUUUUGUUUGUUAUUGCUUGUAUUGCUGUUAAAUAUUUGAUGGGUAGUUUGAAAUGGGGAACUUGGUUGAUCGAGUAUUAACUUUUAUUAAAUUAAUAUUCUUAUUCAAUAUUGAAUUAAGACUCCUCUUAUUAAAUUAAGACUCUUAAGGCUCUAAUCUAAUUUUCAUGCUCAACAUCUCCUCUAUCUUUCUACAAUUGGUAAAACUUUUGUAUUAUUAUUCCAAUUUUGGUUACUGGGUUGUGGAAUUUUCCAUUUUUUUCUGGGUAAUCAAUACUAUAUAUAUGCAUGAAAAGUAUAAACAAUAUUUUGGGUCAAAUUUAGUUGUUUAAUUUUUUAUUUUUUUUGUGACAGUGAGAUUAUGGUAGGAUUUCGUUUAGAUUCCGUGGCCCAAUGGGAGUCUCUGCUUUGAUAAGAUUGGGGUUGAUGCCAAGAAAGCCUUUCUACUGUGGACGCCGCAGCCGCCUAGCGCUGUUUUCCAAAAUCCUCUCUCACUUGGGUAAGCAAUUACGACUUUUUGGUUCAGUUUUUAUUAUGCCCAAUUUUGUAUUUAAACUGAUUUGGGGUUACUGAAAUAGGCAUGCUUGAUGAGUGCUGCAGAGCUGCCAUCCCUGAAUCAGAAGAUGUUCAGAAGGAAGAAGGAAGAACAAGAAGAAAAAGAAGAAGAAAGUCGUGGAAUAUCAAAAGCUUUUAGCUUUGUGAAGGUAUGCUUUUUCCCAACUCAUCUCUUGCUUUUGUUGCACUGAAUUGGUAGAUUGGGUUCAAAAUAUAUAUAUAUGUGAUUUUUUGUGUAACUAUUCUUUACAUAAUUACCAAUUGGAGGUGAUUUGAGAUCAUGUAACAUUUCCUCGCCAGAACCGAAGAUUGCCGUCGCUCAAAGCUGCGUUUCAUGAAACAAGUUCAUCUCCUGCCAAUUUUGUGUACCCACUUUUUAUUCAUGAGGGUUGGUGCUUGCUUGCAACAUAAUUUGGUGCUAUUAAGUUUUGCGGUUUUACAAUCUGUUCAUGCUUAAACCUCUUUCAAAUUUUCAUUUCUGUGUAAAUCUAGCAGGUAGGUCGACACACCUAUCUGGGCAAUGUCGGGAUGUCUAGGCUUGGGUGGAGACAUGGACUUAUGAAAGAGGUGAAGUAGCUUAGUUCGAUCUCAUUAGCUCUUAUCUAAAAAGUUCUAUUGAUUUUAUAAUCAAAGAUACAUAUAUUAUAGAAACAUAGGGUAUAUCAUUAAUUUCUUGAUGUAAACAAUUAUAACUUGAGCAACCAUUUAAAGUAUUUUGGUAAUCAGCAUACUUAAACUUAAAUGUGAUAUAUCCGUUUAGUUUUUUUUUUUAUACAGUGAUAAUACUCAAGUAUAAUUUACAUCAUAUAUCUUUUGAAGUACAUGAAACUAUGAAGAAAAUGAUAAACCAAAUCCCAUUCCAUCUCCGUUUGCUACUGCACAAUCACAAUCCAAUUCCAACAUGGAAUCCUCAGACGACAUGCCUACUGCAGAACAAGUUUCAUCUUGACUUAACUUCUAUUUAGUCCACUUCUUGUUUAGAUUGUAAUCCUAGUUCUACGUGUGUUUGUAUAGUACUCCUAUAAAUAUCAAUGAACAUCGCUCACUCUAAUUAAGAGUUGAGAUUCUGCAAAUCAUAUUUACUAUCUUUCAUGGUAUCACGAGCCAGGGUCUAACGACAACAGUUCAUGUUAUAAUUUUUUUCUCUUCUGCAGAUCCUAAACUAUGGCAUCUUCUUCCUCCUCCGCUGCUCCCUCCGUCUCAAAUUUUCUUACGAUUAAGCUCGACCGCAACAACUACCCUCUUUGGCGUGCUCAAUUUCUUCCCUUGCUGCGCAGCCGCAACUUACUCUCUUAUGUUACUGGCGAAACUCAAUGCCCCUCUGCCUUUCUUCUUGAUGACAAUGGUAAAUUCACAGACAAAGUCAAUCCAUUAUAUAAUGAAUGGAUCCAGACUGACGAGAUGAUCCUAUCUUGGAUUACGAGUUCUCUUACUCCCAAGGUUCUUGCUACGAUCGUCAACAAAAUUGAUAAAGCCUCUGCUUGGUCGUCAAACCCGAAUUAAUCUGAUUAUGGGGGUUUUGUUUUAUAUCAAUAUAUUGCAGCAGAAGUCGCACUUUGAAGAGUUCGUGCUGCACAGAAAGAUGAUGAAAUGCUACCUGUUGAGUCUAUCAUUGCUCCAUUGGAGACAGAGCUGAAGCUUGCUGCAGGAGUUAUACAUUUGUUAUGCAAUAUGACCCCUUUAAUUUUAUUUUAAAACUGAUACAAAAAUACUACAAAAAUUUAUGUAGUAUUUUUGUAUCAGUUUUGAGUGUCUAUUUUGGCUUCCAUAUUUCGUCUGUACAUGUGAGAGGUAUAGUGUUCAAUAUGUAUUUGGUUUCUAUAUUGUUAAUGGAUCUUCUUUUUUUUCUUUUUUUUUCUUUUUUUUUAAAGAUAACCAAGUUGCAGGAUGACAGCAGAACACUUGAUCUGCAGGUAAACCUUCAAUUUCCAUAUGAAGUUUGCAUGUUCGUUGUUUCUGGAAUUUGAGUUUUUAUUAUUUAUCAAUUCUAUCACAUAGAUUACGAUUUCACAUAUGGGAUUAUUAAUGGCAAUUAGAUGAUAGAAGAAUUGGGAUUGGAAGAAGAUAUUGAGUUGUUUAUUUAUGGGGAUUAGAAAAUGAUUAUCAUACGAGUGAUAUUUAUUUUUGUGUGGAUUGUUAAUAUAUAAAACUAUAAGCUUUUGAGAUUGGGAGACAAAACCCACACAUUCAAAUCAGACAAAAUAAAUAAAAAAUUUAACUGACUUAAAGAUCAAACUCCAAAAGGGUAUUAAAAACAAGGCUUAUUUGAUCCAUUGAGUGUGAAAGUUUUGAGCUUUGAAGAAGCAGAGGAGGAGAGUUGUUAACCAAGCUGCAUUAUCCAUGUAUUAGGAUGUUGAAGGUAGGCAGGAAAAUUACUUUUUGACGCCAUAUCCAGAGGAGCAUAACGACAGGCCUGCAUUUUUGCAGCAAUGACCAAAACAAGUAGAAGUGAAGGCUUGACUGUUUGGGUAUUCAUCCUAAACCUAAUUAUUCUUAUUUAGGUUUAGGAUAAAUGAUUGAGUGUGUCUCGAUGAUUGUAUUACUAUGUUUGAUGAAUGAUUUGAGGAGUUGGAAAUGGUUUAUUGCUUAUCUUUUUUUUAGGUGUGUACUUUGGUUAUUUCCGAGCUUUUCAUGACUUUUGAUACCUAAUAGAGAAUAUGGAAACCCCAACUUUAAUUUUAUGAAUUGGUUUUGGUGCCUAAAAUGAAAUCUAGCAUAGUGAAAUCUUGCAUAAUGAAAUUAUGACAAAUUUCCCUUCAUCUUUAGAUUUUCAUUUAAUUCAAUUCGUAUGCAAUUUAGGGUUAUUCAAUUCAUGAGUGAUCAAAUUAUGUUUUUAAUUCCUUCUUUUGAUUUACAGUUCAACAUUGUCGUACAAAAUGAAAAAGGCGCCAGUAACAGAGUUAUGGAUUUGGAUGCCUUUAGUGGAAUAAAACUGAAUUUUUUAACUUUGUAUAGUUGUAAACAUAAAAUACUCCAUGAGAUAGACUCAUAGCUUUUGAAAACAAUCCUUGAGGAUGGCAUAACAACAUCUCCAACUUUUGUCAUGUAAUGUAUGAAUGUCAAUAGCACUUCGUAAACAUAUGGAUGUAAUAUAUGUAUAUAAACACUCUUUAGCAUGUAUAUUUUUCAAAACUUUCUACAUCUUCAACAAUGUUUCAAUGAUUUCUUGAUGUAAACAAUGAUAAUUUGAAGAACCAUUUAAAGUAUUUUGGUAAUCAGCAUACUUAAGCUUAAAUGUGAUAUAUCCGUUUAUUAUUUUUUAUACAGUAAUAAUACUCAAGUAUAAUUUACAUCAUAUAUCUUUUGAAGUACAUGAAACUAUGAAGAAAAAACCCUAAUUAAUCUAAUUAUGGGGGUUUUGUUUUAUAUCAAAAUAUUGCAGCAAAAGUCACACUUUGAAGAGUUCACGCUGCAUAGAAAGACGAUGAAAUGCUAUCUGUUGAGUCCAUCAUUGCUCCAUUGGAGACAGAGCUGAAGCUUGAUGCAGGUGGUAUACUUUUGUUCUGCAAUAUGAUCCCUUUAAUUUUAUUUUAAGAUAGAUAGGGUUGAAAAAAAUUUAUGUAGUAUUUUUUUUUUUCAGUUUUGAGUGUCUAUUUUGGCUUCCAUAUUUGGUCUGUACAUGUGAGGUAUAGAAUGUUCAAUAUGUAUUUGGUUUCUAUAUUGUUAAUGGAUCUAUUUUUUUUUUUAGGUAACCAAGUUGCAGGAUGAAAACAGAACACUUGAUCUGCAGGUAAACCUCCAAUUUCCAUAUGAAGUUUGCAUUUUCGUUAUUUCUGAAAUUUGAGUUUUUACAGGAUGAAAACAGAACACUUGAUUUGCAGGUAAACACUUGAUUGGUUAUUUCCGAGCUUUUCACGACUUUUGAUACCCAAUAGAGAAUAUGGAAACCCCAACUUUAAUUUUAUGAAUUGGUUUUGGUGCCUAAAAUGAAAUCUAGCAUAGUGAAAUCUUGCAUAAUGAAAUUAUGACAAAUUUCCCUUCAUCUUUAGAUUUUCAUUUAAUUCAAUUCGUAUGCAAUUUAGGGUUAUUCAAUUCAUGAGUGAUCAAAUUAUGUUUUUAAUUCCUUCUUCUUUUGAUUUACAGUUCAACAUUGUUGUACAAAAUGAAAAAGGCGCUAGUAACAGAGUUAUGGAUUUGUAUGCCUUUAGUGGAAUAAAACUGAAUUUUUUAACUUUGUAUAGUUGUAAACAUAAAAUACUCCAUGAGAUAGACUCAUAGCUUUUGAAAACAAUCCUUGAGGAUGGCAUAACAACAUCUCCAACUUUUGUCAUGUAAUGUAUGAAUGUAAAUAGCACUUCGUAAACAUAUGGAUGUAAUACAUGUAUAUAAACACUCUUUAGCAUGUAUAUUUUUCAAAACUUUCUACAUCUUCAACAAUGUUUCAAUGAUUUCUUGAUGUAAACAAUGAUAAUUUGAAGAACCAUUUAAAGUAUUUUGGUAAUCAGCAUACUUAAGCUUAAAUGUGAUAUAUCCGUUUAUUAUUUUUUAUACAGUGAUAAUACUCAAGUAUAAUUUACAUCAUAUAUCUUUUGAAGUACAUGAAACUAUGAAGAAAAAACCCUAAUUAAUCUGAUUAUGGGGGUUUUGUUUUAUAUCAAAAUAUUGCAGCAAAAGUCACACUUUGAAGAGUUCACGCUGCAUAGAAAGACGAUGAAAUGCUAUCUGUUGAGUCCAUCAUUGCUCAAUUGGAGACAGAGCUGAAGCUUGAUGCAGGUGGUAUACUUUUGUUCUGCAAUAUGAUCCCUUUAAUUUUAUUUUAAGAUAGAUAGGGUCGAAAAAACUUUAUGUAGUAUUUUUUUUUUUCAGUUUUGAGUGUCUAUUUUGGCUUCCAUAUUUGGUCUGUACAUGUGAGGUAUAGAAUGUUCAAUAUGUAUUUGGUUUCUAUAUUGUUAAUGGAUCUAUUUUUUUUUUUAGGUAACCAAGUUGCAAGAUGAAAACAGAACACUUGAUCUGCAGGUAAACCUCCAAUUUCCAUAUGAAGUUUGCAUUUUCGUUAUUUCUGGAAUUUGAGUUUUUGCAGGAUGAAAACAGAACACUUGAUUUGCAGGUAAACACUUGAUUGGUUAUUUCCGAGCUUUUCACGACUUUUGAUACCCAAUAGAGAAUAUGGAAACCCCAACUUUAAUUUUAUGAAUUGGUUUUGGUGCCUAAAAUGAAAUCUAGCAUAGUGAAAUCUUGCAUAAUGAAAUUAUGACAAAUUUCCCUUCAUCUUUAGAUUUUCAUUUAAUUCAAUUCGUAUGCAAUUUAGGGUUAUUCAAUUCAUGAGUGAUCAAAUUAUGUUUUUAAUUCCUUCUUCUUUUGAUUUACAGUUCAACAUUGUUGUACAAAAUGAAAAAGGCGCUAGUAAUAGAGUUAUGGAUUUGGAUGCCUUUAGUGGAAUAAAACUGAAUUUUUUAACUUUGUAUAGUUGUAAACAUAAAAUACUCCAUGAGAUAGACUCAUAGCUUUUGAAAACAAUCCUUGAGGAUGGCAUAACAACAUCUCCAACUUUUGUCAUGUAAUGUAUGUAAAUAGCACUUCGUAAACAUAUGGAUGUAAUAUAUGUAUAUAAACACUCUUUAGCAUGUAUAAUUUUCAAAACUUUCUACAUCUUCAACAAUGUUUCAAUGAUUUCUUGAUGUAAACAAUGAUAAUUUGAAGAACCAUUUAAAUUAUUUUGGUAAUCAACAUACUUAAGCUUAAAUGUGAUAUAUCCGUUUAGUAUUUUUUAUACAGUGAUAAUACUCGAGUAUAAUUUACACCAUAUAUCUUUUGAAGUACAUGAAACUAUGAAGAAAAAACCCUAAUUAAUCUGGUUAUGGGGGUUUUGUUUUAUAUCAAAAUAUUGUAGUAGAAGUCACACUUUGAAGAGUUCACGUUGCAUAGAAAGACGAUGAAAUGCUAUAUGUUGAGUCCAUCAUUGCUCCAUUGGAGACAGAGCUGAAGCUUGCUGCAGGUGGUAUACUUUUGUUCUGCAAUAUGACCCCUUUAAUUUUAUUUUAAGACAGAUAGGGUUGAAAAAAAUUUAUGUAGUAUUUUUGUAUCAGUUUUGAGUGUCUAUUUUGGCUUCCAUAUUUGGUCUGUACAUGUGAGGUAUAGAGUGUUCAAUAUGUAUUUGGUUUCUAUAUUGUUAAUGGAUCUAUUUUUUUUUUAGGUAACCAAGUUGCAGGAUGAAAACAGAACACUUGAUCUACAUGUAAACCUUCAAUUUCCAUAUGAAGUUUGCAUUUUCGUUGUUUCUGGAAUUUGAGUUUUUGCAGGAUGAAAACAGAACACUUGAUCUGCAGGUAAACACUUGAUUGAUUAUUUCCGAGCUUUUCACGACUUUCGAUACCCAAUAGAGAAUAUGGAAACCCCAACCUUAAUUUUAUGAAUUGGUUUUGGUGCCUAAAAUGAAAUCUAGCAUAGUAAAAUCUUGCAUAAUGAAAUUAUGACAAAUUUCCCUUCAUCUUUACAUUUUCAUUUAGUUCAAUUUGUACGCAGUUUAGGGUUAUUCAAUUCAUGAGUGAUCAAAUUAUGUUUUUAAUUCCUUCUUUUGAUUUUCAGUUCAGCAUUAUCGUAUUUUGGAUGCCUUUAGUGGAAUAAAACUUAAUUUUUUUAACUAUGUAUAGUUGUAAACAUAAAAUACUCCAUGAGAUAGACUCAUAGCUUUUAAAAACAAUCUUUGAGGAUGGCAUAACAACAUCUCCAACUUUUGUCAUGUAAUGUAUGAAUGUAAAUAGCACUUUGCAAACAUAUGGAUGUAAUAUAUGUAUUUAAACACCACUCUUUAGCAUAUAUAUUUUUCAAAACUUUCUACAUCUUCAACAAUGUUUGAAGCCCCGCAACAAUGGGCGGGUACACUUGCUAGUAUACAUCUAAAAUUAUAAGACUAAAUCCUUUAGUUCUUGGAUUCAUCUAAGAACUACUUAUUCCAGCAGAUGUUAUGCUUGCACUACUAGAAUUUAUGGCUUGCCCUGUCAACUAUUGCGCGACAGAAGACUUCGUCGGUUUCACCUUUUUUAACCGACAUAAUAUAAGUUUAGUAGGGCAAAAUCAGUCAACAAACUGGGUUGACUGAAUAGAUUUACAGGAUGUCUAGAGUUCGUAGGUUAAGACAUCAGUCGUUGGGCAAACAUUUGGAGCGAAGAUGUGAGUGUUUUAACUGACGAAUAAGCUGGUCGUCAUGUAGAUCUUCUUUCCCGACUGAUGGUUCAACGAGUAGCUCUUUGGAUAACAAUUCAUCUUCAAGGGGAACAGGUUGCCCCUCAAAUGAAUGGUUAGAGGCAAUUGUGAGACUAUAAUUUUCUAGGGCCGGAAUAUCUAUAACCAUCCACCAAAUACCCCUUCUUCCCUUUCUAUUUCUCUCUCAGUAAUUUCCCCUGACCGAAUCACACAAUCCAACCAACUCUCUUUAAGCCUCACUCAUCGAUUCCAUGGAUUUCAUGGACUUAUCCCACCCUCUCUCCUUCCCCCUAUAUAUAGCAAGUCCCCUUGCCUCAGUGUCCCUGGCAACAAAAUUUAUGGCGUGUAUUCGGUCUUUCAAUUAUUUGAAAGCUUCCCUGCCUUGCAGUCUUGUACAAAGGCGUAUGGUGUUUCAUUAGUUCCAUUUGGUGGUUGGGUGGGAAAUGAAAUUAAAACACUGCAUUUCCAAUGGUCUAAACCAAAUUGAAUCAAAUGUGAAGCAAAGGGCAAGAAGUGUAGAUUGAAGAACAAUGGCACCAAGAGCGAAAUUGAACUUGUUGACAGGAGGAAACCAAGUAAGGAUAACGCGUCUAAAUCUUAUUUCGAAUCCAUUCAGCUCAUGAUGUUUUUAAUGAUGAUGAUCGGUAUACUUUGCUACAUGCUGUGAUUUUUCCGCUUUCAUGUAAUUAACGGCUUAUAUUUGUGGUAACGAUAUUGAUUAAUUUUGAGAAAUGACAGUCUAAUUUUUGCAACUGUCUUUUGCAGGCAAAACAAAGACGUUUGCAAGGGUGAGUUAUGUAGGACCAAUGUUUAGCUUUGUUUCAUGUCCAAAUGACACUUGAGAAUAAAUGUUUACUCAUGGAUAAUAUCUAUCUAUUUGCAGGAGCAACCCUGGGUUUAUUUGUUCUUUUACUACUGGUCAUUGCCGCAUAUCACGCCUAUAGCACUGACAAAAGUAAAAAGAAAAUCGAAUGAAAUUUGGUAAGUUUUCAGCGGACUACAAAGAUCUUAAGCCAAGCAUAUAUUCCCAUUCAGAUAUUAAGAGGUUUACAAAUCAAUUCAAGUACAAGUUGGGCCAAGGAGCAUACAUAAUUGUUUUUAAAGGAUAGUUUUUUUCUGAAUGCUUUGUUGCCAUGAAAGUACUUAACAUUUCCAAGGGUGACGGGGAAGAGCUUGUAAAUGAAGUGGGGAACAAUGGGCCAUAUUCACCAUGUCAAUGUGGUUCACUUGGUUGGUUUUUGUGCUGAUGGAUUUAGAUGAGCUCUGGUUUAUGAGUUCUUUUCCUUUGGUUCACUCCAGGAUUAUAUUUCAUCAGUAGAUAGAUUUCUUUCCUUGGUUGGCAUAAGUUGCAAGAUAUUGCUAUCAGCAUAGCCAAAGGAACCAGGGAUGUGAUCUACAAAUCCUCCAUUUCGAUAUCAAACCCCAUAAUGUUUUGCUCGACCAAAAAAUCACGCCAAAAAUCUCUGAUUUUGGUCUGGCCAAGUUAUGUUCCAAGGAUCAAUCAAUGUGACUAAAGCAAGGGGGACCAUGUGACUAAAGUACCCGAAGUGUUUUCCAGGAAUUUCGGAAAUGUGUCUUACAAGGCAGAUGUCUUGAAUGCUGCUGCUUGAGAUGGUAGGAGAAAAGAAGAAUAUUGGUUCAACUAGAGGACACAACAAAUGAAAUCUACUAUCCAAAAUGGAUUUAUAAUCUUCUAGAGGAAGGAAAUGACCAACAGAUCCCUAUUGAGGAAGAAUGUUAUGGUAAGAUUCCAAAGCAACUUGCAAGUUUAGGGCUCUGGUGCAGCCAGUGACACUCGGUGGAUCGGCAGUCCAUGAAAACGGUGGUUCGGAUGUUAGGAGGAGGAGAAAACUUGAUGAUGCAAGCAAUCCUAAAAGCCUCAUACAGUUAGAAGUAAUUGCUGAAUUAGAGUAACAUAUGUAUAUGUAUACGCACCAACACUAGUCGUUCUUAGAUGAAUCCAAGCCAAACAAUUACAGACAACAGUUAUUCACUAAAUCACUUUAAGGCAAGAAUUUAAUUAAUAAUACAUUACUGCACUUUCUUAACCAUUUGACCAUCACCUAGCAGACAAUGAACACGUUAGCUCCGCGUUAGAACAUCUUGGGUUCAAUUCAUUGUCUUGAAUAUCACCCUCUGUCACAGGCGUCUCUAGGGGGCAUAGAGAAGGCCUGAGAGGCAUUUGCAGACAUUCAACAUCACCUCCAAGCAUUUUGACAACUUUGGACAUCGAAGGGCGAUCACUUGGUUUCAUUUGAAUACACCAUAAGGCGGUUAUAACCAUCCUUCUUAUUACUUUCUUUUCCUCCUCUGUAACAUUGUCCGUUUCCAAGUUAUUUCCCACAAUAUACUGAUCGUAUACCCACAUUGGGAAGUAGAUUUGGCUUGAAUGCUCUACCGUUGGAUUCAAAUUCUUCCUUCUGCUUGCCAUCUCCAUCAACAACAUUCCAAAACUAUAGACAUCUGACUUGUAUGAGACACCUCCAAUAUUUUUGUAGAACAACUCAGGAGCAAUAUAUCCCAGUGUACCUCGUGCUGCCGUCAAAGAGACAAUGCUAUUAUCUACAGGAUACAAUUUUGCAAGCCCAAAGUCAGAAACCUUUGCUUUAAAGUUCUCAUCAAGAAGGAUGUUAUGAGGCUUGAUGUCGAAAUGUAGAAUUUGCAUUUCGCAACCUUGGUGUAGAUAUUCGAUCCCUUGAGCCACUCCAAGAGAAAUCUUGUACAUGUUCUUGAUAGUUAAGGGGACACUUCCUUCUUUGGAAUAAAUGUAUUUAUCAAGAGAACCAUUAGGCAUGAAGUCAUAUACUAGAGCGCGUUUUGAUCCCUCAACACAGUAUCCAACAAGUUGCACCACAUUGGCAUGGUGAAUCCUUCCGAUUGUAGCUAUUUCGCUAAUGAAAUCUUGGCCAUCAGCUUUGGGCUUGCCCAAAACUUUGAUUGCUACAAAUCGACCACUGCGUAGCUUUCCCUUAAAUACAGAGCCAAAGCCACCUUCGCCCAACUUGUCCUUAAAUCUGCGAGUCAUUUUCUUGACGUCCGAGUAGGAGUACCUUAUAGGCAUGAAGUUGUUAUUGCAUUGCAGAAAAUCUUCUAUUGUGCUAUACAUUGAUAAAUGUCUUCUGCGCCAUGUGUAGAUUAGAAAUGCAGUCACAACUGGAACUCCAAAAACAAAUCUGGCUGGGAAAAAUAACCCUGCAUGCAUUGACAUUAAUACGUUAGAUCCACUGUGUACUACUUUUUCUUCCCUUUCUUUCCAAAUUACUUUGUCUUUGAUGUAAUUAAAGAGAAAGAAUGGGAAAUCUACAUAUGUUGAUAAUACAAUCUCGUCUUAGUCCUUACCGAUGCAUAUGAGUAUAAACCAUCUACGUGCUGUAACAAAAUCAAUCGACUAUGAGUUUGAAAAGUGCAUAAAGUGAAAAAUAAAUAAAUAAAUAAAAUCAAAGGGUGCCUUUAUUGACACCCAAAUUUUAGUUAGCUUUACUCAACUAAAAAAAUUUUGUCAAACUUUUUAAUUUGCCGUCGAAAUUGAGUUCACCCAACCCACAAAGCAACAACUACCACUCACCAAAAAAACCAACAACACACAUCCACCAGUACCACUCACCAAUAGAAAGAGAAGGAACACACAGACCCACCAAGGAGCCGGCAUCGACGCAUCUACGAGGGAGGGACCGGAGGGUGGUGUAGUUUUGUUGGGCGCGCGGUAGUUGUUUUGUCUGUUCAUUUUCUCUUUCUUUUGGUAGGUGGAGGCUGCUGUGGAUUUGGGCGAACUUAAAAAUGAGGGGAAACUAUGAAGUUUGACAAAAUGUUUUAGUUAGGGGAACUUAACUAAAAUUUGGGUGCCGAUAAAGAUACCCAAUAUAAAAAAUACUUGAGCGUAUAGACUAAUUAAAUGAAGUUGAUCUUACCGAUCGGGUGGCUGUAUGAUGAAUACAACUUGCCAGCUGCAAUAGAUACCACAGAAAAGUGAGCAAAGACAUACAGUUACUAGGUUUAAGAAGUACAGAUAGAGCACACAAAAAUAAAAGAAGCUUUUGGAGAGAAACUUCUUACGCAAAUAUAUGUAUUCAUGACCUACAGUGAAAAUUGUGAAGAAGAAUACACAACAUUAGCAAUAGCUCACCCAGUCUUCAGAAUUUAAAAAAAUCAAGUUUGUCGAUCGAAAACUUGUAAAUAAAACAAAAAGAGGACCCCUUACUGAUUUGUUGCCAUAGAUAUUGAAAGAAACCUACAAGAACAAAGAAAGAACAAGACCACAUGCAUUAGCAUAACAAGUGUGAGGUGUAUAAGUCGUUAGAAAAUAAAUUUAGAAUUCUAGUGCUGUCAAUACAUUGAUAAUAUAAUAUAUAUGUGUUAUUUUUUCUGAAAAUUUAACUUUCCCCCUCCAAACUCAUUUUUCUAGCCUCUAGCCCAUCAUAUAAUAUUUAUCCGAAUAAAACCCAAUGAUUAGGAUCCAACUAAGAAACUUACCAAAUUAAGUUUGUGUGUCCAUUUUUAUAUUUUUUGGAUCGCUAAUAUACCCCAUCUAAGCCAGUAUGGAAAGUUCUUGUAAUUUUGUUUUAAUUGAUCACGUGCAUUGAAUUUGGCAAGGUCUUGUAGCCAUGAAAAAUGGUUCUAGAUGGAGGAAUUAAUUGGGAUUUUUUUUUUAAUUUUGACAACAAAUUUCAAUUUGAAUAUACCUAAUUUAGUGUUUAUUUUCAACAAUAUCUAUUGUUUAAUUUUAUGAAAAUAAUUUACCUACUAUGAAAAUUAAUUUUAUGAAAACAAUAUCUAUUGUUUAAUUUUAUACCUAUAGGAUAAUUACAUGAAAAUAGUUUACCUACUAUGAAAAUUAAUUUUUUCAAAACAAUAUCUAUUGUUUAAUUUUAUGAAAAUAAUUUACCUACUGUAUAAUUACAUGAAAACUAAUGUGCCUAUUUUUUAAAUUUGUUACAAAAUUAAUUUACCUACUCUUUAUGGUAUUAGUAAUAUAUGUCCGUACGUAUUUGAUCUAAUUAGGUUUUGGAUUGGAGGAGUUGACACAAAAUUAUAAAUAUAUUAAACAAAUUUAUCUAUCCUUAAGUUGGAGGGGAAUUGGCCUGCACAUUGCUACGGUAAACAAAUGCCACUCGAUUUCACGUUAUUUACAACAAAGCUAUCAGAUUUGGGUUGGGUUGGAGGGUAAUUUUGUGCAUAGGGUUUAGGUGCCCUCCUAUAUAUGACCCUUGAUUUUACUUUAUUUACACCACUGCCAUCAAAUAUGUGGCUGAAUUGGAGGGUAUUAUUAAAAGUUAGGAGGAUAGUUUUGUCCAAGGGGUGGGGGCGACAUUCGCAGACAGGGGGCGAUGGGAGCCAUGCCCAUUGCACAGAAACAAAGGGAGUGAUGGGGGAAAUUACAGACAGAAAAGGAAGGGAUGGGGGGAUUUGAUGGGUGGUCACAGAGAGAUUGGGUGAGGGAUGUGAGGGGACAUUACAGAGAGAUAAAUAAAAGGGAGGGAUCGGGUGAUUUGAGGGAUGGUCAGAGAGAGAAAUAGUGAGGGGGAUGUGGGGCUGAUUUUCGGUUCCUCCUUCCAGAUUUGUUCCGUAAAACCUGUUGGGUACAAUUCAAUCCCUCCCCCUUUCCCCUGAACGAAAAAUUCGAAACCUACAACUCAAAACUCACUCAUUUGUCGCCCCUCCUUGGCUUUCCGCUUUAUUCAUCUCCCGGUGUUUCUUUCUCUCCAUACGAUUCGAUUUCGGUGAGUUCUUCGUUGCCCUCAUGAUUUCCCAGUUUGAUUUUUUGAGCGUCCUUAGUCGUUGUUUUUAUCUGGGUUUACUGCGUUGUUGCUUUUAGUUUCUGGAUUUUUAUUUUUUCCGCGGUUGGAUGAAUCGUGGUUAAUAAUUUCACACCAUGGGAUUUUCGCACUUCUGAUGGAAUUGAGCGCGGGGAUUCGGGGUGGGGUUUUACUGAUAAUUUGUCUUCAUUCAAAUGAAUGGUUAAAAUUUCUGAAGUGAGUGUGCAGGUGGGCCCGUUCACUAACUAAGCUUUCAAGGGAACCCAUCAACGGUUUGUUUGCUGGGGGAAUUCGGAGACUACCAGUGUAUGAUUUAGUUAUCAUUUAUUUUUUUACUUAAUUUUAUCCAUAUAUAAUAUGUGGGUAAAUUUAUACUAAACAAUUGUGAUAAGCCAAUAUGCCAUACGACUUUGAAAGCAUUGAUUUUGUGUUUAGUUUGCAUUUUUGCAUUGUGAAUGUUGAAUUUUGUAUUUAAUUUGGAUUUUGUGUUUGAAUUUGUAGCAUGAUCUUCCGCUGCAGCAUCCAAAUUUUGCAUUUGUAAAUUGUCAAAGAAAAACGAAGUAUGAGGAAAUUAUAGGAGAUUGUGUCGGCUUUGGCCAUGAAGGGUAUCAGCAGCUUGUUCCCCCAUACAGGUGAUUAAUCGUUUUUCAGUCUCUGUUCUAUUUGGAUGAGAAAGUGAUUGAAAAAUAUGAUUUUUUAUUUGUUGGUUGAUUUUGUAUGGACGAUGUAUUAAUUUUAUUUUUUUUGGGAUUUUGUGUAUUGGGUAUUGUGUAGAACCAGCAAUGCAAGAGCAGGAUCUGAUCAGUCACGCCCGAAAAGGGGUUUGUUUCUCAAAUCACAUUAAUUAAUUAGAUUAUUAACGUGCGUUGGAAGGCUCUUCAAUAUGAUUUCUAAUUUCUCCUUUCCAGCAUUCUCUUUUUGGUUUUUGGAGUAUGUAUGUGAUUUGUAUUUUUUUAUAGAAUAAAAAUUAAUAAAACACGAGAUGCAGCAAUUAAUUUGCAUCCUUAUGACAACACAUAUGAAAGUGCAUUCAAUUUCAAUGUGCGAAUGUGUGACAGGAUGUGCCUGCCUCCUUGAAAACACUUUAUGUGAACAAGUGUGAGGUUCUACAUAAAAACAGGGCCAGUAAUACCCUGAACGUGGAAUCCUUACGAGGAUCUCUUGAAAAACUGACAAUAAAUGGAUGCCCGGGUCUCUCAUUGUUACUAGAGUCGACGGAGACGCUGCCGUCGCUUCAGAAGCUUGAUAUUGAUAGUGUUGGUGGGAAAGAGUUGUUGGCGCAAAUGGUGCACAACAGCAAUCGUCUUCAAAGUUUGACUUUAUAUAAAUGUUACUCACCCUUGUCGUUCCCUACAAAUGGUCUGCCCACCACGCUGACGUCACUGAGCAUAACAGAUUGCAAGAAAUUAGAAUUCCUAUCACGUGAGAUGAUGGCCAAAUUGACUUCCCUUCGGUCUUUGCGUCUAUCCAACAGCUGUGAACGCAAAGGCUUGAGUAUUUGCAGUUUAGUUUUUUUUUUCUUCAUUUUAGAGAUUUUUCUACUGUUUGGUUUUUGGGUUUUGUCUAAUUUUUGUGGUCUGCUUUAUAGAUUGUUCUCUUUGGAAGCUUCUUUCCAGCCUUGACCUUCUUCUUGCCUGGUGCCUUCUCAUUGAGUAUUGGAGGAGCAUUAAAACACAGGUGUGUGUGUGUUUUGUCGACGUAAGAGAUGAACGACAUAAAAACAUCCAUCUCUGUAUUUUUUUGUGCUUUUUCUAACCCAUCAAUUUCUUUUGAGUCAACCAAAUAGUCCCAAAUUGCAACUUAUGUUGUGAGGUAUUAUUGUCUAAAAUUAAGUAUGCAUGUAUAUUUUAUGUUUAUGCCCGCGCACACCUCCGCAUGGUGUUAAUCUCUGUGGGUCAUCUAUGUAUAUGUAGAUAUAUCUAUAUGUGUAUGUGUGGAAUGCAACAUAUCGGAUUUAGGUUAUACUGUGCAUAGUUUUAUUGCCUGUUAUUAUCUACGAUAUCACUAUGCCAUUUCUAUACUGGCUCUGAAAGUUAUUCAUGAGCUUAUAAGCACUUACCAUAAUUUAAGCAGUCUGUUUUGGGUUCUUUUUCAUUAGGUCAUUAGCUACAGAUUAAUGGAGAAACGAGGACCAUGCCACUGAUUUGGGUUCUUUUUCUAAUUUUCUGAUUUUGGGGUUUUGCAGGGAGUACUGAUGUACUGAUUUUCUGGGAUUUUUUUUUGUCCUUGCAGGAUUUUUGGUCUUUGAAAUGGGUAUGUGUUGUUUUUAAUGUUUCAGUUCUAGCGUGUUCCGUUCUUCGUUGCUUCGUGAUUCUCAUUUUUCAGUGUUGGGUGAUGGAAAUUUGUUAAAGUAGUUGGUAGUUUUUUGAGAAAGUUGGCAUUUUUAGUUAUAUUUUCUGUUUAAUCCUAAAUGUAAGACUGGAAAAUCAUUGAAAUGAUGGUUUUUUAAAAACUCAUAAUUUUUUUGUUCUGGGAUUUAAAAGCAUCUUUUCCAGAUUGGUUACAAGGGUUAUGUUCUCUUCAAUUGGUUCACCUAAUUUUGAUUAGUUUUAAGUUUUGUCCUUUUAAGUUUGUCUUUUAAGUUUUGUUCUUUAAGUUUUGUCUUUUAAGUUUUGUUCUCUAAGUUUUGUCUUUUAAGUUUUGUCUUCUGUGCUGUAAUGAGAGAUUUCUGUUGGCUUUUCGGAUUUUGGCAUGGGAAAGUUCACUUAUUUGUCUAAUUAGAUUGUGUAUGCCUUCGAUUCUUUAUUUAAUUGUUCUGUUUGCGUUCGGGUGUGAUGAUCUAAAUUUCAUAUGUUUGGAAUUAUUUACUUAACACCAAUUUGUUACAUUCAGAUCUCCACCCCACAUUUCACUAGUUGAAAUUCCAUAGAAGUCGGUUACUGCAGAUUGCGUCUACAAUUAGAUCAGAGAUCAACUGCUCUUUUGUUAUCCUGCAGAAGAUUGCUUUUGGGAAGGAUCUGAAGUAGUUUCUCUCUGUAUGUUUAUUCCCAUGUAGCUCUGUCUUUUCUAAUUGUGUUGAUAUUACACUGUAAUUCAUGAUGAUGAUUUAAUUGUUUAUUGAUUUGUAAUUGAUUGUGAAUAAUGUGGCAUAUAUGAAUUGCAAUCUGUGUUUGUAUGAAAGGGAUGGCAUAUUAUGUUGCUGACUUAAUUGUUUAUGUUUUUCAUAUUUGCAAAUGGUGUUAUGAUCAAUUAGGUGAUUGCUGACCUGUGACUUUGUUUGGAGCUCAAAUUUUGUGAGCAUUACAUUGGAUUGUUUUGAUGUUGUUUUGGUUAACAAUGCAGCGAUAGGAGAAACAAAGAGGAUGACACUUAUAACUGCCCUUCCCCAUCGGCCGUCUUCAAAUUUGGAUCACAAGAAGGGAGCAACAUAGGUGUUUUCCUUCUUCAUUUAGAUAUGGUUAGUGUAAAUAAUUGGACAAAAGAGCCAAACAAACCCUGUUCUCUCAAAUGGAGUCGAUGAUGUGGUCGACGGCCACCAGCCCCAACUCAAGAGUUUGGCCUUCAUAUAAUUGGAUUGUAGUAUAAUUUUAUUUUGGUUCAUUUCUUUUUUCCUUUAUAUAAGUGCAGGUGUUGUGAUGUUUUGAAUAAAGGGUGAUGAAAGGUGGUUCACACACUUCCUCCUUACUUAAAGCAAGUGGAGAUGACGGUUUGUAUAAAAAGAAAAACUUGCCACGUACUUCAAUUUUCUAUUUUAUUAAUUAUUGUUUGGUUUUCCAAAUGUUGUAUUCACUAAGAGACCAAUUAUGUCUUUGAGAAACAAGUUUCUUUGUCUACAUUGCGAGAAUUUGCAGUUUGCAACUUUCAUUGGUUAUUAUAUUUGAUUGAGUUAAACUUGGAUUUCUGGAUUUUGACUUUUUCGUUUGUUUCUUUGUUGCAGAGUUGGCUUCAUUUCAUUCCAGGAACUGUCUAAAUAGGGCCAAGAACUCACUAAUAGGUAGUCAAGAAGAAUUCAGUGUUGCCUUCAAUUUUUGCCUUCUGUUUACAUUCUUCCUGGAUGCACUCUCACCGCUUCUCUCGCUUACCACUUUUGUCUCACUCACCGCUUCAUCUCUUCUGUUGCUUACAAGGUCGUGUCAUAUAUUUUUUUAAUUUUGUGUGGUUUAAUUUAUUGAAUAUUUGAAAAAAGAGAUAAAAUUUUCAAUUUACAAUUACUGAUAUGAUGUUUGUUUUGAAAAUCAUUAAGGUGAAUGGAGAGAUUUACAACCAUGAAGAGCUGAGGAGCCGUUUGCCAAAUCAGAUUUAUAGGGCUUCAUCAAUUAUAAAUAAACGACUUUUCAUUCCCAAUGACCUUUAUCGUUUUUCUUAAUGGGUUAGCUGAACAUGAGGUAGAUGCUGACUUUAUCAAAUAUGAGAAUGUUUUAGGAUUUCAUUCUAAUUUUUUGGCUGUUUGAUUACUUUGCUUUUCGUAAUUUGAUUUGCUUAUCGUCAAUUGGAUGGGAUAAAACAUAUUUUUGUAACCAGUUUGUACUUUUUUUUUCUUUUUUUUGUGGAAACUAACCAGUUUGUACUUUUACCAAUUACCAUAUCGGUUUUGAUGGAAUUGGAGCUUUCAGUAAUGGGUUCUGAGGGAAUUGGAGUUCUGAGUAAUGGGUUUUUUUUAACAACUAUAGUAUCAUUUGUGAUUCAUUUAUUUAUAAGAUAUUAUAUAGGAAACUGUUUUUAGCACUCUAAAAAUCUUAUUCUACACUCUCGACAAAUGUAUUUUUCUUUCUAAUUAUGAAAAGUUUGGAGGGCAAAAUGAGAAUUGUGGAGUGCCAAUAACAAUUCCCUAUUAUAUAUAGCUCUACUAGGAAGGCGACUGUAUGUCUUCAUCCUGUUAAAUUGUAUAUGGCUCUUGAUGUCGGCUGAAUUAAAUCAAAAUGAAAACCAAGCUGCUGAUCUUACCAGCCCAUAUCACUUAUCACUUGCUUAUUUAAAUUAUUUGAAGAUGCGUAUGUGGAUUGGUGAUUUUGUUGGAUUCACUUGGCUCAAAUAUAUGUUAUCUGAGUCGCUACAUUUGAGAAUGUGAUUUUGUUCCUACCACCAUUUUGCCCACUUUUUGUGGAAAUUAUUUCUGCUUGUUGUGAAUGAUACAUUCAUCCCCGGCAGCAAAGUGCGAAGUGCGGGCGCAUUUUCUAGUUUAAGUAAAUCACACAAUGGGUCAUCAAUAAUAACAAACUUGUCAUUUAUGAGAGUCAAACAUGAGGCCACCUACCUACUAGUUUAGUGGAAUACCACAAGUGACAUGUUGAUACCUUUAAAUCUCAUAUAAUGGAUUGCAGAAUUAGGAUAUUCCUAGACUAAUUUAGUUAGUGCGUGAACCCGAACAAUUAACAAGGGUUUUAUUCUUGCUUGAAUGUUUGUUAUAUGUUCCUAGUUUGACAAGGCAAUUAUAUUUCCGACUACAAGUUAUUAAUUUAGUCGAGAAUUGACGCACCUGAAAUGGUGUGAGGAAAACAUGUAUCCACAUGAGCCGCAGUCCACUGUCCUUGGCAUCUAUCUUUAAAAGGCUCGAAAUGAAGCUCAAAGCCAUACAUGAGGGCAUUGUGUAUGUCUUUAUAAGAGAAGUUGCGGUAGUCCUCAACGUAGCCGGCAGCCAAACUCAUCCACUCUACACUGCAACCAUCAUCCAAUUCCCAUACCUCCCUGAACCUGUCCCCAACAUAUUCCCCGACCAUGACAUAGCUAUUCGUUUUUGGUUGACUCGAAGAAGAAGAAGAAGAAGAAGUAUUAUUCAAGCAUGGAGCAGUGUCCACGUACAGAGAAGAAUUCGAUGGAUUCGAACACUUCAAGUAAUAUAUAGAUAGAGAAUUAAUGUCAUAGGCGGGCCAAUAUAGAGAAUUGAUGUCCUCGGUGGUGGGCGGAAUAUUUUGAGACAUGGAAGAGCAAUUGUUGUUGUCAAGCCCAGGAUCUCGAAGUCGGAUUGUUUUGUUAUUAUAGUUGAUUGCCUGGACAUGGUACUUUCCGAAAGAAGGUAGGUCUAGUACUGUAAUGUUGCUCUCACAGGACAGAGUAUACGAUAUGUUGCCACAGUACUUUGGAUCAUCGUUAAGUCGAAAAGGAUGGCUUAUGUUGUGGAUAUGGCCGCAGGAUGAAGUGCAGGACUUGGCACUACUGUUGUCAGCGUUACAAGUUUCACUGCAAAAGCAAAGAAGAAGAAAGGCUAAACUUAAGGUGAAGGACCUGGUUCCACUAAUUUCCAUUGCUCUGAGAGAGAGAGAGAGAGAGAGAGAGAGAGAGAGGGUACCAUAGCUUAAACACCAAGGAGUUAUAUAAUAUGGGAGGGGUUAAAGCACCUCGCUUACAGUUGCAGUAAGCCCGUCAAAUAUCCUAGGGAAAAGUCGGUCAAUGGUGUCCUAUAGAGAAAAGUCGGCCUUGGUGUUUGACACGGUCACUCAACUCUCUCUCUCUCUCACAUUGACGAGGGACACUGUAAUUGAAAAAAAAAAAUGUUCUUCAGAGAUAGAUCUUGAAAUUCUUAUUUUAUAUAAAAAAAACACCUAAUAUUAAAUUAUUAAUCAUUCAAAUGAAAUUCUUAAAAUUAAGUAUAAAUAAUACAUAACGAAAACUGAGCACAUACAAUCAACGGUCACGAUCGUGAAAUCCUCCGGAUCCUCAGAAAAAAAUCCGACGAUGAUCUUUUUCUGUGUAAAAUAAUUUGAGGGUAUAAUACUGGAUGUGGAGCCAAAAAUAUUCGCUAGGCGACACGUGGACUUUUGGACAAAAGAGGACAAAAAUACCCUCGAAGCAUACAAGGAUUCCUACGCGCGAGCAGUGGGCAAUCAUCUUUCAAUCAAGUCAAAAGUGCCCAAAAAAGGUAACAAUUAAAAACCUCUCUCAUCAAAUCCUUUCUAUAAGGUAUUUCCCAAAACCUAGUAUUUUCUAUUUCAUUAUUUAGCUAAUCAAUUAGCUAAAUAAUAUAAACCUACCAUAUCUCCUAAAAUCACCCAAUUAAUAGCCCAAAACCGGCCCCCACUAUUCACAUCCUCAUCUUUCCCAUUUUCCUUAUUAAAAUAAUCAUUCAUUUUUAUAAACCACCCAUUUUAUUAUUUUCAUAUUUAAUUAGCCAAUAAAUUGGCAAAUUAAACAUGAAAUUAACCCCCACAAAAACCCUAUGGCUGGCUACUAUUAUUCAAAAUAGGGCAAACCCUAACUCUAUAAAUAAACACAUAUUCUCACCAAAAAUUCAUUCCAACUCUCUCACAAAAAAUCACAAAUACUCUAAACACUAUUUCUCUCUAAAAUUCUAACUUUGGCAUCAGAGGUUCUUCGGCCAAAGCCCCCCCCAUUCAUCGUGGGCGCGUGAGGCUCUUGGCCUUAACCUAAGGUGCUAGUUGUUUUGUAGGUGCAAAAUCGUCCAAGAUCGAAGAGGAGAAAAUUUGCAUCCACAAAUUGGUGCUUUCAUUGAGAGUUGAAAUCCAUACUCGUAGAAGACUCUCGCACAAAAAGGUUUUUUCUUUUAUUUUCUAGUCCAUUUGAAUAUUUUUCAUACGUUCUUAUUAUUAGAAUUUUUUUACUUGCAAAGGUUCUUUGAUAAAACGUAUAAGCAAAAUAUAAUGGCUAGAAAUUUAGAAAAUUCCACAAGUGAAAAUUCUAAUGUUCAAGAAAUGGGAUUGCGGAGAUCCGUGAGGCUAAAUGCGACAAUAAGGGGAGCGGCAUCAUCAUCACGAGCUUCCACCAUGGGAACCACCAUGGUGGCUACCUCGGUAGCCACCCGCGGCGAGGUCCAUGGUGCCUUCACCACGGCCACCAUGGGAACCACCGCGGUGGCUACUUUGGUAGCCACUCGUGGCGAGGUCCAUGGAGCCUUCACCACGGCCCGGAGAUCCGUGAGGCAAAAUGCGACAAUAAGGGGAGCGGCAUCAUCACCACAAGCUUCUACCAUGGGAACCACCGUGGUGGCUACCUCGGUAGCCACCCGCGGCGAGGUCCAUGGUGCUUUCACCACGGACACCAUGGGAACCACCGCGGUGGCUACUUCGGUAGCCACUCGUGGCGAGGUCCAUGGAGCCUUCACCACGGCCCGAGCCGUGCCAUCCAAGGCUCACGGUACCAAGACCACGAUCCAAGCCGUGCCAUCCAAGUUUACGUGGACCCAAGCCCAAGCCUCGCAUUCACAUGCACCGCGCAUUGAGCAGCCUGUUCCCGUGAUCCAGCCUGUUCCCGUCAAGCAACCCACUCUCACGGCCCAACCUGCUCAUGCCGAGCAGCCUGCUCUCGUGACACAGCCUGCUCCCGACGAGCAGCCCACUCCCGUGGCCCAGCCUACUUUCGUCGAGCAGCCCACUCCGGUGGCCCAGCCUGCUCCUGCUAAACAGCCCACUCCUGUGGCCCAGCCUCCUCUUGCUAAGCAGCCUGCUUUCGUCGAGCAGCCCACUCCGGUGGCCCAGCCUGCUCCUGCCAAGCAGCCCACUCCGGUGGCCCAGCCUGCUCCUGCCAAGCAGCCUACUCUCGUGACCCAGCCUGCUUCCGACGAGCAACCCACUCCCGUGGUCCAGCCUGCUUCUUUCGAGCAGCCCACUCUCACGGCCCAGCCUACUCCUGUGGCUUUCCAAGCAGCCCAAGUCGGCCCAAGACUAUCUCCCGGACCUACCAUCGAGCCGAGGGCAUUCUCACCACAUUUUUUCACGGAUUUGACAUUUCCCAACUCAAAUCUCGCGCCCGGAGUCUACCACAUUUCCACUGCCCAAGGAGGCGCAUUCCUUCCAAGCUCUUCCAAUCCAAAUGGCGAACAACACUUGUCUCGACAAGUCAUAGAGUUGACGAGCGCCCUUGCACAACAGAAAACCUUGGUGAAUCAACUUUUGCAACGUAUCGGGAUCCAACGUGCCCCGGACGAGGUAUCCCGAAGUAGGACAAGGGCAAACGAACAUUUCCAGCAGCCACUCGACCAGCCACGAGCCGAACGUUUGGGCAGUGUACAUUCCCGUCUUAGAGCGCGAGGGAGCAUGCACUCUCGACUAGGCCCACGGAUGAGCAUACAUUCACGGUUGGGGUCAUACUCCGAUAGUCAACAUGAGCAACCUUCCGGGCAAAGUGUCUAUUCGCAGCUAAGCCCACAAGGAGCGUCAUCCACCUCACAUCAGAGUAGGCAGCACGACGGACGGAGAGAAGCAGUCACUCAAUCCAGCUCAAGUUCAACCAGCAGCCUGCGAAGAACUCGCUCGCCUACUAGGAACGCACCACAUGCACUGCAUUCGCGGCAUAGACGAGCCAAACACAUGGAAGAGCAGCUUAGACCAGCAAGUCAUGACUGGAGGCAGCCAAGAGCUCCGCUACCCCAACAAAGGCAAAUUCAGGAAGAAGUAGAGAGACUCUUGACCAAGCGAUUGCAUGAUUUCCAACGCAACGAGGUCACCGACGAGGCACUACGACGGAACAUGACCAACAUAAGCAAGCAGGUCACCCUUCACGGACGAGAUCGAGCAGGCAGAGCCUCCACGAGAGUUCAGCAUGCCACAUUUCACAUCUUUCAAAGGGGAUGAAGACCCGGAGAGACACUUAAAGCGCUACCGAAGCGCAAUGAUCCUUUAUCGAAACAACGAUGAGCUUAUGUGCAAGAUAUUCGCCACCACUCUACAAGGCGAGGCGCAAGAUUGGUUCUACACCCUGCCGUCACAAUCCAUCCGGAAUUUCUACGAACUUUCUUUGGUUUUCACCAAAGAAUAUUCAUCCUAUCGCUCGAUCAAAAAGAAAUCUGAUCAUUUGUUCAACGUCAAGAAGAACCCAAAGGAGUCAAUUCGCGACUAUGUGAGGAGGUUCAAAGUAGAGAAGGCAAAAAAUAGUCGGAUGCAACGACUCGAUAGCUAGAGCAGCCUUCCAAAAAGGACUUCCAGCAGACCACCCGCUAUUUGGAAAAUUGAUCAUGAAAGAAGAUCUAACUCUGGCAGACUCUUUUGCUUUGGCAGAGAAGUAUGCACUUUGGGAUGAGGCUCGCCAAUGCACAUUCAAGGACUUGAAGAAGUACCCGACAUCACCUCCCUAGAAGCAGCGGAGGACUUAUUCACAUGUUUGACGAUAUCUAAAGUAGCAAUAAGCUCUACCAUCAUGCGAGAAGAGAUGGGGGCCCGACUACCUGUAUUCCACAGUUACCUGUAUUCUACAGUUCAAAAGCUCUCCUCGAUGUUAUUAAAAAUUCAAAAGCUAACUUUGGUGAUAGUUGUUGCAACCCAGAAGCACAAGUUUUACUUUCAAACGCAUGCAAUCAUCCUAAUGACGUACUAUUCUGCCCAAUCCAGACGCGCGACGAUAAAGGUGUAGACCAUGGCGGAUGUAAAGUUUUCUGACGAACGCAACACUAGAAGGACACACUCGAAAGCAAGUUUUGUCCUCGUCACCCUAAAAGAUUCUACAUAGGAGCAACAUGUACCGGCAGUUGAGUACCAUUUCUUGCUGCGCAUCACACGGCCCUAGCCGACCCUUGCUCAAUGAUUCAACUCUAGAGUGGCCCAAUACCGGCAGUUGAGCAUCUCCUGUUGCGUAUGACAUGGCCCCAUCUCCACAGCUCCCUACUGCGUCUUCACGCCGAGCCUAAGUGACGUAACAGAGCAGCCCAACGAUGCCUCAGAAGUAGCCGAGCACACUCUAGCUGCGCCUACUCCACCCGAUGGAGACUUUUGGCAUUUGCAUGUCGACGACGCAGAAAAGCCUUCAUCACUGCCGGCAGAGAAGGCUCCAAAAAGAUGGAUCCCAUCUGGGAAGGUCCGUACAAGAUCAGCAGAGUAGGGGGCAAGAGUAAUUACACCCUCACCACCAUGAAGCAGCAAAAAUAUUGAAAAGAAAUGGAUGGCCUACAAUCUGAAGAAGUACCAUGUGUGACCUCCCGCUACAUCAAAACCCGAAGACUCAAUAAGCUCGACGGGCACCACCUCACAAGCUGGGGACUAUCCAGUUGUUAUGCAGUUCCUACCUUACAGCUAAAGUUCUCGUUCGUUUCACUCGUUUUUCAAUGAGGAAUUUAGAAGUAAUCACAACUUGGCUUGGUUGCAUGCUUACAACAACUAAUCACUCCUGCACUUCAAAAGAAGAUUGCGCCCUUCUUAGGGACUCAUCGCAGGAAUUGCGCCCCCCGAGGGACCAACCAUGCUCUCCAGUGCGAGAGGGUAAACCAAUUCUCCGACACCCAUAUGGGUCAGCUCUCCAAGACGGGAGGAUAAACUUUACACUCCGAAUAUCCAGACGUGGAUGAGCCUGGCUGCCCUAGUAUAACUAGAUGCACGAUGGCUUGCGCCGGGAUUCCUAGAAGUAGCCGCAAUGGUCUUUUUCAAGGCUUAGCUAACUGAAGGAUUUUGGGUCUCUUGGCCUAAUCCGUGGGGAACCGGGCCCUAGAGACGGAGAGGGCACAUUACGCAGUACAUCCGAUGGACGGCUGCCCUGGAAUCCUAAAGCUGCUACCGAGUGCACUAAGGUAGCCUACGGAUUCCGGAAGACUGCCUACGGCUUGCCCUUCGAGCAGUGAAGCCGCACUAGACUUAUACAACCGCACAUUCUUGUGAAAGGUUAAACAAGCUAGCGCGCAUAUACGAAGUUUUAUCCACUGCCGACAUGCUAUGUAGUUGAUAAGCUUCACCUCUGCCAAGCGCGGAACAACCUACACCAAGUCCUAAAGUGUUGUGAUACUUGCUACGCAACCUACGGAAUUGAAAAAAGUCAAGGUUAACAGCCGAGUGGUUACGCGGACUUGUCUACUUCUGUAAGUAAGGCAUCCGGCUGCCAACCCUAUGGCUAACAACUUUGCAAAGUUCUACACCAACACCUACGGCUGCAUAGGCUACGCGAGUUUGUCUGCUUAUAAAAAAGUAGCAUGCCUGCCACUGGUCUAUCAAGUCUAAAGGUUAGGGCAUGAACAAAAGAAGUGAAGAUGAAGAAAAACGAAGGAAAACAUGUUUAUAAACAACUAGCAAAGGCCGAAUGAGUUCAAGCAAAACAAGAGCUACAAGGAAAAACAAAGAAAAUCCUAAAGGCUACCUAAAAUACUACACUACAGCAGCUUGGACAUCCCACGACUACUCGAUCGCCACACCUUCAACAGCCGUAACGCUCUUAGCAGCGGCAUCAUCCGGCGCUUCACCCCCCGGCUGCCCUAGUCUGGGCACUAACUUCUCCAACUACUUCACCAAUGGAAGCCUUAAAAGUAAAAGCAAACAAGUCUUCCGGAGAAAUAGAGAAGGUCUUAAAACCUCAAGCCCAUCCUUCUCACCCUUCAGCUGCUCAUUCUUCUUAAGCAGACUAACACGGACGCGCUACAGCUCAUCCACUCUCUUCUUAGCAUAAGUAGCGAAACGAAGCUCAGAAAUUGCAAGCUUAAGAUCUUGAAUCUGAGGCGAAUCAAUCUCAGCAGCAAAGGGAGCAGGCUUUGGCGCCACUUUAGCAGCAGAGUCCACCUUACCACUCUUCAUAAUAGCAAGUCUCUAAAAAGGUGAACCGGACUUGGCUCCCAAAGAACGUCCUGGUACAAACUUCGGCACUGGGGGCAUGAUAAAACCUUUACGCUGAGUAAUCUUAUCCACAAUUGUACUAGCCAUUCUCAACAUGGAAGACGCCACAUGCUCAGAUCUAGCAGCCUUACAUUUCUUCCCAUUGGAAGAAGUCAUGUCAAUCACAUACCUCUCGGUAGCAAGUGGACCAUCAUGAGCAGCAGAAGAAGUCUUCAAUUUUUUCUUAACUGGCAUCUCAUGAGCAGGUGGGGAAGAUCUCUUCUUUCCAUCUUCAUUCAUAGUAAGCUCCACGAUAGCGAUCAGAUGAGCCAAUGCAUCCGCCUUGAUCCUCUUUACCUCCUCUUUCCGGAGCAGCCCACAUUUCUUUCAGCAAAUAGGACUAAGCAGCCAACGACAUUCAUGGUACUCAGCAGGGGAGCUCAACCCAGUAUUCCAGCAGGCAGGAGGCCUGCAUGCCCAACAUUCCAGCAGCCCGUGAGACCCGCAAUCUCCUUAUUUCUCUCAAUCGCAAGCCUGGCCUGAGUCAAGUCCAAUAGCCCAAAGGACAUGAGUCAUGCGAUUCGCCUAACACUGCGCCUCAGCGCCACAAUCCUCGACCCCAGCUGCACAAGCUGCCCUUGGUUCUAGCCAAGUCAAGCAGCUUAAAACAGUGGUCCCUACCACAAUACCUCAUCGGCCCAUGUCGAGCCGACUCCUGGCCUAUGCCAGCCGACGUGCCGCACCACCCCGAUGGCUGCCCUGCAAUAGCACUAUCCAAGAAGAAGGCAAGAAAAAUUAAAUUUUUCUUACAUCGGUGCGGCACGAAAAAGACGAAGAAAUCAACGAAAGACGGUCUUUUGCACAGGCAAGACGUAGAAGAUUGCUAGAGGAGAGGGAACAAAUAUCCUCUAACUUUCUCUCUCUUGUUGGGUAGAAUAAAUCGCUCUCCAAAGUUGAUUUAAUAACCCACUUAAGGUGGACUUAAAUAGGCUUUGAGAGAAAUUUAUUUCCCUUUCCUAGAAGGAUCUAAUUUCCAUUUAAAGAGAGAAUCAACAACAAAAUAGGAAUCAAUUUAGAGUUGCCUAAAGCGAGAAAAUCUCUACACCUGUUGCCCUUUUCUGCAAGCAGCCCAACAGGUGUGGGGGCAUUUGUGGAGCCAAAAAUAUUCGCUAGGCGACACGUGGACUUUUGGACAAAAGAGGACAAAAAUACCCUCGAAGCAUACAAGGAUUCCUACGCGCGAGCAGUGGGCAAUCAUCUUUCAAUCAAGUCAAAAGUGCCCAAAAAAGGUAACAAUUAAAAACCUCUCUCAUCAAAUCCUUUCUAUAAGGUAUUUCCCAAAACCUAGUAUUUUCUAUUUCAUUAUUUAGCUAAUCAAUUAGCUAAAUAAUAUAAACCUACCAUAUCUCCUAAAAUCACCCAAUUAAUAGCCCAAAACCGGCCCCCACUAUUCACAUCCUCAUCUUUCCCAUUUUCCUUAUUAAAAUAAUCAUUCAUUUUUAUAACCACCCAUUUAUUAUUUUCAUAUUUAAUUAGCCAAUAAAUUGGCAAAUUAAACAUGAAAUUAACCCCCACAAAAACCCUAUGGCUGGCUACUAUUAUUCAAAAUAGGGCAAACCCUAACUCUAUAACUAAACACAUAUUCUCACCAAAAAUUCAUUCCAACUCUCUCACAAAAAAUCACAAAUACUCUAAACACUAUUUCUCUCUAAAAUUCUAACUUUGGCAUCGGAGGUUCUUCAGCCAAAGCCCCCCAUUCAUCGUGGACGCGUGAGGCUCUUGGCCUUAACCUAGGUGCUAGUUGUUUUGUAGGUGCAAAAUCGUCCAAGAUCGAAGAGGAGAAAAUUUGCAUCCACAAUGGAUGUGCGAUUAAACCGAAGAACCCACCACCUCCAUCUUCUCCGACCAACUUGAACCCAGCCACUACUACAUGUCAUCCCGACAACCCACUCUCAGCUUCCCAAACCGCCAUUUUUCACCCACUCACUUACCUCUCUCUCUCUCUCUCUCUCUCUCUCUCUCUCUCUCUCUCUCUCUUACCCAAGCCACUGCCAUUAUUCAUUCAAUCAACCCAAAACACGAGAGCCACCCCAUCUCACCACUCGAACAGAUGCAGCCACCCACCCAUUUAAUCCCAGUCCAAAAUCAAACCCUCUCCUAAACCCACCCCAGAAUCCAAUAAUUUCAAAAAAUGGCUGAUUAUAUCAUUUCAAGAACCUCACAAUUCCAAAAACUAAAAACCCACUUCAAAGAUGUAAUAUUUUUCUCUCUUCCUCUUUUUGGGUUUUUUUUUUUUAUCAAUUCUCUUCUGGGUUUUUGUUUACAGUGUAAAAUCAACACUAAUUUACUAAUUUUGCUUUGAUUUUUCAAACACUAUUGAGGCGUGAUAACCUGUUGCAAGCUCAGCCAUGGCGGCUACUGCAAAAUCUAACGGAAAAACCAUCACAGACUCUGCCAUUUCAUCCAAGGUUCCGACAAUAGCAAACCCUUUAACGAAUAGCUGUCGCAGAUUUCUUCCAACAUCAAUCACCACGCGAAAUUAAUUGUCAAUGAAGACGAUCCCAUUCCCCUUCGAAAUCUGCUGGGGGAAAGAGGCCUUCUUUCAUAUCUGCUCUGAGACCUGUUUAUGCGAGAGAGUGGUGAGCCUGACGACAGAGAGAAAGAAGGGCAGGAUUGGAAAAUUGGAAAGUUCAUUUAUUGGUUACUGUUUAUCCGUGUUUCUUCGAAAUAAGCUGCUUUUUCCAGCUUUGGGUUUUCAGUAUUUUUUUAACCCAUAAUUUUGAAAGAAAAAAAACUGAUUUGAAAUGUUAUCAAACACUUAAAAUGUUCCAAUCUUUUUUCAUACCUAUUUUUUUUAUUAAAAGUUAAGCUAAACAAAAACCAGGAUUAAGUUUACUACUUUGAAGUUUCUUGCUUUUCAACAUUUCAUACAUUGAAUUUUUCUCAUCCAGUGUCAUACCUAAGGUGAGAAUUGUGGGACACUUUUAUACAUCCGUUAGAUUUUCUGUGAAUUAUGGGACACUUUUAUACAUCCGUUAGAUUUUUUGUGAUAACCUUCGCUGACCCACGAUGCGGCAUGCAUGUGGACAUUAAAAAAAAUUCAAAAAUUCAAAAAUUCAAAAAUUUUAAAAUUUAAAAUUCAAAAAUACUAAAAACCUAAACUUUUCAUAAUAUUGAGUUGAGAGACUGAAUCUUUUCACACUCGGCCAAAUUUUCUUUGAAUUUUAAUUAAAUGAAACAAUGAAUCUUGAACAAAGCAAAACAAAACGUAAUAUUGAGAGAUUCAGUCAUUGAAGUGGACGUGGAUGUUGGGUACUCAAUAGUCCAAGAAUGAAAAUUCUCAUAUCAGUUUCUAUCCAAAAUUUUGGAAUUAUGUGUGUUGCAACGAUUGUCCAAAGGAUUAUUCUUCUUUUAUUAAAUUUCCAUGAAAAAUGAGCAUGGGGGCAUAAAAAUUGAACGAAUGAAAUUUCAACGAUUUGAAAAGGGUUGUGAGUUUGACACGUCAUUUUUCUUCCUUUAAUGCAAUCAUGUUUAUUAAAAGACAAAAAUAAAUAUGACUUUACAUAAGGAGAGAGAAAGAAUAGUUUUCUUUGAAAAAAUCAACCAUUUAUUGAAGAGGGAUGUUGAUAAGGAGAUGAGACAUUCAUUAGAAGCUAGAAAAAAGAAGUUAAAAGUGAUUUAGAAAAAAGCAAGAAAGCCACAUUUUCAAAGUGGUGGUCAUUGCACAAUACUUAAUUAGAAGAAAACUCAUAGUAUUGUAUUUACAAUUUCAAGUCUUUAUGGGGAACGAGAGUGCAAAUUUUCCAAUUGGAAUAUGAUAUGAAAUUUCUAGAUAACUAUAUAUGACAAAGAAAGAAGUCUAAGUUUCUAAGUGGUAGGGCUUCCAAUUGAUGUGAGUUUGUUGAGAAAUGUAGAUGAAGAUGAAUAUUGUUGUUGAUGUUAGUGAACAACAGAACAAGUUGCUUCUCCUUUGGCCUUCUAACAUGAUAUCACGGAAAACAAGUUGUUGCUAAUAAAUGUAUCUGAUUGGUGGACUUAGACGUGCGCGGUACGAUUUUUGAUAACGAGAAAAGAUGGACAGUGUCAUGACAAAAUUUAUCCAAGUAGACCCAAAGGAAAGACUUAGGAACUUCAUAUGCAGUGGGAUAAAAUCUUAAGCUAAUUUCCUUACCUAUUUUAUAGUCAUUAAGUAAAAUGUAUAUGUAUAUUUCUAGAUGCUGACACACCAAUGUACUUACUAUUAACUCCUUUCAAAUACCCAUUCGCAGAAACGCAAAUCUCUCUUGCAUGCUUGUUGUAAUGCUCAUGUAGUGCGUAUCUAAUAUCUUAUGUGUAUAAUUUUUUGUGAUCCAUUUUUUCAUCACUAUGCCAAAAUCCCUUUAGAAUUUGCAAUUUAUCCAUUUGGUUAUGGUAAAAAAAAAAACUCGGAAUUUCAUUUAAACUCAAAAAUCUAGAAUUGGGAAAGCAAUUUUCCCUUGUUCGGCAACUUGUAGCGAUAGCAAAGGCAAAUUGUACAGGAAAAAAGUGGAAAUUGGGGAUGAAGAUCCAAUUUUAAUUUCGUCAAAAUAAGUGUAAUUUCACAAUUCCAACAACGUUGAGAACAAAUGCAUUGCGGGGAAAUCUUGCGACCACCAAACUUUACGAUUAGAGGGCCAAAUUUCAUGAUAAAACGUAAUAAGGGUUUAGGACUGCAUCGUUCACUUUGUUAACUCUCCAAUCUUCGACGGGAUUUUCAACUCGUGCAUCAUCUUUUGCUUUGUUCUAGGUCAAAGCCUACUCUUUUCUUUCUUGAAUUAUUUUAGCUUUGAGGGUAUACUCUUUAGGCCAAUUGUGAAUUUUGCUAGUUAUUUUUAUUUUCUGAUGGUCAUAUGUUUGUUUUGUUUUUUUUUUCUUCCAAUUGAGAUGUGUAUUGGUUGGAUCAGUAACUUUUUUUUUGGAUUUUUAUUUUUAUUUUUAUGGAUUUUGGUGUUAGUUCCUUGUUAUAGAUGUUGUGGAGCAAAAAAUAAUCUCAAAAAUCGUGGAGGUGACACACGGAUUUUUGGACAAGAAUGACAAAAUUAUCCUCGAAGCACAUCAGGAUUCCCACGUGCAUGCAACGGACAAUAACGGCUCAAUCAUGGAAGAGUCAAAGGUGAUCAAUAUGGUAUUUAUUCAAAUCCCUCUCAUCACUCCUCAUCAAUCCCUUUUUUAUUUUAUUCAAAAGGUAACUCCCAAAACUUCCUAUUUAAUUUAGGGAUCAUUGUCAUGUUAAUUGCAAGAUAUUAUUUCACAAAAUAUCUUGUAAUUAUUCUUCAAUUACCACCAUGUAUGGCCGGCCACUCCUCACAUUAUGGGCCGGUCACUCCUCACCCUAUGGGUCGGCCACUCCCUAUAAAUAGCCCUAUUAUUCCACUAAUAAGGAAGCCAUUUGCUACCCACAAACUCCUAAACACAUUCUUUCAGAAUUCUAACUUUGGCAUUGGAGAUUCUUAGGCCAAAUCCCCCCUCCCAUUCAUCAUGGGCGCAUAAGGCUUUUGGCCUUAGUCUUAGGUAUUAUUAUUUUGCAGGUGCAUUUUUGUCAAAGACGAAGAUGGUGAAAAUUUGCAUCCACAAAUUGGUGUUUUCAUUGAGAGUUUGAUUCAUAAGCUCGAAGAAGACUCACAUUCAAAGUUUCACAUUUCUCAUUCAUAAGUAAAUUUUUCAUACGUUCUUAUUCCUAAAAUUUUUUAAAUCUUUGAAUAGACGUAUGAGAGAAAUACAAUGGCUAGAAAUUUAGAAACCACGACGAACGAAACUUCCUACGUUCAAAGAUCCAGAUAAAAUGAUGGAAAUUGCGAUGUAGCCCCACCACGACGAUCCACGAAGCUCAACGUGGUGGCAAAAUGAGUAACUUGGCCACCACGGAGUACCACCACCACCAUAGCCAAGGCAACCCAUGUUGCAGUGGGGAGUGGGACAGCUUCAUGGCAGCAAAGCCACGAAGCAACAAUAAAUGCCAUCUUGCAGUAAUGAGCCCAGGCCCGUGUCACAAGGCAGUCAACCCAGCGCUAGGUAACCUAGAUCUAGUAGGCCCACGACGUUGCCAUAGCAGCUGAGGCCUAAAGCAAGGCCCAAACAGUUGCGGUUGCGGCAAAUGGAGCAGCACAACACUGGCGGGGCCAAUGCACCCUUGGCCUAAUGCUAAGCAGGCUAAAUCGCACCACACCCACUAUUCAAACUAACCCUAAGUUGAGUAAGUAGCAUUGAAGGUUGUCAACCGCAAGGCGUUGAAGUACGAAUAAAGUUACACACCCCGCACAUGACUUGGCCCACUUCCGCGGCCCAACUUGCUCGCAAGGUCCACCUAGUGAUCCCGACUAGUCGAAGGCCAGUUUAAUCAUCCCAUCUUCAGAUUUCUGGACUGACGAUUGAAUCGGGGGUAUUUUCACCCCGAUUUUCUACAGAUUUGACAUAUCUCAACUCAAAUCUCGCACUUGGAGUCCAUUGCACUUCCAUUACUCAAGGAGACGCAUACCAUUUAAGAUCUUCCAUCCCAAAUGGCGAACAACACUUGUCUCGACAAGUCAUAGAGUUGACAUGCGCUUUUGCGCAGUAGACGACCUUAGUGAAUCAGCUCUUGCAACGCACAUAGAUGCAGUGUGCCCCAGACGAUGUGUCCCGAAGUAAGACAAGUACAGAUGACGAUUCUCUCCAGCAGCGUCCCAACAAGCAGCCGCUCGACUAGCCACGAACCGAGCGUUCUGGCAGUGUACACUCCCGUCUAGGUCCUCAAGAAAGCGUAUACUCUCGUCUUAGCGCGCGAAUGAGCGUGCACUCAUGGUUAGGCCUAUGGACGAGCAUACAUUCACGGUUGGGACCAUACUCUUAUAAUUAACAUGGACAACCUGCUAGACGAAGUGUUCAUUCGCGGCUAGGCCCGCAAAAAGCAUUUUCCACCUCAUAUUGGAGUAAGCAGCACAGAAGACGAAGAUAAGCAGUCAAUUAAUCUGGCUCAAAUUCAAUCGGCCACCUGUAAGUAACCAGUUCGCCUGCCAAGAACGUAUCAUAUGCAAUGUAGCCACGACAUAGACUAGAUGAGCACAACGAUAAGCAACCUAGACUAACAGGUUACGACUGGGGGCAGCCAGAAGCUCUGCUGCCCCAAUAGAGGUAAAUUUAGAAAGAAGUUGAGAGGCUCAUGACCGAACAAUUGUGCGAUUUCCAACGCAACGAAGCUACUGACAAGGCGCUUAAACGAUACACGACCAACAUAAAUGGGUCACCUUUUAUUGACAAGAUUGAGCAGACAGAACCAUCCUACAUACACUGGCGGAUACAAAGAUUACAUCUAUUUUAACAUAUGCAUCAACUCAGCCUAAUGGCGUGUCGAGGGCAAAUGGGUACCAGAAUGGCACACCAGCCCAACCACCAAGAACCAGGGCCAAAUCUUAUUUUCAUCACUCCACACGAUUCAAUACUUGAGCAGCACAUCACCAGUAAUCGAGCACCGCAGACCUAAUGGUCCAAUUCCUCCUGAUGCACACAAGCUCACCCCAGCUCCACGCUCAAAGCCUUGCCUACCUGCUCCACAACACUCAGCCACCCUUGAUUUGUCACCAUGGCUCACAAUUAUGCCAAUUUUGCACCACAGCUCAUAGCCGUGCUAAUCUUGCCAUGCGGCUCUUAACUACGUUAACCAAGCCCACGAUACUUUAUACUUCAAAGCAUCCAACGACGGAGUAGAACACGAGGCUCUACUAGCAGCCCCUGCUAGUGAAAGACUUUGCGGUGAAGAGGCUUCCAAUCCAUUCAAAUUCUCAGUUGACCACCUGUUGGGUUUUACGACUCAAAAUUAGGAUGAUGCAAAAAAAAUUGUGUUACCUAUUUGGUUUUGGUGUCGUAUUUGGGUUUGGAUUUUGACCUCUUAGUUGGUUUCCGUGGUGGAGAGAUUUUGUUAAUUACCUAUUUGAUUAGGAUUUGGAUUUACUUCCUAUUAAGAUUCUUAUUGUAACCUAAGUCUUAUGCACUAUAAAUAGGACCUCAGGGUUAGUGUAUUUUGUGUGGCUCAUUCGUGUGGCAAUUUGGUGAGAGUCAAUUUGUGAGUUUGUGAGUUAGAGAGCAAUUUGGGAGAAUCUUCUCCGUUAGUUUUGGGUUCUCUACUCGUUUGGUUUAGGGUUUGUAAUUUGUGGGAUUUGGAUUGUGAGAGUCUGAACACUAUUUUGUAAUCUCCGUUUGUUUAGUGAAAUUUCUUGUCAUGCUUCGCUCGUGGACUUAGAUUUUACACCGAACCACAUAAAUCUCUUGUGUUAGUUUGAGAUUGUUUGUUUUAGUUUUCACCUACGACGUUGAUAUCGGUACUUUGUUAGAAUUCGCUUUCCUUUGCUCAUAAAAGUACAACAAGUGGUAUCAGAGCCCGGCUUUCGGCUUGGGCUUUGCUUGGCAAUCACUAUGAAGCCUUCUGUGUCGUCGGUGAAAGUUGAUAUUGAAAAGUUCGAUGGCAAUGACUUUGGUAUUUGGCAAUUGAAGAUGCGUACUUUGUUAAUUCAACAAGAGCUUUUAAAAACGCUAAAGGGUGUGAAGGCUUUCCUGAAUUCGUGGACUGAUGAAGAAAAAAAAAGAUGUUAUGGAGCGGGCACUUGGAACAAUCCUGCUAACUUUAUCGAAUGAAGUCUUGCGUCAAGUUGGUAGCAUCAAAUCUGCACCGAAGUUGUGGCUAAAAUUGGAGAGUUUGUAUAUGACCAAAUCCCUUGCUAAAUGGUUGUAUUUGAAGAAAAGUUUGCGUACUCUUCGUAUGGAUGAAGGUACGUCAAUUCAUAAGACCAAAUCCUUAUUGCUGCCAAAAGUCCUCAACAGUUCCAAGGGAGAUGGGUAAGAGUUCGUAAUAGUGAGAGAUUGAAUCUUUUCACACUCGGCCAAAUUUUAAUUUUAAUUAGAUGAAACAAUGAAUCUUGAACAAAGCAAAACAAAAUUUAAUACUGAGAGAUUGAAUCAUUGAAGUGGACGUGGAUGUUGGGUACUCAACAGUCCAAGAAUGAAAACUCUCAUAUAAGUUUUUAUCCAAAAUUUUGGAAUUAUGUGAGUAUUGCAACGAUUGUCCGAAUGAUUAUUCUUCUUUUAUUAAAUUUCCAUGGAAAAUGAGCAUGGGGCACAAAAGUUGAACGAAUGAAAUUUCAAUGAUCUGCAAAGGGAUUGUGAGUUUGACAUGCCAUUUUUCUUCCUUUUAUGCAGUCAUGUUUAUUAAAAGACAAAAAUAAAUAUGACUUUACAUAAGGAGAGAGAAAGAGUAUUUUUCCUUGAAAAAAUCAACUAUUUAUUGAAGAGGAUGUGGAUGUUGAUUGAUGCGCAUUGUGAAUAGGAAAAAAAUAACCUUGAAGGGAGACGAGACAUUCAUUAGAAGCUAAAAAAAAGUUAUAGUGAUUUAGAAAAAAAAAGUUUUAACGAAACAUUUCCGGUACUGUUUACUCUUUACGAAAAACCACAUUUUUACCUUUCCUAACUACUAUUCACUACAUCUUUAUUUAUCAUUUUUCAUUAAAACUAAAGUUUUUGUUUUAACUUUUCGUUAGUUUCCUUUAGAAAAAAGCAAGAAAGCCUCAUUUUCAAAGUGGUAGUCCUUGAAACAAUACUUGAUUAGAAGAAAAGUCAUAGUAUUGUAUUUACAAUCUCAAGUCUUGAGGGGUAACGAGAAUGCAAGUUUCUAAUUGGAAUAUGAUAUGAAAUUUCUACAUAACUAUAUAUGACAAAGAAAGAAGUCUAAGUUUCUAAGUGGAAGGGCUUCCAAUUGAUGUGAGUUUGUUGAGAAAUGAAGAUGAAGAUGAAUAUUGUUGUUGAUGUGAGUUAGUGAACAACAGAACAAGUUGCUUCUCCUUUGGCCUUCUAACAUGAUAUUACCGGAAAACAAGUUGUUACUAGUAAAUGUAACUGACUGGUGAACUAAGACAUGCGGUACGAUUUUUGAUAACUAGAGAAGAUGAACAGUGUCGUGACAAAAUUUAUCCAAGUAGACCCAAGGGAAAGACUUAGGAACUUCAUAUGCAGUGGGAUAAAAUCUUAAGCUAAUUUCCUUUUUAAUCUUAUAGUCAUUAUGUAAAAUGUAUAUGCAUAUUUCUAGAUACAUACACACCAAUGUACAUAAUAUUAACUCCUUUUAAGUAGUCAUUUGCAAAUCCCUCUCGAGUGCUCUUUGGAAUGCUCAUGUGGUGCCGUUCUAAUCUCUUAUAUAUAACUUUUUGUGAUCCAUUUUUUCAUCAAUAUGCCAAAAUCCCUUUAGAAUUUGCAACUUAUCUUUUUGGUUACGGUAAAAAAAAAACUCGGAAUUUCAUUUAAACUCGAAAAUCUAGGGAUGUGAAAGCAAUUUUCUCUUGUUCGGCAACAUGUAGCGAGAGCAAAGGCAAAUUGUACAGGAAAAAGUUAGAAAUUUGGGAUGAAGAUUCCCAAUUUUAAUUUCGUCUAAAUAAGUGUAAUUUCACAAUUCUAACUACGAUGAGAAUCACAAAUAUAUUGCAGGGAAAUCUUGCGACAACCAAACUUUACGAUUAGGGUGCCAAAUUUCGUGAUAAAACCUAAUAAGGGUUUAGGGCUACAUUGUUCACUCUGUUAACUCUCCAAAUCUUCGACGGGAUUUUCGGCUCGUGCAUCAUCUUCUUGCUUUGUUCUAGGUCAACGCCUCUACUCUCUUCUUUCUUGUAUUAUUUUAGCUUUUCAGGUAGACUCUUUAUGGCUGUUGUGAAUUUUGCUAGUUAUUUUUAUUUUCUGAUAGUCAUUUGUUUGUUGUGCGUUUUUCCUUCCAAUUGAAUUGUGUAUUGGUUGGAUUUGUAACAUUUAUUUUUUUUAUUUUAUUUUAUGGAUUUUGGUGUUAGUUCUUUGUCAUGGAUGUUGUCCUUUUGAAGGUUAACAAUAGCCAAGACUAAACAUGAUGAUUUUGGUGUUAAUUACUUUCUCAUGAUACUAAUGCCAUAUUGUUCUCUAUUUUGCACUCACAAGUAAAGAGAAAUAUCCUAGACCCUAACUGGAUAUGUUAUUGUCAUGGUCAUGCAUUGGUAUGGUAACAAUAUGUUUGGAUAAGGAAAAUAAACUUAGAAUUUGACAAAAGAUAAAAUUUAUAAAUUGAUACAAUCAAUUCCUUUGUUUAGAUUCAUAAACAUAGAAAUUUAAACUUUCCGCGUGAGAAAAAACUUGGAAUUUGGGACCUUCAAUUCUCAUGUUUAAAUUUUAUGUAAAUAGGUGUCAUUUCUAAAUUUCAGUAAGUGAGAAUUUAAAAAUAACAAACAUGUAUUCAAAUUUCAUUCAUCUUUUAGGUUAACCAAACAAGAAAUUUUAUAAAUUCUAGAAAAUAAAAUUUCGUUAUUUCAAUUUCUGUUAUUUUAAAAUUAGUAAUCUUAAAUUUUCUCAUCCAAACAAAAAGUUUCCUUGUCAUAGAACUUUCAAUUGGGAUCAAGGAAGACAAUCUUUUCACAACUGAUUAUUCUCACCAAAUUUUAUUAUUAUUUUAAAGCAGAUCAAUACCAAACUUCAAAAGCAAAGUAGGAAGGCUAAAAUUAAGGUGAAGAACCUACUUCCACUAAUUACCAUGGGAGGGAGAGAGAGAGAACCAAGCGAGAGAGAAGAGAGAGAAAACACCAAGUAGUAUUAUAAUAUAGGUGGGGUUAAAUCACCUUUCGUGAAGUUGUAGUAAGAGCAGCUCCAGCGGGAGCUCCAACUUGAUGUACCGGUGAGAUUUCCUACCCAAUAGCCCCAGCUCCUUGCUCCAGUCCAUGCGGGUGAUUGGGCUGAGGGGGGCCGAGUGAGAGGCCUGACUCGAAUCGGUGGCCUGAGAGCCUGAGACCAAAAAUUAUCUUUUUGGAUAAUGACACGUGGUGCAACGAGAACGAUUAAAAAUCUUAUCCGAAAUUACAAAUAGAAUUAUUUUGUAUUAUUUUAUAAAAUAAAAAAUACUAAUAUUUUAUUGCUUAUUGACAUGACUAUUCAAUUACGGGUGGAGAUGCAGAAGACAAUUAUUAUUCAUUAAAGGUAAUUAUUGUUCAUUGGAGGGGAUUGAAUAUGAAGUUGCACUAGAAGGCCUUUGUCACGGCAAUAGGCAAUUACUGUUCUAAGGACUUCUAUCCUAGAAGAGAGACAAAAACACCAAGUAGUAUUAUAAUAUAGGUGGGGUUAAAUCACCUUCCGUGAAGUUGCAGAUAGAGUAAGGACUUCUAUCCUAGAAGAGAGACAAAAACACCAAGUAGUAUUAUAAUAUAGGUGGGGUUAAAUCACCUUCCGUGAAGUUGCAGAUAGAGUAAGGACUUCUAUCCUAGAAGAGAGACAAAAACACCAAGUAGUAUUAUAAUAUAGGUGGGGUUAAAUCACCUUCCGCGAAGCUGCAUUAAGGACUUCUAUCCUAGAAGAGAGACAAGAACACCAAGUAGUAUUAUAAUAUAGGUGGGGUUAAAUCACCUUACGUGAAGUUGCAGUAAGGACUUCUAUCCUAGAAGAGAGACAAAAACACCAAGUAGGAUUAUAAUAUAGGUGGGGUUAAAUCACCUUACGUGAAGUUGCAGAUAGAGUAAGGACUUCUAUCCUAGAAGAGAGACAAAAACACCAAGUAGUAUUAUAAUAUAGGUGGGGUUAAAUCACCUUCCGUGAAGUUGCAGUAAGGACUUCUAUCCUAGAGAAAAGUCGGUCAAUGGUGUUUGACACAGUCAGUCAACGAUAAAGACAGAAUUGUGUAACCAUAAUUCUCUCUCUAUCUCUUUUUCAUUAACGGAGGACAGUGUAUAAUUACUACGUAUACAUCUCUGCUCAAUUAUUGAAAAGAAAAAUCCAUGUGCAUUAUUUUUAUUAUUAUUAUCUCAGAAAUGCAGAAAUUGAUCAUCUCUUCCUUCUGCAUAUUGAUACUGGUUUUCUUCAAACUAGUUGAAGCAAGCCAAUAUGUGUGCGCGAAAUCCAACUGUAGCAAUGAUCAACGCCCGGCUAUCCAUUUCCCAUUGAACAUCAGGCGCACACAUCAUUGUGGAAAUUCUGGGCUUGAAUGCAAUGGGAGAUAUGGGCAGCAAAUACUAAUAAAAUUAUUUGUCAAACACAUUGAUUACAAGCGUCAGGAAAUCCAAGUCUAUUCCCCAAGUAACUGCCUGCUGCUAAAGCAUGUUGAAAUCCCAAACAUGCCACCCUCUCCCUUCAACGUGUCAGUCGAUGACUACAUGAGUACCCUUACCUUAUUCAGUUGUCCUACUUCUGUUGCAAGACGAGAUACGUAUCAAGUCCCCUGCCUCGGCGACCCUGGCAAGAAAACUUAUGCCAUUCGUUCUUACUAUGAUUUUGGAACUCUCUUCCAGAAUCUACAAUCCUGUACAAAAAUGUAUGAUGUUUUAUCAGUUCCAAUAGCCUAUGAAUAUUAUGUUUUUCGUUUCAAAUGGUCUAUACCAAAUUGCAGAAAAUGUGGAGAGGGAAAGAAGUGUGGAUGGCAGAACAAUGAAAUUAAAUGUCUUCCCUGGAGGAAACCAAGUAAGGAUAACAUAUGUAUUCAUUGCUAGUUUUAAACAUCUUUACAUUUAUGUCUUAGUAAUUAUUAUUUGAAGGAUGUUGUCCAAUCCAUUUUUACUAGGAAUAUUACCUGACAGUCUCGUUUAAAUUCGCAAUGAUCUUCUACAGGCAACACAUGGAAAAAAGUGGUUACAGGUGGAAUCCUGUGUGCUUUGCUUCUUGUUCUACUGACGAUUGCAGCAUAUCGGGUAUAUAGCGCUGAUAGAAAGGAGAAAGAGAGUCGAUUAAGAAUUGAAAGAUUCUUGGAGGACUACAAAGCACUCAAACCAAGCAGGUAUUCGUACGCAGAUAUUAAGAGGAUUACAAAUCAAUUCAAGGACAAGUUGGGCCAAGGAGCCUAUGGAACUGUCUUCAAAGGAAUGCUCUCUUCUGAAUUUUUUAUUGCUGUCAAAGUCCUCAACAGUUCCAAGGGAGAUGGGGAAGAGUUCGUAAAUGAAGUGCGAACGAUGGGUCAUAUCCACCAUUUAAACGUGGCUCGCUUGGUUGGAUUUUGUGCUGAUGGAUUUGUACGAGCUCUUGUUUACGAGUUCUUCCCCAAUGGUUCCCUGCAGGAUUUCAUUUCAUCUGCAGAUAGUAAGAAUUCAUUUCUUGGUUGGGAUAAACUGCAAGAUAUUGCCCUAGGCAUAGCCAAAGGAAUUGAAUAUCUUCACCAGGGAUGCGAUCUACGAAUCCUGCAUUUCGACAUCAAACCCCAUAAUGUUUUGCUAGACCAAAACUUCACUCCAAAAAUUUCUGAUUUUGGUAUGGCCAAGUUAUGUUCCAAGGAUCAAAGCUUGGUGUCCAUGACUACAGCUAGGGGGACCAUGGGCUACAUUGCACCUGAAGUGUUCUCCAGGAAUUUCGGAAAUGUGUCUUACAAGGCAGAUGUCUAUAGCUUUGGAAUGCUGCUGCUUGAGAUGGUAGGAGGAAGGAAGAAUAUUGGUUCAAU
Molecule: long non-coding RNA, 281950 nt
Filed under: Malus domestica (apple)
Lineage: Eukaryota; Viridiplantae; Streptophyta; Magnoliopsida; Rosales; Rosaceae
Description: long non-coding RNA (MDOM_LNC002118)
Source: RNAcentral